This 244936-nucleotide long non-coding RNA is filed under the name Citrus maxima (pomelo). RNAcentral describes it as "long non-coding RNA (CMAX_LNC004146)". Lineage: Eukaryota; Viridiplantae; Streptophyta; Magnoliopsida; Sapindales; Rutaceae. The record is from RNAcentral.
CAUCAGCUGCUGGUGAAAGUAGAGCCAAGGCCACCCGUCGUCGUCUUCGACCUUUACACGGUCCUCCUCUUCCAGCCUCUCUGAAUUUCUACUGAUCAUCACUCCCCACCAGCCAACCAGCUGCUUUAUGCUACCUUCUAGAAUUCUAAAGACUUUAGUUAACUAAUUAACUUCUUCUAGACUUGUUUCUGGGUUUAAUCAAUUUGCUCCCCCCCAGUUUCUCUGUAAAAUUUUUGCUUAAUUUAAUUAAUUGUUAAUUAACAAAUAACAGAAACGCUAAUUUUCGCGCAAGUUUCAACAAUACUUACUUGGUUGCCUUCUGUUCUCCUGUUUGCGUCUCUGUCUUCCAUUACGAGCACCCAAAGAGGUAUAAUCAACGGUUUGCGAGAUAGCUGCGACUGCAGUAGGUGCCGGCGUCGAUCAUCAACAUGGCGGUGCACGGUAGAAUUAGGUGAGGAGAGAUGGAGAGGUAUAAUCAACGGUUGCUGAUCAAAUUUGAAACUUUCCAGCGAACCGACGGUGAUGAUGAGAUUGAUUCCAAUUAUAAAUCCUGUGCAUAUCCUGUAUAUUGAGUCUAUGUAAUCGUGACCGUCAGAUCGGAUUUAUAUGAUCGUAUGGCUGGUGUUAGUGGGCGCUACGUCGGAUUUAUAUGAUCGUAUUCUUCAUCAUUAUGGUUGAUGGCUUAACAAAUGCAGGAGUAGGGGACAGCCAAAAUAAAACACUUUCUCUUGUAUUAACCUUUGCUAGUCGUCGAAGUUAAAAAUUUUUAGAACAAGUUAAAACAGUUCCAACUCAAAAUCAUUAGUGCACAAUUGGGUUGUUAUAAAUAUUUUUGAAUUUCAGUCUAAUUUGACUUAUUUAAUUAUGUAUGCACAAACUAGUUUCAUCACUUUUUUCGUAUUGAUACCCAAAAUUUUCAACCUUAUUUUAUAUUGAUGCACAAUCUAACUUAAUAAAAAUAAUAUUCAAAUUGUCACAAUUUUUUUUUUUAAAUCAUAUACAAAGUUAAGUUUUCUUCUUCUCUAGGAUCCAGCUCUAUACUCCUCUUUUUUGUCGUUAUGCUGCUCAGUCGUUAAAUUUUAAUUACGUUAAUCUAACGGUCCGGAUUUGUAAUGAAUAAUAUUAAAUGCACCGGUAUAUUUUAAUUACGUUAAUCUAAAGCUGCAAUUAUGUGCCGUAAACAUUGACAUGGUUAAUGUCAUCGAGAUCACAUGGUUGUUAUUUACGAAAAGAGAAUUGCUGGAAAUUUUGUUAAUCCACUAUUGCAACAAUAUAUUGUUAUAAAUUGCAUUGUUUCCCAUAUUUAUAGAUUAAUUUUGAAAAGAAGCAAACAAUGCUAAGAACGUAUUUUACAGAAGCUAUAUAGACAUGUCAUAUGAAUUUCGUUUUUAUACUACGUAAUUAUUAAUUUAUAUAAUAAUAUAUUUCCUUCAAAACAUAGUAUUUGAAUUUGAAAUUAUUUUUUUUAAAUUAGCAUUACGAAAAUAAUCAUGAUUUGAUUGGUUUCAGUUUUAUAAGAAAAAAGUUGGGAAAAUAGACAAACAAUGAAGGAAAAAAUUAAGCAGAGCCAAUAAACAGGGGAAAGUGAAUUAAUGUCCUUGUGCACAUUAAUAAUCUCAUUUUUCCAUGUACAAUUUUGUAAAAUAUUCAUCUCAUAUACUAGAGUCUUUUGGUUUUAUGACGAAAGAGUCAUGGUAGCGAUGUAUCUAGAGUAAAAAGAUUUAAUUUAUUUUUCCUUGUUAUUAGCAAAAAUUAUUAUUAAUUAAUCAACCCAUCGAGAUAUAUUGGUUUCAUUUGUUACAACUAGCCAAUUGCUUAAUACAGUUUUGUACGUCUCACUAUUACUUGUAAAUAAAAUCAUAGAUGUGGUAUGUUGUGAUGUGAUAAAUUUAAAUACAAAUCUUAAUUACGUUGUGAUGUGAUAAAUUUAAUUCAUGUUAGGAAAUUGAGCUUCCUUCCAAGAUCUCUCUAAGCAAUUUAUCAAGCAAAAAAUUAAUAAAAAAAAUUAAAUGGAGAAUACAUUAAUCACACAACACAAGAUUUACGUGGAAAACUUCAAAUUCGGAGAAAAACCACGGCCGUUGUCACAAGACAACUAGAGAAAAAUAUUCCCUAUGUGGAAAAUUAUUAUAACCACUCUUAGAAAUAAUUUUCUCUCACCCAAGCCCCAAAUACAUAAUCUCAAGAAAUAUCCCUUAACAAAGCAAACCCGUAAUACCCAUAAUGAGGAGCCAACUUCUCCUUCAAUAUAACUACAUGCUUAAGAACAUUUCUCUCUCUCAAUUUCUCACCAAAACUUGGAUUCCUUCUCUGGGAUUUUGGGAUACUAAAAUAAGGAGGAGCACUCCUCUAUUUAUAGCCAAAUUAUGGCUUCCUUUUCUUCUUUUUUUUUCUUCUUUCCAUAUCUGGAGAUUUUCAUCAUAGUAGUUUAUUGAAAGUGAAGGCAGCUGAAUACACUUUUUUCUGAUGCAGUCUGUCCCUCUUUGGUGUGAUUAUUUGAAAUUUGUGCAAGAAUAUGAUCCAUCUAUACACGAAUGUGCCUAAUAAAAUAUCACAAAGGUGCCUAAUACAGUGAAAUUAACAUAUUCAGCUCAUGAGAUUGCCAUUAUAUAUAUUGAAAAAGAAAUUAAUACAAGAAACUGAAAAUUAAUUGACACUGGAUCAUGUUGGAUUGUUUGUUAAUUAUGAUGGGAUUAUAAUCUUGGUCUUUUAAUUAUCAUCUAGCUAAUGCAUGUGCACUUUCAUUUGUGUCUAUCACUGGAGAAUAAAGUUGCUUGAUUGAACAGCAUCAUAUGAAGGAAACUCAAAACUCAAUUUCGUUGCCUGAGCAUAUCAUGCUAUAUUUAGCUCAAAAGUGCAAUUAACGUUGAACAUUCAGCUAGCUGGCUCAUACUAAUUAAUUUAUAGGAUUGCUAGUUCUUUAUGAUUAACUAAAAGAGAAAAUAUUUGACAAUUACGAAAACAACAACAAUUCACUCUUAUAAACAACAUAAUAGAUACAUGGUCUAUAUUGCAAUUCUUUUUAUGAUUUUAAUUAAAAGAGAAAAUGCAAAGGAAAUAUUAUAUAUAAUUGAAGGUUCUCCUUGAUAAUUAGACAAAAUGACACCAAUCUGGCUAACUAAUACAAUCAUCAUAAUUAUCCGAUUUUCAUUUUAAUUAUGUCCAAUCAUGCUAAUUUAAUAAAGAAUACUGAAUACACGAGUAUUUAUAUGUUCAACAACUUUGACUUCUGAAAAAUAUAGGAGCUGCAUUUAUGCUUUGUGUUAUUAAGUAGGACAUGACCAUAUUAAGUUGCAUUUGUCAGAAAACUGAAAAUUAUUCAAAAGGAUCUUAAAAGAGGUGUUGAAUUGUGAGCUUAAAAAUGAGUUUAGAAGUUUCUGACAUGUCAGUUUGUAUCCUUAAUUGUGCAUGCCCUGUCAGUUUCUGGAUGAAACAGGAGAAUGUGACAUCUGUGUAUUGUCUUUUACUUCCAGUAAGUGAAUCACAUGUUCUUCACGUGAUUUGACAUACUUUAGACGGAUUUGGCAGUUGUUUUGGUCACUUAUUGAAGCACGAGUUAAGCACGUGAUUCAAGGUUGUUAACUGACCGUUAUAAGGUGGGAAAAUUCUGGGUUUGUUACAACAAACCCAGAAGGCAGCUGGUGAGUGGGGGACGUUUCUGUAUAUAUGGUCUUAGAGGCUAUAGUUGAGCCAUAUGAAAAGCUCCUAACUUCUUAAUGUUUGUAGCUUGUUCGUGGUGAUUGAAAUAAGAUUAUUACUCCGUCCUUCAGCGGAUAUAUGCUAUCUCCAAAAUGUGCCACUUAAAUUGUGCCUCUGUUUUGCUUGUUUCUGUUCUUAUUCUUGUGAGGUGUGUGAUUUGUUUAUCAUUUCUAAAUCAUCAAUUAGAGAGACCAACCAGAUCUUGGUGGUUUUAGAUUGAGUUCAAUCGAUCAAGAAUCAAUAAGAUGUAAUGAAAACAAAAUGACAGAAUAAUGCACGCACAUCACAGCAAUGUUUCAUUCAUUUCGAAUCUAUAUAUACAAAACUUUUAUCUGACAGUUUACAUUUGUUUAAUAUAGCGCUGUAACAUGCGUACCAUCAAAAGCUACAGCCGCCAUCUUUGUUUGUCCUCGUAGCAUCCUUGAUCUUAUUUUAUCGUGGUGAUUCUUGAAAGUUCAUCUCAUUCUCAUGUGCUGAGUCACUUGCUGAGAUGAUGAAUACUUGAGGGUCCUUCCUUGAGACAUUUCAGCAGAAACCUGAUUCAUUCUAUCAAACAUCUGCAUCACUAAUCACUAAAUGAUGUAAGAUAGUUCUGUUUUGAAAUAUUAAUAUGCAUGCAUCCCCCGCGUUAGUUAGAGCUGCUUGUCAUCUUCUAUUUUCUUUUGGGUACAGUUUUGAAUUUUUAAUUAAUUGGCUUUCUCGCGGGAUAUUGUUUUCUCCUUUGAUUUUCUAUUUUUUGAUGAUGGUGUACACAUACAAAGAUCGUGUAAUAAAGUGCUUUUAGUAAAUCAUGGUCGGUUUACUAUUAAUUAAUCAAAUUUAAUUUGCUUUGGUAUUUGUUAACAUCAUUGUUAUUAUAAAGCGGACCUAUACAAUUAUAGAAAGAACGCCAACGGACCAAGCUCUACCAGCAAAUUAAUGAGAUUGCUCUUGUACACGAUUAAAAUAAUUUCAAUUUCAUCGUAUUUAUGUGUGUGUCUAUAUAUAUAGAGAGAGAGAUUGUACAUUGACGAAAUAAUGAUAAUUUAGCAAAUCUAAUUUUCAUUUAUAUUAUUAUGUUAAUUUAUGCUAUUUUAAUAAAGGCCACUCGAACAUUUAUAUAUCCAAUAUGUAAAAUUUUAAAACAAUAUUUGCCAAAGUUUGACGAAGCGACUACCAAAGCUUAGUUGUAAUUAAUCAAAUAAAAAAAAUGUUUGCUUUGCUUGAUGUACUGUUUGCUUAUGAUCUUUUCUUGAUUUUCUUGUGGGAUGUUUCUCUUUGGAUGUUUUGUUUAUUAUAUUAACAACAAUAAAGUGCGUUUUAUAAAUCAUGGUCCUACAGUCAGUAGUAAAAGAAAGGGGAUUCUCACUUUCCCCCUACAGUAAUUAAUAUAUAUCAUUUGUCCCCCUUCUGUUUUUAUAAUGGCAUAAAACUCCCCUGACAACAUAAGUUUACAGUAUUACCCUUAUUUUUAAUUACUUUUUUAUUUACAUUUAUUAUAAAUUAAAUAAAUUACAUGAAUAGAAAUUAAAUAAAAAAAUUAAGUAUUAAAAACAAGAAAUAUAUGUUUUGAUAUGAGCAAAAAAAUUAAUAAUAAUUUUUUUUGUAAUAAUUUAUUUUGUGAACAUUUUCUUAUAAUAAACAUUUUGUAAUAUUUUAAAAUUAAAUGUAAAAAGUAUAGGCAAAAUAUUUGAUUAUUUAUCUUAUAAUAAAUUUUUAUUUUUCAUUCAAAUUUUCUUAUAAUAAUUUUUUUAUCAUUUUAUAAUAACUUUCUUAUAUAUUUAUUAUAAGAAAAAUAUGCACAAAAUAAAUAAGUACAAGAAAAAAAUUUUAUUAUUAAUUUUUUUCUCAUAUCAAAACAUAUAUUUCUUGUUUUUAAUUCUUAAUUUUUUAUUUAGUUUAUAGUCAUGCUAUUUAUUUAAUUUAUAAUAAAUAUAAAUAAAAGAGUAGUUGAAAAUAAGGGUAAUUUUGCAAACUUAUGCUAUUAGGGGGGUUUUUGGCCAUUAUAAAAACAGCAGGAGGAAAUGGUAUAUGUUGAUUACUGUAGGGGGGAAAUUGGCAAUCUCCCUAAAAGAAAUAAUGAGCUUGGUUUUUAUUAAUAAAAAUUAGAAAAAAAAUCUUUUUCUCUAGAACUUAUUAUGGAUUUUAAGCUAAAAAAAAAAAAUACUACCCCAAUUUCUAAAGAUAUUCCCUCUUAUUUCAUAUUGAUUUGUUAAUGCGAAGAUUCAUUGCAAUUAUAACAGUUUUGAUGAAUUUAAAUAUUCAAUAACUGAUAAAUUCUAUUUAUAAAUAUUAAUAGCAAUGACACGGAAACAAUUAAAUCAAAUUAAACAAUUGUUCUACUCACCGCUUUUCCUUUUGUUUCCAAAACCCAUUAACCACCGACAUCGAACCAUAUUAAUUUAAAAUAUUGUUCAACUGAGAUUUGAAUUUUAAAAUUACAUACACAAACACACCCGAUUUUUUUUAAAAAAAAAAGAAUACUGCUAAUAAAAUAUUUCAGCCAUCAAAAGCCACAUACCUAAGGUAUGAUGAGCAAAUCCUCCCAAUGAUCCUGAAAUUACUCUCGCACCCUAUCAAAAUAAUUUUAAUUUCAUCAUAUAUGCACACAGACACACACACAAAAUGUAAAUAAUUUUUGUAUAUAAAAUAUUUGAAAUAAUCACUAAACAACAAUUCACAAGGUAGAUUAUACCCAGACGAAAUAAUGCCAUUUUAAUAAAGAACGCUCGAGCAUUUAUAUAUCUAACAGGUAAGAUUUCAAAACAAAUUUUGCCGAAGGCAAAGUCUGGUGAAGAGAAAUGUUAUAUGUAUAUAACCGUACAGGCGCAGCAGAAGGAUAAGUAAAAAAAAACGAAGUUUCAAUAAGAAAUUAAUUCAUUACUUUCCAAAUGAUCAUCUUAAGGCUCAUUUGGAAAAUGGUGUUCUGAGGAUCACUGUGCCAAAGCUUGCUGAGGAGAAGAAGAGGCAGCCCAAGGUUAUUAACAUUGAUGAAGAAUCUGGUAAUUCUUCCGGUGAAGAUAGUAAGGCCACCAAGGCUCAAAUGUAAUUGAUUAAAGAAAGAAGUGCUUGCUUUGCUUGAUGUGCCAUUUGUUUUGUGAUCUUUUCAUGGUUUUGUUGUGUGAUGCUUCUCUUUAGAUGUUCUGUUUAUUGUAUUUUGAUGGGUUUUUGAGGAUGGUUGUAUGUAUUAACAACAACAAGGUGCUUUUUAUAAAUCCGGUUCCUAAUUUUGUAAAAGAAAUUAAUACUCUUGGUUUAUUUUUAAUGAAAAAUUAAAAAGAAAAAGCUUUUUUCUAUGGCAUAUAUUAUGCAUUUUAAGAAAAAAAAAUAUCACAUUCCAAUUGAUGAAGACAUUUCUUCUGUCAUAUUGAUGUGUUAAUAGAAAGAUCUAUAUGAAUUAUAAUGAUGAAUCUAAAUAUUCAAUAACUGAUAAAUUGUAUUUAUAAAUAUUAAUAGUGGUGGCAUAUAAACAAUUAAUUCAAGGACUCGCCUAUAAUGAAUUAAUUUAAAGAGUAUAAAUAUUUUAAUAAAUCAUACUCGAUUUACUAUUAAUUAAUCAAAUUUAAUUUACUCAAAUUAUUCCUCUACAUGAUCAAAGUAAUUUCAAAUAUACACGCACAGACACAAAAAAUGUAAAUGACUUUGAAAUAUAAAAUAUUUAAAAUAAUCACCAUACUAACAAUUCACAAGUCAGAUUAUAAAUGGUCGAAAUAAUGAUAAUCUAGUGAAUUCAGUCAUAAUAAUUUGAUUUUCAAUUAUAUUAAUUAUGUCGAAUCAUACUAUUUUAAUAAGAAAGAGCACUCGAGAAUAUAUAUAUCCAACAACUAAAAUAAUAGAAUAUAUAUAUAUAUAUAAAAACACGCGCACGCACAUAUAUAUAAUCGUACUGCAGAAGGAUAGAUAAAACCAACAGCUGAAUAAUGCAAACUGACUUUUUUCUUUGAAAAAAAAGGCAUUUUAUUGUUUAAUUCGAAAACCCAUUAUAUACAUGAUAAAGACUCACCGACACCGAACCAUAUUAAUUUAAAAUAGUUUUCAACUGAGAUUUAAAAUUACAUACACAAACACACCCGAUUUGUUUUAAAAAAAACUACUAAUAAUAAAAUACUUCAGUCAUUCUCUGUUCUGCCAUCAAAACCCCAUUUAUAUAUCUAACAUGUAAGAUGUAAAAACAAAUUUUGCCGAAGGCAAAAAGUCUGGUGAAAAGAAAUGUUACAUCUAUUUAACCGUACAGGCACAGCAGAAGGAUAAGUCAAAGAAAAACGAAGUUUCAAUAAGAAAUUAAUUACACAUUUACACUCAAUAAGAAAUUAAUUCAUUACUUUCUACCACUUUUAUUUAAAAAAACGUAGUCUAUUAUUUAAUAAAAAUUCGAAAACCCAUUUACAUGAUAAAAACUCACCUACACCGAACCACAUUAAUUUAAAAUAAUUUUCCACUAGGACUUGAAAAUUACAUUCACAAACGCACCCAAUUGAAAAAAAAAAUUAAAUAAAAUAUUUCAGUCGUCCUCUGUUCAGUCAUCAAAAACCCAUUUAAAAUCUAUACAGACAUAAGAAGUCCCCAUAUUGUCCUCUAUCCUUUCUGCACUUCUCUUUCAUCAACGGACAUUCCGAGAUCCAUAAUUGCAAAAGUGAGGAAGGCAGUUAAGUGAUCAAUUGGUAUUUGUAAGCGUCGUUGUAGUACAACAACAUACUAAUCAACUACUACGCUCUGCCAGCCAAUUAAUCAGCAAAUCCUCCUCAAAUUGGGCUUGUAUACGACCGAUUUUAAUUUCAAAUGAUAGAUGUAUAUAAAUAUAUAUCUAUAUAGAUACACACACAUACACAAAAUGUAAAUAACUUUCAAAUAUAAUAUUCAAUAAUCACUAAAUUAACACUUCGCAGGUUAGAUUAUACAUAGACCAAUGGAUAAUGCUAAUCUAUUCUAAUAAAUUAAGAACACUCGAAUAUUUCUAUGUCCAGUCGGUAAAAUUUCAAACCAACUUUUCCCAAGCUCCUCCUAUGCUGAAUUAAUUAAUACAUUAAAAGGUCCGUCUCUGCUAAAUAAUGCAAUUGCGCUAUUCUGCCCUUUUUUUAAAAAGCAUUCUACUAUUUAAUAAAAAAAAAUUCGAAUGCUCAUCAUAUACAUGAUAAAAACUCACCGAUACCGAGCCAUAUUAAUUUAAAAUAGUUUUCAACUGAGAUUUGAAUUUUAAAAUUACAUACACAAACACACUCAAUUUAAAAAAAGAAAAAAAAAAGAAAAUACUAAUAAUAAAAUAUUUCAGCCGUCCUAUGUGUUAUCGCCAAAAACGGAUUUACCAUCUAUUUCAACGCGCGGUAUAUGGGUUAACAAGUCCCAAUAUUGUCCUCCAUCCUUUCUGCACUUCUCUACUAUCAACGGACAUUCCCAGAUAAUUAAUAGCAAAAGUGAGGAGGGCAGGCCCUUCUCCGGAAAGUAUUUGAGCCUCGGACAAUCCCAGAGUCGCAAAAGUGAGGAAGGCAGGCCCUUCUGUCAUAUUGAUGUGUUAAUAGAAAGAUCUAUGUGAAUUAUAACAAUUUUGAUGAAUCUAAAUAUUCAAUAACUGGUAAAUUGUAUUUAUAAAUAUUAAUAGCGGUGGCACAUAAGCACUUAAUUCAAGAACUCACCUAUAGUGCAUUAAUUUAAAGAGUAGAAAUAUUUAAUAAAUUAAUCAUGCUCGGUUUACUAUUAAUUAAUCAAAUUUAAUUUACUCAAAUUACUCCUCUACAUGAUCAAAGUAAUUUCAAAUAUACAACACACAAAAUGUAAAUGACUUUGAAAUAUAAAAUAAGCACCCCACUAACAAUUCACCAGCAAGAUUAUAAAUAGUCGAAAUAAUGAUAAUCUAGGGGGUCCAGUCAUAAUAAUUUGAUUUUUAUUUAUAUUAAUUAUAUCAAAAAGAGUACUCGUGAUUAUAUAUAUAUCCAACAGCUAAAAUUUCAAAACAAUAUUUGCCAAAGUCUGAUGAAGAGAAUUACAUAUAUAUAACAUGCACUCGCACACAUUCUAUUGUUUAAUUAAAAAAUUUGAAAGCCCAUUAUAUACAUGAUAAAGACUCACCGACGCCGAACCAUUUUCAUUUAAAGGAUUUGUUUUCAACUGAGAUUUGAAAUUAUAUACACAAACACACCUGAUUUUUUUUUUUAAAAAAUUACGAAUAAUAAAAUAUUUCAGUCGUCCUCGGUUCAGUCAUCAAAAACCCAUUUAAAAUCUAUAGCAACACGCGGUAUAUGGGUUAACAAGUCCCAAUAUUGUCCUCCAUCCUUUCUGCACUUCUCUGCUAUCAACGGACAUUCCCAGAUAAUUAAUAGCAAAAGUGAGGAAGGCAGGCCCUUCUCCGGAAAGUAUUUGAGCUUGGGACAUUCCAAGAGAUACAAUGAAGUGAGGUAUUGAAGAUCAACAAUUGAAGAAGAUAGGCGUUCCAGAUUUGGAAAAUUGAAAAUCCACAGAGUUGUUAGAGAGGCAGGAAGAGGAAGCGUGGUCCCCGAUCCUUUGUCAUCUGCCUUUAGUGGGAAUGACACCACGUCAUCACAAUUAAUGAUUGUAAGUUGUCGCAGAGAGGAGAAUCUGUGAAAUCCCCGACCCCGCUCAAUCAUUGACUUCCAAAUCUCCUUAUUACUAUUAAUCUCCAGUGAAUGAAGGUUGGUGGGAAGGCCAUCUUCUUCAAGGCUUGGAAGCUCAACUCCUUUUCCUAUUCUUAAUUGUUGAAGAGAGGUCAGAUUGUGCAAUCCCUUGGGUAAGACCUGUAGUCUCUUACAAUAAGAUAUCUCCAGCCUCGUGAGUUUCGCACAAGGCAAUCCCCCUUGGGGAAAGGACACCAGAUCACAUUCCCAUAUCCCUAUCUCUUGAAGCUGGCGGAGAUUAUGUAAAGCACUCGGUAAAAUUUUCAGAUUUCUACAAAAACUAACUGCGAUUGUUUCAAGAGAUGUGUUGUUGUCCAACCUUUCUGCUAUUGACUCCAGCUUUGAACAUCCACCAACACGAAGGGACUUAAGAGACGGAGGUAGAUUGCCAACUUCAAGGGACUCAAGCGUGGCAGGUAACUCGUUUUUUGAAAAUAUACAUGUCAGUGAUAGACAACCACUAAUUUCCAACUCCUCGAGAAGAGAUGAGGCGUACCUUCUGCUGCUGCUACACUGGAUGCCCUCUUCCACUGUCAAAGUCCUUAGAUUAUAACAAAGGUAGAUCUCCAACCUCUUAAGGCUCGGUGGUAGCUGGACUCCAGCAAUAUAUGUCAACGAAUGGCAAUCCCAAAUCUUCAAGAUCUCGAGAGAGGAAUUGUUGUCGCACAUCCAUGCCUCUGGUAACGAUUUCAGUGCAUCACAUUCUCUAAUCUGAAUUUUCUUCAACUUGGAAGGCAGAGCAACCUCAGGAAAGGAAACAAGGGAACUGCACUUGUAGAUUUCUAUCUCUCUCAAGGAACUGAGGCUGAGCGAUGAUUGUGGCAGCUUCACAAGGCCUUCGCAUCCGCUCAAUGCUAGAUAUUCAAGUCUGCAUGACAACUCGCAGAGCUGCUGUUGUUGGUCUUUCUCUUCCUCCGCCACCAAGGAUUGAAGUUUGGGACAGCUUCUUAUCUCCAGACUUUUGAGAGAGCAAAUGUCUUGUAGUAAUCCGUCAUGACUCUUCCAUAUAUAUGUUUGCUCUUUUGUCGACAAAAUUAAUUCUUCCAAUUUCGGUAGUUGUGGCUUUAAUGGCCCUGCGAGAAACACUUGAUUUGAUGUAUCUCUACAAACCACUGAAUUCUGUGAGCCGAGAUGAUCAGUUGCACUUCUCCACACAACCUUUUUACAUCCACCAAUUAUGAAUUUGCAAAGAGCUGGAAGACUCGAAAUUGAAACUGACAAUUCUUCACAUCCUUCAAUAACAAGCUUCUCCAAUGCAAGAAGGUGCUCUGGAAAUGUUCCUUGUAGCUUAGAACAUCUUAAAAUGUGAAGCUCUCUCAAUUUAGGAAACCCUUCAACUCCCUGACUGGAUCCAUGAGGAAUCCAGUCUUCCCAUCCUUGCAUGUCUUCAAAAUGAAGAGUCUCCAAGCAUGGAAAAGGAAUUGGAGUAUCAUUCCCAUAGAACUCUGAAUCCAACCUCUUUACACUAGCCAUUCCACAUACUGCAAGAUGCUUUAGAGAGGGUAGUUGGCCGACUGACGGCAGGGUAGGACACAUGCCACAAUAUUCAAAUUUUAAGGUCACCAAAUUUGAGAAUGAGGAAUCUCCGAACCAAGUUGGAAAUUUUGCACCUCUAUAGCCGCUGAUACAAAAUUGUUCCAAAUUUUUAUGGGGUUGUAGCAUGUCAAGCACAUCCUUUUCAAUUUCCGCCUCCCUUGAAGACGAGCCAUCGGUACUGAGUGUCCAUCCAAGCAAUAAUUCUGUAAGAUUCUUCUUUCCAUCCAAUUGAGCCUCCUUUGCAUCACCAACGUCUUUUACAUUCUCCAAUUUUGAAAUGUUAAGUGUCCCAUGAAGGUGCGUCAACAACUUUAGCUCUCGUAACCCGGAACCACUACCUUUUCCCACAACAAAAUUACACAACGUCUGAAGACUAGUCAACCUACCAAUUCCUACUGGCAUUUCCUCCAACGACUUCGUAUUUGAAUUCUUAAGAUGAUGCAAUUUGGCGAGGUUUCCCAUGUCUGCACACAACUUCUUCAGUUUCCGACAAUCUUCCAACAAAAGACUAUGCAAAUUGUAAAGCUUGUUGACUGAUUCAGGCAGAGCUCUAAUCUGAGUUCCAGAUAGGUUAAGGUACUUUAAAUACCUCAAAUCACCAACUGAAUCCGGCAGCUCAGGGAUGCGGUAUCCACGCAAAGAGAAGACCCUCAAGCGUCGGAGUUUGAGCAACUUAGGAAGAAUGCUAGGAGCCAAGUAGCCAGGCGAACUUUUUGUCAACAUUACUGGUAAAAAAGUUCUCAAAUGUUGGAUAUCAUACAAGUCCCCAAACCUUUUACCGCCAUCAUAAUAUUCAGUACUGUAUGACAGAUGACGAAGAUUUCUGGAAAAACUUUGUUGCUUGUUAACCUCUGAGGUAUACUCCAUUGUGAAGUAUAUCUCCCCCGCAGCCCAUUGAGCAAGGUCAUUGAUAAGAUCGUGCAUCACAAAUCGUGAUGUAUUGUUGCUUGAUUGCUGGAAAAAAGAUCUUGAACGUAGCUCUUGAAAGAACUUUCGACCUAGAUCUUCGUUGGGAUUCCCACUCUCUUUAUGAUCCAAGAAACCUGAAGCACUCCAUAAUAAAAUUAUCUCCUCCUCUUCAAAUUCAUAAUCCUUCGGAAACAACGAGCAGUAUGCAAAGCAUUGUUUCAAAAUUGGAGGAAGAUAAUAAUAGCUCACUGCAAGAGCUGGUAUAAUGGGACAUCUAUCUUCUGGUAAUUCCCAUAUCUUGCUACUGAGCACAUCUUCCCACACACCUCUGUCAUGUUCUCCACAUAAAAGUCCUCCCAGUGUUUUUGCUGCCAAGGGCAAGCCAUUGCAUUUGAUCACUAUCUUCUUGCCAAUGUCCUCCAAUGACUUGUGUGAACUGAAAUCUCUUGUCCCCAAAGAGUGCUGAGCAAACACAGACAGACAAUCCUCAGUGGACAAGUUUUUCAAUUCAUAAGCUUGAUCCGGCCUCAUGAUUUUUGCAACCUGUUGAUUGCGAGUAGUGACAACAAUCUUACUUCCCUGUGCGCCAGCUUCAAACGGACGGCUCAUGUCAACCCAGUCAUUGUAAUUCUCAUUCCAAACGUCGUCUAAAACAAGCAAAAAUUUCUUUUGAGAUAACUUCUUCUUCAGCUCCUCUUGAAGCUUAUUCAAGUCGUGAUCAUCCACUUUCUGGUCACUAGCAAUUGAAAGUAGGAUUGAUUUUGUAAGCCUGAUAAGAUCAAAAUCAUCAGAGACGCAAGUCCAUGCCUUGAGAUCAAAAUGGUCCUCCACUUGCUUAUCAUUGUAGACAAGCUGAGCAAGAGUGGUUUUACCCAGCCCGCCCAUACCUGUAAUAGAAAUAACAGAGAAUCCACCAUCAUUUCUUGAAUCAUCCUUCAACAACAAUUCAAAAAUUUCCUUCUUUUCUGUUUCCCUGCCAUAUACUUUGGCUUCAUUCACCAAAGAGGUUGUCUCUCGUCUUUGCCUGUCUUCUGUGCUCCUCCCCGCUGAACUUACGUUCAAACCCAGCGAGUUUUUCUGUGUCACAAUUUCUUGAAAUCUGCUGUUGAUCUCUUUGAUUUUGGACAUCAAGCCAUAAUCGAAUUGAAUAGAUUGUGGAGUAAAAGUGGUGCAGCAAGCAGGAAUGAGCUUCCGAAACUUACUUGUUCUUGUACGACUGCUACUGGGUUGAUCAUGAGCAGCAGCUGGUUCUCUAUUUCCGAGCACCAACUUCCUCCGGAAAGCCUCAGUUUGAAACUGAUCCAACAAAUCUUCAACAUCAUAAGCCAAGUUCUGAAGCUUGCCAAGCCACUUCUUCACAAACCGAUUAGUCGUCUUCUUCUCCUCAGCAUCAUCAAGCACCGCCUUGAUCAUCUCCAACAUAUUCUCCCACUCCAUUAGAUCGUCUUGGAUCUUCUCUUGGCGUGCAAAAAACAGAAUCCCCUCUGAAGCUAACUUAUUGACCAGCAAGUCAACGGACGCCGUAAGGAUUGCCUCUCCGAUGAUUGACAUUUUUUUUCUUUUUUAUUUUUGGGCAAAAGGAAGAAAGGAGCAGAAUUAUGAGUUAUGGAAAGCAGAAAGAGAAAAUUGAACGGGUGAGAAAAUGGAUAAUUAAGCAGAAUGAGUUUGUGAUUGUGAAGGGUCUGGCCCAGCAAGCUUAGUAGAAAUCACGCGUUUACACUUUAUUGACCAUUGACUAAUAAUUUGGCAAUUCACUCGUCACCACCACUUGAAAAUUCAAGGGUCACGCAAAAUACACGUAAAACGUGGCAAGUCUUUCCACUUGUUGUUCCUUGCAGUUAAGAAAAGAAAAAACAGAGCCGUAAUUAAUGACAAUUUUUAAAAUAAUAAUAAGAGAAAAACCUACAUUUUUUUUAAAUCUCAAUGCGAAUACGUAUCAUAAUGUUAUGUUCCUGUUGUAAAACGAAAUUUUAGAUAAAACAAAUUCGACUCAUUUGUUAAAGAUAUAUAUUUAGUAGAUUUCUAACAUAACUAACAAAAUGUGAUUAUUACACUAAAUGAAAUAAAAGACAGUACUACCUUUCAUAAUUUAGCAAGUUUCGCAUGGUCGUGUUUCUGAAAACAUUAUAUGGAAUCAAACAACAAGGAUACAAAGAGAAAAAUGGUAAUCAAUUAAUAUUCACUAACUGCGGUGCUGAUUAAUUUACUUAACUUGUCAUUAUUUAUAAUUAAGAAUGAGGUUCAAUCAAUUUAUUGGGAAAAAAAACAAAGAUACUUUUUUUUUUAAUUUUAAUUCUAAAAAUUUGAUUUCACUCUCUUUCGCUUUUUGACUUAUUAAAGAGACAGUAUCUCAUCUCACAAAUUGGCAAUAUUUGUUUGGUAUUGACUUAAGAAGGAAACAGAACUUUGAGUUGUGGAAAGCAAAAUGAGAAAAUUGAGCAGUAAGUGUGAAGGGUCAAGCAAAAUGCGUGUAGCAAGUCUUCCACUUGUUUAUUCCAGUAAAGUGAAAAAUAAAAGCAGAGCCCACCACCCAUUAAUAAUUUAGCAAUUCACCAAUCACCGGUCACCACCACUUGUUACCAGAUUCAAUGAAUAUAAAAUCACACCUCGACAUUUGUAGGGCCAUGCAACAUUAAUCCAGUGUCCGGGUAAACGCUGAAUAAAGUGGAAAAUGGAAUGUAUCUUACUACGAACGUCCCCUUUACAAGUCUUCAAACUCAUAAACCAAGUUAAAAUAAAUUAAAAAAAAAAACGUUUCUCUCUCUCUCUCCUUUUGCCAUAUGAUUACUUUAUUUAUUUAAUUAAUUUCCGUGCUAUAACGAAGACUUAAAAAUACACUAUAAUUUUUUAUAAUCACAAUAGUAAUUUCUACCGGCAUGUUAUAUUAUUGUCGUGUCAAAAUAAAUUAUAACAAAAUUUUAACUGAACAUAAGUUCGACUCAUUUAUUAAACAUAUAUACUUAAUAAAAUAAUAUGACGAUUAAUAUGUUAUCAAUGAUGUAGACACAACUGAAAUAACUCUAAUGUGAAAACAAAAAAAAGUCCCCGCCACCAAUAAUUCAGCAAGCUUCACUUUAUUACACGAAAGUGAAAGCAAAAGCCAGAGGCAGCCCCCACCACCAUCAAUAAUUUAGCAAGCUUCACGCGCUUGUGCUUGUCUGCAUGACGAACCGGACAUGGGUGGACCAAGCACCAUUGAAUAAUUGGAAAAAAUGAAAAAUAAAAACCAGUGUCCAGCAAAAAGAAUCCAUCUUCAUUUGUUGCUUCCUAUUCAGUACAUCUACCUAGCAUUUAAAAAAAUGGAAGUAGAAAUUAAAACUCACUCUUUUAGAUAUGGCUCAUAUAUAUUACAAGUAUCAAAAUUUAAUUAGAGUUCACAUAUUUACAAUGUGUCUAGUUUUAAUGGAGAGAUCAACUAGUCAUUAAUAAUGAGGUUUUUCUAAAUGAUUGAAUAAUGAUAUUAAUUAUUGAUAUUUACAAAAUUUCUAAGAAGUGAUAACUAAUACGUUGGGGAUAUGUAUUUGUGCGGAAUGGCAAACAUAGAGAAUAGCAAUAAAAAUGGUGGAACUUUAAUAUAAUGAAAAAGGUAAACAGUAGAAAAUUAAUAUGUAAUUCAAGACACAUUACAAAUAUUACUUUUCUUAAGACAUUAUUUGCCCCCGCCAAUUCAGUGAUACACAUGAGUUAAGCAAAUAUGUCUUUAGGAUAUAAUGAAACAUUUAUUUAUUUGCUUCCGUUGUGCAUCAACGAAAGUAAACCUGAAUACUCUUGAAUAUUGCAAGUCUGCUAGGAAUCAAUAUGUUGAUUCUGUUAAAAAACAAUGUAUUGGAUAUUUGAUGCAUAAAAAAUAUAUGUUAUUUGAUGAAAUUCAUUUUAAGAAAUAGGGGUAAGAAAAGAGUAGUGCAAGAUUAUCUUAUUCAUAUCUAAAAUUCUAAAUAUAUGAAUUUAUUUAUUAUGGUGACAUAAUAAUAAUUGUAAAUUAAAAAUAAAUUUACUAUUAAAAAAAUAAAAUUUAUUAAUAAAAAUAAGGGUUAUAUAUCUUUUUUAAAAUGUUAAGAAGUUUUAUAUCUCUUUUUUAGAUUAAAUUUUCUAUUUCCUAUUAAGCAAAACCCACGUCAAAAGUGAAAAGGAAAAACAGAGCCCACAGAAUAGAGCCCAUUACAAAUAUAAAAUCGGAGGAGCUCAUGAUCAUGCCUUUUGCUUUACAUACUAAAUUAAAUAAAAGCCAAACCAGAAUCUUGCCUUUCCUUAACAUGAUUAAUUAGGCCCUGCAUCAGAGAGAACAUGAAAGCAAUGAACCAUUUUGUUAAUCUUAAAUGUCAGGAAUAUAAUUAGCUUGGAAUAAAGUUGCAUUCUUCUCCUCUGACUGUCUCUUCAGGUUCAUUUUAAAAGUUUGAAGAGAGUUUCAAUUCUUCUACACUUUAGAAUAUCAAUGUUCUUGCUUUCUUCAAAUGUUGAAUAAAGAGAAAAAAAAAUUGUUGACUGUAGAAGGAAAAUAGAAUGCAUCCACCUUCGCUUUGGAAGUCUUCUACUUAUAAAAGCAAGCUAAAUUAAAAGAUUUUAAUCUCUCUUUUUAUUAUUAUAAGUGCACUGCAUUUUUUUUAAAUAAUCACCUAUACAAAUUUGUAAUGUAAUGAAAUAUUCAUAUUCCUGUAGUGUCGAAAUGAGAUAAAAUGAAAUUUUAAAUAACACAAUUUCGACUCGUUUGUUAAAGGUAUAUACUUAAUAAGCUAAUAACAUAAUUAACAGAACCCUAUUAUUACACUAAAUGAAAUAAAAGACGGUAGCCACCAAUAAUUACACUAGCAAGCUUCGCAUGCUCGUGUUUAAGGAACUGGACAUUGGUGAAUUAAUCACGGAUAAGAAACAAUUUCAAAAAACAAAAUGGAUACUAUACAUUUUCUUUUUUUAAAUUGUACAGAAAAUGGGACUAAUUUUCAAAUAUUUUCAAAUUCACUUAUUAACAAAAGCUAUACAAAAUGAUUUCCUUUUUAUUUUGAAAUAUUAUACGGAAUCAAAUAACAGUGAUUGAGAGAGUGUAAAGUGGUAAUUCUCCGAUUGUAUUUUCUCUCUUUUUUAAAAGGAGAUGGUGGGGUUUGGUUGUUUACAAAACUAUUGGUGUGAGGGUCUAUUUGUUUUUGUUUUCACUUUAUUAAUUAAUUACGAAGCAAACAUGUAAUCAUUUGUAAAGGGGCCACUAGCAUCGGAUCAUGUAAGAUGAAUUCGUAGGACUUAUUAAUUUUGAUGAAAAUGUAGCAUUAUUAAGUUAUUAAUUCAUUAACUUGAGGUACUAAUAUUUACUAAUUGUGGUGAUUAAUUUAUUUAACUUUGUCAUAAUUUUCAAUUGAGAAUGAAGUUCAAUCAAUGUAUAAAAAAAUAAUUUUUUUAGAUUUUUAAUUCCUAUGAUUUAAUUUCUCUCUGUUUCGAUUAUUGACGUGUUAAAAGCUUGCAGAAUAUCAUGAAAUGCUUGUAUCUCACCUCACAAAUUGGCAAAUAUCGGAAGGCUUCCAUGACGAAUUGAAAUUAAAAACAACUACCAUCGAAAUUUAAUUUUAAGAAUCUUUUUUACUUGAAAUUUUUGAAAAAAAAUUAACCAGAUUAAAUUAGAGAUAUCAACCUUAACUUAGUGUUGUGCACCACAUUGGCCACUUCUAAUUGUGAAAAGAAAUAGAACUUUUGUAUCGAUGAAACUUAUUUUAUUAGUAUUAUUCAUCAUAUGGUUAAUGGCUUAGCCGAAGGAGAAGGGGUCAGCCAAAAUAAAUAAAGUACCUUCUCAUGCAUUAACCUUUAUUAACUGUUGUAGUUAAAAUAAUUUUAAAACAAGUUAAAACAGUUCCAAUUCAAAAUCAGUAGGCUGCGAUUGGGUUGUUACACAUAUUUCUAAAUUUCAGUCUAAUUUAAUUGUGUAUGGACAAAUUAACUUUUAUCACUUCUUUUAUAUUAAUACUCAUAAAUUUCAAUCUAACUUAACAAAAAUAAUGUUCAAAUUGUCACAAAAUGUUCUUUUCUUAAAAAAGAAAAGAAAAUCAUAUAUAUAGUAGUUAAUUUUUCUUCUUCUUUACUUCAGGAUCCAACUCCGUACUCCACUUUUUUGUUGUUAUUGUACCUAGCCGUUAGAUUUUAAUUACGUUGUUUUAACGGUUUGGAUUUGUAAAUGAAUAACGACGUAGUGUUUGACUACCAUCUGAACCCACUGCAUCUAAUUGGUUUUGUGAUUUUUUGCUUUCUUCAAUAAAAAAACAGUUUAUUUUUGGUCGUCGAAACAUGGUAAGUGAGAAAGAUUAUUCUGUUUUUUUUUUUGUUAAUUAGGUUAGCAUUUAUGAUUGAGUGACUCAGAACUAUAUUUUAGAUUGAGAAUCAAUGGUUAAGAUUGUCGUUUGCUAUUUUAUCGACAAGAGAGCACUCGAUUUUAUUAAAAGGAGAAAGUCAUAAGAUUUCCUUUAUGAGAAAAUGUAUCUGAUCAUUCCUUUUUACUGGAAAAAUUAAUAUACAAAAACUUACUAAUAAAUGACAUAAUAUACAUAAAUUAUUAAUUCAUUUGAUAGUUGAUUAUCGAAUGACAUUUGAUCCAUGGGAGCAUGCAGUCUAUAAAAUAAUUCUUCUUUUUUUUUUUUUAAACAAAAAAUCGGUGAUGUUGAAAAGCAUUUCUGUAUAUUAUUAUUACUCUAAUUGGAGUGAACAUUUCAUAAAAAGAAUGCCGUAUGAAACUAAAUUAUUAAUUCGUUUGAUAGUUGGUUAUUGAAUGACAUGUGACCCACAGUAAAUAGUUAAAUUUGGCGGCAACAAUAAUUACAAGACGAACUUAAAGCAGCGCAUAGGUUUUUCUUAAAAAUACAUAAACAAUUCGAUAUUUGAAAUUCUAAUAUCUCAAUAAUAUUGAUCAUGAUUCAGUUACCAAUUAGAUCCACUUACAAUUUCUUUUUUUCUUUUUUUUGAUUUCCAAUCUUUACCAAAAGAAAAUAUUUAGUGACCCCUUUUAUCAACUUGGUUUUAUUGACUUUCUUCCAAUCAUAGAAGUGAAAAGAGAAACAGAGGCCAGCACCAAUAAGUGUUACCAGAUUCUGUAAAGACAAAAUCAGUGCCCAGCAAAAAGAAGCUAUGUUUUCGUUAUAUGCUGCUUCCUAUUUAGUACAUGCAUAUAAAGAUAUACACGUGCACAUGCAGCACAUCUAUUUAAAAUUUAAAAAACCGAAUUAGAAAUACAGGAUUUAUGGUAGAAAUACAACAGGAAUAAGAGUGAAAUUCCAAUUUUAAAAUUUGGGAAAAAUGAAAUACGAUAUUUUUUUAUGAAUAAAAUAAUUUAAUUUUUUUUAAUUCUACCAGCAAAAACCAUUAACUUAUCAAGUUUUUGGUUUCAUUUACAGUUGACAGUCGGUUUCUUAGUUUCAUUCCUUAAUUCUACAAGAAAAAAACAGAAUACUUGACAUUUUUUAUUUGACAAUUUUUAAGAAAUGUCAAACAUAUAUGACAUUUUGUGAAAAACUGAGUAAUUGUGAAAUAUAAAUGACAAUUUAUUUAAACGUCAAAUAAUUGUGACGUUUUAUUAAAUAAAUGAUAAAUAUAUUACAUUUUUAUUGAAUAAUUAUCAUUUACCUUUUCCUUUUAUUGACUUGAGAAAAAAAAAAACAAAAAAAUUGACUAUACUGCUUUUGUUUUCGUUCUUAGAACAGAUUUUAGUUUCUUUUGAGAAAAUUCAAACUCAUUCCCAUUACUUUCUUUUCAAAAAUCACCUCUCAAUUUUUCAUCAAUCACUCAAUUCCGAAUUUCAUCUCCAUUCUCUUUCGAAGAAGAAUGCACGAAGAAUUUUAGCUUGCUUUCGCUGCUUCUCGAAUAUUGGGUAUUGUUUCCUUUAGUUUAGAUAAUUUUUUUUUUAUAUCUCUCUUUCUAGUUUGAUAAUUUAGGGUUAUACUUGAAUUAAUUGUAUUUUUAAUCAACCAAGGUUGAUUUAAUUGAUUCCAAGUCUCAAUUUCCUGUUCAACAAACAAGGAACGCACAAAUAAUUUUCAUUUUCAUACUCAACUUUGAAAGAAUCAAUUUAUUUUAUCUUUGGUUAGCACACUUCUGUUCAAUUUUUGUUUAUUUAACUUAAGAUAUCUUUUUCUUUCUUUUCUUCAAGCAGAUUAUAGAUUAUAUUGAGAACAGAGCUUUCUCCUUAAUUCCGCCAAGAGCAACGUUGAUUUCAGGUGAUAAUUGAAUGUGUAAUAUUUUCAAUUGAAAUUAAUUGAGUCUCGUAAUAAUAAUAGGGAUUUGAGAUUUACAUCCUGUUGAAAUAAUUUCAGAGUGUUCUGCUAUUUGAAUGCGCAUUAAUUGUUUGAUUAAAUGUCUCUUUAAAAGAUUAUUUUUGUUUUUAGCAAACAUCUUAAUGCACUUUGCAAAUUGAAUCCAACAAGGGAAAAUUAUAGAACUGCAACAGUUUUCAAAUUGAUUGCAUAUUAGAAGUAAUGUUAAUUUAUGCUGCAACAGUUCAAUGGGCUGGGCACAAGUUUAGGACUUUAGUUGCUCAAUUAAUGAAUCCACCACUCAUCAGACUUGGAACUUAUAUCUAUUGAAUCAAUAAAAAUAGUUGAUGGAAUCAAUGCCGAAAGCUUCAUUUGAUAUUUAUUUAUAACAUCUGUUAGAUUCUGCACAAUCACAAAUAUAUAGUAGCAGAAACUAUGUUAGAGACACUGUAGUUGCUUAAUUAGUGAAAUUGUGAUCUCAUUGCCCCCUUUUUUUGGUUGAUUCUAUAAUUUUAUUAGUUGUUCUUGUGGUUGUAAACAAUAUCAAUUUCUAAUAUUAAUAAAACUGAAUGAAUAAAAUGCGAUGCAUUUGCCGGAAAGUUAAUAGUUUAAAUAUGGAUAAAUCUUGGAUGUUGAUGGAUAGAAGGUCUAUAGAAUAUGAGAACUUCAUGCUAGUCAUGCUAGUCAUCCUGAGCUUUUGAGAUGUCCAUGCCAAGCACGUCUUAGUUUAUAGGCUCAAACAAGUAUAGAAAAUGCAUGAUAGAACACAGAACUCAUAUUUUAGCAACAAUCCUCAGCUCAUUGGCCCUUAGUUCAGAAUGACAAUUCUUAUUAGCCAAAGAUUCAAAAUGAUUUUUAGUUGUUUAUAAGUAGAGCACUAGAUCAACAAAUACUUGAAGACCUGCAGCUUGGCUAUUGAACUAUACGAUGGUGGCAAUUCGAAGACUAGAAGUUGGCUCUGCCAUUCGAAGUAAGCAACGCAGCUGCCCAAAGUCUGCCAAGCCAUCAAGACUCCAUCAAGUAUACUUCAAAGCCACAUCAAGACAAUACUAAGAUACAACAUCAAUAAUAAUAACACCAAGAAAUACAUGGAGGCCAUUACAUGCUACAGCCACCCCAAUAAGAAAUUAAUAAAGACAUUCCUAGAAAGUUACAAACCCAUGCAGUAGGAAUAACUAAUUAAUUUAUACAGUUCAGUACUCGUUCCUCUGUUUCAAAUCCAAAUCCACUGGUCUACCAUUUAUUAUGACGCAAUGUAUAUGCCGAUAUUAUCCUCCCUCCGUUAUGUACCUUUCAAUUUAGUGAGGUUUAGACAGGGGUUCCAGAUUUGGUAAAUCAACAAUCACCAGAUAUGAUAGAGCGGCCGGAAGAGGAAGCAUGGUUCCUAAUCCUAAUCUUGAUUUAGAGCAGAUUAGGUAACAUGUGGCAUUCUACAUUCCUGCAAUGCUAUUUCUUGUUAUGGCAGCGGCAUUCUUGGUCAUGGCAUCACAAGCAAAUGCUUUGAUUUGAAGACUUGCUCGGCUAUGAAAAAUAAGGAGAGCAAAGGUAGUUAAUCUUGGUGUGGUCAACAGUUUAAUGGGGGUACUAAGAAAAAUAAAGAUAAUAUAAGGAAUGUUGUUGAGGAGUAUUUUGAUAUUUACAAAAGUGUUCAAAGUAAAAAUUGAUUUCUUAAAACCCAUUAGCUAGCACACAUAAUAAUGGGGAGAAAAUUUUAGACUACGAAUAGUCCCACCCAUUUAAUAAUAUUCUUCAAUCAAUUAUGUUUAGUUCAAAAAAAAAAAAAAAAACCCAUCUCUUUAUUACUUUCUAACUAUUCAUAUUAAUGUGUUAAUAAUUAUGAAGAACCGGUGUAAUUUAUGUGAUGUAGGAAGCACUUUAGGCAAAAUCAUCUGAAUCUCAAAAUUUCGUGAUAUUGUGCCAAAUAUCCAAAACAGAGCUUCCUACAUUGCUAUAGCAGUUUUUAAAAGUUGAGGACUCCAAAUAUCCAAUAACUGAUAAAUUGUGUUAAGAAAUAUAAAUAUUAAUGGUGACGACACAUAUGUAUGGAAUUCCUCUGUUUUGAGUUUGACUAAAACAACCUGAAUAAUUUCAAACAAUCCAUCAGCCCAAAGUCCUUGAGAGAUUGAACUGGAUUUCAGUGCAUCACAUUUUGAAAUUGAAACUAACAUUAAUUAGAAAGGCCGAACAGCCUCUGUUUUUUACUAUAAUACAAAAUGGGAAGUCAAAAACCAAUUCAAGGAACUCUCCUGUUUUUGACUGAACAUACAUAAUCCGAACAAUUUACAAUUAAAUAAAUCGUCCAAAAUCUCCUUUAGUCCAACCCCCAUUUCCAUGGUUUAAUAGAAUAUCAUAAAGGUAUCCAAUACAGUGAAAUUAACGUUCAGCUCAUGAAGUUUCCGUUAUAUAUAUUGAAAAAGAAAUUAAUAAAAGAAAUUGAAAACCAAUUGACACUGGAUCAUGUAAGAUUGUUAGUUGUUAAUUAUGAUGGAAAUAUACACUUGGUCUAUCAAUUACCAUCUAGCUAAUGCAUGUGCACUUUCAUUUGUGUCUAUCACUGAAGAGUAGAGUUACUUGAUUGAAUAGUAUCAUAUCACAAAAACUCAAAACUCAAUUUCAUUGCGCGAGCAUACCACGCCAUAUGUAACUCAAAAGUGCAAUAACAUUGAACAUUCAGCUAGCUAGCUUAUACUAAUUAAUUAAUACGACUACUAGUUCUUUAUGAUUAAUUAAAAGAUAAAAUAUUUGACAAUCACGAAACAUUAUUCUAUCACUAAAGAUUAGAGCUUCCUACAUUGUUACCCAAACUCUUUUAUAUCUCCCAAACGUUAUUAGAGUCCCACAUUUGUGGGCACAUCAUUAAGUAAAAUGUGCCAAUUAGGAAGAGCUAGCUUUUUUGUUCUGUUUUCUCGAAUGCGUUGCAACUUGCAGGAAAUUUAAACCGUCAACACCUGCAGGAAAUUUAUAUAUAUUCUGUCAGCACUUGCAUACAUUGCAAUUUUCAACGAAUUCCAAAUCUUCAGAUCUUGAAUUAGCUGGACUGACGUCCGACCAACUCCACUGGCUAAAACAAAGGAUUAAUUUUUGAGAAAUUAUAAAGAAAUUAAUACAAGUAAAAUGAACCUAUUCAUUUGAUUUGAUAUAAUUGGCUAAGGGUGAUUUCGAUAACGUUUUCAAAGAAGAUAUAGAACAAAGAUCAAAAUGAAAAAUAAGUAAUUUGAUCAGUCCAUGCAAAAAAGGCGCAAGCUUCGCCCACACAUGCAUGUGUCUGACUAACAGGACAUGGCUUGGAGCAAGGAUCAAUGGACAAGUUUGAGGUUUAUGAAAUAUUGAGAAAAUAGACAAAUAAUAAAGCCACUGCAAGUUAAGCAGAUCAAAUAAACAGAACAAAGGAAAUAAAUGAUCAAUUUAAUUCUUUGUGAAAUGGCCACAGGCCACAGCAACAACGAAAAUAUGUCUACAUGCAGCAUUACAUCAACAUUUGAUCAUCUAUCAAUUUUCAUGAUAUUAGAUUAGAAACAUUGAGUUCAUAAUUUUAUGUAAUUUCAUGUACUAGAUAUAUAUAAUUGAUUGGAGUUAGUUUAAAAUAUAAAGAAAGAGUAAUGGGGAGUGAUGUCAAUGUGGCAUUUGAUGAGUAAAGAUAGACAACAAAUAUUGAUCAGGUAAUAAUGAAAUAUGUAUUUACUGAAAAAUAUUGGCAAUAAAAUGAUGCUAUAAAAAUUUAAUAUUAGUUGCAAGCGAAUAAAUUGACAAUUAAAAUUAAUAGAUAUAUAGGCAAUGCUUUAGGUUUAUUUUAUCAUUUCACACCAUUUUGCAACUACAUUUUAAUUAGAAGUUCAAUUAAUUUUGACCAAAGACUCUAGAGAAUGUCAAAAAGAGAUAUGAUUUUUGUAUACCAAAAAAAAAAUAGAAAUGAAAUAAGUCAAAAUCAAUUACAAGAACAACAAUAAAAGCAUAUUUUAUAAAAGCCACAAAUACAUAAUAAGAGUUUAGUUUUGAGUUACAUAAUUAUUAAUGGGUAAAAGUCCAUUUAGUCACUGUAUUUUAAGAUUAGUGUCCAUUUAGUCCCUGUAUUUUUAAAAAUGUCUCGAAACAUUCCCGUCGUUAAAGUAUUGAUACCCUACUGUUACUUUUUAUUUUUUUGACUUAUUUUUACAUUAUUACCCUUUUAUAAUAAUUUUUUUGUCUGAACAUUAAUAAAAAAAAUUAAAUUACCAAUUUAAUCCUAGAAAAUUAAAAAAAUUAUAUUAAAUUUUUUUUCAAGCACCAUUUGCACACUUGGUAGUUUGCAUACAAUUUUUAACAAUAUAAUUUUUGACAAUUAGAAAUUAAUAUAAUUUUUUUUUAUUUUUAGGGUUAAAUUGGUAAUUUAAUUAUUUUCUUUUUAUUAAUGUCCAAAAAAAAAUUAUUAUAAAAGGGUAAUAUUGUAAAAGUAAGCUAAAAGAAAUAAAAAGUAACGGUAAUAGUAUCAAUACUUUAACAGCAGAGAUGUUUCGAGGCAUUUUUAUAAAUACAUGGAUUAAAUGGAUACUAAUUUUAAAAUAUAAGGACUAAAUGUGCUUUUACCUACUAUUGAUUUAUAUAGUAAGAGAGUUUUAUAGAAAUGUAGGAAUUUUUAAAAGAGUUUUGCUAGAGCAAAAAGUUUAGUUUGGUCUAGUUUGUGGAGGUUUAAGUAGUUGAAAGCCGUGCAAAUGAAGGAAACAUAAACUUCUAAUUUUUUACAAAGUAAUGGCUAAAAUAUUUGAAAAGUUUGAGAUUUUAAAAAGGCUGGGAAAAUAGACAAAUAGUGACGACACUACAAGUUGGCAGAGCAAAUAAACAGAGGAAAACAGGGCAGAUAAUUACCAUUAUACCUAUAAUUUUUAUUUUUUCCAAAAACAAAUGUUGCGAUUUUUUUUUCCAAAAAAGAAGCACAGUCUGCUAUUACCACUAAAGAAUGUUAGCUACUUUAUAUAAGCAUAUGUCUAAUUACCAAAUAAAUUCCACUUUAACAAAGAAUAAAAGUUAAUUUCAUUGAUGGCCCGUGUUGUGCUUUCUUUUUUUAUUAUUUUUCCUUUUAGAUGUUGAAGUUACUUUGUAAACUUCUCCAAGCGAAUUAAAAAAUUUCCGCUUACUCUAGGAUCUUUUCAAUCGGCCUGCAAUUUGUAUUCUUGUCUGUAAGAUUGAUUUUUUUCUUUAAAAAAAUUUAAAAAGGGAUGAGAAAUCUUACCCACUAAAUACCAACUUUGAAUUUUGUUAUUAUUCAAACUUUGUAUUUCUUGCUCAAAGCCAGUUAAACUGUGUCUAACUGUCAUGCAGGUUCCAUUUUUACUUGAUUAACUGUAUAUACAAAACUAAAUCACCUGAGCCUCUGGUUUCACUAUUUUCCAACUAGAAACUUAAACGCAGAAUUGAUGGUAUUGGAGUUCCUUAUUUAUUUUAUGUACUAUUGGCCGCUAGGUAGCUUGGUCAUAUACGUGUAUGGGGAUGUCAUGUUAGGAAAUUGGUGGGUAAAGCAGACACGCAGCUACAAUAAAAUUGGAAGAAAAUAAAGAACAAGCACAAAAGAGAAUACCAGAAAUUACGUGGUUCGGCUUUUAGCCUACGUCCACGGGCGAAGACAGGAGGAAAUAUUAUACUAGUGAAAAGGAGUUACAAGUAUUGUAGUAUUUUAGCUCACUACCCAAAACCCCAAUACACCCAAACUCUCAAAUCACUAAGCACACAAAAUUCUUUGCUCUUGCAAGAAUUACUUCUCUCAACUCUCAAUUCUCUCUACAAAAAUUGCCUCUCAAGAUUGGAAUGAAAAAUGAGUUAGGGAGCUCUUCCUUUUAUAGCCAAAAAAAUGGCUAUUAAAUUAAUAUAUAUAUGUAUAUAUUUCAAAUGUUGUUGCCAACUUCUUCUUUUUCUCCAUUUGGAUGGCACCAUUUUCUUUGGCCGGCUGCACAUUUUCUUUGGCCGGCUUGUCAAAACCAACUUGAAUUGGUUUUGUGGCCACCGGCCUUUGACAUUUCUCCCACUUGGAGAUUUGAUUGAAAAUCAAUCAAUCUCCACAUCAUCCUUUCUGCUUCGCCAUAAUCAUGUUGCCUACGUUUUCGUUAGGCCACUAAAGGAUCUACUCCAGACAAACUUAUCAGUAUUGAUUGGCUUGGUCAAAACAUCUACUAGGUUCUCUUUGGUAUGGAUUUUCUGCAAAUCCACACUUCCGUCUUCCACUACUUCUCGUACGAAGUGAUACUGAACUCCUAUGUGCUUUGUCCUGGAAUGAAAGGCUGGAUUCCUUGCAAUGUGCAAGGCACUCUGACUGUCACAAAACACAGAAAUUUUCUGUUGUUUGUGCCCGAGCUCCUCCAAUAGCCUUUGUAUCCAAAUAGCUUCCUUGCAAGCUUGUGUAGCUGCCAUGUACUCUGCUUCUGUUGUAGAUAAUGCCACAACGGUCUGCAGUUUCGAAACCCAGCUUACAGCUGCUCCCGCAAGUUCAAACACAUAACCAGUAGUGGAUUUCCUUUUAUCAAGGUCUCCUGCAAAAUCUGAAUCCACAUAACCCCUGACAGUAAACUCUGAUCCUCCAUAACAUAAUGCAACAUCUGAGGUUCCUCUGAUGUAUCUCAGAAUCCUCUUCACAGAUAUCCAAUGCUCUUCACCAGGAUUCGCCAUGUAUUGACUGACUGCUCCCACUGCUUGUGCAAUGUCCGGUCUUGUACAUAUCAUAGCGAACAUUAAACUUCCCACUGCUGAUGCAUACGGUACUCGAGACAUCUCCUUCCUCUCUGCUUCAUUGCUAGGACACAUACUUGAGGAUAAUUUGAAAUUAACAGGAAGUGGGGUAGAAAUUGACUUACAAUCUUGCAUGUUGAAGUGUCGCAAGAUUUUCUUCAAAUAAUUCUUCUGCGAAAGCCAAAUCUUCUUGUUAUUUCUGCCUCGGUGAAUUUGCAUCCCUAGAAUCUUGUUUGCUGGUCCCAAGUCCUUCAUUUCAAACUCCCUAUCCAACUGUGCCUUUAAUUCUUGGAUUCGAUCUUUGUUGGGACCUGCUACCAACAUGUCGUCCACAUACAACAGUAAAAUAAUGAAAUCAUUAUCUUCAAACCUCUUGUAAUAUGCACAAUGGUCUGAACUGAGUCUGUUGUAUCCAAGGCUCAUGAUGAAGGAAUCAAAUCUCUUAUACCAACACCUCGGCGCCUGUUUGAGACCGUAAAGAGAUUUGUUCAACUUGCAAACCAAGUUCUCCUUUCCUGUUUCUGCAAAACCUUCUGGUUGAAGCAUAUAUAUUUCUUCUUCAAGUUCUCCAUGAAGAAAUGCAGUUUUCACAUCUAAUUGCUCAAGAUGUAGGUCAAAUGUAGCACACAUCGCCAAGACUAUUCUGACUGUUGUGAGUCGAACCACGGGCGAAAAUAUCUCGUUGAAGUCAAUACCUUCUUUCUGAGCAUAUCCUUUCACCACCAAUCUUGCACGAUAUCGCUCCACUUGGUCAUUGCCAUCACGCUUGAUCUUGUAGACCCAUUUGUUUCCAAUGGCUUUUCUUCCACGUGGUAGUGGUACAAGUUCCCAUGUCUUGUUCUUGUGUAGAGCUUCAAUUUCUUCCUGCAUUGCUGUCAUCCACAAAGCAAUAUCUGAGCUUUCUAAAGCUUUAUGGAAAGUUGAUGGCUCUCCAUCCUCCGUUAGAAGACAGUACGCAACGUUGAUCUCUGUGACAUACUCCGAGUGCCACGUUGGUGGUCGUCUCUCACGAGUUGACCGACAAACUUCUGGAGCCUCGGACUCGACUGGUUCUUGUUCCUUGUGCUCUGGUGCUGCUUCAGAAGAAUCUGAAUCUUCUAGAUUAUUUUCCACAUAUACUGGCACGGUCUCUGACUUUUCUUUUGUAGUGCUAUCAUCCUCAUCUCUCAUUUGCAGUUGAUCUUCUACAAAGAUAACAUCUCUGCUGAUGACGAUCUUGUGGGCAGUGGGGUCCCACAACGAUACCCCUUUACUCCAUCAGCAUACCCCAAGAAGAUACAUCUUCUAGAUUUUGGAUCUAGCUUUGUUCUUUCUUGGGCAUUGUACAUCACGUACACAGGACAUCCAAAUGCAUGUAGGUAGGAAUAAUCAGCUGGCUUUUCAGUCCACAUUUCCAUCGCUGUCUUCAGCCCAAUAGCUGUAGAUGGCGAUCGAUUUACUAUAGAACAUGCAGUUGGCUGCUUCUGCCCAGAAUGAAUUGGGUAGACUAGCAGUCCUCAACAUAGCUCUUAUUCUUUCUGUAAGAGUUCUGUUCAUCCGCUCUGCCACUCCGUUUUGUUGAGAAGUGUAUGCUACCGUGAACUACCUCUGAAUACCUUCUUGCUUACAGAAAGCAAGAAACUCGCCGUCUGUAUACUCUCCACCAUUAUCUGUCCUCAAGCACUUGAUCUUUUUACCAGAUUCAAGUUCCACCCGCGCUUUGUAUUCUUUAAACAAAGGAAAUACAUCUGACUUUUUCUUAAUUGGAUACACCCAACAUCUUCUGGAAUAAUCAUCAAUGAAAGUCACCAUGUACUUUGCACCUCCCAUGGAUAUAUCUGGUGAUUCCCAAACAUCAGAAUGAAUCAAGUCUAGAAUGCAUUUACUUCUAGCAAUAGAUCUACUAAAUUUUAAUCUAUGCUGCUUACUUGUAACACAAUGCUCGCAAAAUGGUAAACUUACCGAUUUGAGCCCCGGAAGCAAUUUUCGCUUAGAGAGAAUCUUCAAGCAUUGUUCUGACAUGUGGCCAAGUUUGAGAUGCCACAUCAUCGUUGAUUCUUCUCCAUUUGACGCGACACACGCAUCAGCCUCCUGUAGUGUUUCUCCUCUAAGCAUGAAUAGAUUAAAACCGAUCUUUUCUGCUUUCAUCAAUACAAGCGCGCCUUUAACGAUCUUCAUAAUUCCAUUCUCCACAUGAGUUUUGUACCCAUGACAAUCCAUUUGUCCCAAAGACAAUAGAUUUUUCUUCAGGCCGUUGACAUAUCGUACCUCCCCAAUUGUGCGAAUUGUACCAUCAAACAUUUUUAUUUUGAUAGUACCAAUACCAGCGAUCUCCAAGGCAUGAUCAUCUCCCAUAUAUACAGAUCCUCCUGAGAUAGGUUCAUAUGUGUGGAACCAUUCUCUCCUAUAGGUCAUGUGCCAGGUAGCUCCUGAGUCUAUAAGCCAGACAUCAGAAAGUCGUUUUCUGCCUUCUGAAAUAGUUGUUGCCUCGCUGUAAAGAAUUUCGCCAUCAUCCGAGGUACUUGCUACACAACCCUGAGCAUUUGAUGACUCAGGUUCUUUGCCCUCUCUUUUCUUCUGGUUACUCCAACACUCUUUCUUGACGUGCCCUCUCUUGCCACAGUUGUAGCAUUUAACAUUCUUCUUACUUCUGGAUUUUGAUCUACCAUGAUUUUGACUCCCACUGGGGCCACGUUCCGUUGAUCUCCCUCUUGUCACCGAUAGCGCUUCUGCUUGCUGCGAACUUGCUUGUCUGUUUUCCUUAUUUUUCCGCCUGCUCUCCUCAUUUAAUACUGAGGUUGCAACAUCGUCGAAAACUAGACUAUCCACUGGAUUGUUGUUCGUCAGGUUGAUGAUGAGUUGAUCAUACGAAUCUGGUAGACUUUGAAGUAGAAGCUCUGCACGUUCAUUUUCCUCUAUAUUAUGACCCAACAUUGUGAGUUGUGAAAAUAGAGUCUUCAAUGUGUUGAUGUGGUCGGUCAUCAUUGUAGAUUCCGCCAUUCGAAGAGUAUAGAGUUUUCUCUUCAAGAAGAUUUUGUUGUGUAGUGACUUGGCCUCGUACAAUUUUGUGACAGUAUCCCAUAUUUCCUUCGCCGUAUUUUUCUCUGCCACACUGGAUAAUACUCCGUCUGCAAGUGCCAAGUGUAGAUCAGAAAUGGCGUUGCCGUCUACCUCGUUCCACUUGUCAUCAGUUAUCUCCAUGGGCCUUUCUCCAAUUGCUGCCAAGCAAUUAUUUUUCCUCAAUACAGCUUUCAUCUUCAUUUUCCACAACGAAAAAUUAUUUCCGUUAAACUUCUCAAUUUCAUACUUUGCCGCCAUUUUGUUGAUAAAUACCGCACACAAGCUAGUGUACCACCUUGAAUAGUUGUGAGUAUGUGUGAGAAUGCACACCAGGAAAGUUCCCAGGAAAGACUGGAGGGGUCACAAUGGUCCCACUUAAAACCCAGACUCCUUAAGCUCUUAUCGCCUUUGUGACAGAACUUUCCUAGACAUGUACAAAACCACACAGUUGCUUUACUCACACCACUAUUCCCUGCUUUGCACCGCAAAAUUCUUGGAUCGCUUCCACCGUUUCACGUGAAUAGUACCGUAUACGUGAAUAGUGCCGUAUACGUGAACAGUAACUGACUCCAAAAAUAUAACCAAUAGCUCUGAUACCACUGUUAGGAAAUUGGUGGGUGAAGCAGACACGCAGCUACAAUAAAAUUGGAAGAAAAUAAAGAACAAGCACAAAAGAGAAUACCAGAAAUUACGUAGUUCGGCUUUUAGCCUACGUCCACGGGCGAAGACAGAAGGAAAUAUUAUACUAGUGAAAAGGAGUUACAAGUAUUGUAGUAUUUUCGCUCACUACCCAAAACUCCAAUACACCCAAACUCUCAAAUCACUAAGCACACAAAAUUCUUUGCUCUUGCAAGAAUUACUUCUCUCAACUCUCAAUUCUCUCUACAAAAAUUGCCUCUCAAGAUUGGAAUGAAAAAUGAGUUAGGGAGCUCUUCCUUUUAUAGCCAAAAAAAUGGCUAUUAAAUUAAUAUAUAUAUAUGUAUAUAUUUCAAAUGUUGUUGCCAACUUCUUCUUUUUCUCCAUUUGGAUGGCACCAUUUUCUUUGGCCGGCUGCACAUUUUCUUUGGCCGGCUUGUCAAAACCAACUUGAAUUGGUUUUGUGGCCACCGGCCUUUGACAUGUCAUGGGGCCUAAAAAAUAAAGGUGAAAAUCAGUCACAAAUCUGAAGUGAAAAACAGUAACUAGAACAGAAUCUAUGUUUUGAUGUCUUUAGUUUAUAGGCUCAAACAAUUAAUAGUAUAGAAAAUGCAUGAUAUAGCACAGAACUCAUGUUUUAGCAAUAAUCCUAAGCUCACUGGCCCUUAGUUCAGAAUGACAAUUCUUAUUAGUCAAAGAAUCAAAAUGAUUUUUAGUUGUUCAUAAGCAGAUCACUAGAUCAACAAAUAAUUGAAGACUGGCUUGGCUAUUGAACCAUACGCGGCAAUUCGAAGACUGAAACUUAACUCUGCCGUUCGAAGUAAGCAACUCAGGUGCCCAAAGGCCGUCAAGCCAUCAAGACAAUAUGAAGAUACAACAUCAAUAAUAAUAACAUCAAGAAAUACAUAGAGGCCAUUACAUAUUACACCUAUCCCAAUUAGAAAUUAGUUAAUACAGUCCUAGCUCCUCUGUUUUAAAAGAAAUUUACAAACCCAUGCAGUAGGAAUAAUUAAUUAAUUUAUACAGUUCGGUACUCAUCCCUCUUCUGUUUCAAAUCCAUAUCCACUGCUCUGCCAUUUAUUACUACGCAAGGUAUAUGGGUUAGCAAGUGCCGACAUUGUCCUCCAUUCUUUGUGUGCCUUUCUUCUAUCAAGGGACAACCCAAGAUCUCUAAUCGCAAGAAAAAUAUUUCAGAGUAAAAAGUGAUUUCUUAAAAUCUAUUAGCUAGUGCACAUAAUAAAAGGGCAUUCAUGGUAAAUUUUAGAUUACAAGUAGUCCAACCUUUUAAUAAUAUUCUGCAAUCAAUUCCGUUUGUUUUAAAAUAAAAGAAAUCCAUCUCUUUAUUACUUUCUAAUUAGUCAUAUUAAUGUGUUAAUAAUUAUGAAGAACCAGCGUAAUUUAUAUGAUGUAGGAAACCCUUUAGGCAAAAUAACCUGAAUUUUUUAGAGUAGCGGCUAGACAUAUUGGGCAUAACCUCAGUUUCUGUUACUUCUUUGACCCUGCCUAAGCUCUUUUAAGGGCUAAUAUCAAAAUUUCGUGAUAUUGUGCCUACAGAGCUUCCAAUUCAAGGAGCUCCCCUGUUUUUGACUGAAACAUAUGUAAUCCGAACAAUUUGUAAUUAGAUAAAUCAUUCAAAAUCUCCCUCAAUCUAACCCACAUUUCUAUGGUUUAAUAACAUAUCACAAAGGUGCCUAAUAUAAUGAAAUUAGCAUUAGUUCACGAGAUUGCCAUUAUAUAUAUUGAAAAAGAAAUUAAUACAAGAAACUGAAAAUUAAUUGACACUGGAUCACGUCGUGUUGUUAGUUUGAUUAUGAUGAGAAUAUAAUCUUGGUCUUUUAAUUACCAUCUAGCUACCGCAUGUGCACUAGUUUCAUUUGUGUCUAUCACUAAAGAGUAGAGUUGCUUGAUUUGAACAGUAUCAUAUCAUAGAAACUCAAAACUCAAUUUCGUUGCCCGAGCAUACCAUGCCAUAUGUAGCUCAAAAGUGCAAUAACAUUGAACAGUCAGCUAGCUAGCUUUUACUAAUUAAUUAAUACGACUAUCAGUUAUUUUUUAUUAAUUAAAAGAGAAAAUAUUUGACAAUCGUGAAAACAACAACAAUUCACUCCAAUAAACAACAUAAUAAACACAUGAUAUAUAUUACAAGUCUUUUUAUGAUGUAGAUUAGAAGGGAAAAUACGAAGGACAUAUUAUAUAUUAUAUAUGAUUGAAUUUAAUCCAUGAUAAUUAGACAAAAUAACACUAAUCUAGCUAACUAAUCCAACCAUCAUAAUAAUUUGAUUUUCAUUAUUUUAUUGUGUCCAAUCAUGCUAAUUUAAUAAGAAAAACACAGAACACUUGAGGAUUUAGAUAUUCAACAACUUUGGCCAAGUUUGAAAAAAAUUAGAGCUUCCUUCAUGCUUUGUGUUCUUAUGUUACACAUGAUCAUAUUAUGUUACAUUUGACAGAAAACUGAAAAUUAUUGAAAAAAAAAAAUCUUAGUUAACACAUAAUCAAAAUGAGAGAAUAAUGCACACACAUCACAACAAUGUUUCAUUCAUUUUGAAUCUAUAUUUACAAAACUUGUAUCCGAUGGUUUACAUUUGUUUAAUCUAACGGCUAUGACGUGUACUGUCAAAACGCUACAGCUGCCAUCUCUGUUUGUCCUUGUUGCAUCCUUGAUCUUAUAUUAUCCUGGAGAUUAUUGAAUGUUCUUCUCAUUCUCAUGUGCUCGAGGGUCCUUUCUUGAGACAUUUCAGCAAACACCUGAUUCAUCCUAUUAAACAUCAGCAUCAUUAAUCAGUAAAUGAUGUAAGGUAGCCCUGUUUUGAGAAGUCAACAUAAAUCAGUCACCUUAGAUUUUCUCAGUCUCAGAGCACAACGGGUGAUGAUUUGAUGAAAAAUGUUAAUAUGCACGCAUCCCCUGAAUUAGCUAGAGCUGGUUGUCAUUUUCUUCUUUCUUUUGGUACUGUUUUAGAUUUUUAAUCAAUCAGAUUCAGCUGCAUGUUUGCUUUUAGUCCAAACCAAAAUAAGAUAUUAAGUACUUUUGCCAGAAUAGACGCAACCAAAAUUCUAUGGGAUCUGUAGUUCCUAGUUCAUGCAGAAGCGGCCGAAUGCUUCCGGCAAUCAGGAGCAGUGGUCACCCAAAGUAAAAGACUUUCUCUUGUAUUAACCUUUGCUAGCCGUCGAAGUUAAAAAAUUUUUUUGAACAAGUUAAAACAGUUCCAACUCAGAAGUAGUAGUGCCCAAUUGGGUUGUUAUAAAUAUUUCGGAAUUUCAGUCUAAGUUGAUUUGUUUAAUUAUGUAUGCACAAACUAGCUUGACCACUUCUUUCAUAUUGAUACCUAUAAAUUGCAACCUUAUUUUACGUUGAUGCACAAUCUAACUUAACAAAAACAAUAUUCAAAUUGUCACAGAAUGUUUUCUUCUUAAAAUAUAUAUAUAUAUAGUAGUUAAUUUUUCUUAUUCUUCACUCCAGGAUCCAGCUCCAUACCCCUCUUUUUUGUCGUUAUGCUGCUCAGCCGUUAGAUUUUAAUUAUGUUAAUCUAACGGUUGAGAUUUGUAAAUGAAUAAUGAAGUGGUGUUUGGCUACUAUCUGAGCCCAUUGCAUCUAUUUGGUGUUGUGAUUUUUCGCUUGACUAGUUCUGAAAAUAUCGGCAGCCAUCGACGGCAAAUCUGAACAAAGGCAACAUGAGGUGAUCGUGGUGAAAAUGUUUUUUGGCAUGCGAAUCUAAUGACUUUCGAAUACGUUCAUUCAAAUAUUAAAUGCAAUUCAGGCAAAUAGAAGCUUGGUUGAUUGAUUGCUCUUCAUGUGAAAUUCUACCUAAUGGCUAUCCUUUUAAUGGUUUAUAUUGUCUUAUAUGCAAAUUAAAUUCGGAAUUCGGAUGAUAAUAAUCUUCAUUUAGAACAGAUUAGGUAACAUGUGGCAUUCUACAUUCUUGCAAUGCCAUUUCUUUUUAUGGCAGCGCCAUUUUUAAAACGGCAUCGUUUUGUCCAUUAAGAUGUUUCAACUUGUCCCGGGCUGGACAUAUGACUCACUUAAUGAUAACAAAACGGCGAGGCAUGAUAUGAAGGUGUUUUGGCUAAAGGCUUAAGUUCUGCAUGUGACAAGCACGUGAGAGAAGAAUCAAGUUAGUUAUAAGUUGUUAUACACGUGGCUGGAUCUGGUGCAAUCUGGGGUAAUGAACACCCGUUAUAUAAGCUGAGCUUUCAGGCAGUUUCAGCAAGAUGUAAAGAGCUUCUAGUGAGAAUGAAGAGAUAGAAAAAGUAUCAUUUUAUUCCUUGUUAGUUUCUCCGUGUGAGCUCUGUAAAAUAAUUAACCCUAAAUAAUUUGUCCUGCAUCACCAAACUCCGGAUUUUACAAAGCACGCAUAAAGGAUAAUAGACACGUUUGAGGUUUUUUUUUUUAAAGAAAAAAGAUAAUGAAAAUAGACAAAUAAUGAAGACACAAGUUAAGCAGAGCAAAUAAACAGAGGAGAAUGAAUUAAAUACUAUCCUUGAGAACUCAAUUCUUUAAUAAACUCAAUUUUUUAAAUGUAAUUUUUUUUGGGGCUUAAACUCAUGUCAUAAACUGUAGUCUUUAAUUUGGGCUUUGUUGUAUCAAUUUUUUGGAGUUUAUCUUGUUUUAUUUUUUCGUUUUUAUAGUGCAAGAUUUUCGGUGGAGAUAAAUCAGGAAUAAGAGUGAAAUCCCAAUCUUAAAAUUUGGAAGAAAUGAAAUGCGAUUUGUUUUUUCAUGAAUAAAACAAUUCAAUUUUUUGUUAGCACUUGCGUAUGCUGCCAGUUAAUUACACCGUCAACACCUGCGGGAAAUUUAUAUAUUUUCUGUCAGGACUUGCAUACGUUGCAAUUUUCAAUGACUUCCAAAUCUUCAUAUCAUGAAUUAGCAGGAUUCACGUCCGACCAACUCCCCGCGGCUAAAUCAAAGGAUUAAUUUUUGAGAAAUUAUAAAGAAAUUAAUGCAAGUAAAGUGAGCCUAUGCAUUUGAUUUGAUAAUUGGCUGAGGGUGAUUUCGAUAACGUUUUCAAAGAAGAAAUAGAACAAAGAUCAAAAAGAAAAAACAAGUAAUUUCAGUCGAUGGAAGAAAUGAGCAAGAUUCGCACAUGCAUGCAUGCGUCUGACUAACAGGACAUGGCUUGGAGCAGGGAUCAAUGGACAAGUUUGAGGUUUAUGAAAUAUUGGGAAACAGACAAAUAAUAAAGCCAAUCCAAGUUAAGCAGAUCAAAUAAACAGAGGAAAUAACCGAUCAAUUCUUUGUGCAGUGGCCACAGCAACAGCGAAAAUAUGUCUGCAUGACUACAUUAAUUAAUCCUACUAUCACAUGCAGCAUUACAUCAACAUUUGAUCAUCUAUCAAUUUUCAUGAUAUGAGAUUAGAAAUAUUGAGUUCGUAAUUUCGUGUAAUUUCAUGUACUAGAUAUAUAUAAUUGAUUUGAGUUAGUUUAACAUCUAAAGAAAGAGUAAUGGGGAAUGAUGUCGAUGUGGCAUCUGAUGAAUAAUGAUAGACAACAAAUACUGAUCAUGUAAGAAUGAAGUCUGUAUUUACUGAAAAAUAUUUGGCAAUAAAAUGAAGAAUAUUUGAUUUUUUUAUUUUUUAUUUUUAUAUCUCCCAAACAUUAUUAGAGUCCCACAUUUGUGACACAUCAUUAAGUAAAAUGUGCCAAUUAGGAAGAAUACUUGACAUUUUUUAUUUUACAAUUUUUAAGAAAUAUCAAAUAUACAUGACAUUUUGUGAAAAAUUAAGUAAUUGUGAAAUAUAAAUGACAAUUUAUUUAAAUGUCAUAUAAUUGUGACGUUUUAUCAAAUAAGUGACAAAUAUAUAAUAUAUUACAUAUUUAUGGCAUAAUUAUCAUUUAUAUUUUCCUUCUAUUGACUUAAGAAAAAAAUUUAAAAACUCACUAUUACCGCUUUUGUUUUCGUUCUUAGAACAGAUUAGUUUCUUUUGAGAAAAUUCAAACUCAUUCCCAUUACUUCCUUUUCAAUAAUCACCUCUCAAUUUUUUCAUCAAUCACUCAAUUUCGACUUUCAUAUCCAUUCUCUUUCGAAGAAGAACGCACGAAGAAUUUUAGCUUGCUUUAGCUGCUUCUCGAAUUUCAGGUAUUGUUUCCUUUAAUUUUGAUUUUUUUUUCUUCUCUCUUUCUAGUUUGAUAAUUUAGGGUUAUAGUUAAAUUAAUUGUAUUUUUAAUCAACCUAGAUUGAUUUAAUUGAUUCCAAGUCUCAAUUUCCUGUUCAACAAACAAGGAACGCACAAAUAAUUUUCAUUUUCAUUCUCAAUUUUGAAAGAAUCAAUCAAUUUAUUUUAUCUUUGGUUAGUACACUUCUGUUCAAUUUUUGUUUAUUUAACUUAAGACAUUAUUUUCAUUCUUAUCUUCAAGCAGAUUAUAGCGUUGCUCCUCUCAUUGAUUAUAUUGAGAACAGUGCUUUCUCUUAAUUCCGCCAAGAACAACGUUGAUUUCAGGUAAUAAUAAUAAUAGGGAUUUGAAGUUUACAUCCUGUUGAAAUGAUUUUAGAGUGUUCUGCUAUUUGAAUGCGCAUUAAUUGUUUGAUUAAAUGUCUCUUUAAAAGAUUAUUUUUGUUUUUAGCAAACAUCUUACUGAGAUGCCUCUCGUAAUAGUAUUACCGUAAUGUAUUUUGCUUCAUUUUGGUCUGUUUAUACACUUUAACCAGGGAAAAUUACAGAACUGCAACAGUUUUCAAAUUGAUUGCAGAUUAGAAGUAAUUUUAAUUUAUGCUGCAACAGUUCAAUGGGCUGGGCACAAGUUUAGGACUUUAGUUGCUCAAUUAAUGAAUCCACCACUCAUCAGACUUGGAACUUAUAUCUAUUGAAUCAAUAAAAAUAGUUGAUGGAAUCAAUGCCGAAAGCUUCAUUUGAUAUUUAUUUAUAACAUCUGUUAGAUUCUGGACAAUCACAAAGAUAUAGCAGCAGAAACUAUGUUGGAGACACUAUAGUUGCUUAAUUAGUGAAAUUGUGCUCUCAUUGCCCCCUUUUUUUGGUUGAUUCUAUAAUUUUAUUAGUUGUUCUUGUGGUUGUAAACAAUAUCAAUUUCUAAUAUUAAUAAAACUGAAUGAAUAAAAUGCGAUGCAUUCGCAGGAAAAUUAAUAGUUUAAAUAUGGAUAAAUCUUGGAUGUUGAUGGAUAGAAGGUCUAUAGAAUAUGAGAACGCGGUAAAUGAGUUUCUCAAGUUUGCAGUACUUCAUGCUAGUAAUCCUGAGCUUUUGAGAUGUCCAUGCCAAGCAUGUCUUAAUUUAUAGGCUCAAACAAUUAAGAGUACAGAAAAUGCAUGAUAGAACACAGAACUCAUAUUUUAGCAACAAUCCUCAGCUCAUUGGCCCUUAGUUCAGAAUGACAAUUCUUAUUAGCCAAAGAUUCAAAAUGAUUUUUAGUUGUUUAUAAGUAGAGCACUAGAUCAACAAAUAAUUGAAGUCGUGCAGCUUGGCUAUGGAACUAUACGAUGGUGGCAAUUCGAAGACUACAACUUGGCUCUGCCAUUCGAAGUAAGCAGCGCAGCUGCCCAAAGUCUGCCAAGCCAUCAAGACUCCAUCAAGUAUACUUCAAAGCCACAUCAAGACAAUACUAAGAUACAACAUCAAUAAUAAUAACACCAAGAAAUACAUGGAGGCCAUUGCAUGCUACAGCCACCCCAAUAAGAAAUUAAUAAAUACAGUCCUAGAAAUUUACAAACCCAUGCAGUAGGAAUAACUAAUUAAUUUAUACAGUUCAGUACUCGUUCCUCUGUUUCAAAUCCAAAUCCACUGGUCUACUAUUCAUUAUGACGCAAUGCAUAUGCCGAUAUUGUCUUCCAUCCUUUAUGUACCUUUCAAUUUAGUGAGGUUUAGACAGGGGUUCCAGAUUUGGUAAAUCAACAAUCACCAGAUAUGAUAGAGAGGCCGGAAGAGAAGCAUGGUUCCUAAUCCUAAUCUUGAUUUAGAGCAGAUUAGGUAACAUGUGGCAUUCUACAUUCCUUCAAUGCCAUUUCUUGUUAUGGCAGCAGCAUUCUUGGUCAUGGCAUCACAAGCAAAUGCUUUGAUUUGAAGACUUGCUUGGCUAUGAAAAAUAAGGAGAGCAAAGGUAAUUAAUCUUGGUGUGAUCAACAGUUUAAUGGGGGUACUAAGAAAAAUAAAGAUAAUAUAAGGAAUGUUGUUGAGGAGUAUUUUCAUAUUUACAAAAGUGUUCAAAGUAAAAAUUGAUUUCUUGAAACCCAUUAGCUAGCGCACAUAAUAAUGGGGAGAAAUUUUUAGACUACGAAUUAGGGGUGGGCAUGGGUUGGUAAAAUCCAACCCAAACCAAACCCUAAAAAUUUGAAUCCAACCCAAACCAACCCAAAUAUUUUUAACCCAACCCAAACCAAACCAUUUGGGUUUGGUUUGAAUUUUAUUAUCAAAAUAAUUUUUAUUUUAAUAAAAUUUAAUUAUAUCAAAAUUAUAAUAAUUAUUAAUUGUUAUUAAUUAUUAAAUUGAUAUUAAAAUAAAUGAAAUAAAUGAUAUUAAAAAUUAACAAUAAUAAGUGAAAUAAAUGCUGAGUAAAAUUUGUGGAGGGUAGCUCCUUAAAAAUGCCACCUAUUAAUGUUAAAUCAUUCAAAUGAGGACACCCAACCGUGUGAUACUUUUGAUACUUUUGGGACCAUCUUCAUCUUUCCUCAAGCAAAUGGCACUCACUAGCAUCUUCAUCCUUAAAUAAGAUAAAUAAAUAAUUUAUAAUGUUGAAUAGUUAUAAAGAUGAGUAAAUUUAAAAAAGGAACAUGAUUCAUACCAAAAUUGUAAGAAUAACAUCAAUCUAAAGUCAUUGCCUCCGUUGUUGCACUUGAUCCAAACUCUACAUUAAAUAAAAAUAAAUUAAUAAAAAAAGACUAGUGAUAAACAAAUAUAUAAUUUUUUUCGCUUGUUAUGAUAAACAGUAGUUACCUGACAUCAUGGCUUCAUAAAACUCAAGCUCCUCCAUCGUUGGUUCAUCUUGUAAUGGGACAAAAGUGUGAAGUAACCAAUUUUGUGAGCAUAUCAAAGCUUCCACCAUCUUUGGACUUAAAGAACUACGAAAUGAAUCAAUGAUGCGUCCUCCAGUACUAAAUGCAGAUUCUGAAGCUACUGUAGAUAUUGGAAUUGCAAACACAUCCUUUGCAAUAUGUGAAAGAACUCGAUAUUUUAUUGAGUUCAUUUUCCACCAUGCCAAAAUCUCAAAGUCAUCGUCAUCAACAUGUUCACAUGGCUCCAACAAGUACCUCUCUACUUCAUUUUUCAUCUCAACACAAUCAUAUUUUCGUAUUCUUUGUUUGAACUUUGCAACACUUGAAAGUUUAGAAAACCCCACCUUUUUAUCAAAUUUCCUACUAUCAACAAUUGACGACUUACCAACAUCACUAGAUGAUCCACAACCACCAAUCUUAGUGUCAAGAUCUUUAUAGUAUUCAUAAAGACGUAUUAAAAGAUUUUUCAUCUUUUCAGACUUCUUCCCAACCUCAUCAAUAACAAAAAUGUCACAUAUUUUAACUUAUAACGUGGAUCAAGAAUAACCGAAAUAAGCAACAAAUUAUUUAACCUAUCAAUUGAACCCCAAUAUUUGUCAUAUUUAUUUUUCAUACUUGUUGCCAUUUUAGAUAAAACAAGAUCAUCACUACUUUCAAUUAAUGAUGUCAAAUCGGAAUGAAUUGAGCACAUUUCAUGAAAAUAUAAGUUUGAAGUCACGUACAUUGAACCACUAAAUUUCAAAAUUAUAUCAUAAAAUGACUUCAAAAACAACACAAAAACAUUAGCAUUUUCCCAAUCAUCACUAUUAGGGGGUCCUCCAUCUUCUUUGAAAUAUGAAACAUAAUGUUGAUCAUCAUCCUCCAUUCUCUCAAAAGCCUUUUGAAAUUUUAAAGCACUCUCCAACACUAAGUAGGUGGAAUUCCACCUAGUGGACACAUCUUGAACCACAAGACCAGCACCUUCAAUUCUUUCAUGCUCCACACAUAUUUUAAAUUUUUUUAGCCUUGCAGGAGAUGACUUUACAUACUUGACAGCAUUACGAAUUCUAGAAAUUGACACAUGUAAGUCUUUCAAUCCUUCAUUCACAAUUAAAUUCAAAAUAUGCGCACAACAUCUCAUAUGUAAAAAAUCACCAUCUAGCACAAGCCCAUUCUCACUCCAAUUCUUCAAUUUCUUUUUGACAUAAUUGAUAGCUAACUCAUUUGAACUAGCAUUAUCAACAGUAAUGGUAAAUACCCUUUCUAUACCCCACUCAAGCAAACAAGAUUCAAUUACCUUUCCAAUUGUCUCCCCCUUAUGGUCAGGUAAUGUGCAAAAAUUUAAAAUUCUUUUCUGCAAUUUCCAUUCACUAUCAAUGAAAUGGGCUGUUAUCACCAUAUAGUAAUAAUUUUGUAUAGACGUCCAUGCAUUUGUGGUUAUACAAACUCUUUGCUUAUUUGAAACAAAAAAGUUCCUUAAUUUUUGCUUUUCUUCCCAAAAACGUUUGUAUACAUCUCUAGCAAGGGUUCUCCUAGACGGUAGAUCAAAGUUUGGCCCCAAUUGCUUACUAUAUUGUUGAAAGCCCUCUUUCUCCACAAAACUAAAGGGUAAUUCAUCAAUAAUAAUUAACCGUGUAAGGGCUUUUCUACAUGCUUCUUUGUCAAACACAUGAGACUUAGAUUCAUCUUUCAUUUCAUGUGAAGUUGUUUGAUUUUCAUCCUCAAAUAUGCUCAAAUAAUCAGGACAACGUAACAAAUGAUUCCUUAAUGUACUAGUCCCAAUUUUAGUCCCAUGUUUAUUCUUACAAGCAUAAUCAUUACCACAAUAAUUACACUUGCAUCUAUUACCUAGAUCGUAUUUAGUGAAAUGAUCCCAUAUUUAUGAUCUCUCUGAUGGCUUUUUCCUCUUGCUUUGAGUAGUUGCAAGCGUGUCCAAGGAACUAGUACCAUGACAACUUGAGUUCUCAUCCAUCUAAAAUUAAAUGAAAAAAAAAAUAAACAACUUUAAGCCAAUUCAACAAAAACUUUUACCAAAUAUAAGGAACAACAACAAUAGUGCCAGUAAGAGCAUCAAGUUUCAAUCCAGCAGGAACAACAAUCUGCAAAUAUUCUACUAGACGAAAAUAUGCCAGAGAAACUAUUAAGUAUCCAACUUUCAUUCCAGCUUUGGAUUCAAAUAUAUUCUUAGUUAUAACCAACAAUCAUCUACAAACGAUAGGAAAAAAAAUUCAUUAAAAAAUAUCUUGAUUUAGGGCCAUCAGAACAGAAUCGAAGCAUUACAGGGCCACACCACAACAACAAAAGAAAAAAAAAAUUGAAGCAGAGCCUGAUUUCAAAUUCAAUUAAACUUUUUUUUUUGGGUCAUCUACAAGCUCCCUCAAAAUUCAAAAACUUUUGGAUUUACCCACUAUCAUAUAUACUUAAUUUAUUAAACAUCUUAUUAUAGAAUAUUUUAUGUUAUUUGUAAUGUAGCAGGGGAGGCUAGCUAUCUGUGGCUAAUCCAAUGUUCAUCUCUCUUCUACUGAAUAAUUUAUUAUUGUAAAAUGAUAGGAGCCCAGCUCUUAUUGCUAUUGCUAGCUAAUAUUGGAUGGAAUAAGUGUCAGGAUGAAGCUGAAACAAGAGUCAAAAUUUCACUAUUAUCUAAAAAUAAGAGCCACCACAACAAUAACAAAAGCAAAAAAAAUUGAAGCAGAGCCUCACCUUAAAUCAUUAGGACGAUAGCAAUCGAAGUGGGGACUUUAGGAGUCGAUGACAAUGAGAGAUCCACCACGUCACUUUUGUCGAUAGGGAUUGUAGAAGAUGGAGAGAGAUUCAGCGGUUUGUUUAUUUUGUUUUCAGCGGUUUGUUUAGUUUUGGAAAUUUUUUCUUAACCCAUAGGUUAACCACACCCAAACCAUUAUAAAAUGGUUUCAUACAUAAAAACCCAAAUUCAACCCAUUUUUUUAAUUUACCCAACCCAAACCAUUUUAUUUGGUUUGAGUUUGGGUAAACCCAUGGGUUGUGGGUUUAUGCCCACCCCUACUACGAAUAGUCCCAUCCAUUUAAUAAUAUUCUUCAAUCAAUUAUGUUUACUUCAAAAAAAAAAACCAUCUCUUUAUUACUUUCUAAUUAUUCAUAUUAAUGUGUUAAUAAUUAUGAAGAACCGGUGUAAUUUAUAUGAUGUAGGAAGCACUUUAGGCAAAAUCAUCAGAAUCUCAAAAUUUCGUGAUAUUGUGCCAAAUAUGCAAAACAAAGCUUCCUACAUUGUUAUAGCAGUUUUUUUAAAGUUGAGGAGUCCAAAUAUCCAAUAACUGAUAAAUUCUGUUAAGAAAUAUAAAUAUUAAUGGUGAUGACACAUACGCAUGGAAUUCCUCUGUUUUGAGUUUGACUUAAAUAACCUGAAUAAUUUCAAACAAUCCAUCAGGACAAAGUCCUUGAGAGAUUGAACUGGAUUUCAGUGCAUCACAUUCUGAAAUUGAAACUAACAUUAAUUAGAAAGGCAGAACAGCCUCUGUUUUUUACUAUAAUACAAAAUGGGAAGUCAAACCAAUUCAAGGAACUCCCCUGUUUUUUUACUGAAACAUACAUAAUCCGAACAAUUUAUAAUUAAAUAAAUCAUUUAAAAUCUCCUUUAAUCGAACCUCCACUUCUAUGGGUUAAUAGAAUAUCAUAAAGGUGCCCAAUACAGCGAAAUUAAUGUUCAGCUCAUGAAGUUGCCAUUAUAUAUAUUGAAAAAGAAAUUAAUACAAGAAACUGAAAAUUAAUUGACAUUGGAUCACGUAAGAUUGUUAGUUGUUAAUUAUGAUGGGAAUAUAUACUUGGUCUAUUAAUUUGUGUCUAUCACUGAAGAGUAGAGUUACAUGACUGAAUAGUAUCAUAUCACAAAAACUCAAAACUCAAUUUCAUUGCGCAAGCAUACCACGCCGUAUGUAGCUCAAAAGUGCAAUAACAUUGAGCAUUCAGCUAGCUAGCUUAUAUUAAUUAAUUAAUACCACUAUUAGUUCUUUAUGAUUAAUUAAAAGAUAAAAUAUUUGACAAUCACGAAACAUUAUUCUAUCACUGAAGAGUAGAGCUUCCUUCCUACAUUGUUACCCAAGCUCUUCUACAUCUCCCAAACAUUAUUAGAGUCCCACAUUUGUGGCACAUCAUUAAGUAAAUUGCUUACGUUGCAAUUUUCAACGAAUUACAAUUCUUCAGAUCUUGAAUUAGCAGGAUUGACGUCCGAUCAACUCCACGUGGCAUGUGUCUGACUAACUGGACAUGGCUUGGAGCAAGGAUCAAUGAACAAGUUUGAGGUUUAUGAAAUAUUGGGAAAAUAGACAAAUAAUAAAGCCACUCCAAGUUAAGCAGAUCAAAUAAACAGAACAGAGGAAAUAACUGAUCAAUUUAAUUCUUUGUGCAAUGGCCACAGCAACAGCGAAAAUAUGCCUACGUGACUUCAUUAAUUAAUCCGACUGGCGUGGAUGUUACUAUCGCCGUGCAGCAUUACAUCAACAUUUGAUCAUCUAUCAAUUUUCAUGAUCUGGGAUUAGAAACAUUGAGUUCAUAAUUUUAUGUAAUUUCAUGUACUAGAUAUAUAUAAUUGAUUUGAGUUAGUUUAAAAUAUAAAGAAAGAGUAAUGGGGAAUGACGUCAAUGUGGCAUUUGAUGAGUAAAGAUAGACAACAAAUAUUGAUCAUGUAAUAAUGAAAUACGUAUUUACUGAAAAAUAUUGGCAAAAAAAUGAUGCUAUAAAAAUUUAAUAUUAGUUGCAAGCGAAUAAAUUGACAAUUAAAAUUAAUAGAUAUAUAUAUGCAAUGCUUCGGGUUUAUUUUAUCGUUUCACACCAUUUUGUAACUACAUGUUACUUAGAAGUUCAAUUAAUUUUGACCAAAGACUAGAGAAUGUCGAAAAGAGAUAUGAUUUUUGUAUACCAAAAAAAAAAUUAGAAAUGAAAUACGUCAAAAUCAAUUACAAGAACAACAAUAAAAGUAUAUUUUAUAAAAGUCACAAAUACAUAAUAAGAGUUUAGUUUUGAAUUACAUAAUUAUUCAUUUAUAUAGUAAGAGAGUCUUAUAGAUAUAUAGGAAUUUUUUUAAAAGAGUUUUGGUAAAGCAAAAAGUUUAGUUUGGUCUAGUUUGUGGAGGUUCAAGUAGUUGAAAGCAGUGCAAGUGAAGGAAACAUAAACUUCUAGUUUUUUACAAAGUAAUGGCUAGAAUAUUUGAAAAGUUUGAGAUUUUAAAAAGGCUGGGAAAAUAGACAAAUAGUGAAGACCCUGCAAGUUGGCAGAGCAAAUAAACAGAGGAAAACAGGCAGAUAAUUUAUAUUAUACAUAUAAGUUUUAUUUUUUCCAGAAACAAAUGUUGCGAUUUUUUUUCCCCUAAAAAAGAAGCACAGUCUGCUAUUACCACUAAAGAAUGUUAGCUACUUUAUAUAAGCACGUGUCUAAUUACCAAAUAAAUUCCACUUUAACAAAGAAUAAAAGUUAAUUUCAUUGAUGGCACGUGUUGUGCUUUCUUUUUUUAUUAUUUUUCCUUUUAGAUGUUGAAGUUACUUUGCAAACUGCUCCAAGCUGAUUACAAAAUUUCCGCUUACUCUAGGAUCUUUUCAAUGGGCUUACAAUUUGUAUUCUUGUCUGUAAGAUUGAUUUUUUUUCUUUAAAAAAAUAAAAAGGGAUGAGAAAUCUUACCAACUAAAUACCAACUUCGAAUUUUGUUAUUAUUCAAACUUUGUAUUUCUUGCUCAUAGCCAGUUAAACUGUGUCUAACUGUCAUGCAGGUUCCAUUUUUAGUUGAUUAACUGUAUAUACAAAAUUAAAUCACCUGAGCCUCUGGUUUCACUAUUUUCCAACUUGAAACUAAAACGCAGAAUUGAUGGGGUAAUUCAUGGGGAAUCAGAUGGCCAUCUAUUUUUAGGUCUAUUUUAUGUACUAUUGGCCGCCAGGUAGCUUGGUCAUAUACGUGUAUUGGGAUGUCAUGGGGCCUAAAAAAUAAAGGUGAAAAUCAGUCACAAAUCUGAAGUGAAAAACAGUAACUAGAACAGAAUCUAUGUUUUGAUGUCUUUAGUUUAUAAGCUCAAACAAUUAAUAGUAUAGAAAAUGCAUGAUAUAGCACAGAACUCAUGUUUUAGCAAUAAUCCUAAGCUCAAUGGCCCUUAGUUCAGAAUGACAAUUCUUAUUAGUCAAAGAAUCAAAAUGAUUUUUAGUUGUUCAUAAGCAGAUCACUAGAUCAACAAAUAAUUGAAGACUGGCUUGGCUAUUGAACCAUACGCGGCAAUUCGAAGACUGAAACUUAACUCUGCCGUUCGAAGUAAGCAACUCAGGUGCCCAAAGGCCGUCAAGCCAUCAAGACAAUAUGAAGAUACAACAUCAAUAAUAAUAACAUCAAGAAAUACAUAGAGGCCAUUACAUAUUACACCUAUCCCAAUUAGAAAUUAGUUAAUACAGUCCUAGCUCCUCUGUUUUAAAAGAAAUUUACAAACCCAUGCAGUAGGAAUAAUUAAUUAAUUUAUACAGUUCGGUACUCAUCCCUCUUCUGUUUCAAAUCCAUAUCCACUGCUCUGCCAUUUAUUACUACGCAAGGUAUAUGGGUUAGCAAGUGCCGACAUUGUCCUCCAUUCUUUGUGUGCCUUUCUUCUAUCAAGGGACAACCCAAGAUCUCUAAUCGCAAGAAAAAUAUUUCAGAGUAAAAAGUGAUUUCUUAAAAUCUAUUAGCUAGUGCACAUAAUAAAAGGGCAUUCAUGGUAAAUUUUAGACUACAAGUAGUCCAACCUUUUAAUAAUAUUCUGCAAUCAAUUCCGUUUGUUUUAAAAUAAAAGAAAUCCAUCUCUUUAUUACUUUCUAAUUAGUCAUAUUAAUGUGUUAAUAAUUAUGAAGAACCAGCGUAAUUUAUAUGAUGUAGGAAACCCUUUAGGCAAAAUAACCUGAAUUUUUUAGAGUAGCGGCUAGACAUAUUGGGCAUAACCUCAGUUUCUGUUACUUCUUUGACCCUGCCUAAGCUCUUUUAAGGGCUAAUAUCAAAAUUUCGUGAUAUUGUGCCUAAAGAGCUUCCAAUUCAAGGAGCUCCCCUGUUUUUGACUGAAACAUAUGUAAUCCGAACAAUUUGUAAUUAGAUAAAUCAUUCAAAAUCUCCCUCAAUCUAACCCACAUUUCUAUGGUUUAAUAACAUAUCACAAAGGUGCCUAAUAUAAUGAAAUUAGCAUUAGUUCACGAGAUUGCCAUUAUAUAUAUUGAAAAAGAAAUUAAUACAAGAAACUGAAAAUUAAUUGACACUGGAUCACGUCGUGUUGUUAGUUUGAUUAUGAUGGGAAUAUAAUCUUGGUCUUUUAAUUAUCAUCUAGCUACCGCAUGUGCACUAGUUUCAUUUGUGUCUAUCACUAAAGAGUAAAGUUGCUUGAUUUGAAUAGUAUCAUAUCAUAGAAACUCAAAACUCAAUUUCGUUGCCCGAGUAUACCAUGCCAUAUGUAGCUCAAAAGUGCAAUAACAUUGAACAGUCAGCUAGCUAGCUUAUACUAAUUAAUUAAUACAACUAUCAGUUAUUUUUUAUUAAUUAAAAGAGAAAAUAUUUGACAAUCGCGAAAACAACAACAAUUCACUCCAAUAAACAACAUAAUAAAUACAUGAUAUAUAUUACAAGUCUUUUUAUGAUGUAGAUUAGAAGGGAAAAUACGAAGGACCUAUUAUAUAUUAUAUAUGAUUGAAUUUAAUCCAUGAUAAUUAGACAAAAUAACACUAAUCUAGCUAACUAAUCCAACCAUCAUAAUAAUUUGAUUUUCAUUAUUUUAUUGUGUCCAAUCAUGCUAAUUUAAUAAAAAAAACACAGAACACUUGAGGAUUUAGAUAUUCAACAACUUUGGCCAAGUUCGAAAAAGAUUAGAGCUUCCUUCAUGCUUUGUGUUCUUAUGUUACACAUGAUCAUAUUAUGUUACAUUUGACAGAAAACUGAAAAUUAUUGAAAAAAAAAAAAAUCUUAGUUAGCACAUGAUCAAAAUGAGAGAAUAAUGCACACACAUCACAACAAUGUUUCAUUCAUUUUGAAUCUAUAUUUACAAAACUUGUAUCCGAUGGUUUACAUUUGUUUAAUCUAACGGCUAUGACAUGUGUACUGUCAAAACGCUACAGCUGCCAUCUCUGUUUGUCCUUGUUGCAUCCUUGAUCUUAUAUUAUCCUGGAGAUUAUUGAAUGUUCUUCUCAUUCUCAUGUGCUCGAGGGUCCUUUCUUGAGACAUUUCAGCAAACACCUGAUUCAUCCUAUUAAACAUCAGCAUCAUUAAUCAGUAAAUGAUGUAAGGUAGCCCUGUUUUGAGAAGUCAACAUAAAUCAGUCACCUUAGAUUUUCUCAGUCUCAGAGCACAACGGGUGAUGAUUUGAUGAGAAAUAUUAAUAUGCAUGCAUCCCCUGAAUUAGCUAGAGCUGGUUGUCAUUUUCUUCUUUCUUUUGGUACGGUUUUAGAUUUUUAAUCAAUCAGAUUCAGCUGCAUGUUUGCUUUUAGUCCAAACCAAAAUAAGAUAUUAAGUACUUUUGCCAGAAUAGACGCAACCAAAAUUCUAUGGGAUCUGUAGUUCCUAGUUCAUGCAGAAGCGGCCGAAUGCUUCCGGCAACUCAGGCAGAUAGAACCCUGGUUGAUUCGUUUUUCUUCAUCUGAAAUUCUACCUAAUGCCUAUCCUCUUAAUUGGUUUAAAUUCUUCUUUUUUUUCUUUGAAUUGUUGAUUUAUAAUGUCUUGUAUGCAAAAUUUAUAAUUUCGGAUGAUGAUAAUCUUGUUUAAGAAGAGAUUUCUAGUUACGGCAGCAGCAUUCUUGAUCAUGGCGCUCUGGUUUGCUUAGUUUCCUUUUUGUCUCUGAUAUUUUCUUGGCAUUCUUGUUCUCUCUUGUAAUAAAGUGCUUUUGAUAAAUUCGCCUGGUCGGUUUACUUCACUGACCAUUAAUGAGCAAAUCCUCCCAGUGACCCUCAAACUCUUCUACACAAUUAUAAUAAUUUCAGUUUUACAUAUACAAAAAUGAACAGCUCUCAAAUAUAUUAUUUGAUAAUGACAAAAACAAUAAUUCACUCCAAUAAAUCUCAUAAUAAAUACAUGAUCUACAUUGCAAGUCUUUUUAGGACGCAUUCAAAGAGAAAACAUAAGGAAUGGCAUUGCAAGAAUAUGGAAUCAGAAUAAAAGGGGAUGGUCGAGUUGGGUUGCUUGCAAAAUUAUUGGUGCGGGGUUCUACUUGUUUUUGUUUCACUUUAUUAAUUAAUUAGCGAAGCACACACGUCAUCAUUUGAAAAAGAAUCACUAGCACCAGCUUAUGAAAAAUAAAUUUGUAAGACAUAUUAAUUUCAAUGAAAAUGUAGCGUGAUUAUGUUAUGAAUUCAUUAACUUACUUCAUAAAUAUUCUUCAUCAUUAUGGUUAAUGGCUUAGCAAAUGCAGGAGCAGGGGUCACCCAAAAGUAAAACACUUUCUCUUGUAUUAACCUUUGCUAGCCGUCGAAGUUAAACAAGUUAAAACAGUUCCAACUCAGAAGUAGUAGUGCCCAAUUGGGUUGUUAUAAAUAUUUCGGAAUUUCAGUCUAAGUUGAUUUGUUUAAUUAUGUAUGCACAAACUAGCUUGACCACUUCUUUCAUAUUGAUACCUAUAAAUUGCAACCUUAUUUUACGUUGAUGCACAAUCUAACUUAACAAAAACAAUAUUCAAAUUGUCACAGAAUGUUUUCUUCUUAAUAUAUAUAUAUAUAUAGUAGUUAAUUUUUCUUAUUCUUCACUCCAGGAUCCAGCUCCAUACCCCUCUUUUUUGUCGUUAUGCUGCUCAGCCGUUAGAUUUUAAUUAUGUUAAUCUAACGGUUGAGAUUUGUAAAUGAAUAAUGAAGUGGUGUUUGGCUACUAUCUGAGCCCAUUGCAUCUAUUUGGUGUUGUGAUUUUUCGCUUGACUGGUUCUGAAAAUAUCGGCAGCCAUCGACAUCAAAUCUGAACAAAGGCAACAGGAGGUGAUCGUGGUGAAAUUGUUUUUUGGCAUGCGAAUCUAACGACUUUCGAAUACGUUCAUUCAAAUAUUAAAUGCAAUUCAGGCAAAUAGAAGCUUGGUUGAUUGAUUGCUCUUCAUGUGAAAUUCUACCUAAUGGCUAUCCUUUUAAUGGUUUAUACUGUCUUAUAUGCAAAUUAAAUUCAGAAUUCGGAUGAUAAUAAUCUUGAUUUAGAACAGAUUAGGUAACAUUUGGCAUUCUACAUUCUUGCAAUGCCAUUUCUUUUUAUGGCAGCACCAUUUUUUAUCAUUGUUUGUGUGGACCUAUUUGCUGAAUUCAAAACUUGGCGUGUUAAAACGGCAUUGUUUUGUCCAUUAAGAUGUUUCAAGUUGUCCCCGGCUGGACAUAUGACUCACUUAAUGAUACCAAAACGGCGAGGCAUGAAGGUGUUUUGGCUAAAGGCUUAAGUUCUGCAUGUGACAAGCACGUGAGAGAAGAAUCAAGUUAGUUAUAAGUUGUUAUACACGUGGGUGGAUCUGGUGCAAUCUGGGGUAAUGAACACCCGUUAUAUAAGCUGAGCUUUCAGACAGUUUCAGCAAGAUGUAAAGAGCUUUCUAGAGAGAAUGAAGAGAGAGAAAAAGUAUCAUGUUAUUCCUUGUUAGUUUCUCCAUGUGAGCUCUGUCAAAUACUUUGAUUCAUAAAUAAAACUCAUUUUAGUCGAUUCUCCCUUGGAUGCAUGUUCUGCCUCAUUGCACGGCCGAACCACGUAAACAGUGCUCGUUUCUGGGUGUGAUUGUUUGUUAAUCUUGCUUAUUUCUUGGCUGAAAUCUUGCUUUAAGUUCUUAAGUCAUCUAUUGAGUUCAUCGAGGUCAUUCAAUUGUUCAUAUGUAGCUAGUUUGAUCUUGUACAGGGUCUUAGGCAGUGUUUUGAUAGCUUGAUUAGCAUUAGCGGCUAUCUUGACAGUACAAUUGGUAUCAGAGCUAGUUCUUCAGAUCAAGAUCCAAGUAUGGCUCCAUCAAAGAUUGAUCUUGAGAAGUUCAAUGGAAAGAAUGACUUUAAUAUGUGGAAGGUUAAGAGGGAAGCAUUGCUGGUAACACAGGGUCUUGGGUAUGCUAUUCAACAAGUAACCAAAAAACAGGAAAGGAGGUAUCUUCGUCAAAGACCCCAGGGCAGGUUGCUGAGAUAGACAAAAGGGCUGGGGGACAAUAAUCUUGAGCCUUGCAGACUCAGUGAUAAGGGAAGUGGCAAAAGAACCACGGUUGUUGACUUAUGGGCUAAGUUGGAGAGUAUGUACAUGAAAAAAUCCCUUGCUAACAGAUUGUACACAUAAAGAAGAGCAUCCCUUGCUAACAGAUUGUACACAUAAAGAAGAGCAUGUUUACAUUAAAGAUGAUUGAAGGCUCAUCUCUUGAUGAUCAUAUUGAUGGGUUCAACAAAGUGUGUGACACUUUGAAAGCAUUGAUGCAGCAUUAAAUGAUGAAGAUAAAGCCUUAUUAUGAAUGAGCUCCCUUCCCAAAGUCCUAUCAGCAUUUUGUUGAUGCCUUGAUGUACACACACACACAUAUAUAUAUCAUAAAUUUUAUUUUAUUUUGUAGUUAAGUCUUUAUGUUUUUUUCAUUUGUGUCUAUCACUAAAAAGCAGAGUACUUGCUUGAUUGAAUAGUGUCAUAUUACAUCACAUAAACUCUCUCAAUUAUUGAAAAAAAAAAAUCUUAAAAGAUCCCUACUUUGUGCUUAAAAAAUCUUUAAAAAAAUCUUUAAAAAUCUUCAAAGUUUUCAAUUAUUGAUAACUGAAAAUUAUUGAAAAAAAAUCUUAAAAGAGAUGUGUUGAAUUGUGAAAUUAAAACUGAGUUUCAGACAUUUCGGACAUGUCGGUUUAUAUCCGUGAUUGUGCAUGCCCUGUCGGUUGCUUGAUGAAACAGGAGAAUAUUGACCUGUGUGUAUUAUCGUUUACUUCCUGCAAUUAAAUCACAUGUUGUUCAUGUGAUUCCAUUUACUCUAUACGGCACAUUUGGCAGUCGUUUUGGUCACUUACUGAAGCACGGGUUAAGUACUUGAUUCAAGGUUGUUAACUGACCUUUACAAGGCGGGAAAAUUCUGGGUUUGUUAUAACAAACCCGGAAUGCAGCUAGUGAGUGGGGGAGUUUUCUAGACUCUUCAUGAUAUGUAUAUAUAGUCUUAGAGGCUAUAGUUGAGACAUAUGAAAAGCUUGUAACUUCUUCUUAAUGUUUGUAGUUUGAUCUCGGUGAUGGAGAUAAGAUUGCUGCCCUGUUCUCCAGGCCGAACCACUUAAAUUGUGCCUCUGUUUUGCUUGAUGACUACCAGUGGUGAGAAAACAGCUACAGAACAAAUCAAGCUUGAUGACUCAAAUAUUAGGGAAGCCAUAGUCAAGGCAUCUGGUUUAUGCAUCAACAGUGGUUCGUGGACUAGAAUUCCUAGCUAUUGCCGCUUCACAAUUGCACUGGAAGAAAGCGAAUUUGAUCGAGCUUUGGAUCGCAUAGCUAAAUUCAAAAGCAUCGUACAAAUAGUUAACUAAAAAACGGUAUUGUCAUUUGUCAUGAUUUAUUUCUAUUGCCUGAUGAUGAUACCCAUCACGCCUUAGUUGUCGUGAAUAAAUCUAAAAUCAACAUUUGUGACGUUAAUAUCCAUUUGUGACGUUUUGAGAUUAUAAUAUAUGACAACACUGAUUAGUGUUGUCUCCCAUGUGAAUUGAGACAAAUUAUUUUCCCAAUUGCGCUUUCAUUUGAACAAUUCCACUGUAGAUUUAUAAAAUAAUGAUCAAAUUGUGUUUUUUAUUAAGUUACGAGUAAUUGGUUAAAUAUUAAUACAAAACUAUUGUGAGAUGAAUGAAUCAAGUUGGUUCUAGAAACGACCGUGUUUUGGAGCUGUAAAGCUUCAUUAAGCUCACGUGCUUCUCAGCUGGUUCUUAACAGAAAACGAACUGAUCGAAACGACAGAGCUCAAGCGCGUUUUGUGUAUCAGUUUAAGUGACCACGUGAGGAAGCAUGUGACAAAGGUUUUCAGAGUUCGUUAAGGUUGUUAAACCACGUGUCAACGAGCGGCUUAUUCUGGAAAUCAAGGAAGCUACCCAAACAGAGUAUAAAGGCUGGUUUUUUGGGGUGAUUCAACAACGAUUUUCAUGAGUCUUGCAGAGAGGGUUUUAUGAGAGAGAAAGUGUGAACUUGUUCUCUGAAAAGUCUGGUGUAAGGUUCUGUAACAAUCUCCAUUACUGUUUCAAUAAAGCUCAUCUUGAGGCUUCUCCCGUGGAUGUAAGCUGAGCAUUCCAUGCUUAGCUGAACCACGUUAAUCUUGGUGUCUGUGGUUCUUUUCUUGGUUCUUGAAUCUUCAGUUUCUUGUUUGUGUUCAUAGCUAUUGUGCUUUGUUGUUCUUGGGUGAAUUAGUCUAAGUAAAUCUUGGGGGUGUGCAACUUGCAUUGACUAAAUCACAAGCAUCCUAGGGCAGUGGCCAGUUUAGCUUUGUUAUAGGCUUGCUGUUUCACUACAACUAUUUUAAGUAACAUGUGGCAUAUUCUAAUUCUAGCCAAGCUUCCAACUAAGAUUCCCAAAUCAAAAGAAUUUCAACCUUCAGAACAUUCUGCAAAACGUUUAGUCUCUACGCAGUGCUAGAAUUUUCCCUAAGUUUCUAUCGCAAAGACUUCUAAAGAACUAUUCAGAUAUCGAGCUAUAAUCCAGUCUAAAGUGUAUAUAUCUCUCUAAUUCACCUCCCUCCAUUUCACCAGAAAAUCGACGAACACUUAGCUUCAAACAAACACUCUCAAAAAGCUAGCUAGCUACCCAGAUGGCAAAACCAAGAAUUCUUGCAAUGACAAUGUUGUUUCUUGUUAUGGCAGCAACAUUGAUGAACAUGGCAUCACAAGCAAACGCUCUGAUGCCGUGCACACAAUCACCUUUCUUUGACAUGAUGUUCCCAAUGACGGAAGAGCCUUUCAGGGUUCUUGAACAAACCCCUUUAACAAUCGCAAAAGGAGCUGAUCAUCAUCAAACUCUAGCCCCAGCGAGAGCAGACUGGAUGGAGACACCAACAGCCCACAUGAUCACGCUCGACAUUCCAGGGAUGAAGAAAGAUAAUAUGAAGAUUGAAGUUGAAGAGAACAGAGUACUGAGAGUGAGUGGGGAGAGGAAGAGUAAUGAUUAUUAUAAGGAGGGAGUUGAAGGAGAGAAAUGGCACAGAGCUGAGAGGACAUUUGGCAAGUUUUGGAGGCAGUUUAGGAUGCAUAUGAGUGCUGACUUGGAUCAUAUUAAGGCUCACAUGGAAAAUGGGAUUCUGAGGGUCACAGUACCAAAGCUUGCUGCGUAGAAGAAGAGGCAGCCUAAGGUUAUUAACAUUGAUGAAGAGUCUGGUAAUUCUUCCAAUGAAGAUAUUAAGGCUACCAAGGCUCAAAUGUAAUUGAUUAAAGAAAGAAGUGAUUGCUUUGCUUGAUGUGCUAUUUGUUUAUGAUCUUUUCUUGGUUUUGUUGUGAGAUGUUUCUAUUUGGAUGCUCUAUUUAAUGUAUUUUGAUGGGUUUUUGAGGAAGGCUUGUAUGUAUUGACAACAAUAAACUGCUUUUUAUAAAUCCUAGUCCUACAACACUAGAAGAAAUUAAUACGCUUGGUUUAUAGUUGAUAAAAAUAUCUUUUUUUUAAAAAAAAAUCUUUUUCUUUGGCAUAUAGUAUGCCUUUUGAGGGGAAAAAUAUUUAUCCCACUCCUAAUUCGUCCUCUUCUGUGAUAUUAAUGUGUUAACACGAAGAUUCAUUGUAAUUGCAACAAUUUUGACGAAUCCAAAAGUUCAAUAACUGUUAAAUUGUAUUUAUAAAUACUAAUAGCGAAGGUACAGAAACGAUUAAUUCAAGAAGUUGCUUAAAGUGCAUUAAAUUAGGGAGUAUAAAUAAUUGUGUGAUACAGUCCAGCCUUCAUCUGCUUAUAAUUAGCAACCAAAAACCACUUUGCAACGCCAUUAAAAAAACAUUUUAACAUUAUUGCUGAGGGAAGAGUCAGCUUAGGCUUAUUAACUCGUAUUAUUAAUGCUGAUGACGCAGCUGGUAAUCCUUUUGGUGAAUAUAUUAAGGCAGCUGAAGCUUAAAAUUAAUUAAGCCCACUAAAGCUUAAAAGUAAUUCUUCUAGUGACGAUGCUUUGCUUAGUUCGCUUUUUGUUUUUAAAUUUUUUUGGGGCCAACGUUUUGCUUAUUUUGCUUUUUAAAUUCUAUUCACUUUCUCCUUCAAUUUUCUGUUUUUGUUGUUAUCGAAUUUGAUGAUGGUUUAUAUGUACGAAGAUUAUGUAAUAAAAUGCUAUAUAUUAUGUAAUAAAGUGCUUUUGUAACUAUAUAUAUAUAUAUAUAGAUAUUUCAACAACUGAGGAAGAGAUGGCCAUUAUACAUUACACAUUUGCACUCAAUAAGAAAUCAAUUCAUUAAUAUAGCCAAUAACAAGCCUGGUUUAUUGUUAAUGAAAAUUAAAAAAGAAAAAAAAAGUCUUUUUCUUUGGCCUUUAUUAUGCAUUUUAAGAGGAAAAAAAUUUAUCCCACUCCAAUUCAUGAAGAUAUUCUCUUUUUUGUCAUAUUGAUGUGUUAAUAUGAAGAUCCAUUGCAGUUGGUGAAUUCAAAUAUUCAGUAACUGAUGAAAUUGUAUUUAUAAAUUCAUACUAAUAGCAAUUGAAGAUUAUAAUUAAUUUUGUAAUAUGGUCUAGCCCUCGUGUGUUUAAUUAGCACUCAAAAACCACUUUACAAUAGGCAUUAAAAGAACAUUAUAACGUCAUUGCUGAUGAGUUCUGGUGAAGAUAUUAAGUUAAGGCCACAAAAAUCGAAAUGUACGUAGCUUCGUUUGUUUUUUGUUUUUGAUUUUUUUUGGGGCAAAUGCUUGGCUUCGUUUGCUUUUUCGUUUUUGAUAUUUUCUUGGCUUUAUUGUGUGGCAUGUUCUUGUUUUCUUUUGAUUUUCUGUUUUGGGUGUUAUAGAAUUUGAUGACGAUGUACAAACACUAAUUAAUUACUAAUAAGAACAUUAACAAUUUUUGUCGAAGUUUGAUCAAGAGAAAUAUUACACAUAUAUAACCGUACAGCUAAAUAAAAGAAAAUGAAGUUUAUUUCUAACGGCUAAGCAUGAGAUACGCAUAAGAAAUUAAUCCAUUAAUUAAUUAAUUAAUAUACAUGUCCCCCGCUGCUAAAAUAAUGCGAGCCCCUUACUCUACUUAACAUUUUUCUUUUUAUUAAUUUAUCAACUGAGAUUUGAAUUUUAAAAUUACAUACACAAACACGCUUGAUUUAAAAGAAAAAAAUUCUAAUAAUAAAAUAUUUUACAUAUGUAACCAUACGGCGGAAGAACAAAUAUAAGAAACUUACAGCUGAGAAUGAGAUAGGCAUAAGAAAUUAAUUAAUAGAGUCCUCCUCCUUUGCUAAAUAAUGCGAGCCCAUUGUUCUUUUUAUUUCGAAAACCCAUUAAUCACCAACACAUAAUACACGCCCAAUUUAAAAAAAAAAAAAAACUACUAAUAAAAUAUUUCAGUCUUCUGUUGAGUCGUCAUCAAAAACCCAUUUACGAUCUAUUACAACAUAAGGUAUAUGGGUUAACAAGUCCCAAUAUUGUCCUCCAUCCUUUCUGCACUUCUCUGCUAUCAACGGACAUCCCCCGAUGUAUAAUUGCAAAAGUGAGGAAGGCAGGCCCUUCUCCGGAAAGUAUUUGAGCUUGGGACAAUCCUCGAGAUACAAUUCAGUGAGGUUUUGAAGAUCAACAAUUGAAGAAGAUAGGCGUUCCAGAUUUGGAAAACUGAAAAUCAACAGAGAUGUUAGAGAGGCAGGAAGAGGAAGCGCGGUCCCCAAUCUUAUGUCAUCUGCCUUUGGUGGGAAUGACACCAUGUCGUCAUCGCAUCCGCUGAUUCUAAGUUGUCGCAGAGAGGAGAAUCUGUGGAAUCCCCGACCCCACUCAAUCGUUGACUUCCAAAUCUCCAUAUUACCCGCAAUCCACAGUGAAUGAAGGUUGGUGGGAAGGCCAUCUUCUUCAAGGCUUGGAAGCUCAACUCCUCUUCCUAUUGUUAAUUCUUGAAGAGAGGUCAGAUUGUGCAAUCCCUUGGGUAAGGCCUCCAGUCUCUCACACCCAUGGAUCCUGAGCUUACUCAGUUUCGCACAAGGCAAUCCCCCUUCGGGAAAGGACUCCAGAUUUCCACACCUUCCAAUACUAAUCUCUUGAAGCUGGUGGAGAUUAUGUAAACCACUCGGUAAAUUUUUCAGAUUUCCACAAUAACAAAUGUCGAUUGUUUCAAGAGAUGUGUUGUUGUCCAACCUUUCUGCUAUUGACUCCAGCUUUGAACAACUAAGAACAUGAAGGGACUUAAGAGACGGAGGUAGAUUGCCAACUUCAAGGGACUCAAGCGUGGCAGGUAACUCGUUUUUUGAAAAUAUACAUGUCAGAGAUCGACAACUCUCAAUUUCCAACUUCUCGAGAAGAGAUGAGGUGUACCUUCUGCUGCUGCUGCUCCUCUGGAUGCCCUCUUCCACUGUCAAAGUCCUUAUAUUAUCACAAUCGCUGAUGCUCAGCUGCUUGAGGCUCGGUGGCAGCUGGACAGCAGCAAUAUAUGUCAACGAAUGGCAGUACAAAAUACUCAAGAUCUCGAGAGAUGAAUUGGUGUCGCACAUCCAUGCCUCUGGUAACGAUUUCAGUGCAUCACAACUGCAAAUCUCAAUUUUCCUCAACUUGGAAGGCAGAGCAACCUCAGGAAAGGAAACAAGGGACCAGCAGCCGUAGAUUUCUAUCUCUCUCAAGGAACUGAGGCUGAGCGAUGAUUGUGGCAGCUUUACAAGGCCUUGGCAGCCGCUCAAUCUUAGAUAUUCAAGUCUGCAUGACAACUCGCAGAGCUGCUGUUGUUGGUCUUUCUCUUCCUCCGCCACCAAGGAUUGAAGUUUGGGACAGCUUGCAAUCGUCAGUCUUUUAAGAGAGCAACUGUCUUGUAGUAAUCCGUUAUGACUCUUCCAGAUAUAUGUAUGCUCUUUCAUAUCAUUUAUCUCCAAUUCUUCCAAUUUUGGCAGUUGCGGCUUUAAUGGCCCUGCGAGAAACACUUGAUUUGAUGCAUCUCUACAAACCACUGAAUUUUGAGAUCCGAGAUGACCAGUUGCACUUUCCCACACAACCUUUUUACAUCCGCCAAUCUGUAAUUUGCAAAGAGCUGGAAGACUCGAAACUGAAACUGACAAUUCUUCACAUCCUUCAAUAACAAGCAUCUCCAAUGCAGGAAGGUGCUCUGGAAAUGGUCCUUUCAAUUUAGAACAUCUUAAAAUGUGAAGCUCUCUCAAUUUAGGAAACCCUUCAACAACUCUUUGACUGGAUCCAUGGGAAAUCCAGUCUUCCCAUUCUCGCAUGUUUUCAAAAAUAAGAGUCUCCAAGCAUGGAAAAGGAAUUGGAGGAUCAUUCCCAUAGAACUCUGAACCCAACCUCUUUACUCUGCUCAUUCCACAUACUGCAAGAUGCUUUAGAGAGGGUAGUUGCCCGACUGACGGCAGGGCAGUACACAUGUCACAAUUUUCAAAUUUUAGGGUCACCAAAUUUGGCAAUGAGGAAUCUCCUAACCAAGCUGGAAAUUUUGUACCUCCAUAGCCACUGAUACAAAAUUGUUCCAAAAUUUCAUGAGGUUUUAGCAUGUCAAGCACAUCGUUUUCAGUUUUUGCCUCCCUUGAAGAUGAGCCAUCGGUAUUGAGUGCCCAUCGAAGCAAUAAUUCUCUAAGAUUCUUCUUUCCAUCCAAUUGAGCCUCCUUUGCAUCACCAACACAUUUUACAUUCUCCAAUUUUGAAAUGUUAAGUGUCCCAUGAAGGUGCGUCAACAACUUUAGCUCUCGUAACCCGGAACCACUGCCUUUUCCCACAACAAAAUUACACAACGUCUGAAGACAAGUCAACCUACCAAUUCCUACUGGCAUUUUCUCUAAAGAAUCUGUAUUUGAAUUCUUAAGAUGAUGCAAUUUGAGGAGAUUUCCCAUGUCUGCACACAACUUCUUCAGUUUCCGACAGUCCUCCAACAGAAGGGUGUGCAAAUUAUAAAGCUUAUUGACUGAUUCAGGCAGAGCUCUAAUCUGAGUUCCAGAUAGGUUAAGGUACCUUAAAUACCUCAAAUCACCAAUUGAAUCCGGCAGCUCAGGGAUGUGGUAUCCACGCAGAGAGAAGGCCCUCAAGCGUUGGAGUUUGAACAACUUAGGAAGAAUGCUAUAAGCCAAGUGUCCACGCGAACUAUUUGACAACGUUACUGGUAAAAAAGUUCGCAAAUGUUGGAUAUCGUACAAGUCCACAAACCUUUUAACGCCAUCACAAUAUUCAGGAAUGUAUGAUAGAUGACGAAGAUUUUCGGAAAAACUUUGCUGCUUGUUAACCUCUGAGGUAUACUCCAUUGUGAAGUAUAUCUCCCCCGCAGCCCAACGGGCAAGGUCAUUGAUAAGAUCGUGCAUCACAAAUCGUGAUAUACUGUUGCUUGAUUGCUGGAAAAAAGAUCUUGCACGUAGCUCUCGAAAGAACUUUCGACCUAGAUCUUCACUAGGAUUCCCGCUCUCUCCGUGAUCCAAGAGACCCACAGCACACCAUAAUAAAAUUAUCUCCUCCUCUUCAAAUUCAUAAUCCUUUGGAAACAAUGAGCAGUAUGCAAAGCAUUGUUUCAAAGGUGCCGAAAGAUAAUAGUAGCUCACUCUAAGCGCAGGUAUAAUGUCACAUCUCUCUUCUGGUAAAUCCCAUAUCUUGCAACUGAGCACAUCUUCCCAAUCACUUCGGUCACGUUUACCACGUAAGAGUCCACCAAGAGUUUUCGCAGCUAAGGGUAAGCCGUUGCAUUUGAUCACUAUAUUCUUGCCAAUGUCCUCCAAUGACUUAUGUGAACUGAAAUCUGUUGUCCCCAAAGAGUGCUGAGCGAACACAGACAGACAGUCCUCAGUUGACAAGCUUUUGAGUUCAUAAGCUUGAUCCAGGCUCAUGAUUUUGGCAACCUCUUCAUUGCGAGUGGUGACAACAAUCUUACUUCCCUGUGCGCCAGCUUGAAAUGGAAGGCUGAGGUGAACCCAGUCAUUGUAAUUCUCAUUCCAAACGUCAUCUAAAACAAGCAAAAAUUUCUUUCCAAAUAGUUGUUUCUUUAGCUCCUCUUGAAGCUUAUUCAAGUCGUGAUUAUCCACAUUCUGGUCACUAGCAAUUGAAAGUAGGAUUGAUUUUGUAAGCCUGCUAACAUCAAAAUCAUCGGAGACGCAAGUCCAUGCCUUGAGAUUAAAAUGAUCCUCCACCUGCUUAUCAUUGUAGACAAGCUGAGCAAGAGUGGUUUUACCCAGCCCGCCCAUACCUAUAAUAGGAAUAACAGAGAAUCCACCAUCAUUUCUUGAAUCAUCCUUCAACAACAAUUCAACAAUUUCCUUCUUUUCUGUUUUCCUGCCAUAUACUUUGGCUUCCUCCACCAAAGAGGUUGUCUCUUGCCUUCGCCUGGCUUUUUUGGAUCCCCCAGCUGAACUUUUUAUCAAAUUCAGCGAGCGUAUUCCUUCUUCAAUAUCUUGAAAUCUGUCGCUGAUCCCUUUGAUUUUGGACAUCAUGGCGUAAUCGAACUGAAUCGAUUGUGGAGUAAAAGUGGGGCAGCAAGUAGGAAUGAGCUUCCGAAACUUACUUUUCGUGCUUGUACGACUGCUGCUGGGUUGAUCAUGAGCAGCAGCUGGUUCUCCAUUUCCAAGCAGCAACUGCCUCCGGAAAGCCUCAGUUUGGAACUCAUCCAACAAGUCUUCAACAUCAUAAGCCAAGUUCUGAAGCUCGCCAAGCCACUUCUUCACAGACCGAUUAGUCGUCUUCUUCUCCUCAGCAUCAUCAAUCAUUAUUUGUAAUUAAAGAAUGAGGUCCAAUCAAUUUAUUGGAGAAAAAUUAAUUUUAAUUCUUAGGAUUUGAUUUCACUCUCUUUUACUUUUUGACGUUGCUAAAGAGACAGUAAAAAACUUACUAAAUGUCAUCAAAUGCUUGUAUAUCAUCUCACACUUUAGCCACAAAUGCUUGAUAUUUUUUUUUUCUUUUUUCCCGUACAGAAAGAAACAGAAUUUUGAGUUCUAAAGCAAAAUGAGAAAAUUGAGCAAAAUGCAUGUAGCAAGUCUUCCGCAUGUUUAUUCCAGUAAAGUGAAAAUAGAUAAUUGAAAAAUGAUAAACGAACGAAAGCGCACGAAGGGACGACAGAAAACGCGUUUCCUCAUCCAAUUUUGUUCUUGUGGACCGAAAAUAAAUAAUAAAAUAUUUUUUUUGGGAACCGAUAACAAAUAGUAAAAUAAAGAAUAAAAAAAAUGGUGUGAACGAACGAAAGCACAACGAAGGAGGAACGACAGAAAACGCGUUCCCUCAUCAAAAUUUUCUUUUAUGGGACCGAUAAUAAAUAAUAAAAUAUUUUUUUGUGGACCGAUUAUAAACAGUAAAAUAAAAAAUGAAAAAAAGGAUAGUGACGACGAACGAAGGCGCGAGGAAGGGACGACAGAAAACGCGUUCCCUCAUUCAAUUUUUCUUUUGUGGGACCGAUAAAAAAUAAUAAAAUAUUCUUUUAUGGGACCGACUAAAAAUAGUAAAAUAAAGAAUAAAAAAAUGAAAAAAAGGAUGUGUGCAAUUUUUCUUUUAAUAAUUUGGCAAUUUUUCGUUGCCAGAUUCAAUGAAUGUAAAAUCGCACCUCGAUUCAAAAUAAAUUUUAGCUGAACAUAAAUUCGCCUCAUUUAUUAAAUAUAUAUACUUAAUAUAAUAACAACGAUAUAGACCCAACUGAAAUAACUCAACGGAGAAAUUGAAACUUACUUUUUUAGUUAUGGCUCAUAUAUAAUACAAGUAUCAAGAUUUAAGUAGAGUUCACAUAUACACAUGCGGCUAGUUUUAACCGAGAGAUAAAUUAAUCAUUAAUACUCAGGUGUUUCUAAAUGAUUGAAUAAUGAUAUUAUACGAACCUUCCCUUUACAAGUCUUCACACUCAUAAACCAAGUUAAAAUAAAAUAAAAUAAAAAACGUUUCUCUCUCUCUCUCUCUCCUUUUGCCAUAUGAUUACUUUAUUUAUUGAAUUAAUUUCCAUGCUAUAAAGAAGACUUAAAAGUACACUAUAAUUUUUUAUAAUCACAACGGUAAUUUCUAUCAUCAUAGUAUAUUAUUGUCGUGUCAAAAUAAAUUAUAACAAAAUUUUAGAUGAACCUAAGUUCGACUCGUUUAUUAAAUAUAUAUACUUAGUAAAAAUAAUAAGACGAUUAAUAUGUUAUCAGGUAUAGGAUCAUUUGGCCACUUGGGCUUGUAGCCCAAUGGUGAACCAUUGUCCUUAAAGUUAAGCAUGACUAUGAGGACAAUGGUUCGAGUCCCCACGGACUCAACCUUCCUCAAUUAAACAUAAUUGUGUGGAGACUUCUUAUAACGUCUUUCUCCCUUGCGAAAUGCGAGUGGAGUAGAGACAUCCCUCCUCUAUGAGGGGUAUUUGGAUGGGCAUGUACUUUAUAGAAUAAAAAUAUAAUAAUAUAAAUCCCAUGUGAGUGGAGUAGAGACAUCCCUCCUCUAUGAGGGGUAUUUGGAUGGACAUGUACUUUAUAGAAUAAAAAUGUAAUAAUAUAAAUCUCAUGUAUAUAUAUCUGAUUGUAAAUAUCAGUAUAAUGACCUGCUAUCAUAACAGUUGUAUAUAUCUCUGUGUAAUUUUAAGUUUAAAAAAAAAAAAAAAAGGUAUAGGAUCAUUUGGGCAAUCCGAAGAGUAUUCCAGAAACCGAACGUGAGAGGCAGAUCUUUUGAUCCAACCAUGGCUUUUAUUGCCCCGUACAAAACUCUACUAUUAAUGUUUUUGUGAACAUUGAAGCAUAUGGACCAUUGACUAAGACAGCGGGACCCCUGAAAAUAGACCGUGGAGAAACGAUAGCAACUUUUAUCGAGAUGUGAACGUACUCACACUCACUACUGGAUCCCUGCCGGCCUUUUAUCUCACCCACCUUCAGACAUUGCCGCUCAAAUCACGAAGGAAAGGCAGUGGAAAGGGUAUGAUUGCUAUCAUUGUCCUACGUCCAUUGGAAAGUUAUAUUUUAAAAAUCACCAACAAGGUAUUUUAGGUCCCCCGUGAAUUAUGUCGUUUUUGUCACCCAUAUUUGCACCGACACUCGGUGGGGUGGUGCGAGGGACUAUUAAGAAUAAAAAUAUGGAGACACCAAUUAGGGAUUAUUAUUAUUAUUAUUAUUAUUAUUAUUAUUAUUAUUAUCAUUGCUUAAAAUCUCUUAAAAAAAUAUAUGUUAACAUUGGGAAGGAUAUAUAAUCUCUUUUUUAUUAGUAAAAUCUGUUUAUUUUAGUAGUAACUUAAUCUUUAAUUUACAUUUACUAUCAUGUCCCUAUAAUAAAUAAAUUAAUAUAUUUAACUUAAGAGAGUGAGCCUUCCAAUUUUACUUCCCAUUUGUCCAAUUGGCUUUCAUUCAUUUACAACCAUGUUUAACAUCUCAUUUUUCCUAAUUGGCAUUGGAAGAAAAUAAAUUUGAUUUUAUUUUUAUCUAUUAUUCAUCAUUUUUUAUCAUUGGUAAGGAUAUAUUCAUAAUUUAAAGUGAAUAAUUUGGACAAAAGAUAAUUAUAUCUUAAUUUUAAGUUGUAAAUAAAAAGUUGUUAGUUUUAUUAUACAUGUCAUCGAUGACAUGUCUUAAAUCAAUAUAUUUAUUUAUUUAUUAUAGGAAUAUAAUAAUAAUUAUAAAUUAUAAAUAAAUUUAUUAUUAAAACAAAUGGAAUUUAUUAACAAAAAUAGGAAUUAUAUAUCUUUUUUAAAAUAUUAAAACAUUAUUUUUUUUUUAGGGUAUCACUGUCCAUUUCCCAUUAAGCAAAAGAAAAAUCAGAGCCCACUAUAAAUAUAAAAUCAAUGGAGCUCAUGAUGAUGCAUUUGCUUUACAUACUAAAUUAAAUAAAAGCCGAACCAAGAAUCUUUGCCUUAGCUUAACAUGAUUAAUUAGGCACUACUUCAUAGAAAACGCAAAAGCAAUGAACCCUUUUUUUAAUCUUAAAUGUCAUGAAUAUAAUUCUUCUGCGUUAAUUAAUCAUUCUUCUCUGACCGUCUCUUCAGGUUCAUUUCAAAAGUUUGAAGAGAGUUUAUCAAUUCUUCUACUUAUAAAAGUAAGUUAAAUUAAAAGAUUUUAAUCUCUCUUCUUAUUACUAUAAGUGCGCUGUGCACGACAUUUUUUUACAAUAAACAAUGCCAAUUUGUAAUGUAAUGUUAUAUUCAUAUUCCCAUCGCGUCGAAAUUUUAAAUAAUGCAAAAUCGACUCGUUUGUUAAAAGGUAUAUAUUUAAUAAACUAAUAACAUAAUUAACAUAACGUAAAUAUUACACUAAUUAAAAUAAAAGACAGUAUCCGCCAACAAUAAUUAAAUUAGCAAGCUUCGCAUGCUCAUGUUUCAAUAAUUAAAUUAGCAAGCUUCGCAUGCUCAUGUUUCAAGAACUUAACAUUGGUGAAUUAACACCAAGGAUCAAUGAAAGAAUUACAAAAUAACAAAAUGGAUACUAUGCAUUUUUUCUUUCAACAGAAAAUGGGACUAAUUUUCAAAUAUUUUCAAAUUCACUUAUUUACAAAAGCAGUACAGAAUGAUUUCCUUUUAUUUUGAAACAUUGUAUGAACACGAAUAACAAUGAUACAAAGAGAAAAGUGGUAAUUCUCUGAUUUUUUUUCUUUUUUCCCUCUUUUUUGAAAGGAGACGUUGGGGUUUGGCUGUUUGCAAAAUUAUUGGUGUGGGGUUCUAUUUGCUUUUGUUUUCACUUUAUUAAUUAACUAGCGAAGCAAACAUGUAAUCAUUUGUAAAGGAGUCACUAGCAUCGGAUUAUGUUAGAUGAAUUUGUAAGACUUAUUAAUUUCAAUGAAAAUGUAGUGUUAUUAAGUUAUUAAUUCACUAAGUUAACUUGAGGUUCUAAUAUUUACUAAUUGUAGUGAUUAAUUUAUUUAACUUGUCAUAAUUUUCAUUUGAGAAUGAAAUUCAAUCAAUGUAUGAAAAAAGAAAAAGAAAAAAGAUAAUUUUUAAAAAUUUUUAAUUUCUAUGAUUUGAUUUCACUUUUUUCUGAAUAUUGACGCUGUAAAAGCUUUCCGAAUGUCAUCAAAUGCUUGUAUCCCAUCUCACAAAUUAGCAAAUAUCGUUUGGUUUCUUUAUACGUGGCCAUCACAAACUAAAAGUAACAACAUCCACCAUAUAUGGAAAAUUAAUUUUGAGAAUACUUUUUACUUUUAAAAGAAAAAUGCGAGUACAAUUUAAUAAGAGAGAACAAGAAUUCAUCAUGUUCCAAGUAACUGAAAAUAAGAUUAUAUAAACUUGAAUGCAGACAUAUCAUAUGUUAAUCUUAAUUUUUUUUGUUGCUGAAAAUUAAUUAAUUAGUUCCACUAUUCCUUUUUUAAUUGUAUGGUGAGAAACACAUUGACCACUUCUGAAUCAUGUUGCAUAUUUGUUAACUCAAAGAAACAGUAUAUUUUUGUAUCAAUCAAACUCACUUUGUUAAUAUUCUUCAUCAUUAUGGUUAAUGGCUUAGCAAAUGUAGGAGGAGUCAACCAAAAUGAAUCACUUUCUCUUGUAUUAACCUUUUAUUAAUUGUUGAAGUUAAAAAAAAUGUUAAAACAAAUUAAAAUAGUUCCAACUCAAAAUCAGUAGGGUGUAAGUAGGUUGUUAUAAAUAUUUUUAAAUUUUAGUCUUUUUUUUUAUUACAUGAGACUAUUGUUUAAACUACAACUCAUAUUACAUGAGACUAUAACUGAUAUUUACAAAUCAGACUAUUAUUGAGACAAACUUUAGCCUAAUUUAAUUGUGUGAUGCACAAACUUUCUCACUUCUUUUAUAUAAAUAAAGGGUAGAACUAUUUGAACUCAUUAAAUCACUUUUUAAAUCCCUCUACUUAUUAAGAUCAUCAUAAAAAUUCAAAAAUCCUUUUUAUACUCACUGCAUCUCUUAAAAAUAUCGCAAAUAUGACACAUUUGUCUUCACCUUCUAUUUAUCUUCAACAUUAACAAUUUUUAUUUGAAUCUGUAAUAUUUUUAACACUGUUCAUUCACUCAUUAGAGUUCCAAUAAUAGAAUAUAGAGAUUAAAAAUAUCAUUAGCAAAUUAUUUGUUUGUGUUCUAUAUGAUAUUCUUGGUUUGGAAAAAGCUUUAUCGGCAAUAUAUGUAAAUAAAAGACUAAGAACUUCCAAUAAUUCAGAUUUGAUCGAAACUUCACAAACUUAUUUUCACUUAAAAAAAUAAAAUAAAGUAAAAGAAAUUCUUGUGUUUUAAAAGAGAAACUGCCAGACAUGUUUCUAAGACAACUAGAAACCAAACUAGGCUUGAAGUAGUGAGUUUUGAAUUAUAAAAAAUACAUAAGUGUAAUUUCACCUAAAUCAAAUGAUGAAUUUCGUGACAACGGAUUUAGACUAUAGACCAAUACACAAAGAAUUGGAUGUUCAUCGCAUUUGUUCUUGAAAUUGUUUUGCGCAAAAAGGUUAACUAUUGUAUUAUAUUGUAUUGCAUUAUUUUAAUACAUGUGUAUUGUAUUAUGCUGUAUUGCAUUAACACUGUAUUAUAUUAAUACUAUACAACGUUUGGUUCUCCAUUGUACUCUAUUAAUUUUUAAUUAUACAUACAUUAUAUUAUGCUAUACUAUAUUAUUUUUUUGGUGGUUAAUUUCAAUUAUAUGUUUGGAAAUAAUAUUUAUUAGUACUUAGCAAAAUAUAAAAUAUAGAACCUUAACUUUUAGAAUAUUUACAUCAUUUUUUUUAGUAUAAAUGUAAAUAAUUAUAAUAAUUCUUCAUAGAACUUAUGUAAAAAUAACAAAUUCUGAAUUUUUGAUAUCGUAACAUUUUUUUUUAACGGCGUUUUUCAAAUGUAUACCUUAUUGAUGAUGCACCAUAAAAAUAAAUAUCAAAAUUUGCGAUCAUGAUCAAGUCGAGUUUUACAUGAUGAAAGCAUGACACAAAAAUUGAAAAAAAAUAAUAGCCGGCAAAAAGUUAUACAAGCAACAACAAAAGUGCUAAUUACUCGGAAAAUAAACAAUCAAGAGCCGCUGAUAGAUAUGAAUCAUAUGACAAGGUAGAGGAAUACAGAUAUCUGCAUACAUUUUUAACAAAGAUCAUCUUUGUAACCAAUUGUUGGCUUUGGCAUUAAAAGAUCAUCUUUGUAACCAACUGGGUAGCUAUAAAAUGAAUACUAAGUCAAUCAAAGGGGAAAGCUUGCUACAAGACUUUGAAGCAUUAUUCUGUUGCAUCACCUUCCUCCUCUGCCUCGCUUCCUGCAUCCCAAAUUAAAGAACAACAAAUAUUAAAUAACAAAAACAAAAUCUUCAAUAGACUUUUCAUACUCCAUAGAGCAAAUCUAUGGGAAUCCACAAAAUAAUUGAAAUACAUCAAUCCUGCAGGUCAUAGUAACAAAUUACAGAUACACAAUCAUGCAUAUGCAACUAAAAAAUGCUUAUGUAUUACAGCCGCUUUUUGGCAUCACUACUUCAUAAGUUAUAUAUGAUAAGAUAACAUUAUUAUUCUAAUCACAUGGUUAUGAUUUUAGUUGGACAUACAAAAGCUACGUGCAUGAAUCUGUAUGAUGCCACCUUUCAUGAGUCCAAAAUUUAAAUCAAAUCAAUUUGGUUGAGCCUUGAAAUUCCUAUUCCAGUCAAAGGAGAUGAUUUUUCCAAAGGUAAAGAAUGAGUCCGAUUACUUAAGCAUAUCAACCUUUUUUCUAGGCUAAAGUUUAUCCCUUUCCAUUUCACUAACUCUCCUCGCAAUACCUUGCGUCAACAUUUGCAUACUUGAUAUACUUUCACAACGGCUAAAAACUCAUUUAGUCUAUGUAUUUUAAGAUUAGUAUCUAUUUAAUCCCUAUAUUUUUAAAAAUACCUCGAAACAUCUCUAUCAUUAAAGUAUUAAUACCCCUACCGUUACUUUUUAUUUUUUUUCGCUUACUUUUACAAUAUUACCCUUUUAUUCUUAAUAAAUCCACUCAUUAAAUUAAACUCAUAUAGAAAGGUUGUAAAAAGAUCCCAAACUAAUUAAAAUUUUUAAAAAUUACCCUACAUCAAAUUAUUUUUUUUGUACCAUAAAACAAAACGAUAGUCGCAAACUUAUUUUGUACUAGGAGUAAUGAUUAUGUACAAAAAUGGGCACAGAAAGGUCUUUGGCUCUACAGUCUACUCGGUGAUUCGUGAAAUGCUUUCAAAGAGGGGGCAAAAAGAAAAAAGAAAAAAGAAAAAAGAAAAUAGAAUAUAUUCUAAUUUUUUAAUUAAAAAAAAAAAACCCUACUAUGUACUUUUAUAAUAACUCCCUCGAGUGCAAUGUCUCAAAGGUUGUCUUCUUCGUCCCGCUGACAACCCAAAAGGCAGAAACGCAAUGUCGUCGAAUUCGAUGGAGUCAUUGAUUCUCCAACUCCACGAGAUCUCGGCGGUUAAAUUCGGAAACUUUAAGCUAAAAUCCGGCAUAUCGUCUCCCGUUUACAUCGACCUCCGACUUGUCGUUUCUUACCCUUCCCUCCUCCGCCAAAUAUCCAAAACCAUCAUCUCCUCCCUCCCCUCCACAACCAAAUACGACCUCGUGUGCGGCGUUCCGUACACCGCCCUCCCAAUCGCCACCUGCGUCUCCGUCUCCAACGACGUCCCCAUGCUCAUGCGGCGCAAGGAAAUCAAAGACUACGGCACCGCCAAGGCCAUCGAAGGCAAUUUCAAGAAGGACGAAAUCUGUCUAAUCAUCGAAGAUUUAGUCACCAGCGGCGCGUCGGUCCUCGAAACGGCGGUGCCAUUGAGAGCGGCGGGGCUGGUGGUGACGGACGCCGUCGUAUUGAUCGACAGAGAGCAGGGAGGGAGGGAGAAUCUGAAGGAGAACGGAAUUGAGUUGCAUGCGAUGAUAAAGCUGAGCGAAAUGGUUAGGGUUUUGAGGGAGAAAGGGAAGCUUGAUGAGGAAACGGAGAGAGUGGUGAUGAAGUUUUUGGAGGAGAACAAGAAAGUGGCGGCUUCGAAUUUAGGUGGGGUUAGGGUUAGCGUUAAGGGUUUGAAGUACGAAGAGAGGGCGAAUUUGAUGAAGAAUGAGACUGGGAGAAAAUUGUUUCAAGUGAUGGUGAAGAAGGAGAGUAAUUUGUGUUUGGCUGCUGAUGUUGCCACUGCUGCUGAGUUGCUUCAAAUUGCCGAGAAGGUUUCUUGUUUUAAGUUAUUCAAUUUUCAAUUUUUGUGCUUUAAAUUGUAGGUACAAAUACUUAUAGCAGAGUGUACAGCUACUUCACAGCAUAAAUUCUGUUGUGAAAUUAUUAUUUUUUUUAAUUUCUGUUUUACAAAUUUCUUUUCCCUGAAAAUUGAGUUCAUUCCUUUCAUGCCCAUUAUUAGAAAUUAGAAACAUCCUAGGCUAGGUCUUGGACACGUGGCACACAUGUGGGUCAUGGCAGCCGCUGCUGGGCCUGAAGUUUAGGCCCAAUCUAUUAAUGGUUUUGUUGCUGGCAAUGCCAUUUGUUAAUUUUUUUUUUUUUUUGGGUUUGACCUUUGCCACCGAAAAAAAAAGAUGAUGUUGACUACAUUAGAGUACUUUACUCUGCCUACUGCCUGUUGCCUGUGGUUUGGUUGUUGAUUUUGUGACAUUUGGAUGUAAUAAUGUAUAAGAAUGUCCAAUAUAAUCAUUCUGGAUUAUCUUUUAGAGUGAUAAAACUGUGGUGCAACUGUGGUACCGUGCCACAGUUGCACCUGGAUUCCCACUUAUUCAAGUGAACCCCACUCAUUUGAGUGGAUCCAACGGCUGGUGCAACUGUAGCACGGUACCACAGUUGCACUGUAGCCUGACCCCUUUUAGAGUGCCAUUUAUUCUUUUGUAGUAGUUCAAUUUUUUCUCACGCAAUUUAAGGGAAAAAGAGGGAAAAAAGAAGUAUAUGCAUCGGUGAUAAUAUUACUUAACUAAUUUAAUAUUGAUUUGUUAAUCAUUAAUAUUUCGUGAAUGAUUUACAUUCAUGUUUUUCACAGGGUUCAUGAUAGCACUGCACAUAAUACGAUGCUUUAUUCAUCUGAUUUUCAUAAGAAAGAUAGUUUGUUUGUUUUUUCUUCUCUCUAAUUCUCAUUUGAGAUUUUCAGGUUGGACCAGAGAUCUGCUUGUUGAAAACCCAUGUCGAUAUAUUGCCUGAUUUCACCCCAGAUUUUGGUUCCAAACUUCGUGCGGUAUAGCUCCUCAACCCAUUUUCUAGGGAAAUAAACUCGACUAUAUUCUGAUUUUGUGGAUUCUUAUGAAAUGUUAAUUAAGCAAUACUAGUUAUAGCUAAAAAAUUUUCAACUCUUGAAGAUUGCAGAAAAGCAUAACUUCCUGAUUUUUGAAGAUCGCAAGUUUGCGGACAUUGGUAACACUGUGACCAUGCAGGCUGAAGGGUAAGACUCUGCGCUUCUAUAUUUCUUAAUUUCUUUGUUCUUUGUGUCCUUGCUUCCUCUUGAGGGUUCCUGUCUCUGUGUCUGCAGUGGUAUAUUUCGUAUAUUGGAUUGGGCCGAUAUAAUAAAUGCUCACAUAAUCUCUGGACCGGGAAUUGUGGAUGGUCUGAAAUUAAAGGUUAGAAUCAACUAUUUGGUAUAACUUUUGUUUGCCAUGAAGUAAUCAACUAAUCUGUUUCUAAUGUCACGCAUACUAUUGAUUUACCAGGGAUUGCCUCGUGGUAGGGGUCUGUUGCUGCUGGCUGAGAUGAGCUCAGCUGGUAACCUAGCAAAGGGAGACUAUACAGCAGCAGCUGUGAACAUUGCCGAGGAUCAUUCUGAUUUUGUCAUUGGAUUCAUCUCAGUUAAUCCAGCAUCAUGGCCAGGGGCACCAGUCAAUCCAGCCUUUAUUCAAGCAACCCCUGGAGUUCAAAUGGUAAAGGGAGGUGAUGAUCUAGGCCAACAAUAUAACACUCCAUACUCGGUAAGUUCUGUUCGUUCACUAGCUCCCCUCAACAUGUUAUUUUUCUAGCAAUACUAUCCAUGAAAACUAUUAAUACAAACUUAUCUAUGCAAAUGAACAUGGGAAUACAAUUAUUAAGGUAAACGUUAAAAGAAAGUCAAUUUAAUUGCCACAUCACCCAUUUUCAUUUGUGGUUUUUUUUUUUUUUACUAAUCAAAUUUCAAUGUGCCAGGUUAGUUUAUAUUGGUUGAGUGUGUAUGUCUAGUGUUUUGAUAAAUUUGUCACAAGUUGUAAAAUAGAUGUAAACUUGAGUGAAGAAUUAGCAAUUGAACAACCAGCUCCAAUCGAAUUAGCAUUUUUGCCUUAUGUUCAAAUUUGAGAAGGCCUAACUGAAACAUUUUUUCUUAGGGUCCCAGGUGCAUUGAGCUAGCCGAAGGACUAAUGGGUGCUAGUUACUUAAUAUAAUCUAAGAAAUAAAAUCAGCAUUUUACAUGUAAUGGAAUUUUAGGCAUGUCAAUGAGGCAUAAGGGGAAGAAGUUUUGAUUGCAAAUUUGGGAGGCCAUCAAAAUGAUUUGUUUUGGUGUGAUAACAAAAAAUUCUAAUGAAUAAACCCAAACCCUGGAAUGUUUUGCCAUAUAUCACUAGAUCCUCAAAAGGUUAGGAAAAUGAGGUAAAGAAGAUCCAUUUUCCUCCUGUUUUAUAUAUGUAGGAACUUUAUCUUUUCAUGGGUACAUCAUUGCUAUCACUAGAUCCCCAAGAGAUUAGGACAAUAAGAUAGAAAAGAUCCAUUUCGUCCUUUUUUUUUCACAUAUAGGAAUUUCAUCUUUUCAUGGGUACUUCAUUUCUAUGGAGCCAAAGAUAUCAUUUGCUCUAGUUUCUGAAAUUGAGCUUCGUAUACCAUGCUUUGAAAUUGACCCUUGACUAGAGAGAAAAAAUUUUCGUUUAUGACCAGAAAUUUUCUGUAAAUUGAAAUGAGAAAAAGUUGGAGAGGAAAAGCUUGGGAUUUAUAAUUUGGUAACAUGUUUUAUCUUUUCUUCAGGCAGUAAGCUUUGCUUAGCUGUGUCUAGAUAUCUUUUUGUCCUUGAUUAGCUGAAUUCCUAGAUAUUUCAUCCUAAAGACUUAUUCGUAUCCAUCUUUUCCCUCCAUACAUUGAACCAAUGUUGUAUCUUGUUUCAAAACAGGUAAUUUCUCCAACUUCAAAUUUAGCCUAGCCAACUAUAAUUUAACCAGGGAACAAGCUAGAAGGGGCAGAGCUAAUGAACUAAGGUUAACUGGUGUUUAAAAUAGUUGUAACUUGUACCUCAGUGAUUUUAUUCGAGAGCCUCACAGCCAUGUGAUAUUCCCUUUGUCACACAUAGUAUGACUAUUAAGAUGCUUCUUGCAGGCUAACUAAUCAAACUUGUUACACCAACAAAACAAUAGCUGAGUGCUCGACUGCUCUUAACCUGUUCUAUUUGGUUGACACUGUUGCAGCUUUAAUAACUUUAACGUAAAAUUGUUCUCCAGGUCAUCUACGAUAGGGGUAGUGACAUAAUUAUUGUGGGUCGUGGAAUUAUAAAGGCAGCAGACCCUGCAUUGGCAGCCCGUGAGUACCGGCUUCAAGGAUGGGAGGCCUACUUGGCUAAGUGCAGCUGAUCCUCCAUUUAGGUCUGGACUUCUGCUCGCUUCAACGGUUGCGAUAAUGAACAGAUGAGUCAAGUUCUGUUUAAUAUACCAUGCAUUGGUAUGUCUUAUGAAACCGAGAGAGUUUGAAGCUUUUGGCUGCAUUGUACUUAUAGUAACUUCUCAAGUCUGGUAAUGCUGCUUGUCUGGUUUUCCCAAUGAAACAUGGUUGCAAGAUUUCUGAGUGUUGUGUUAUCAACAAUAUAUGAAAUUUAUGAACGUGGUGUUUGGAGUUGCCAACCAUCUCAUUCAAAAUUAUCAUAUUGAAUGAUUCGGAUGAUUCCUCUUUUGUGGUUUGGAUGGACACGUGGCAAUGCGCAGUAGAUGCCUUGGAAAUUGGUAUCGGGCAAUCAUCUUUAAAUGUUGAUAUGGUAAAAUGACCAGGAUUACUUUAUGUUUAGCAAAACGAAUCCUUUUCUCUCUAAUAUUUUAUAACCUACAAAUAAUAAUGUUAAAAUGUCAGUUUUUCCAACCGAAACAACUUAUAAUUUAAAAAAAAAAAAUUGAUAGCAGAAUAUUAAAUAAAGGGAUAUUUUUUUUAGAAAAGGAAAAUAGUUAAUUUAGCCAAAUAGAAAGAAGAUACUCAUUUUCCCAAUGGUUUUUUUUAAACUCUCAUUUUCUCAAUAUAUAACUAAUAAUUUAACAAAGUGUUAUUAAUAUUUUAAAAUAUUUCUUAGGAUGAAUUGAUUUUUAAACGCGAGCGAGAAGAAAUUGAUAAGAUUUAAGGGUAAUUUUUAAAAACCUCCCCUGAGGUUUGAGGCUGUUGCAAGUAGAUGGUGAAAAUCAUUUUAUUUGUAAAAAGCCCCCUACCGUUAGUUAAAAUUUUCAUUGACUAACUGUUGACUUUGAAAAGACAAUAUUACCCCCAAUAUUUACAAUUCUAAAUAUUUAUAAUUUCAUAAGUAAUUAAAAUAAUUAUUUUCACCAUGAUCAAGUUAUUGAUAUUUCUUUAAAAUCUUAAAAAAAUAAAAUUACAAAUCUUAAAAUAAUUUUUUUUAAGUUUGUAAUAAAAUUACAAAUCUUAAUUAUUUGAUAUAAAAAUAUAAUUUUUUUUAAGUUUGUAAUUUUAUUUUUUUAAGAUUUUAAGGAAAUUUUAACUGACGUAAACUAUUAUUGGGGGUAAUAUUAUCUUUUUAAAGUCAACAGUUAGUCAAUGAAAAUUUUAACUAACGGUAGGGGGUCUUUUACAAAUAAAAUGAUUUUCACCAUCUACUUGCAACAGCCUCAAACCUCAGGAGAGAUUUUUAAAAAUUACCCUAAGAUUUAAUUAGUAACAUUAAGAUCGGUAAAUGAUAUAAUAUAAAACAAAACUAGUAAAGAACAAAAAGGGCCAACAUGAAGAAAACCCAAAAUUGAAACCUGUCCUUUUUGUAUUUUCUCGAGAAAUUUCUCUCUCCGACUUACAGCUCAACGGCUUUAGUUUGAAAUUCUUCACACUCUUUCAAUUGUCUUUCAACGCGCACACUUCGUAUCCUUCGUUAUUAAUUGUUCACACACGCUCCCCCAACACCGAGCAGACUCUCUCUCUCUCUCUCUCUUCUGUCCGAAUUAGGGUUCUGUUGGGCCGUGAAACAUUAUAAUGCGCUUCUGAUUUCAAAUACUUUUCCAGGUAAUUUAAUCUUUUUUUCCUUUCUUGCUUUCUGGAAUAUUCUAAGAUCUUAAUCUAGAUUUGUUUCCUCAUUUCGGCAUUUUAAAAAAUUUGCUUUUUUUUUUCUCUUACGGUUUAGGGUUCUCAAAAUCAUAUACGAUGCUGUUUUACUGCCACAUUUGUAAUUCGGCCAUUUUUCUUUUUCCUUUUUUUUUUGUGAGUGUUGAAAAGGAAAAAAGUGAUAUUUUCCUUUCUGGGUAUUGCUGGAUUUUGUCCCCAGAAAAAAAACUGUAAUUCCGUCUCUUUGCGUGUAUAUAUGUAUAGGUAUCUUCUACAUUACCAUCUUAUUGGCUUUCCGGGUGACGAAAAUGGGUAGCUUAACUUUCUUAUAAUUGAGUUAUGCUAUGUGGGUUUGUUGUGGUGAUUAAAUACUGAUGGCAGUGUCUAAUGAGAUGAUGAGGGAACUCUAUCUAUGCGAAAAUGCAUGGUGUAUUUCGUGUUUAAAGAUUUUUAUGCAAGUUUUAUUGUAUUACGUUGUUUUAUUAAUAUUACUGUCUCCCAAUAUUUGAGUUCUUGUGUUUAUCGAAUGAUAGAAAAGAGUUUACCCUGAUUUAUGGUUUUGAUUGAGAUGUAAUGGAUAUUUUUAUUUGAUUAUAGGUUGGGAAGUCAAAACUUGACCUUGGUGCCUGCAAGGAAGAAGUCAAGAAGAUUGACUAGGAAACAAGAUCUGUUGGUAAGAAUUCCUUCCCAACGAAAACUUUAAUACUGAUUAAUGUCAUAAACUUGUUGGUUCAUUUUUUUUAAAUUUAAAUUUUCAUUUGCCUGGGCAUGUUUGCUGUACUAUUAUUCAUAAAUUGGGAAUUGAUCUUUGAAUGAGUAUUGGAAUCAAAUAAUGACGAAAGUAUAUAAUGAACAGUUGAAUGUUCUUUGGCCAAAAUAAAUUCACUUUGGCAUGACUCAAGGCUGAAAGAAAAGAUUAUGUAAUGAAAAGAAGACAAUUUUUAUGAUGAUUAUGUAUACAUGUCAAACAAUGUCGUAAAAAGGAAAUAUGUCAUAGAAUGCAGAAAAUGUAGGAAACUACAUUGCCCCUCUUAGAGUUUAUCUAUAUAUAUAGUUUCCUUAUAUAUAUAUAUAUAUAUAUACCCUAAGGACCGGAAAGAGUUAAAGCUUAGGGUGACUGGUAGAAUUUGGAAAGAACAGUGAUGGAUGGAAGUGCUUUUUGUCUUGCAGCUUCGUGCAAUCAUGUUUUGCCGUCAUAGCUGGUAGUUGAGUUUUAUCUUGUUGGUGGGUAGUCCAGUGAGUCCUCUUGUUCAUGUAUUUUUUUGUUAUGUAGAAAGCAAAUUUUCUUUGCAUGUCCUUGCACUGAAUGCAUGAGUGGGGAAGACGUGUCGUGACUCUUUAUGCCUACAAUUGUAAUAUCUAUCUAAAUAUAUUUCAAUGUAUUGCAUUGCUGCAGUGCCAUUAGUUUUCUCUUUGCCUAUGAUGCAUAUGAACGAAGUCAACAGGAAUUAAAGCUUUGUGUCAUUAGUUUAACCAUGAAGCACUUGAAAGAGUUUUGUGGAAAGUUUUUCAAAGAAACAAAUUUUCUUAUUAUCAAUUUGCAAUUGAAUAAAAAAAUGACACAUUAAAUUCUCAAAAAUGACACAUUAAAUUCUCUCUUUUUAAUUAAAAAUUUUAUUAUCAAAAUAAUUUUUAAAAAUUACUUAAUUAAUUCUUUCUUUUUUUUUUCUUCUCAAUUUCAUAAAUUCUCAUAAAUUCAUUCAGAUAUCCUUUUUUAGCUACAAAUAAUCGAUAUCACUAAGUAUUUCAUGUUUGCUUUAUAUGAAAAAAAGGAAUUAUGAAUAAAGUACUUUAGAUAUAUUAUUAUUAUUAUUAUUAUUAUCAUUAUUAUUAUUAUUAUUAUUAUUAUUAUUAUUAUUAUUAUUAUGAUAUACUAAAAAAGGACAAAAUUAAACUAAAAAUAUAGUGAAAUUGAGUGUUUAAUUUGUAAAGAAUAGAGAAAAUAUGCAAUUGUAAGAUAAAGAGAGAAAGUGACAAGUGAAGAGUAAUUUUGAGAAUUUUAAAUUUUUAAUAAUAAAUUUAUUUUUUAAAAUAGGUACAGAGAUAAAUUUAAUUCAAAUAGGAGAGGAAUUUAAUGAGUUCAAAUAGCCUCACCAUUGUAAUAAUAUUAUACAGAAUUUAAUGUUAUACUAUAUUAUAUUUAUUUUUUAUUGAUAUUAUUUAAAUUUAUUAUUAAUUAUAUUAAAUUAUUAACUAAAUAAUUAUUUUAUGUUAAUUAUUUUUAUGUUAAUCAUUAAUAUAUAAAUAUAAUAUAAAAUAGCAUUUUUAAAUAAAACUACAUGAUACCAUAAUUUUAUUUUUAAAUUUUAUUUAUUAUAAUAAUAAAAUUAAUUAAAAUAUAUUUAAUGCCUCAAUUAAGGCAAAAGCUGGUAAUGUUCCACAAUGCAGUUUCCAAAACUUUCAAAUAUAGGUAACCAAUAAAUUAAUGUAAUCCGUAUUUAUAAUAUUAUGCAAUGUUAUGUUCCAAACACACCCUUAAUUUAGUUUUUGCCGCAUUAUCAAAUCUCGUGCCCUCCUUUGUAAAUUGUAUUGGUAACUUUACAACAUAAAAUUAUUUAGUCAAUUAGAAUAUAUUUAAUUCUUACUAUUUUAUAAAAUAUUAAAUUUAAAUGGUAAAAAUAUUGACUAUUGCCAACCAUCACAAUCCACCGCUUGCGAUAUCAUUUUGAUAUCCUUUGACAUCAAUUUAGGAAUUAAUAUAAUCCUUAUUAUUGGAGCUAUACAACGAUAUAUGUAAAACCGAAAAUAGAGCUUCAUUCAUUGUAGAUUUAUGGUCAAAGUUUUGUAUCUCUAAAUUUUGACCGUAUAUUUAUUAUAAUGAUAGGAAACUCUGUUGCUGAUGAGAUAUGCACCAUUGUGUAUAUCGAAUGAUGAAAAUUAUAAUGGUACCGAAAUUGACAUCAAAAGAUACUGGAAUAUGAACACCGAAGAUAGCUCAUGGUGGCCCAUGGGUGACGGUGGUGAGUAAUCUUCUGUCGUUUAUAAAUUUUAAAUAAUAAAUUUAAUAAUUAUAAAUAAUAAAAUUUUUAAGACAUUUAUAAUUAUAAAAAAUAAUUUAAUAUAAGUAAUAAUAUUUAUAUUAUUACAUAUAAUGCUAUACAAUAUAACACCAAAUAUUGUACAAUAUUAAUAUAAUAAAAUGAUAAUGCAAUAUGUCUACACUAUAAUACAAUAUAGUGUGCCAAACACUCUCUACGACUUUACUUAAUGUUGCUCAAUGCCUUUUAUUUCAAUUCCCAAUCAUGAGUUCAUCUCAAUUAAUGCUGGGCCCAAAUGUAGUGUUGUGCAAUGCUGCAAGUCAAACAUACCCUUUGUGUAAUACAUUCACACACGCACUCUCUUUUUUUAAGUAAGAGCAUCCCCACAUUGUUAAAGUAAAAAUGUCACUAAAAUACAAAAGAAUAAAAAUUUCAAUAUAUAUAUUUUUUAUUUGUUAGUAUAAUGAAAAUUGUGUUUUUUGUUUGUUAGUAGCUUCCUCAUUUUAACAAAGUUAGGAUGCUCUCACUAAAAAAUGAUUAUAUAUAUCGGAGUGAGUUUUCAAUUAAAGAUCCAUUAUUAUAUUAAAGUCAAUGAUAAAUUAAAAAUAAAAAAAUACUGGUUAAUAAUAUAUAUGCAUCAGAGUCUGUAAUUUUAUUUUUUAACUUAUUGUUGAUUUUAAUAUAGUUAAGAUUCAUGUAUAUAUAUUUAAAAAGUAGAAGAAGAAAUCAAUUUAAAGGGCCAUUGAGAUCUGGAUCCAAAAGCCCAGAAAACUUCAAAUUGGACUAUGACCCAAACAGAACCCCAGAAUCAACUUACACUCGACCUCUCCCGGAAGCAGUAUCGAGCUGAUUUUGCAGGUGAAAAUCCGUUGAUUUUAAUUUCUUUUUCUCCAAAAUUUUCAUUUCAGUUAUUAUUAUUAUUAUUAUUUUUCAAUAAGUUCAUCGAAUUUGUUCUCUGUUUCUUAACCAAGAAAAUGAUCAAAUAAAGUCUUCUUGUUGAUUCAGGUUUAUACUCGUAAAUAAUAUAUCAUGCCGGACACUCAGGCUCUUGUGAAUGACUUUCUUAACAAGCUUAAAAAACGGUGACGUUUCAGACAGUAUAUUUUAAUUAUUCUUUUUUUUUUUACUGAUUUUAGGAGCUGAUUUUGUUUGUUUGUUUUGUGAGUGGCAGUAAGAUCGAGGGCUCGCAAGCAACGGCAAGGCAGACCGCGGAGCUGCUUCGCUCUGUGAUUUCGCAGCAGCGCGUGCCGUACACAAAUCAGGCUGGAGCUUUAAUUGAUGCUGUCAAAGCUAUUGGCGAGCAGCUCGUUGCUGCCAAUCCUGAUACAAAUAUGGUACUUAGUCAUGUUAGUUAUUUUUAAUAUCAUUGUAAUGAUAUCACCUUUUUUCAGCUGAAUUGAUUUUUAUCAAAAUGUUAUUAACUUGAACUAUGUUAAUUGUUUUCAUCGCUCUUAAUUUAGUUUUGUUGUAAUCCAGCAUCCUCCAAUUAGUAGUUUAGUACAGCUAAUAUAGUGUAUGUGCUGUAGGUAAUUUGGCAUAGUUACCUCUGAGGUUGGGGUCUUGUACAAUUAUUUAUGUUAGGCACCAGAACUUGCAUUUGUUUGGGGCAUGCAUUAGAUAAUCUGGUAUCUACAAAUUUAUUGUACUUCCAUAGCAAAUAUUCUUCUUUUCUUUUUGAAUCACAUGGAUGAAACUAUGCAUUCUGCUGUUGAAAAUUAGUACUGUUGCUAUAUUCACUAUCAAAUGGAUUCGGCAUCGCUAAGAAACCUUUUCUACAAAGUUAUACUUGUUUUUUUAUUUAUGAUUUGUUUCUUUUAUUUCUUUCCCUUUUGUGGCUUUUCAAUUCUCCCUAGCACUUUUUUCCAGAUCCUCUUUCCAAAAUUAAAAAUGAUUAAUUUUCUUCUUUGUUUGUGAUUUAUGUUUUCUUCACUUUUCUGAUUGAUUAAAUGAUAUAUCAAUGCAGAGCUUGCCGUGGGUAAUAUUGUGAGGCGUGUUUUACACAUCAUUAGAGAGGAAGAUCUGUCUUUGACUACGGCUGCUAUUGGUGGGCUGAACUUAUCUGCUGUAAGUGAUGAUGAAAAUGAUGAUGAUCGAGAUGGCGACUCAACUCUAUCAGCAGCUGCUGUUGCUGCUGCUGCUAGAAGUACUUUGCGUCCACCUUCUUUGCAAACUCUGCUCGAGGACACACCUGUCUCUGCAGCUGUUCCUCAGACUUCCUCAUCUGGGGGUGAUUCUGAAGGAAAAAGCAAAUGUGUGUUACUUUUUUUUUUUUUUUUUUAUAAAGUGUUUUUGAUAAUUCUUCAAUCACAGCAUCUUCUGUUAUUUUCCCUAAAUAAGCUUGUCUUAUGUAACACAUGUUUUAAAUAUGCAAUCGGAUGCAUCUUGGUGAUAAACUGGUGUUCCUGAAUGUUUUAGCAUUGAUGAUUUAGUUAAUUCAGCCUUAUGAUGGUAGAUAGUUAACAUACUAGUUUCCUUCACAGCUGCUGAUAAAAGUUCAAGAAGUCGGAAGCUGAAGCAUGAUGUUAUUGAAGCGGUUAAUGAACUUAUUCAAGAUAUUGUCACUUGCCAUGAACAGAUUGCUGAACAAGCAGUGGAGCAUAUACAUCAGAAGUAAUUAUUCCUUUUCCUGAUUUCAACUAGACAAUAUGUUUUUUCUCCAUACUUGGACUUUAUUUUCAGGAGAAUUGGAUGUCUACAUAAUUCCUUUUUACCUGUUAAUUUAGGAUAUAUGUAUUCAGUUUGUUGUUUAUGAAUGUACUACACUUAAAAAUGCAUGCAAUAUCUCAUUUAGAAGCAUAUAUAUAUGCUCUUUUCAUUCUUGUUAGGUUUUUUCUAUGUCACUUUCUUAAGUCUAAAAGAAUAAUGUUGUUUGUCUAUUCUCAUGUUGUCUUCCCAAGGAAUUGUAGGAUGAUAAUUUCAUGUAUCGAUGAUGAACUGUAAGCAGUUUUCAUAUCUGGCUUGCAAGCAUUCCCUUUUAGUAUGAUGUGGAGGUUAGGUUGUCGGAAUUGUUGGUGAUUCAUUGACCUGAGGGCUAAUUACGGUGCUGGCAUGAGUAUAAUUGACUUUAAAUGACUUUUCUGCACAGAACUAAGCUGGGCUGUGUAUUUCUGUAUUGAUCACUCAUUUGUGCUCUUUAGAACUUAGAAGUGCAGGAGGGUAGGUUAUGAGGGGAUUUGGAAAGUAGGAAUUCAAAUGCUUAAAUUGAUAGGCAUACUUGGGCAAUAAGGCGUUUAAAUGCUUCACUUGUAUGAUUUAACUACGAUUUGCAACAAGAGCGGCAUCAUUCAUUUAAACAUAGAAGAUUUAGAAAAAUUGUAUUGGAUGUGUUAGUGCUAAUGAACUUUUAAGCAUUUGGUGUUUCUGCUUUUUUCCUUCUAGGUGAAAGUGAAUAUGUUUUAUUUAACUCAUUCAACAAAUUGCAAAUUUGGUAAGGUGGUAACUGCGACUUUGCUCAUGUUAUUGUUUGACUGCGUAACGAGUUCAACUGUGUGCUUUACUGCCGAGAGAGCUCUAAUGAAGCUGUUUUUUGAUUUUGAGGGGCAACUUCAUUAGCUCUUUCAUUAGGAUAAUAAUAUAUGUAUUAUAUUCGUAUUCUCCUUAGAGAUAAGGAUAAGAGUGUAAUAAGUGUGAUGUGACUUAAAGUAGGUAAUGAGUUGUAAAGUAGAUUCCUUAGUGAUAAGGAUCAAUAAUGCAAAUAGUGGAUCCCUUGAGCCUAUAAAAGAGAGUCCAUGGUUUGUAUCUAGGCAUCGAGUCUUGGAGUGCAAAUAGUGGAUCCCUUGAGCCUAUAAAAGAGAGUCCAUGGUUAGCAGGGGAAAUAUUGUGAUUCAUGGCCUUUAUCUAGUUUGGGUCAGCUAUGGCAUAUUAUAUAUGUUCUCUUGUGUCUUAUCUCCUAUAUUGUCCAAUACAUGUAUAUGCUUAUUUUUAAAUUCUUCAUCUAUGUUUCUUCCUACCAUUUGCUACUUCCAUUAAUUUUAGCUAUUAAAUGUAUUUUCAGUGAGGUAAUAUUAACUUUAGGCAGUUCAAGGACGGUGUUGGAAUUUCUUUUUGCUGCAAAGGAGAAAAAAAGAUCAUUCCGGGUAUUUGUCGCAGAGGGUGCUCCAAGGUUUGUGCAAUGGCUUGCUAUUUGUUGAUUGCAAAGAAAUAUUUCACUGGCUACUUUGGCUCUGAUGUUCUCUCUCUCUCUCUCACAUUCUCUGUUUGGUUGCUGUUCUGCUACUUCUUGUUUUAUAGGUAUCAGGGGCAUCUGCUUGCAAAAGAAUUGGUAGCAAGAGGUUUACAGACCACACUGAUUACUGAUUCUGCAGUUUUUGCCAUGAUUUCCCGAGUAAACAUGGUAUGUUUGGGCCACUUUUCUCGUUUGGUUUUGGAUUUCCUGAAAUGUUUUUAGCUUGAUCUAAAAUUUUGCAAUGUAAAGGUUAUAGUUGGAGCUCAUGCUGUCAUGGCCAAUGGUGGGGUUAUAGCACCUGUUGGGAUGAAUUUGGUUGCACUUGCAGCUCAGAAGCAUGCUGUCCCUUUUGUUGUACUUGCCGGAAGUCACAAGGUAGUUUGGUGCAACAAACUGCUUAACUAGAAAAUUAAGUAAAAUUUAGAAAGCCCAUUUUCCUUAACUGCCAUUCCUAAAUUCGUUGGUCUUGUGUAUGAACUGGUGUGGAGUUUAAGAUGGUGCUCAGUUAUUCAUGUGAAGUGAACUUCCCUUUCAGAUAAAACUGAUCACUAAUGUAAGGAGUAGUAUGUGCAAGAUGCAAAUGUGUUUAUGAAUAGUAUGUGGGUGUAAAAGCUCAUAUUCUUUGUACCAAAUAUUAUUGAAUGUUGGUUGAAUUAAUCUCUGUAGCUGCAGUCCUUUUUAAUGCAUCAACAUGUUUGCUGGGUAUUGAAUUGCAUCUGGUUGUAAUAACAUUGUAGUUGGAGAUAAAUCAUUGAACUCUGGUACUUCAGUUCUGGGUAUGAUCUUUUUGACAAAUGUGGUUGGUCUAUAUGACAGUUAUGCCCCCUCUAUCCGCACAAUCCUGAAGUUUUACUGAAUGAGUUGAGAUCCCCAUCAGAGCUGCUGGACUUUGGAGAAUUCUCAGACUGCAUGGAUUUUGGGAGUGGCAGUGGUUCCCCUCUUCUUCAUGUGGUCAAUCCAGCAUUUGACUAUGUUCCACCGAAACUUGUUAGUCUUUUUAUUACUGACGCGUAAGUUCAACUGCCCUUUUAGCAUGAGACAGAGACAAUCUACACCUUACGUGCAAUUUUUAUGCAAUAUAUAUAUAUACAUUAAGAUUACUUAUUUGAUUUCAUUGUAGAGUACCAGUUUUCUGGCCCCUUUAUUUUCCAUUGGUGUUCCAGUUCUAUCUCUCAAUAUAUUUCAUUUUUUUUCCUCUGCUAUUGCUGUGUUGUUCUGCUAAUUUCUUUUCUUCUUCACAGGGGAGGGCACAAUCCUUCAUACAUGUAUCGGUUGAUUGCUGAUUAUUACUCGGCUGAUGACUUGGUUGUGCAGCGAAGAGCUACUGCUGGGAAUUGAUUUUGGUUUGUAUCAUCUAUUGUGUAAGUAGUCUUUUUGUGCCAAUGCUCUGGUGGAAAAUUGUUGAUUUUAACAAAAAGGAUAAUCUUUUUAAAUUGACAUAACAAUUGGUACUCUUUCUGAUUGUUAUGAUUCCAAUAAACUUAAUUGAUGUUGCAAACUGCUUCAUCUCGGGAUAUACAAUAAUUAAAAGAUGACAAUGAGUGAAUGCUGUAACUUGGUAUAUCAUUUUGAGCUUUGACUUUAUCUAAUCUUUGCCCUAUUUUAAGGUCAGGAAUUUAUUAUGGCAAGAGCAUUAGCUUUGGGUUUGAGAAAUUUCAAAUCACUGAAUUUGGAGCUGAGCUGAUGCUGUAAAAGAACUCAGGGACAUAGCGAUUGCGAGGCAAUGGUGUGAACUUAGUGCAAAUUUUAGGGACGCAAACAAUGAUAGGAUAAUUUUUGUUGGCAGAAAUAUUAAAAUGUAAAAUAGAGGCUAAGAGUUGUACUGAGAUAAAAAGGUGGAUACGGUUGGAUAAUAUUUUUUGAUUGUAUCAAGGUUGGUGGUCAAGUGCUGUAUUCUUCUUCAUCAGUGAUUUUCAGACGGACGGUAUAACAUUGUUGUAUUGCUUGUUGCUUAAAAUUUUCAUAGCAGAACGUAGCUGUUGAGAUGUUUCCUAGAAUAAUUUUCUCGUCUUUGCAUGAAUAACAUUGGAGAAUAAUUAUCUGUUUAACUGUGUGUUUUCUUUCGUUCCUCGACGGUUGAGACAUGUUACUUUUGAGUAAUGAUAUGAGCCCAAAGGUCGACAUAAAUGAGUGCCAUGUGGAUGCCUCCAAGAAAGAAACAGGGCGUCCAAACCGCAUCAUGAGAGUGACAUAACGUUUGUCGGGCUCAAUAUAUCAUUACAUGUUACGUUUUGGAACAUAAACCAAGGAUUUGAAAUGCAUUAUUAUACAUUAAUCCCCCUGACAUAAUAGGCCGAACCCUUUAAGCCAUUUGAGAAGGGUCGAGUGUUAAAAAGGGAGUAACAAGAGCUACGAGACUAGUCUCUUGACUCGCAUUACAAGAGGUUACAUAAAACUUCGAAUAUUAAAAUUAAGGCGCACAUAAUGCAACUUAGAUAAUGAGAAAUCAGCAGUAACUUUGCAAACAUUGGAAAAUGUUACAUAAAAAUGAGAAUACAGUUUUCAUUGAUGGUCUACAUCGAACCAGAAAUACAGAUAAGUCCUGGCAUAUAUAACUCGAACUCGCUGCAGCACUAGAUCUCCACUAGUCAAAACAGCCUUGGCACCUCCUUCAAUUCGAGUAUGCAAAACAGUAACACUAUCACCAUUACUCUUCAUUGGAGUAGAUGUAAUACAGCUACGAGCUGUACUCACGAUUGGGCAUGAGAGGAAGUCCAGUGGAUUCGUCUCACACUGAAGUACACACCCAUCUAUAGUUAACCUUCCACUCCGAUGGAGAAAGCAGCAGCCAAGCUCUGCUUUCACUGUUAAAUUCGCCAGCUUGCAUGUGGAUAGAAACUCCAAGGCACUGCCCAAACAAAACAAAUAUUGCAUAGCAAAUUUUGUUGCUUGAGAUAUUAUGCCGGUCAUUUUCGAGGAUCCUACUUCAUAUUUUUGGAUAACUAAAUCUAAAGGAAGAGGCUUGGUAUAAAACAGCUCAACCUUAAAAUAUAUAACAAGAUCUUGAAAAAGAGCAACCAGCACAUCACAAUUAUUCAUCUUAUGUGAUGAUUUAUUAUAUCUACUUGUGAACCAUGCAUAAAGUCUGUUGAAUUAAAGUGUCACUCCUAUUAACGGUAUCUUCUGUAAAAUCCAACAAUAUGAAAGGGUCCUCAUGUAAUUCUAAUUAAUCUCCACAAAACAGUAUAACUUAAUCUGAAAUAAAAACCAGAAAAUUUACAAACCUGUCCGAACCUCGAGAACAGAUGAGGGUUGUUUCAUCAGGAAGCUCACCUCCACCGACCUGAAAAGUAAGUUCAGAGAAAAGGAAAAAGUGGAAAACAUUUAGAUGACAGAGAUCUUAUUUCUCUCUCUUCUGCUUUCCAACCAAGAAUAGAAAGUGAGAAGCCAUGUUUUUAUCUUCAGUAGGCAAUUACUUUGCGAUCAUAAUACAAAAAGGAAACCAAGGAAAUAAGUGACAAUAGCCAGCUUUCAUGAGUUGCGCUGAAGGCAGAUUUGUCACUCAGACGAAGCUGGUUUACUCAAUCAUAUCGUUUCUCAUAUUGGAUUGAUUCCUUGAACCCGCAUGAUAAUGGGAUAAAUCUGAUGUUGACUUGUGCAAUAAAGUUCCCUAAGGUUAACCAAACUAUGAAUUUCAAAUUCACCAGUCCUCGUAUGACUGCAAAACUUAAUUAGACAUUAUGAGCCCUAUAUGAGAAUAGGGUUUAAAUUUUGGGAUUUAUGGUUUAGGUAUCUGCAUUAAUCUGUGUCUCUAGUAUAGAUAAUUUUUAUUUACUUUUUUUUUUUUUUUGAUGACAUGAGACUAUUGCUCAAAUUACAACUCAAAUUACAACUCAUAUUACAUGAGAGUAUAACUGAUAUGUACAAUCCUAUAUAUAUACUGAGACCUAUUGAUAUUAAUGCUGAUAUGACACUGCUCAGAUUUUUUUUUGUAACCCUCUCAAAUAUUCGAGGGACGUCAAACUCCCCUUCUAGGAGAAAGACUGCCUUCACUCGAGCUCUGGGGCUCCAAGGAAGGAAAUAUAAAUUAAACCCCUACAAUACGCAUGCGGAGGCUCGAACCCCUUCCCUCACAUUUGUGAGGGAGUGGCUCUAGCCACUUGGGCUAAGCACAAGUGGUUUUAUUUACUUUCUAUAUGAGCAUGCCAUUCACUCUUUUUUUCAUUUUGGGAGAAGAAACAGUCAACCUACAAAGAUAAUAAAAUUCAAGCAAAUAUAAUAACAAUUAAUGUCAACAAUAGCCCCAAGAGGUGAAGAAAUUUUACCCAUCACCUCACACAGUUUUACCACAAGUCAGAGUUAAUCCAAAUUCAUUAGUUGGGGGCAACGCCUCAUGUCAACUUUGAAUCAACUUCAGAAGAAUAACCUUCCAUCAAUAACUUAUACAAUUCAUUUUUAAAUUAAUUUUAACAAUAAGUCUGUAUCAAACAUAUCUUGCAGCUCAUUAUGUAGAAUAUAAAUUAAAGAAUAAGAAUUCUGUUGGACUAAAUGACUGUAAUGAAAUAUGUACAGUAAAAGGACAAAUAGUGUGCCCCUCUUUUUUCUUUUUGCCUUUUUAAAUUUUCAUGAUAUUAACAGUCCAAGAGACUUUCCUAACCAAGUUUCUAUAGUGUAAAUUACAUCGCGGAAUGGGAAUAAUCCUUUAAUUGUUCACAUGAGUGUAUUAUUGAGAACAAGGAACGAUUGAAUAACGACCAAAUUAAGUCAGGCACAGUGGUUUGUAUUCGCACACAUAUAUGAAAUAAUGUUUUAUAAAACAAACAACAUACCAGGCACAGUUAUUUUUUUACUGAAUAUUAGAGACAGGAUGACUAUCGCCUGCUGCAAUUAAAAUGGUGUCGCCCGAUCUAUGAGGAACAAUAUGAAGAUCAGGUUUUAUAGUCCUAGCGUAUCCCACUUCUAUUGUUAUAGUUUAGAAGUUAAGUUAAUUUUAUUCCAUAAUUUUAUGAUAAAAAUUUAUAAUGUCUUGACUAUUUUAUUAAAAUUAUUAAAAAUUAUAUUUACUACACAUUAUCAAUUUUUAUUUCACAAUUAUAUGAAUUUUUUUACAGCAAUCGUAAUGUUUGAGUUAAAGCACCUCAAUAUUAAAUAAAUAUUUAACCUACAUCUUUUGUGUAAAAAAAAAAAACCACAAUUCUUGCUGAAUGUUUGAUAAAUCACUUGCCAUACAAUAAAAUUUCAUGAUAUUUAUAAAAAAUAAUUAUGAAAAUUUAUCAAAGAAUUUGAUAUUAGUAACAUUUUUAUUCAAUAAUACUAACUAUACUUUUUUUAAGAAAAAGUUGGGCCAGAUAUCAAAGCCCAGCUGGCUCGUUUUGGGCGAAAACUUAAAAGCAACUCUGGUGGCCAACAUUGGGCGUAACUCAGAAGUAAUUUCGUGGGUGGCGUGGGUCAUGUCGGUUUCUUGUGGGUGGUGAAUGAGAAUAUUGGGUGCUGUUAGUGUUGUCGGUUAGUCAAAUACUUGAUGAUGGUCAAACAUAGCAAACCUUAAAAGAAAGAUUUUGAUUCAGUGAACAGUCGACUUGGAGUUUGUUGAACAAGUGGAAGAUGAAGAGAAGAUAAACAGUGAACGAAGUACUAAACGAUUCAAAAGCAAAACUAUGAAAAAUAAUUCUUUUAUUGCUCCAAUAAACAAUCUUGAUGAUGGCUGCCUUAUGCACGUAUUCAGCUUCUUAUCCCCAAUUCCAGGUGACUAUCUUUUUUUGGGGAAUUAUUUGUAUUUAAUUAAAAAAAAUCUUCUCUUUCUUAUAAAUGUUUAGUGUCAUUAAGUUAUGUAGUAUUUGUGACCUGAAUGUUGCUGGCCUUUUUAGAAGUUUGCUUCGGGUUUUUGACUUUUGUGUUGGGAGUCUUAUUUAUUUUCCCUAUUGGGUUUUGCCCAAUUCAUCACUUUUCCUGAAAUUUAUUUUGUACAUUGAGAGGAUUAUUUAUUUUUUUAAAAAAAACAAAAAUUUUAUAUUUAUGCGGAAUUUCAGAAUAUGGGCAUUUCUGUUGUGAACAAUUGUCUAUUAAUUUUAAAUUCCUGUUUCAAAAACUCUAUGUGCUAAAUUUAUGUUAUUGAUACUCUUUUGUGCGUAAAAUAGUAUAUUGUGUCCCUUAGAAGGGCUGUAUAUCCUCAUUCUUCACAUGCCUUAAAAGAAAUCUAGAAGGAUCGGAUAGAAAUUAUUGUCAAAGAACAUGAUAAUUACAUCAAGAUUUCUGGGGUUUAAUAGAUAUUGUUGAGUAAGCUUGACAUAUUUUAUGCAUAAUUGUCUUUAUGAUGAUUUUGACAUAUUUUAUAUGUAAUUGUCUUUAUGAUGAUUGUUUGGCAUUGAGAUGGAUGUUUUAGAUGUUUGCCAAAUGCAUGUAUGAUAUAAUUUUGUGCGAUCUCUUUCACAGUUGUUAUGGAGCUUGCAGAUCGGUAUAACACAGCACUCGUUUGCCACAGAUGGAAUUAUUUGGCAUGUCAUCCUCGCUUGUGGCUGCGGGUAGAUCAGUCUGUUAAGGAUCUCUCAGAGCCUGGAGUUUUCCCCGACCUUAAGACAGCCGUAUCUGUGGCAAGGUUUGUAAUGUUGUGACUGCCUGUAUGUGAUUUUAAACACUUUAGGCCCUAUUUGGAGUGUUGUCAAGUAGCUUGAUUGCCAUAAUGGAGUACUUACUCAUUUAUUGCUACAACUUUUAAGGUACAGUGUCCAGCACAAUACUAAACAGAAUUAAAUAAUCCAAAACAAAUUGUAAAUGUUAACAAUGUUUAAAUAUAGCUAAGAACAUCAAUAUAUAUAGAGUUUGUAAAUAACACAUACCCAAAAAAGUAUAGAAAGGCAAAGAUAGCCUCAAGUUUUGUACUAAAUUGGAGAAAAAAAAUAAAAUGAUUUUUUCCAAAAAUAACCACAGAGUUGUUAGUAAUAAGUAGAGAUGGUAAAAUGAGUUGUUAUCAUGACACGAUAACACAACAUGGAUGUGGCACGAAUUUUGUAUAUUCAUGUUGAUAAAUAUUGAUACAAUUAAUUAAAUAGUUGAUACUAUACGACACAAUAAAUAACCGUAUGGUUUUCAUGUUGGAUCACCUCAGCAUGAUUACAUGUUUAUGGCAUGAAUAUCAAUUAAUAUAAGUAAUAUUAUUAAAAAAAUUCACACACACACACACACACAUAUAUAUAUUUGUGUUGAUAAAUAUUGAAAUGAUUAAUAAAAUGGUUGAUACGAUACGAGACGAUAAAUAACCGUAUUGUUUCAUGUUAGACCACCCUAACAUGAUUACAUGUUUAUGACAUGAAUAUCAAUUAAUAUAUGGUAAUAUUAUUAAAAAAAUUAACAUAUAUAUAAACGAUCAAUAAAUGAGUCAUACCCAUAUUUUGGUAUUUUAAUAUUGAUGUUUUGAUAUUUUGAUACAAUUAAAAAAAAAUAGAUCAUGUCAGUGUUUUCUUAACUUGAUACGACAUAGUUUAACUCAAUUAAGUAACUCACAUGUUAAAAAUUCUCUAGUAUUCUCACAAACUCUGUAGCUCCGCCAGUGGCUAGUAGUGUGGGAGUCAUUGUGUGAGCCUUUGUUAUUGUCUUUGACACUAUUUGUUUUUUAAUUGUUAUUUAUGCCUUUCUAAGUUUCUAACUAUUUUUAUAAGUUCGCGAUGAAGAUUUCAAACUAGUUAAAUUGUGUGGCUCACUUUUGUUGAAAGAAACAGUUGCUAUGAUUGCGGUUUCAGACAAGACAUAUCGUUAUGGAAAUGUGUUGGCUGCCACUAGUUUAGUGAGAAACGUUUUGACGUAAUCGGUGAAUAAGGAUGUCUUUAUUUGUAGCGUUGCUCUGAUUUGAAAGUUCAUCAAGGAUGUUGGGAGUAGAGCAUUUAGAACAAAAUAUAUUCUUGUUUCCUUUUCCUAAUGAGAAUGAUCACUGUCAUAGUUUGUUAGUGAGACCUUGGCAUUUUUUUUUGAAUUACAUGAGACUAAUGCUCCAAUUACAACUCAUAUUAUAUGAGAUUUACAACUGAUAUUUACAAUCAGACAAUUAUUGGGCCUAAUUUACAUUAAUUCUUAUAUAGCACUACCCAUAUUUUACCCUCUCUAAUAUUCGAGAGGUGUCUACUCCACUCACAUUUCGAAAGGGAGAAGACUGCCUUCACUUAAUAAUUAAGGAAGGAAAUAAACCCCUACAUGCGUCGCGGGGGCUUGAACCGCUGCGCUCACAGUUGUUAGUGCAGGGUCCUAGCCACUGGGCCAAGGCCCAGUUGGUUAGACCUUGGCAUUUUAAUCGUUCUUUAUUGGCUCUCUUUCCUUUAGCUAGCAAUAGAGAAUAGUCUAGUCAACAAUUUACUAUAGUUUUUUUUUGGGUUCAUAUUUACAAUAUGUCGUUAUGUUACAUGUCGAAGGAAAUGGUUGAUUUCCUCGGAGGAAUGCUUGGAGGAGUGAAGAAUUUGGAUGCUGGUCUUAGUUGUGUUUUGUAUGAAAGUUCUUUUGCAUUCAAGUUUUAAUUGAUGUCUCUAGGCCACUUAAACUUGGUUUGCUAAUUCGGUUUCGCACUAAUGAUGAUGUUCCUGUGCUCCUAGUGGUUUAUAAAAGGUUAUCAUAUUUUUGUUAAUAUUGCGAUUGUAUAGAUAAUUUAUUUCCAGAUUGUUCCGCAUUUGACUUAUCUAAAGUGGAGCAGGGUGUGGUCAUGGAGUAUGGAUGCAGGCUAAUGCUGGCAGUGUUUGUCGGAAGUCAGAGGGUCGUAGACAAGUAAAUCAUAGUGGUAGAGAAUUGGAUUUGGGAUAUCAUGAGGUGGUUUUUAACGCGACAAUAAAUGCUUCAAGUGUUACGAAUAAUCAUGAGAGUAAUGAUAUAAGAAAAGAGGAUAGUGGGAGAAAUGAGCAUGUCUGUGUGAAUAAUGCUUAUAUUUAUGAGAUAGUGAACGAGAGAAAUCAAGUUCAGUAAUAAAAAGACAAAUCGUGGAUGCGUUUAUAAGAAUUUCAAAUUUUGAUUGUAUAUGUGUUUUACAACCUUUUAUUACUAAUAGUCACUUGCCUAAGGAAACAAAGAAGGCAUCAUGCGCAGAAUUUGUUAAAGAUUUUGUGAAGGAUUGAAUGGAGUUGAUGGUAGUGACGUGGUUGGCCAUGGGCCUUAUGUGCCCCAAACUGGAGCUAUGGCUUCUUGUCUUGGUGAUGAUUCGAGUGACAAAAAUGAAUCUAGUAAUGUUGCAAGAUUGAAAAAUUAGAGAGAGUAAAGAGAAAAAAUUUACCACAAUGUGAAGGGGCUAUGAAAAGGAAAAAAUGAAAGCGACUGGCACGAAAAAUUCUAAAAGAAAAAUCUCAUAUUUCUCUAACUUUGGGAUCUAAGUAUGGUAAUGAGAAGGAUAUUAGAGAUUGGUCUAAUCAAUGGAAAUGAGGCAGGAUGGUUGCUAUUGAAUCGGAGGACGGUGAUGAUGGCGUUUGUGCAGACAAUAAUUUGGUUGUGUAGUCUAUGGCUUUGUCAAAUUUAUCAACAAGAGUUAACGUUGAUCAGCCCCACCGAUUGCCAUGAUAUCCUAACCUAAAAUGUCCAAGGUUUAGGGAAUCCUUUGGAUCCCACACUCUUUAUAAAAUGCUCCGUGAGGUUAGACCUUCUGUUGUCUUUUUAUGCGAAACUAGAUUAAUGGCGGCAAAGAUGAAUUGUAUUAGUAUGACAUUGGGUUUGGACAAUUGUUUAGAUAUUGAUUUGGUUAGUUUUUGGAGUGGCUUAGCAUUACUUUGGAAAAAGAAAGCUCAGGUUGUUGUGAAUUCCUAUAGUACCCAUGCAAUAUAACAGUGAUCAAUUGUUAUGCUAACAUUAGAUAUAGCAUUAAAUGUUCUAGGUUUCAUUUACCCUACAAGGUCAAUCCCCACGUCAAGUUCUUCACUAAUUUUAUAUUAAGUAUUACCCUAUUCAAAUUAAGAUUCACUCAACUUGGGAAACCCAAUCUAAAACCUAGUAUUGUCUUAAUUUGUUCCACUAAGUUGGCCAUUUUCAAGGCUCUUUAUUAGCUAGUAUCCAUUAAAUGUGUGAUCAGCCAAAAUAGAGAAUUGAAAUAAACACAAUUAAGACAAAAUGCUAUAACAAAUACAGAGCAACACACCUAUGUCAGUCAAACAGAUCGUUUAUCACUCAACCACAACAAAUUCAAUUUGUGAUUUGCGAUAGAACAGUAAAUAAAAUUGUUUCAGCCAUCAAAUACAUCCCCAUAAUUAAAUAAACAACAAGAAGAUAAGAAGAAGAACUGAAGUAUGCUCGAUCUUAGUGAUAUCUUCUUUAUUUCCUCUUUGAAUCUUCUAUUACAUCCUUCGAUUUAUCUCUUAAUGUUUUGUUUUCUUAUUGUUUCUUUUCGGUAUUCCCCUUAGGUGAUGGCUCUUUAAUUUUUUUCUUUUCAUGUGUGCUCAUUUUAUAACUUAGAAUUAAGGCAACUAAAAGUGUGUGACGCGUAUCCUCCAUUUUUAGAAACUUUAUAUCGCAAUAUUUUAGUUAUUGCGCACGAAAUCCAGUCUGUCAUUGCUCCAGGAUUGCUACAGCAACUGCUAUAGCAUCUUCAGUGUUCCAGACUUAUUUCAAUUCCUCUGCAGUCAAGAUAUUUUGUCACUUUUGCAAGUUUGUUGCAGCAACAUUUCAUCCUUAAAACUUGAGCUUUUCGGUCACCUACAAUUAUGCACAUAAUCUAAGCACAAAAUAAUCUAAAAACAAACUUAAUUUAUUAAAAAUAAAUUAAAAUGGAUGCUUAUGCCAAAUGUAACUAAUAUGUCAUAAAAAUACAUUAUUUACUUUCUAAGUAAUAUUGAUUUAAGUCUAAAAGUAUCAUGAUAACUUUCAGUUCAUAAAGUUAUCAAUUAGCAAAUUGAGUAAUUUGAAAUUAGCUUCCCAAGACUAAAUUGUUUACUUUCUUUUAGGAAUUAUCUCUAUAAAUUGUGAAUCUCACGUUGCACAUAGUCACUUGGAUGCAUCUUAAGAGAUCGCAAGAUAUCAUCUAAUGCUUGUUUACAUGGACCAUCCUUAAUAAAUUUAAUUUUAUCUUCACGAUUUUAAAAACCAUUCCUAAAGUUGUACAAUACGCUUCACAAGAAAGUCUUUCACAUUUAUGAUAUUUAGAGCCAAUCCAUUUAGCUCUUCUUUUUUUAGCAAAUAAUAUCAUAUAAGUCCAAUGAACCAAUUAACACAUACAAUCCAUUCUUCUUUUCACCUUUCAUCACAAUAGAACCCUCCUUAGUCACUUUUAUGCCAUCACUAUCUAACUUAAAUGAAUAUCUAGAGCUGUCCAACAUGCCUGAAGAGAUCAAAUUUCCCUUUAACUCAGGAGCAUGUCUAAGCCUAUGUAAAGUUAUGAUGAUCCCAUCAAAUAUUUUAAUCUUAACAAACCUUAUUCCAACAAUUUAACACUUAUUGGUGUUUCCCACAAAACCUCUACCACCAUCAAUAAACUCAUAUUGAUGAAAAAGUGACUUAUUAGGCAUAUGUGAAAAGAACAACCCAAGUUUAAUACCCACUGACCUUCUAAGUUGCCUUUUGAGGUUAUAAAUAUAUCAGCCCUAUAAUAACCAUCAUCAAAGGAGAUAUUUAAAGCCACAGCCACACCUCCUAACCUUUAUUGACUUUCCUUCUUAUUUUUCUCUGCACUUUCUCUGAUGUAAUGCAUUUGUUUCUUACAAAAAAGCAUUUCCUCUUGUUUUUCUUCUUUUUGCAUUCUCUUGGUUCUUUCCUCUUUUUGAUUCUUGUUCUACUGUUCCUUCUUCUUUCGGUUCUGGCAAUUAGCCCUUCACCAUUACUUACUUCACGGCCAUCAUGCUUUUCAAUCUCUUUUGAGCUUAGUGAUGUCGUGACAUCUUCCAAAGUCAAGGUUUUCUUCUAUACAACAUUGUAUCCACAAAACCUUCAUAUGAUUGUGGCAAUGAACUUAAAAAGAAAAUGAUUUUGUCUUCAUCUCUAAUCUUCACAUUUUCAACCUCUUCAAGAUCAAGAAUGAUCUUGUUGAAAGUGUCAAUGUGUUCUUAAAUAGACACCCCUUAUAUCAUUGAAAAAGUGUACAACUGUUUCUUCAAGAACAACUUGUGAGCCAAAGAUUUCUUCAUACAAAGGCCUCCACCUUAUUCUAUAUCCCAAGGUAUGUUUUUGUUUAGAGAUUUCCCUCAAGAUUGAGUCAGUAAGACUCAAAAUUAUUGUUUUGAAGGCUCUAUUUUAAAUAUGUUUCUUCUUUUCAUCAGGUUUAAAGCUUGUUGCCUUAUCAGGAUCUUCUUCUUCUAAGACGAAUUCAAGGCCCUGAUGCACAAGUAGAGCCCUCAUCUUCAUCUUCCAAAGUGAGAAAUCACCACUCAGCUUCGCAAUUUCUGGUUUUAAUAAGUGACAUGGUCAAGGUUCACUAAGUCUCUGAUACCAAUUAUUGUAAUUAAUGGUUAACAAUCAAGAACUCAACCAAUCUUUCGAGCUUUAAUCAAACAAGAUUAAUUGAAAUCAAGAUUGAAGAAAAACAUAGCAAGAACAAAGAAAUAGAACUCAAUCACAAAGAACAAACUUCUCUGUUUGAAGGGAAAAACUGGCACACUUUUACUAAUCCAGCUUAUCACAAAUUGAUCACACAUUACAAAAGAGGUUGCAAGCUUUAGAAAUAAACAAAAAGCACAUAAUUUGGUUAAGAAACAAGAGAGAAAAGGUUCACACAUUAGAGGUUGUGCACUAGCCUAUUUAUUUUGGAAAUUUUCAAAAACUAUCUAACAACCUUUAACGAACUAUAGCCAUGUCAGCAAAAAUUUACAAAACGACCCUAAGCUAAAGUCGAUCUGUACAAUGGCCCAACAAAUCUCCUUCAUUUUACUUUAAUUCCCAAAAACAGAAUAUAUAUCUUCACAUUUAUAAUGGUUGGCUUAAAAGAAAAUAUAGAGAUUGUAUAUAAAAUAAAAAACUACUAAAUUGUAAAAAUGAAAAAUAGGCAAACUCAAAAAAUAAUAAUAAUAAUAGGUUCAAAAACUCGCUUCAAACUUGUUAUGACAUAUACAUUCAUUCAAAUAACUUAAUCAAUUUCACUCAUCAAAUCUCUUAAUUCAUAGUUGUCACUAACAUCAUCAUGCAAAGUUGCUAACGCGGUGUAGCGUAACUCAAAACCAAAGAUAAUAUAAGUCAUCAUGUCAUCCAAUGUCAAAUGAUCAUACAAGAUGCCUAGAAAACUUUAAUAAUCUUUUUAAUUUUUUUUAUAAAAAUACCUCACCCUCAAACUUAUUCUAAACAUUAUCCUUAAUGUUUCUUAUUCUAAAGAAGUGCAUGUCAAUGUGUAAAAAUACAAAGAAGAUAUGAAUGCCAAUAGUAAGAGAAAUAAGUAGGAGAGAUUGCACCUAAAUUGGCGAUCGCUCUUAAAUUGGCUGCAAAAUAUUCUAGAAAAAAAUCUAAAGAAAACGUUAAAAUAAAUAUAAAGAAUAAAAUACAAAAAGCAAAAUAUUAGAGGUUUUUAAUCUAUAAAAGGAUGAUGGUAGUGAUACUCUUUAAUGUCAUACAGCUUAGGCCACACCUGUCUUAAGCUUAUUUGAAAGCUAUCUUACUACUUUAUUCAUGUCAAAAUGUGACUUAUCUUGUGCUGCUUUAGGAAGUAGCUCUAGUUUGAAUGGUUUUUCUUCAAGAGGAAAUAGCUUAAUCUUUUCUUUCCACUUAGUUAAAACCAUGAUAUGGGCAAAGAAAGUAAAAUAUUAACUUCUAGGAAAAUUAUCAUUCGUAUACUUUAAAUUUGUACUUUUAUCAAAAAUACUACAACAUUUUAAGGGUGUAUGAAUCGUCCACCUUAAAUUGACAAACGUUAUCUACCGACCACUAAACCUCUAGCUACCAUUUGAAAGUUAAUGGAACUAUAGUGAAUUGACGAUUUUACCCUUGAAAAUUAUCACUUGUAUACUCUUAAAAUCUCUUAUUAUCAUUUAGAUACCCUUAAAUUAUCACUUGUAUCAUAUGAAAAUACCAUACUACCCCUCUAAUGUUAUCAUAUUUAAACAGCAACUAACGGUUUGGUAGACGGUAGAUAUAUUUUGUCAACUUAGGGUGGACGAUUGAUAUACCCUAAAAGUGUUGUAGUAAAUUUGAUAAAAGAGUAAACUAAGGGUAUACGAUUGAUAAUUUCCCUAACUUCUAAAAUAGCACUAUCAACAUCAAAAGAUAAAACAAAGUGAAUUAAGUAUGUCUUUAGAAGAUCAUCAUAAUGGUUAGAAAUAAAUCAAUCAUUAACUUGUGCUUCUAUCAUAUCUACUUCAACACUUCAUCAUCUUCUUGUGCCUGCUUGAGAACAUUAAAAAUAUUCAAUUUCAUACCCGUGUUACCAACAGACAAUUGCAUGUUUCUAGUCCUACAACUAAUAUAAUCAUCUACUAUCGCCCAAAAAGGACAACUUAAAAUAACAAGAGUGUGCUUUGUAUGAUUCUGCACAGGUUGAGUAUCAAUAAUAAUAAAAUCAAUAGAAGAAUAAAAUUUAUCAAUCUGCAUGAACACAUCCUCUAUAAUACCACAAGAUAUUUUUAUUGACCUAUCAGUAAGUUGUAAAAUAAUAGAAAUUGAAUGUAAUUGACCUAGCCCAAGUUACUUAUAAACAGAAUAAGGCAAAAUAUUAACACUAACUCGUAGAUUCAACAAAGCUUUAUCAAACAAUUAGAUCCUUAUAACAUUUGAGAUAGUAAAAGAACCUAAAUCCUUAAAUUUUGGUCGCAUUUUAUAUUGAAAUAAAUUGCUAGUUUGUUCAAUUAGAAAUGCCUUCUUAAUAACAUGCAAAUUUCUCUUUCUAGUCUUCAAAAACUCAGCAUAUGAGGAACGUUGCUUGAUAGCGUCAUGUAAAGCAAACUUUAUAUUUACCUACUUGAAGAUUUUCAUGAUCUCACCUGUUUUUUUUUCUCUCUCUCUCUUCCUUUCUGCCAUAAAAUUACUUUAUUGAUUGAAUUAAUUUCCAUGCUAAAACGAAGACUUAAAAAGUACACUACAUUUUUUUAUAAUAAUCCCAAUGGUAAUUCCGACCGUUACGUUAUAAUACUGUCGUGUCAAAAUAAAUUAUAACAAAAUUUUAGUUCGACUUAUUUAUUUUUUUGAAAUUGAUUAAUCAUCAUGUUAUUAUAUUACAUAGAGAUAUAUAUAAUUGUUAUGACAAUAGAUCAUUACACUGAUAUUUACAAUCAGAUAUAUAUACAUGAAAUUUAUAUUAUUAUAUUUUUAUUUUAUGAAGUACAUGUUCAUUCAAAUACUCCUCACGGAGGAGAGAUGUCUUUACUCCACUCGUAUUUUAUAAGGAAGAAAAACAUUAUAAAAAAUCUCCACAUAAUUAUAUUUGAUUGAGAGAAGUUGAGUCCGUAGAGACUAUGAUUCACCACUGAACUACAAGCUCAAAUAACAAAUUCGACUUAUUUAGUAAAUAGAUAUACUUAAUAAAAUAACAAAACGAUUAAUGUGUAUCAAUGAUAUAGACACAACUGAAAUAACUCAUAAUGUGAAAACAAGAAAAGUCCCGCCACCAAUAAUUCAGAGGCAGGCCCCACCGCCAUCAAUAAUUCAGCAAGCUUCACAUGCUUCUGCUUGACGAACCGGACAUGGGUGGACCAAGCACCAUUGAAUAAUUGCAAAAAAAUGAAAAAUAAAAAUCAGUGUCCAGCAAAAAGAAUCCAUAUUCAUGUGUUGCUUCCUACUCAGUACAUCUACUUAGCAUUUAAAAAAAAAUGGAAGUAGAAAUUAAAACUCACUUUUUUAGAUAUGGCUCAUAUAUAUUACAAGUAUCAAGAUUUAAUUAAAGUUCACAUAUUUACAAUGUGUCUAGUUUUAAUUGAGAGAUAAAGUGAUAAACUAUUCAUUAAUAAUGAGGUUUUUCUAAAUGAUUGAAUAAUGAUAUUAAUUAUUGAUAUUUACAAAAUUUCUAAGAAGUGAUAGCUAAUACGUUGGGGAUAUGUAUUUGCGCGGAAUGGCAAACAUAGGGAAUAGUAAUAAAAAUAGUGGAAUUAAUAUGAUGAAAAAAGGUAAACAGUAGAAAAUUAAUAUGUAAUUCGAGGCGCGUUACAAAUAUCACUUUUUUUAAGACAUUAUUUACGCCCACCAAUUAAGUGAUGCAUAUGAGUUAAACAAAUAUAUCUCUAUGAUAUAAUGAAACGCUUCUUCAUUUGUUUGCGUUGUGUAUCGAAUAAAGUAAACCUGAAUAUAUAUAUGAAUGUUGCAAGCUUGCUAAGAAUCAAUAUGUUGAUUCUGUUGAAAAACAAUGUAUUGGAUAUUUGAUGCAUAAAAAAUAGAUGUUAUUUGAUUAAAUUCAUUUUAGGAAAUAGGGCUAAUAAAAGAGUGGUGUAGGAUUAUCUUAUUCAUAUCUAAAAUUUUAAAUAUAUUGAUUUAUUUAUUAUGGUGACGUAAUAGUAAUUAUAAAUUAAAAAUAAAUUUAUUAUUAAAAUAAAUAAAAUUUAUUAAUAAAAAUAAGGGUCAUAUAUCUUUUUUAAAAUGUUAAAAAAAUUUAUGUCCUUUUUUGGGAGUGAAUUUUCUUUUCUCAUUAAGCAAAACCCACCGCAAAAGUGAAAAGAAAAAAUAGAGGCCACAAAACAGAGCCCACUACAAAUAUAUAAUCGGAGGAGCUCAUGAUCAUGCCUAUGCUUUACAUACUAAAUUAAAUAAAAGCCGAACCAAGAAUCUUGCAUUUGCUUAACAUGCUUAAUUAGGCACUACUUCAAAGAGAACUUGAAAGCAACGAACCCUUUUGUUAAUCUUAAAUGUCAGGAAUCUAAUUAGCUUGGAAUAAAGCUACAUUCUUCUCCUCUGACCGUCUCUUGAGGUUUAUUUCAAAAGUUUGAAGAGAAUUUAUCAAUUCUUCUUAUAAAAGCAAGCUAAAUUAAAGGAUUUUAAUCUCUCUUCUUAUUACUAUAAGUGCACUGCAUUUUUUUAUAAUCAACAAUGUCAAUUUGUAGUGUAAUGUUAUAUUCAUAUUUCUGUCGCGUCGAAAUAAGGUAAAACAAAAUUUUAAAUAACACAUAUUCGACUUGUUUGUAAAAGGUAUAUAUUUAAUAAGCUAAUACCUUAAUUAACAUAACACUAUUAUUACGCUAAAUGAAAUAAAAGAUGGUACCCACCACCAAUAAUGACAUUAGCAAGCUCCGCAUGCUCGUGUUUUAGGAACUAGACAUUGGUUAAUUAAUCAAGGAUAACGAAACAAUUUCAAAAAACAAAAUAGAUACUAUGCAUUUUCUUUUUUUAGUCGUACAGAAAAUGGGACUAAUUUUCAGAAAUUUUCAAAUUCACUCUUUUACAAAAGCCAUACAAAAUGAUUUCCUUUAUAUUUUGAAACAUUCUAUGGAAUCAAAUAAUAGUGAUACAAAGAGCGCAAAGUAGUAAUUCUCUUGUUGUAUUUUUUUUUUCUUUUUUAAAAGGAGAUGGUGUGGUUUGGUUGUUUGCAAAAUUAUUGGUGUGGGAUCUAUUUGUUUUCAAUUUCACUUUAUUAAUUAAUUAGCAAAGCAAACAUGUAAUCAUUUGUAAUGGGGCCACUGGCAUCGGAUUAUAUAAGAUGAAUUCGUAAGGCUUACUAAUUUCGAUUAAAAGGUAGCGUUAUUAAAUUAUUAAUUCAUUAACUUGAGUACCAAUAUUUCCUAACUGUGGUGAUUAAUUUAUUUAACUUGUUAUAAUUUUCAAUUGAGAAUGAACUUCAAUUAAUGUAUGAAAAAUUAAAAAGAUAACUUUUCUUUUUUUUUUUUCAAAUUUUUAAUUCCUAUGAUUUGAUUUCACUCUUUUUGUCGAUUAUUGACUUGUGAGAGCUUGUUGAAUGUCAUCAAAUGCUUAUAUCUCUUAUCCAAAUUGGCAGAUAUCAUUUGGUUUCUUUAUAGGCGGCAAUCACGAAUGAAAGUAACAACCCCACCAUAUAUCGAAAAUUAAUUUUAAGAAUUUUUUUACUUGAAGUCUUUGAAAAGAAAAAUUAAUCAGAUUAGAUUAGCGAUAUACAUAAAUUCGGUACCAAUUUAAAAAUGCGAGCAUGAUUUAAUAAGAAAGGAUGAGAAUUGAUCAUGUCCCAAAAGACUCAAAAUAAAAUUAUACAAAAUUACAUGCAGGCAUAUCAUAUGUUAAUCUUAAUUUUUUUUGCGGCUGAAAAUUAAUUAAUUAAUUCCACUACUUCUUUUUUUUAAUUGUAUGGUGUGUAACACAUAGUGAAUUAUGUUGUAUAUUUGUUAAUUCAAAGAAAUAAUACUUUUGUAUCCACCAAACUUUAUUAAUAUUCUUCAUCAUUAUGGUUAAUGGCUUAGCAAAUUUAGGAGGAGGAGUCAGCCAAAAUAAAGUAUUUUCUAUUACAUUAACCUUUAUUAAUUGCAGAAGUUAAAAAAAAUUAAAACGAGUUAAAACAGUUCCAACUCAAAAUCAAUAGUUUAUAACGCAGGGGUGUAAAAAAUAUCUGUCCGGACUGAAUUCGGACCGGAUCCGAGCUAGUUUAGGGAUGUGCCGGUCUAGUCUCGGGCAUCAUUGGAGAAGUCCAAUGUCCUCCAAGUCCAAGGUCCGGCCAAGAACUUAAAUUUUAUAGAAAAAAUAAUAAAUAUAUAUUAUUGUAAGUAAUUAUGUUUAUUUGACUCGUCUAUUACAUAUAUUUAAAAUUUUAAACAUUUAUAUUUUGUGUCCAGUUUCAUUUAAAUAAGAUUUAAAAAUUAUAAAAUUAUGAAAUAAAUUUAAAAAAUACAUUCAUACAUAUAAUGUUAUAAAAUAUAAAAUCCAACCUUUCUAGGGUGAAAUAAAAAGCCUAGCCCAAUGUGUCCAAAAAAUAUGUCUGGGUUGGAUCCAGGCAUUGCCAUACCUGAACUUGACCCCGAGUUUUGCAAUUAUUCUAGAUCGUUAUAAAUGUUUCCAAAUUUCAGUCUAAUUUACUUGUGUGAUGCAAAAAUUACCUUUAUCACUUUUUUCAAAUAAAUACUCAUAAAUUUCACCUAAAUUGUCACCCAAAAAAAGAGAAAAAUCGUGUAGUUAAUUUUUCUACUUCUUUACUCUAUUAUUUAAUGGGAAUAUAAUAAGUUAGGAGAAAGGAGAAAUUAAGGAGAAAAUUAGAGUGCUUGUUCAAAUGAUAAAAACUCAUGCAAAUGCGUAUUUCAGAUGUAAGUGUGGCAUUCAUUAAUUUGACAAAAAAUAAGUGAAUUUAUUUAUAUUUUAAUCCAAAUCGAGGGAUAUAAACAAAAUUUUCCCGCUCCAGAUAUUUAUCAUUUUCUUGUUAGAAAAAAAACUGCAUAAAAUUAAGGAACCAGUAGGCACUGAAAGAGAGAAACAGACUGAGAAGAGAUCAAAAGAUGGAUUUGGAACUGAAAGAGAGAAACAGACUGAGAAGAGAUCAAAAGAUGGAUUUGGAACUGAAAGAGAGCUUGGGCUGAUCAUUCAUGAUAAUAUUCCGCGUUCGCUAUUAUAGAGACGAAAGUUUGCUUUUUGUAUGGUUCUCCACUGACGGUGCCAAAUGUCGACGCCAAAAUUUGGACUAGUUAGUUACAUAUUGGAAACCAAAUUUUGCGUCAGCAUUAAAUUUAUUUGUUAGGGAAGCGACUUACCAAUCACCAAGGACGCCCUGCGAUCACUAGCAAAUAACUCUCAAAUACCUGAAAUCAUAAAAAAAAUGGUAAGAGACGCCAGAAGUUUUUCCGGCGUGAACCCUCCAGUGUUCAAGUCAGUUAUCGGGUUUACAAGAGAAACAAAAUAUGCAAUUUCUAGUUUUUUUAAAAAAUAAUCUUAAGUCAAUGUAAUAGAAAAAUCAAAAUUGAGAAAGAAAGUUGAACCUCCCUCUUUAUUCAUUCCCCUAGGGAUUUUUUUAUAAAGGUUUAAGUUUCCCCCCACUCCAACCCCCCCAAAAAAAAUCUUUGUGAUCAUAAGAUGGAUGAGAUAAAAUAUGAGCCCCCAAAAUGAUCUCAAUCAUGGAGGAGUCCUCCCUGGUUUGUUGCCCUAUUUUCUUAUUUGUUCUCCUCCACUCUCGAAAGUUAAGAAUGAGAUAAAAGUAACCUUUUCACUCUCUAUUUUUUCCUCCAUUUUUUUUCCUCACCAAAUAGUUACGAAUUUAAAAUAUGAGUAUGAUUUAAUAAGAGAGAACGAGAAUUGAUAAUGUCCCAAGAGACUGAAAAUAAAAGAUUACACAAAUUUGCAUGCAGGCAUAUCAUAAGUUAGUCUUAAUUUUUUGUUGUUCAAAUAAUAAAUUAAUUCCACUAAUCCUUUUUCUAAUUAUAUGGUGUGUAACACAUUGGCCACUUCUGAAUUAUGUUGGAUAUUUGUUAACUCAAAGAAAUAGUACACUUUUCUAUCAAUCUAACUCAUUUUAUUAAUAUUCUUCAUCAUUAUGGUUAAUGGCUUGGCAAAUGUAGAAUAAGGAGUCAGCCAAAAUGAAUUACUUUCUCUUGUACUAACCUUUGUUAAUUGUUGACAUUAAAAAUAUUUUAAAAUAGUUCCAACUCAAAAUCAGUAGGUUGUAUGUAGAUUGUUAUAAAUAUUUCUAAAUUUCAGUCUAAUUUAAUUGUGGAUGCAUAAACUUGACUUUUUCACUUCUUUCAUGUAAAUGGAGGGUAGAACUAUUUGAACUCAUUAAACUACUUUUUAAAUUCCUUUACUCAUUAAACCCAUCAUGAAAAUUCAAAAAUCUUUGUGUAUACUCAUUGCACCUCUUAAUAUCACAAAUAUGAAUCAUUUGUCUUCACUUUUGUUUGUCUUCAACAUUCACAAAUUUUAUUUGAAUCUGCAAUAUUUUUACCACUAUUCAUUCAUUUAUUAGAGUUUCAAUAUAAGAAUAUAGAGAUUAAAAAUAUCAUUAACGAAUUAUUUCUUUGUUUUCUAUAUGAUAUUCUUGGUUUGGAAAAAGCUUCAUUGGCAAUGUAUGUAAAUAAAAGACUAAGAACUUCCAAUAAUCCACAUUUGAUGGAAACUUGUUAUACUUGUUUUCACUUUAAAAAAUAAAAGGAAAAUUAUCAUCCGUAUACUCUAAAUUUACAUUUUUAUAAAAAAUACUACAACACUUUAAUCGUAUUUCAAUCGUCCACUCUAAAUUGAUAAAAGUUAUCUGCCGACCAUUAAACCGUUAACUGCAAUUUAAAAGUUAACAGAACUGUAGCGAAUUGAUGAUUUUACCCUUGAAAAUUAUCACUUGUAUACCCUUAAAAUCUCUUAUUUUCACUUAUAUACCAUUAAAUUAUCACUUGUAUUAUAUGAAAGACCAGAUUAUUUCUAUGACGUUAUCAUAUUUAAACAGUAACUAACGGUUUGGUGGACGACAUAUACAUUUUGUCAAGACGACUGAUAUACCUUGAAAGUGUUGUAGUAAAUUUGAUAACGAAGUAAAAUAAGGGUAUACGAUUGAUAAUUUUCCAAAAUAAAAUAAAUAAAACAAAAGAAAUUCUUGUGUUUUAAAAGAAAAAAAACUUCUAAAACAACUAUAAACCAAACUAGGUUUGACGUGGUGAGUUUUGGAUCAUAAAGAAUACAUAAUUGAAAUUUCACCUAAAUCAAAUAAUGAAUUUCAUAACAAUGGAUUUAGACUAUAGACCAGUAUACAUAGAAUUGGAUGUUCUUGGCAUUUGUUCUUGAAGUUGUUUUGCCCAAAAAAGUUAACUAUUGUCCUUAGGAGUAAUUUUGGUUAGGGAGAAAUUUGUAAUAAAUUUUUUAAUGAAUUAAUAUUUUUUGUGAGUAAAAUUAUGGGUUCAUAUACACUCAUUCAUAAAUAAUUAUUCAUAAAUUGAACCCUUCUUUUAUGUUGAUGCACAACCUAAUUUAACAAAAAUAAUGUUCAAAUUGUCAUAAAAUUUUAAAAAAAUCAUUAAGCUAAUUUUUCUUCUACUUCACUCCAUUAUUCAAUGGGCAAAUAAUAAUUUAGGUGAGGGGAGAAAUAAUGGGGAAAAUUAUAGUGAUUGUCGCUAGAUACACCGGUACAAAUGCUUGGGUGUGCGCGCGCGUGCAACGUUCUUUAAUUUGGCAAAAAAUAAAUGAAUUUAUUUGUAUUUUUAAUCAAAUUCAAGUGUCCAAACAAAAUUUUUCUGGGAAAAAGAUAAACAUGUACACCCUCAAUAUUUAAAUAAAGAGAUAAAAAUAUUCCUAACGUUUUAAAAAAAUAUUUACACCUUAAUUUACUAACAAAAACAGUAAUUUUUAACAAAAAUUACUAUUAUACCCUUUUAACAUAUAAAAAAAUUAUAUAUACAAGUUUAAUUUAUAAUAUUAAUACCAUAAAAUUUUAUUUAAAUUUUAAACUUAUAUAUUUAACAAUUCUCCACAUGUUAUUAUUUAAAUUUGUAUAUUUAUAACUAAUUUUUUAUGUUAUUUAUUAUGGUAUUUAAAAUUGAAAUACAAGUCAUUAAUAACUAAUUUUAUUUAUUUUUAUUCUUAAGUAAUGAAUUAAAUUUAUUUAACUUGAAGAGAGAAUUUGAUAAAAAUUUAAAUAAAAAAAUUGAAUAAUGAGGAUAUAUUUAUAAUUUUAUUAAUAAUAUAUAGAUAAAUUAAAUAAUUAAUAAUUUUUUAUAUACUAUAAAGGUAUAAUAAUAAUUUUCAUUAAAAAUUACUGUUUUCGUUAAUGAAUUAAAAUGUUAAUUUUUUUUUAAAAUGUUAAAGAAUUUUUACCUCUUUACCUAAACGUCGUGACUGUAUUUUGCCCUUUUCCCAAAUUUUCCACUCUGGAGUCGACAUUUAUCAUUUUCUCGUUAACAAAAAAAAUUGCAUAAAAUUAAAAAACCAUCAGGCACUGAAAGAGGGAAACAAAGAAGAUGGAACCUAAAGAAGAAACCCUAGCAACAAUCCCAGAAGAAGAAGAAGAAGAUGGAGACACGGUUAUUCCCGACGUUGAGAACAACCCUAAACCAACAACAAAAGACAACUCUUCGGACUCGAGCGAUGCCUCUGACUCAGACUCCGACUCGGACUCUGAAUCAGAAGACGAAGCAAAACAGAGCAUGGAGCUUCAAACCCUACAGUAUCAACUAUCCAACGAACCCUCCAAUUACGACACCCAUGUUCAAGUAACUUCAAUACACAUAUUUAUUGAGUGAUUUUGUGGAUACCCGUUUGCUUGUUCUUCUUGGGUUGCGAUAAAAAUGGUUUUUAUUUUUAUUUUUUCAGUAUAUAAAGGUUUUGAGAAAAAUGGGUGAGAUAGAGAAGUUGAGACAAGCAAGGGAAGCCAUGAAUGAGAUUUUUCCAUUGACUCCUGCUAUGUGGCAAGAAUGGGCGAGAGAUGAAGCCUCUAUUUCAACUGGGUAUCUGUCAUUUCCUUUUUGCAGUGGUUUUUGAUUUAACAAAUGUUUUUUCGCUUAGAGAUAUGGAUGUUUAUGCUAGUUAUUUGCUAAUGUAAAAAGGAACAAAACCUGCUUAAAAGGUAUUAAAGAAAGAAAAAAAAAAAGAACCAAUUUGAAGAAGGGGAUACUUAUGGUGGGAGUUCUAUUCUUUGGGGUUUAAUUGAUGGGAAGAAGAAAUAGCUUAUAUGUUUACAGAAUUAGACAUUUGAUCGCGGAGUUAGUUGAGGUAGAUAAUUAAUCAGAAUGUCGGAUGUUUUUUCUGUUGGCCUCAGCUAAUUGUUAAGAUUUCAUACUUUUUUUCUGGUUUUACAUAGCUGUGACCUAAAGCUUAAUGUAUAUAUUGAUAAUUACACAAUCCGUUUCUUGCUGAUACUUGGCUUUAAUUUGUAGACCUGAGGCUCUUUUGGGAGUUGAGAAGAUUUACGAAAGAGGAGUUUCUGAUUAUCUGGUUUGUUCCCUUUAUGCUUACAGAAUUUGAAUUAACACUAUGCAUGAAUUUAUGAUUCUUUUUAUUUUUUAUUUUUUAUUUUUUGAGAAAGAUUUUAUCAAAUUGAAGCAUUGUAGUAAAGCGUACUAGUUGUAAUCUUGAUUCACUUUGUUUUUAUUUUAUUACCAAGAGGUGCUAACAGUUCAUGAUGCACAAAAGAUUGGGGGGGGGGGGUUGGGGGAAUCUUGUUGGUACAUACAUAAAUUUUAGUACCAAAAAAAUAAUUUUACAGUGGCUGAAGAGCAGCAUUUUCAUUUAUAUGAAAGUUGAAUUGUUGUAUCAUCUGUUUCCGUCUCCUUUGCGGUAAAUAAAGUCCUUGAUGAUGGCAAUAAGAAUCACAGAAGAAGUUGUUAAGUUCAUAUCUGGAGAUUUUCAUCAUAGCAGUUCAUUGAAAGUGAAGGCAGCUGAAAACACUUUUUUCUGAUGCAGUCUGUCCCUCUUUGGUGUGAUUAUUUGAAAUUUGUGCAAGAAUAUGAUCCAUCUAUAUGCGAAUUUUUACCCGAUGGCUUUUGAAAGGCAAGGAAUUUAUUUGAGCGGGCUAUUACUGCUGCUGGUCUGCAUGUUUCAGAAGGCAGUAAAAUAUGGGAAUUGUACAGAGAAUUUGAGCUAGCCAUAUUUUGUAGGAUCGAUGAGACUAACUUGAAGGUGAGAUAUUUCAAUUUAUUUUACUUUUUAUUUGGGGGGUUAAAUAACGAGUUUAUUGCCAUCUAAAGAAAGAAAAAGGGAAGACUUUUUUUUUUGGGGGGGGGGUUGCCAACCCUAGCACAUGAGAAGCAUUCCAAGAUCCUUCCUGCUUGUUUUGCAGGAAAAGGAAAAACAGGUUCAGCGGAUUCGAAGUAUAUUUCGUCACCAGUUGUCUGUUCCCCUUGCUAACUCAAGUACAACUUUUCUUGCCUACAAGUCUUGGGAGGUCGAACAGGGGGCUGUUCUUGAUGUUGAAUCUAGUAAUCUAGACGGAAUGUCUUCUAAUGUUGCCUCAGCAUACCAAAAGGCAUUGGAGAUGUGUAAUGCACGAGCUUAUCUUGAAGAGCUGAUUUCCAGGCAGGAUUUAUCUGACUCAGAGAAAUUUCAGCAAUACAUGGUAGAUGACUUUACUAUCAUCAUUUGAUAGCUUUUUAUAAUAAGUAAAAUCUAGCUGUAAAAAUUUAUUAAUUUCAACUUUUUUUUGGUGGAUUUCUUCUUAUGGCAUUAGUAUUUUGGUUUUUGGUAGCUUACAAAUAAUAUCUGCACUUUAAAUAUCAUCUGUUGUUUCUUAGCAAAUAAUAGUAAUAAUAAUAAGUAAUAAAUAAUUAAUAUCUGCUCUUUAACUCUUUGGCCCGGGGGGGGGGGGCGCCUGGGGGAUGCAGUGUCAUUAUUUUCCUUCUUCUCCUUUUUCUGUUUUGUGCUUUUUCAAGUCCAAUAUUAUUAGAUUAAUCUGUUAUUGUGGUAGAUAUACUUGAACUAUGAGCAAUCUUCUGGAGAUCCUGGUCGAGUUCAACUUCUUUAUGAACGUGCUAUUACCGGCUUUCCUGUAUCAAGUGAUCUCUGGCUUGAUUAUACUCGUUAUCUUGACAAAACAUUAAAGGUUUAUCCUUCUAUUUUCUAUUUUAAUUCUUCUGUUGCAGCUUUUUGUAUACUAAUCCACUCUCCUCUUCAGGUAGGUAAUGUUGUGAGAGAUGUUUAUUCCAGGGCUACAAGAAAUUGUCCCUGGGUUGGAGAACUUUGGGUACGAUCUUUGCUUUCUCUGGAAUGUAGCUGUGCUUCUGAGGAGGAGAUAUCCACUGUAGGUUUAAUUGUUACCCUUCAUUCUGAGCUUAAUCUAUUUUUCUGAAUGUAAUUAAUUUUGAUUGUUUGAAGUUAAAGAAAUAAUCAGCUUCCUAGGCAAAUUUCUUGGCAAGCACUUGAUUGUGGGAGUAACUGAGGAGAAGCAUUCCCUAGUGUUUUUUUGUUCUUCCCCUCCCCUGAAAUUGCACUAUAUUUCCCUUGAAGACUAAUUUUUGCUUUAGCAUUUACACUUCUGUACAGAAGCAAACAUGAAUCAGAGAGAUUUAGUGGGCAAAUACACCUGGGCAAAAAAAUUAAUGCAUAUUAAAUACCGUGGUGGUUGUUGGAAUGCUUCAAAAAAAGUGUUUUCUUGGUGCUCCUGCUCCUUUUAUACUUUCAUAGCAUUUUAAUAACUGGGUUGUUUAAACGUCUUGUACUUAUUUUCUUUACAAAUGUCUGUAUUUUUUAAAUUUAUACAAGAUUUUUCUAAUUAUAUUAAUAGCAAUAAAUUGCAUAAACUCAAAUCUUAAUUUCAUUCUGCCCCUAUUGCAUACAUAUGGGAUUCACCCAUUAUUUCAUCAAAUUUUCCGUUGCUAAUUUCAGGUCUUUGAGAAGUCCCUACUAUGUGCAUUUUCAACCUUUGAGGAGGUAAAGAUAUAAAUUUAUGUCUACUGUACAUACCUUGAUUUCUUGAGCUGUAUGAUUUGGUAUAUAUCUACUUCUGAUUCAUCAUGUAUUUUUUUGUUAACUGGUUCUUUUUUAUUUCAGUACCUAGAUCUAUUCCUUACUUGAAUAGAUGGUUUGAGGCGGAGAAUUUUAUUCUCUGGUGAAGUUGAGGGCGUCUUGGAUUAUUCAUUGAUAAGGGAAACUUCAGGUUUGUAAACUUAUACCGUUUGCUAUUCAAUAUUAAAAUUGGUUAUACUCCUUAAUAUCAAGAAAUUGAAGCUUUCCAAAUCAUACCCAAAAAAUGCUCAAUUGUGAAUUACUGGAUGGAGCUAGUUGCUAGAUGAUACUUCUAAGAUUCAAGACAAAUGUUGUUUUAUGUAUGGCUAUCAAGUACUUUGGCCCACAAUUGUGGCAUAUUGGUCUUAUGCCAGCAUCAGGUAUAACAUUGUGUCUGGCAUAUAUACCAUUGGAAUUCUGGGUUUCUGUUGAAUGGGCUCCAACAGCUAUAUCUGUGUCCAAUGUUGUGGGGUCCUCUUCUUUGGUGCUUUUAAGUGAGGUUUUAAGUUUUCUUGUUAAAAUUUUGUUACAUAUCAAGUAGAAGGCACUGCACUGAAGCAUUGGUACUUCUAGAUCGCUUGUUCUGGAUGGUAGAUUUCAAUCCAUUGCUUUUAUUUCUUGGAUCAUGUGUAUCAUUGAGGACUUUCCUGGCCAGUGAUAGAGCUGGUAGGGGAAAAAAGUCAAAAUUCCUAUGGGAUGCUUUCUGACUUAGGGAAGAUGUCUUCAACAAUUUGUGGAUUUAAGUCUUCACAUGAUGUUAACUCUUGAUAGUCUAACCUUGGUUCAGGAUGUAUAGCUGUCUUCAAAGUUUGUGCUCAUAAACGAGUAACCUCUCUGUCUUUAUGAUACCAGUUAAAUUUGUUAGCUUUCUAGGAUUUGGAGGGUGUAAAUGUCCAUAAACAACAAUGUAUUCUCUUCCUUACAGCGUGCAUCAGAUUACUUGUCAGAACAGAUGAAGAGUACCAACGGUUUGCUGCAUUUGUAUGCUUAUUGGGCGCGUCUUGAACAAAGUAUGGGAAAAGAUAUGGUUUCAGCUCGUAGUGUCUGGGAGAGGCUACUUAAGAUCAGGUUCAACAAUUUUAAUUUUUGCCAGUGCAUACAUAGCAUAAUUUCUUUAUAUCUAUAUAUAUUUUCAGAUAACUUAUGCUUCUCUUAAUGCAGUGGUACAAUGUUGGAAGCCUGGCAAAGUUAUAUAUCUAUGGAAAUUGAAUUGGGUCAUAUUAAUGAAGCUAGAUCCAUCUACAAGAGAUGCUACAGUAAAAGAUUUACAAGAACAGGUUCAGAGGUAAAUUUCCUUCGUCCAGCUUCUUUAAUUAAUAUUAACUGCUUGACAACGUACCUUGUUGUUUCCAUCUUGUUUGUUUAAUUGGUCUUAUUUGUAAACACCUGAAAUCAUACAUCUUAAUUUCUGAUAAUUAGAUGUUAUUUUAGAUAUCUGUAUCUGUUAACGUUCUUUCAAGUCUAAUUCCAAUGCAUAUUUAGUUAAACUGCUCUUUACUGCAUUUUGGAUUAGUUAAUGUCUUCCUUUCCUAAAAAACAGAAUCAUUCAGGACAUAUGCCAUGCUUGGCUGUGAUUUUAACGGGAAUUUUGUAAUCAAAUUUUUAAUGAAUUUAUGGGUUUGUUGAGUAAAAUUAUGGGGUCAUACAGACUCACCCAUAAAUUGAACCCUUAUUUUAUGUUGAUGCAUAACUUAACUUAACAAAAAUAAUGUUCAAAUUGUCACAAAAUUUGAAAAAAAAAAAUCACAGUUAAUUUUUCUUCUACUUUACUCCAUUAUUCAAUGGGCAUAUAAUAAAUUAGGAGAGGGGAGAAAUAAAGGGGAAAAUUAGAGUGAUUGUCGCAAUGAUACACUGAUACAAAUGCUUAUGUAUGUGUAGUGUGUGUGUGUGUUGGUGGGGGGGGGGGGGUUCUUUAAUUUAACCAAAAAUAAAUGCAUUUAUUUGUAUUUUUAAUCAAAAUCGAGGGAUACAAACAAAAUUUUUACCACUCCAGAGUCUAGACAUGUAUCAUUAUCUCUUUUAAAAAAAAAAACAUUAGUAGCUGAAAGAGAGAAACAAAUUAAGAUGGAACCCAAAGAGAAAACCCUAGCAACAAUCCCAAAAGAAGAAGAAGAUGGAGACAUUGCCAUGCCCGACGUUAAGAACAACCCUAAACCAACAACAAAAGCAACUCUUCGGACUCGAGCGAUGCCUCUGACUCGGACUCUGACUCUGACUCAGAAGAUGAAGCAGAACAGAACAUGGAGCUUCAAACCCUAUAGUAUCAGCUAUCCAAUGAACCCUCCAAUUACUACACCUAUGUUCAAGUAACUUCAAUACACAUAUUUAUUGAGUGAUUUUGUGGAUAAUCAUUUGUUUGUUCUUUCUUGGGUUGCGAUAAAAAUGGUUUUUAUUUUAUUUUUCUUUUUCAUUAAAUAAAGGUUUUGAGAAAAAUGGGUGAGAUAGAGAAGUUGAGACAAGGUAGGGAAGCCAUGAAUGGGCGAGUGAUGAAGCCUCUAUUUCAACUGGGUAUCUGUCAUUUCCUAUUGCAAUGGUUUUUGAUUUUGUGAACAAAUGUUUUUUUGCUUAAGAGAUAUAGAUGUUUAUGUUAGUUAUUUGCUAAUGUAAAAAGGAACAAAACCUGCUUAAAAGGUAUUAAAGAAAGAAAAAAGGAACCAAUUUGAAGGGGAUACUUAUAGUGGGAGUUCUACUUUGGGGUUUAAUUGAUGGAAAGAAGAAAUAGCUUAUAUGUUUACAGAAUUAGACAUUUGAUCGCUGAGUUAGUUGAGGAAGAUGUUUAAUCACAAUGUCUGAUGUUGUUUCUGUUGGCCUGAGCUAGUUGUUAAGAUUUCAUACUUUCAUUCAACAAUGCAAUAGACUUUGGUUGGGUCCACCGUAGUUGGGUGUUCUGAGGAAUCAAUGAGUGUCUUGAGAAAACUUGGGCGGAGUGCUGGUCAUUUUCAGGAUUCAGUUUCCAAGAAAACAAAAACGAAGUCAAUAGUUGUAGUUUAAAUUAAUUUAUGUUUUUAUCUUUUUCAUUGAGCCCAGUGAGCUUUUAUUUUUACUUUGUUCGCUUUUGUUUCUUUCCCUUCUUUUCCUACUGUUUCUUGACAAUCAAACAGAUCAGGAUUAAGUGUUUACUUUUGGUGUAAUUAUUCACUCUAACUCGAAUAAUACUUAGGUUUAGUGCUAACAAAAUAGGAAGUGAAUUAAUAGCUGAAGCUGACUUAGGAGUGGAAUGAAUGUUACCAAAAAUAUACUAUAUGGUAGAUAGAAUUUGCGUUUUAGGUAAGACUAAAAUAAUUACAGCUGUUAAUUUAUUUCAAUAAGUUCGUACAUCAUUCAAUAAUAAGUCCAAGAUUUUAAUGGUUUUGUUUCCUGAAAAUUUGUCAUGAGUGCAUGAACAAAGUUCUAUGGAUGAACUUCUCCUAGUUAAUUUUAGUUCAAUGUCGCAGUUCCUCAUAUUAACUGUAUAAAACACUAAUCUUGCUCUUUACUUUGAAGCAUUUUAAUAAUUGAUGCUAAUUCCUUAGCCAUUUUAUUCAUCUUGUGCAUAAAUUAUGCAAUCAAUAAACCAACUCAACUUUCAUCUUUAUUUAGUGCAAAUUUUGCAAGGCCACUAGGAGGUUUUUGUAUGUCUCAUGCUAACAUGGUCGCCAUGGUUUCACUAUGUAAAUUUUCCCUACUGAAAUUCAUGAUCCGUCAUAUACCACUGAUGAAGCUGUUUCUGGGGCUUUAAAAGCACCAAAUUUUAGUUUUAUCCUUUCUAGCUUAUUAACCUGUCCGCAUCUGCAUUAUUAUCUUUCCUGUCAUACGAAAGUUUCAUUUAUCAUCUUCCCAACAAAACCAUCGAUAGGUUAUUGUUGACUUUUUUUUUUUCCAUUUAGAUUCAUGCCAGAUUAUGGUUGCUGGAUUUUCUGCUUUGACACUUUAUUGUUUCUAAGUAUAGGCUACCAAGGGAGGAAAAAAAUUGACACUGAUGGUCAUCCCCAGCAUUUUUAUCCCAGGAGACUGGUCAAUUCACUUUCUAUGAAGGACUAAAUAGAAUUCCAGACUCUAUUUUGAAGGACAAAGCUGUGGCUGAGCUUGGUUGUGGAAAUGGAUGGAUAACCAUUGCCGUAGCUGAGAAGUGGUUGCCUUUGAAGUUUUGUUGGUUUGUCGUCCUUAUGCCAUGUGAGAGCUUUUGUUUCCUUCCUUACCAGUGCCUUCAGGGGCUCCAUCAUGAUUUCUCUCAUCAUUUUCUAUCUCUGUGUUUUGCAAGGCUAUUUGAUAUUUAUAACAGCAUUGGCACCAGGUUAUGGUGAUUUAAUGCAUUCCUAUUAGGAAAAAUUACAUAAUUAUCAACUCUGUCCUUGUCCAAAAGUCUUUGUUGGAGUAUGUUGAAAAUAUAACCUUGUAGCAGUUCUUAUAUGCUGUCUGAAUAUCGUUUUGCAGUCUAUGGCCUUGAUAUUAAUCCCAGAGCAAUAAAGAUCUCUUGGAUACAAUUGUACUUAAAUGCAUUAGAUGAAUCUUUUUCUAAGCUUUUCCGUCACUGUCACUGCAAAAGGUCUUUUGUAUUGAUGGUUAUCUGUGGGGCCAGGAAAGAAGGUCAGCCCGUCUAUGAUGCGGUGAAGAAAACCUUACUGGAUAGGGUGGAGUUUGAUGAAUCUGAUCUCCUAGCGUAUUGUUGACAUCAUGACAUUCAACUUGAAUGACUAGUGGGGUGCAGACCUCAGGUACUCUCACUUUCUGCAACUCAUGAUAUUUCUAGGGGAUUAAAUUUUGGUGAAGUUUGUUUACCCAACAUCAAGUUGGAAUUUUAGUGUGCCCACAUGGAUUACUUUUAACUCCUAGUUUAACUUAUUCUGUUUUCUCCAUGCAGGUUCUCAACUCCAAUUCCAAUGCAAUGUCGAAAAUAAUCAAUGAAAAUGCAAGCGAGGAAUUUCUGUAUUCAUUGAGUAACUAUUGUGGACUGCAGGUUGGAGGAUAUUCUAAAUAAUUUAAUUUUGAUGCGCAAUUGCAAAUUUCCGGGAAGUUAGCACUUACAGGCUUCUUCUGGUUUCACUUAUUUCUAAGCAUACUUGUUAUAACUUUGGUUUGAAGCUUGCAUACCUUAGGUAAGGUUGUUGUCUUUAGUUGGUCAAUAUCAAUUGGGAAAUAUAGCAAACCAGUGAAGACAGUGGGAAAAGGAUAAUGUGAGUUUGACAGAUGCUGAGAGGAGAUAGGGAAACUUGGAUCUGAAAGUUUUUUUUUUUUUUUCUUAACGUGUAACCUCUUCACAAUGCCAUUGAUUCCCAUAGUUCAUGUUGCUAGGUGAACUUAACAACAACUAUCUGUUAUGCCUUGUGGAUAACUGAGAAAGUUUAUUGAUUUUGACAGAUUGCUUUUUGAAAUAGAGUGCAAGUAGAUUGACUAAUAAUGAACAUACUGUAUCAAGUUGUUACAUUUGAACAUGUUAAGGUCAUAUGAAGCAUACUUCUUGUAACUUUUUUUUUUUUUUUGCCCUCCCCAUUUCCCUGUAUGGAGGGUUUCAUGGAGGAUCAGUUUGGCUCAGGUCUAAUUGCUGGAGCAGUUGAGGAAGGAAUUACUGUUAUCAAAAUAAAGAUUCAUCUCACUCACUAGCCAGUUGAGCAGCUCGUCACUAGUCGAAUUCAUUGCCGAUUGCGGCCCGUAUCCAUUGCCCAUCACUGUUUGGAUUCGUCGGUUCUAUCAUGUUGGUUCAGUAGCUCAUCGCCGCUGUCAUGGUCGGCCUCUUUGUUGUCAUUGAAGAACCAAUCGAUAAAUAUGAUGAUAAUUUUUUAUGACAAUAAUUAGGAUGAUUGAUGAUGAUGAUUACCAUUGUUUUUUUUUUUUUUGAAGGAUUACCAUUGUUGAUGAUUAAUAUUAUUGAUGAUGAUUUUUUAUGACAAUAAUUUUGAUGAUGAUGAUGAAGAUGAUGUAAUUGCGAUGAGAUAAUGAAGAUGAAACUGAAUUGUGAUGUUGAUAAUGAAAUCGGCGGAAGGAAGAAGAUAAUUGUGGUGAUGAUGAUGAUGUUGAUGGAGAAGAAGAAAUUAACAUGAUUGAUGACGAAGUAAGGAGGAAUUUAUAAAACAGAGAGAAAAAGAAAAAAGAGAAGAUGAAGAGGAUAAAAAGAACAAAUAAAAAAAUAAAAAAAGGAAAAAAACAGGAGAGAAAAUAAUAAUAAAAACAAAAGAGGAAAAUAAUAAUAAUUAUUAUUAUAAAAUAAGUUAAAUAUUAUUAUUAUUAUUAUUAACAAUAAUUUUAUUGAUAACCAUAAUCAUUUAAUAGAUAAUAAAAAUAAUGGUAAUAAUGAAUUACGGGUAUUUUAAUAAUUUAAAUAAUUCAUUGUGAUUUAAAAAUAAAAUAAAUAUAUUAAUAGUAUGUCUUUUUUAGACGGCCAUCCAAUUUUAUGUCUUUUUUAUGGCCAUCCACUUAGUAGCUUGGUUAGACGUAUUGGGAUGUCGUAGGCCUUAAAAGAUAAGAGCAAAAAAUCAAUUCCAAAUCUAAAGUGAAAAACACUAGCUAGAAAAAAAUCUAUGUUCUGAUGUCUUAGUUUGUAAGCUCAAACAAUGAAUAGUAUACAUACAGCGCAUUAUAAAACACAAAACUCAUGUAGAUUUUUAGUUUCGAAAUUCAUUUCAGAAAAUCUGUUCUGUUCAACAGGUUAAAGUAGAUUAUCAACUAAACUCUACCCACAUACUUGCAUACAAUUAGAGCACUAGGUCAACAAAGGAGCACAUCUUUCGGAAGAUAAUUGAAGACUUGUUUGGCAAUUUGAAGAUUACAUCUUAGCUCUGCCAUUGGAAGCAAGCAACUCAGCUGCCCAAAGACCGCCAUGCCAUCAAGACAAUACCUAGAUACAACAUCAAUAAUAAUAACAUCAAGAAUUACAUAGAGGCCGUCGCACGUUACACCCACCCCAAUAAGAAACUAAUUAAUACCGUCUUAGCUCCUCUGUUUUAAAAGAAAUUAACACACCCAUGAAGUAGGAAUAAUUAAUUAAUUUAUACAGUUCAGUACUCAUUCGACCUCUGUUUCAAAUCCAAAUCCACUGCUCGACCAUUUACUAUGACGUAAGGUAUAUGGAUUAAUUAACAAGUGCCGAUAUUGUCCUCCAUCCUUUUGUGUACCUUUCUUCUGGCAAGGCCUUUUCUGGAAAGUAUUUGAGCUCCAGACAAUUACAGAAUUUCAAUUUGCUGAGGUUUUGAUGAUCAGCAAUUGAAGAAGACAAGCGUUAAUAAUUAUGAAGAACUGGUGUAAUUUAUAUCAUGUAGGAAGCCCUUCAGUUACUUCUUUGACUGUGCCCAAACUCUUUUAAGGGCUAAUAUCAAAAUUUCGUGAUAUUGUGCCUGAAGAGCUUCAUACCUCAUUGUAACUGUUUCUAAAAGUUGAUGAGCCCAAAUAUCCAAUAACUGAUAAAUUAUGUUGAGAAAUAGAAAUAUUAAUAGUACUGAUACAGACGCAUGGAAGUCCCCCGUUUUGAGUUUAUGCUUGUGCUUGUCUACUUGACAAAAAGGACAUAGGUGGAAAGUGGACUAAGCAUCAUUGGAUAACUUGGAGGAAAAAUAGUGUCCAGCAUAAAGAAUCCAUCGUUAUGUGCCGCUUCCUAUUUAAUUACAUUUAUCUAACAUUUAAAAGAUGGAAGUAGAAAAUUAACUCAGUUUUUCAGAUAUGGCUCAUAUACAAUGCAAGUAUCAAGAUUUAAUUAGAGUUCACAUAUAUACAUGCGUCUAGUUUUUAUUGAGAGAUUAACUAAUCAUAAAUACUCGUGUUCUAAAUGAUUGAAUAAUGACAUUAUUGUUAUUUAUAAAUUUAUAAGGAUAAAUUUAUACCGAAAAGGGUCCCCAACAUAACUUGAACAACUUUACUUGUGUUUGCUCAUUGAAUAAUGUUAUAAAAAAUAAAUACAUAUGUUAGAAGAUUCAUAGUAUAUUGGAGUGUUUUUUGUACUUGAAUGAUAAUGAAUGAAGGUAUGUUAAUUUACUUUAAAUAGAAACCUUCCUAAAAGGAAUAGAAAUGCUCUAUAACAUACCAAAUACUACCUUAAUCAAAAUUUAGUAGGCAAAAAUUUUAAAAAUGGAAUAAUUAACCCUAAUUAAAUAAUUGUCUUACAUCACCAAACUCUUUUUUUUUUUUUUUAAUUAAGGCAUCACAAAACUCUGUAAAGCAUAAAAUAUAAUAGGCAAAUUUGAGCUAAAAAAAAAUGAAGUUAGGAAAAUGACUUGCAUACUGUCUUUGAUGAGCGCAUAAUUUUCUUGAAAAAAAAGGAUUUUUGUGUUUUUUUUUUUUUUGGUAAAUUCGUGUCGUUUACUAGUCUUUUGGGUUUUGUUGUAUAAUUCUUUGGUACGUGUUUAUCUUGCUUUUGUAUAUGUUAGGAAACGGAGUGAAAUCCCAAUAUUAAAAUAUGGAGAAAUGAUUUUUCAUGAAUAAAAUGAUUUAAUUUAUUUUUAUUUCUACAACAAAAAUUAUUAAGUUAUCAACAUAUUGAUUUCAUCUGUAAGUUCCAGUCAGUCAGUUUCUCACGUUCCAUUGUUAUCUUUUAAAAGAUACUGCAAUGCUUUAAGUGUAUUUGAUCACUUCACUAAUAAUUUGAUAUUUACAAAUUGAAAAAAUAAAUUAUUUCUGACCAAAGACACUAGAGAAUGUCGAAAAGAGUUUGAGUAAUUUUUGUAUACACACACAACACAAAAUUAAAUUACGUGGCAAUGUUGAUAGUGAGUCGUUUUUGGGAAUCCAUAAGUUCACAUGUGCACAGACGUCGGUUGCCUGCCAGCCCUUUCCUUUUUUUUUUUUAAUAUCUCCAAAUCAUUUAUUAGAGUCCCAAAUUUAUCACACAUCAUUAAGUAAAAUGUGCCAAUUAGUAAGAGCCAGCUUCUUUCCUCUGUUUUCUUGCGUAUGCUGCAUUCAAGUAUCACUGAAAAUUUUAAUUAUACCGUCAACAGCUGCAGGAAAAUUAUAUACAUUCUAUCAACACCUGCAUGCUGCAAUCCUCAAUGACUGCCAAAUCUUCAUACCAUGAAUAUCAAGUAACUUCCAACUCUUCAUAUAGUGAAUCAGCAGGAUUCACGUCCGACCAACUCCACAGGCACGGCUAAAGCGAAAGAUUAUUUUUUCAGAUAUUAUCAAGAAAUUAAUUUAAGUGAAAUAAGCUAAGAGUGAUUUCGAUAAGGUUUUCAGAGAAGAUAUAGAAAGAAGAUAAAAUAAAUAAAUAAGUAAUUUCAGUCGAUGCAAAAAAUGGGCAUGUGUCUGACUAACAGGACAUGGCUUGGAGCAAAUAUCAAUGGAGGAAAUAUCAGCUUAUAAUUUUAUAAAAUAAGCAUCAAAAUAUUCGACAAGUUUGAGGUUUAUGAAAUAUUGGGAAAAUAGACAAAUAACAAAGACGCUCACACUACAAGUUAAGCAGAUCAAAUAAACAGAACAAAGGAAAUAACUGAUCAAUUUAAUUCUUUGUGCAAUGGCCACGGCAACAGAGAAAAUAUGUCUACAUGACUAUAUUAAUGCUACUGGCGUGGAUGGUACCAUCACCAUGAUGAUAUGAGAUUAAAAACAUUGACUUCAUAAUUUUAUAAAAUUUCAUAUAGAAGAUAUAAUUGAUUUGAGUUAGUUUAACAGAGAAAAAAGAAUAAUAAGGAAUUACAUUGAUGUGGCGUGUGAUGAGAAUUGAUAGAGAAGAAAUAUUGAUCAUGUAAUAAUGAAAUAUGUAUUUACUGAAAAAUAUUUGGCAAUAAAAUGAUGCUAUAAAAAUUUAACAUUGUUUGCAAGAAAAUAGUUUGACAACUAAAAGACAUAUAUAUGCAAUGCUUUGAGUUUAUUUUAUCGCUUCACUAACCAUUUUGUAACUACAUAUUAAAUAUAAGUUGAAUUAAUUCUGAUCUAAGACUCUAGAGAAUGUAGCUAGAAAAAUGAUUUGAUUUUGUAUAUAAACAAUAUUAGAGAUGAGAUAUGUCAAAAUCAAUUACAAGAACAAUAAUAAGAACAUAUUCUGCAAAAGUUAUAAAUACAUAUAAAAUAAAUUUAAUUUCAAAUUAGGAAAUUAUUAAUUUGUAUAGUAAGAGAGUCCAAUAGAAAAAUAGAAAUUUUUUUGAAAGAGAUUUGCUUAGGGAACAACUUUAGUUUGGUUUAGUUUGUGAAGGAUCAAGUAAUUGAACGCAAUUGAAGGAAAUUCAAACUUUUGAUUUUGACAAAGUAAUCGUUAAAAUGCUAAAAAUACUGGGACAAUAGACAAAUAAUGAAGAUCCUAAAAGUUGGUGGAGCAAAUAAACAGAGUAAAACAGAGCAAAUAUUUACCGUUAUACAUAUAUUUUUAUUUUUUUCAAAAAUGAAUGUGUCUAAUAUAUAACCACAGUCCGCUAUUACUGAUGUAUUAUAUAAGCACGUGUCUAAUUACCAAAUAAAUUCCACUUUGACAAAGAACAAAAGCUAAUUUUAUUGUUACCGCCUGCAGUUGUGCUUUCUUUUAUUUAUUUUCGUUUUGUUAUUUUCGUUUUGAAUGGUCCUGCAAUUUGUAUUCCUUUCUGUGGGAUUGGUUUUUGUGAUAAAUAUUAUUCAAACUGCUCAACAGGUGGAUUGUCCUGCAAUUUGUAUUUUCGUUUUAGUGAUAAGAACAUGGCUUGGAGCAAAUAUCAAUGGAGGAAAUAUCAGCUCAUAAUUUUAUAAAAUAAGCAUCAAAAUAUUCGACAAGUUUGAGGUUUAUGAAAUAUUGGGAAAAUAGACAAAUAACAAAGACGCUCACACUACAAGUUAAGCAGAUCAAAUAAACAGAACAAAGGAAAUAACUGAUCAAUUUAAUUCUUUGUGCAAUGGCCACGGCAACAGCGAAAAUAUGUCUACAUGACUUUAAUGCUACUGGCGCGGAUGGUACCAUCACCGUGAUGAUAUGAGAUUAAAAGCAUUGAUUUCAUAAUUUUAUAAAAUUUCAUAUAGAAGAUAUAAUUGAUUUGAGUUAGUUUAACAUUGAAAGAAAGAAUAAUAAGGAAUGAUAUCGAUGUGGCGUGUAAUGAGAAUUGAUAGAGACAAAUAUUGAUCAUGUAAUAAUGAAAUAUUUAGUUACUGAAAAAUAUUUGGCAAUAAAAUGAUGCUAUAAAAAUUUAACAUUGUUUACAAGAAAAUAGUUUGCAAUUAAAAGAGAUAUAUAUGCAAUGCUUUGAGUUUAUUUUAUCAUUUCACUAACCAUUUUGUAACUACAUAUUAAAUAGAAGUUGAAUUAAUUCUGAUCUAAGACUCUAGAGAAUGUAGAAAAAUGAUUUGAUUAUGUAUACAAACAAUAUUGGAGAUGAGAUAUCAGAUAUGUCAAAAUCAAUGACAAGAACAAUAAUAAGAACAUAUUCUACAAAAGUUAUAAAUACAUAUAAUAUAAAUUUAGUUUCAAAUUACGAAAUUAUGAAUUUGUAUAGUAAAAGAGUCCAAUAGAAAAAUGGAAAUUUUUUAAAAAGAGAUUUGCUUAGGGAAAAACUUUAGCUUGGUUUGGUUAGUGAAGGCUCGAGUAAUUGAAAGCAACGCAAUUGAAGGAAAUACAAACUUCCGCUUUUGACAAAGUAAUCGCUAAAAUGCUAAAAAUGUUGGGAAAAUAGACAAAUAAUGAAGACCCUACAGGUUUGCGGAGCAAAUAAAUAGAGUAAAAUAGAGCAAAUAUUUACCAUUAUACAUUUACUGCAGAAACAAAGUGCCUUCAUAACACCAGUUAAACUGUGUCUAGCUACCAUGCUGGUUCUACUUUUACUUUAUUAAAUAUAUACAGCAUUAAAUCACCUGAGCCUCCAGUUUCUCUAGUUUCCAACUUGAAAUUAAAACGUAGAAUUGAUGGUAAUGGAGUUCCUUAUUUAAUUUUGCUGUAGGUCAUGGGCAAUUAGACGGCCAUCCAUUUUUAUGUCUAUUUUAUGUACUAUUGGCCACUAAGUAGCUUGGAUAUUUUAUACGUAGUUUGAAAUAAGUCAAAAUCAAUUACUAGAACAACAAUAAAAGCAUAUUUUAUAAAGGCCAAAAAUACAUAAUAUAAAUUUAGUUUUGAAUUUUGUAAUUAUUAAUUCAUAUAUUAAGAGAGUCUUAUAGAAAAAUAGGAAUUUUUUGAAAGAGAUUUGCUAAAGUAAAAAAUUUCGUUUGGUUUAGUUUGUGAAGGCUCAAGUAAUUGAAAGCAAUGCAAGUGAAGGAUAUAUGAACUUGUAAUUUUUACAAAGUAAUUGCUAAAAUAUUUGACAAGCUUGAGAUUUUAAAAAGGCUGGGAAAAUAGAAAAACAAUGAAGACCCUACGAGUUGGCAGAGCAAAUAAACAGAGGAAAACAUGACAAAUAUUAUGUUGAUGCACAAUCUUAUUUUAUGUUGAUGCACAAUCCAACUUUUUAACAAAAAUAAUAUUUAAAUUGUCACAAAACGUAUUAUUCUUUAAAAAAAAUUCAUAUACAGUAGUUAAUUUUUCUUUACUCCAGGAUCCAACUACAUACCCCUCUUGUUUGUCGUUAUUCUGCUCAGUCGUUAGAUUUUAAUUACUGUAAAGAAUUGUGGAAAUGCUCAUAUAUUAUUUGUUGCUGUGUACAAGAUCCUUAUAUACAAAAAUACUAGAAUCAUCUAAGGCAAGUACCAAACGGUCAAAUAAUAGAAAAGGAAAGAAUAUAAAGGAGAAUGAAUAUUACAAUAUGCUAAGUUAGUGGCUAAGAUCAAGGACUGAUUGAUUCUUGUUCUAAUACUCCCCCUCAAGUUGGGAAGUGAAGAUCCGUAACUCCCAACUUGCCAAGAAGAUAUUGAAAUUGAUGUUUACCAAGAGCUUUGGUAAAAAUGUCAGCCAAUUGUUGUCGUGAAGGCACAUAAGUUAAGGAAAUGAUUUUGGCAUGAAGCUUUACACGAACAAGAUGGCAGUCUAUUUCUAUGUGCUUGGUACGCUCAUUGAAGAUGGGAUUGGCAGCGAUAUGAAGCGCAACUUGAUUGUCACAAUGUAAAGUUAUAGGCAUUGGAUGGGUCACAUGAAGAUCACGAAGUAGAGUUUUCAACCAAACCAAUUCACAUGUUGUUGUCGCCAUGGCUCGAUAUUCGGCUUCAGCGGAAGAGCGCGAUACAACUGGUUGCUUCUUGGUUUUCCAAGAAAUAGGACUAUUGCCAAGCAUGAUAAAAUAUCCAGUAGUGGAUCGACGGGUCAUGGGGCAACUUGCCCAAUCUGAAUCUGAGAAGGCAGAGAGUUCCAAAGAGUUAGUGGAGGACAAGAGGAUACCAGCGCCGGGAGAAAAUUUGAUGUAACGUAAGACACGCAGGGCAGCAUCAUAAUGUGGUCAUCUUGGAGUGUGCAUAAAUUGACUAAGUAUGUUCACAGCAUAUGUAAUUUAUGGCCGGGUGAUUGUCAAAUAGAUGAGACGUCCUACAAGUCGUCGGUAUUGGUCAGGAUUUUGACAAAGGGUUCCUUGAUCGUUAGAGAGCUUCAAGUUUUGUUCCAUUGGAAAAGAAGAUGGCCGUGUGCCUAAUUGUCCACUGUCUUGAAGUAUAUCUAAAGCAUAUUUCCUUUGAUUGAAGAAAAUCCCUUGCUUUGAGCGAGCCACUUCAAUUCCUAAAAAAGAUUUCAAAGUUCCCAAGUCUUUAAUAUGAAAUUGAGCCUGCAAAAACAUCUUCAAUGCAGUUAUAGUGUCAAGAUGGUUACCAGCAAUUAUUAUAUCACCAACAUACACAAGCACCAAUGUAAAAUGAGAAUCAUGCAUUUUAGUAAACAAACAAGAAUCAACAUAAAAUUGAAUGUAACCAAUUUGUUUAAGAGCGGAUGAGAAUUUUUCAAACCAAUUUCGAGAAGCUUGCUUGAGACCAUAAAGGGACUUGUUUAACUGACAAAAUUGAUAAGACUCCCCCUGUUUACAAACUCCUGGAGGUAAGGUCAUAUAAAUUUCCUCAUGCAAGUCACCAUGAAGAAAUGCAUUAUGAACAUCUAACUGAAAUAAUAACCACCCUCGAAUAGCUGCCAUUGCCAAUACACAUCUAACAGUCACAAGUUUUGCAACAGGUGCAAAUAUCUUAUGGUAAUCCAAACCUUCAGUUUGUGUGUAUCCUUUAGCAACAAGGCGUGCUUUGUAUCUCUCAAUAGAACCAUCAGCUUUUCUUUUAAUUUUGAACACCCAUUUACAACCAAUUGGUUUCUUGCCGGGAGGUAGAUCUUGUAUAGGGAUGGCAAAUUGGUCCAUCCAAAUUGGAUAUCCAUAUAUCCAAUCCAAUUGGAUUGGAUAAUAUCCAUCCAAAAUCUUCUUGGAUAUGGAUAUGGAUAUUUUUAAAAAUAUCCAAUUAGAUAUUGGAUGGGUAUGGAUAUUUAAUGGAUAUCCAAAAUCCAAUUAAUUUAUCCAUUUAAAGUUAAAAAAAUUUAUAUUGUUCAACUAAAAUAAAAAAAAAAUCUAAUUUUCUCUUAUAUUAACUAGUGAAAAAUUUAAAUUUCUCUUAUAUUAAAAACUAAAGUUUUCAAAAUUACCCUUUAAUUUUUUAACUUAUUUAAUACUAUUUAUAAUUGUUAUUUUAUUUUAUUGAUUUAAUAUUAUAAAUGGAUUUCCACCGGAAAGUCACCGGACCACCACCGGAGUUCGCCGGACCACCGUCGGAUAUCGCUGGAAUUACCGCCGGACCUCGGCGGAAAGUCACCAGAAGACCGCCAGACCACCGUUGGCUUCACCGGAAGAUUGCCGGACCACCGCCGGAAUUCGCCGGAAGGUCGCCGGACUUUGCCGGAAAGUUGCCGGACCGCCACCACCGACCACCGGACCGCCAUUUUAUUAUAUAUAUAUAUUAUUACUAAUAUAAAUAGUUUAAUAGCCAAAUUUGAUAUUGAAAUUUUAACUAUUUUAUAUUAUUAUUUUUAUAUAAUUAAAAUAAAAUAUCCAUGGAUCUCCAUAAACUAUAUGGAUAAAAUCCAUAUCCAUGUCCAAUAUUAAAUAGUGGAUAUGGAUAUGGAUAUAUCCAUUAUGGAUAAUUAUGGAUUUAUGUUUAUCCAUCCAUCAUUGGAUAUUUGUCAUCCCUAAUCUUGUAUUGUCCAAGUGUUACUUUGCUCUAAAGCUUUAAUCUCUAUAUCCAUAGCAUUGCGCCAAUGAGCAUGUUGAACGGCUUGAGAAUAUGUAGUUGGUUCAACAUCGUGAGAUAUGGCUGAAAGAAAGGCUACAUGAUCACUAGAAAACUUGUCAUAUGAUAAAUACUUGGAUAAUGGAUAUAAAGAACUUACCAAUAGUGGAUGAUUAGUAAAAGUAUUAGAGUUGCCAAAUGUACCGUGAAGUGCAGUAGAGCAAAUAUAAUUCUGAAGAUAAUUUGGAUGACAAGACUGUCGUUGGGACCGUCGAAGAGGUGGAGAAGGGAGAACUACUGAAUCAGAUGUACCUUGGUGGAGUGGCUGCUCAUUGGAAGAAGUUGGAAGGAGCUGUGCAUUUUCAUUGGCAAGAAGUAUGAUAGGAAGAGGUAAAACAUUGUUAUUUUCUUGUUGAUUGGUGAUAGUUUUGAAUGGGAAUUCAGUUUCCACAAAAGUAACAUCACGAGAAAUAAAAGUCUUUUUGUUAAUGAUAUCAUAAACUUUGUAUCCGGGAUACCCAAAUGGGUAACCAACAAAUAUACACUUGGUAGCACGGGGAGCAAAUUUAUGAUGAUUAGCACUGUUGGUAUGAACAUAACAAAGACAACCAAAGACACGAAGACGAUCAUAGUGAGGUUUAGUCUUAAAAAGCAUUUCAUAAGGAGAUUGACCACCAAGAUUAGGAGUGGGUAUACGAUUAAUCAAAUGGGUUGCAGUUAAAACACAAUCUCCCCAGAAAGAUAAAGGUAAAUGUACUUGAAAACAUAACGCACGUGCAACUUCUAAAAAAUAUGUCGGUGCUUGCGUUCUGCUACCUAAUUUUGUUGAGGUGUUUCAACACAAGUCCGUUCAUGCAAGAUGCCAUGCUCAUGAAAAAAAGAUUGCAUCUGAUUUGAUAAAAAUUCACGUCCUUGAUCAGUACGAAUUUUUUUAAUUUGUGACUGAAAUUGUGUUUUGAUCAAGAAGUAAAAGUUUUUUAAUAAUUGAAAAGCUUCAAACUUGUGCCGCAUGAGGUAAACCCAAGUACAACGAGUAUGGUCAUCAACAAUAGUAAGAAAAUAAUAUGAUCCCGUAUAUGUAGAUGUGCGAUGAGGUCCCCAAAUAUCACAAAAAAUUAAUUGAAAUGGCAUAUCAGAACGAUUUUUAUUCAAUUGAAAUGAACUUCUAGUGUUUUUUGAAAGUUGACAAAUUUCACAACAAGAAUUAAAUGAUGCAAUAUCAUAAAUAAAAGACAAACGCUGCAUUCGGUCUUUAGAAGGGUGACCGAGUCGCAAAUGCCAAAGAUUGGAAUUGGGUUCCUUUGCAACGUUCAUUACUGAAGGAAGGGAAGAAUGACCAUUGAUAUGCUCAUAAUAAUAUAGUACAUCCCGAACUUCACCCUUUCCAAUCAGCUUCUUCGUUGAAAGGUCCUGAAAAACACAAAAUGAAGGGAAAAAUAUAGCAGCACAGUUCAAAUCCUUGGUUAGCUUGCUUACAGAUAAUAGUUAAAAAUUAAAAUGAGGAACUAAUAAGGCAUUAUCUAAAGUCAAAGAGGAGGAUAAUUUAAUGGAUCCACAUUUUGUUGUAGGAACAGUUGUGACAUUUGGUAGUCUCACGGGUUUGACAUGAGACAUGGGCACAAAAUUUUUAAAGGAAGAAAUAUUAGGGUCAUGUGAUCAGAUGCCCCACUAUCAAUUAUCUAAGAAUUAUUAUAUGAGUUAAUAGCAGAAUUGCAAAAAGGAAUGAUUUUACCAGCUAAGUUUACAGUAGAUGGCUGCUUACUUGUUGAAAGUAUAGAUAAUAAAUGUUGAUAUUGUUCAGCCGUGAGACCGGGAAUUUGGAUAGUAGGCUGAGAUGAUGAAUUCUUGUCUUUUGGAAUGGGAUGAUCAUCUAGUUGUUGUGGCUUCGUGGUUGCAGGAGCAGCAACAUGCGAUCGAUUUGAAUGUUUCCAGUUUGGUGGGUAGCCAACAAUUUUGUAACAUUUGGCUUUUAUAUGCCCAUAUUUCUCGCAAUGAUCCCAUAAAGGUCUACCUCGUCCUUGUGUCUCUUGUACUCCAUGCAAUUGGCUAGGAUGUGAAUGAUUUUGACGGCUGGUCAUUUGAGUCUUAUUAUUGGCUGUCAAGGCUGUUGAUUCAAUAGAUGGUUGACUGGAAACAUGGAGAAGUCGUUGACGUUCUUCCUGAUGAAUAAUUGAAUAUGCUUUUCCAACAUUUGGAAGUGGUUCCAUGGCUAAGAUUUGACUUCAUACCGAAGAAUAUGAAUCAUUGAGACCCAUUAGGAAUUGAAACACCUUUUCAGUCUCCAGUAAUCCCUGUAAUUCAUUUGAAGUUUCACACUUGCAAGAAGAAAUAGUGGUUAAUGUGGACAAUUCAUCCCAAUAAAAUUUCAAAGUAUUAAAAUAAAUCACUAAUGAUUUUUGCUCUUGCUGGUGAUUGCAUAUGGCUCUCUUAAGUUCAUAAAUCCGUGGAUUAUUACUUUGUGAAAAACCUUCUUCCAACCCAAGCCAAAGAGAGCGUGGCGUAUCACAAUAGAUGAGGCCAUUGGCAAGAUUUUUCUCUAUUCCAUUGAGCAUCCAUGAAAGGACCAUGUCAUUGCAUCGCUCCCAAGUUUUUAAAUCUUGUGAGGUUGAUGAAGGUUUUUGUAUGCUUCCAUCAAUAAAACCCAAUUUGUUUUUGGCAUUUAAUGCCAUCUUCAUGGAUCUUUUCCAUGUUGAAUAAUUAUCACCCGUUAGCACAUUAGAUACAAGAAUGGCUCCAGGAUGAUCAGAUGAAUGAAGAAAGUAUGGUGAAGAAACAUCGGUAAUGAGGGAAUUUGAUGUUUCUAAUAUUGGAUUCAAACUACUAGACAUGAUUGUCAAAGAGAAAAGCAGAAAUGAGCAAAAUUUGCUCUGAUACCAUGUAAAGAAUUGUGGAAAUGCUCAUAUAUUAUUUGUUGUUGUGUACAAGAUCCUUAUAUACAAAAAUAUUGGAAUCAUCUAAGGCAAGUACCAAACGGUCAAAUAAUAGAAAAGGAAAGAAUAUAAAGGAGAAUGAAUAUUACAAUAUGCUAAGUUAGUGGCUAAGAUCAAGGACUGAUUGAUUCUUGUUCUAAUAAUUACGUUGAUCUAACGGUUGGGAUUUGUAAAUGAAUAACGAAGUGGUGUUUUUGGCUACCGUCUGAACCCAUUGCAUCUAAUUGGUUUUGUGAUUUUUCGCUUUCUUCUCUGCAACGCUUGACUAGUUCUAGAAAUAUCGACAGCAAAUUUGGAGCAUGUAUUAUUUUUCAUUAAAAUAAGUUUCCACCACCGUACCAGUAUAUGGAUUUCUGAAUUAAUUAUUAAAAGAAGCAAACAAUACUGAGAAUAUAUUAAUUAUUAAUUUAUAUAAUAAAAUGUUUGCUUCAAAAUAUACUAUUUGAAUUUGAAAUAAUAUUUUUUAAAAAUUUUAAUAUCACAAUAAUAGUCAUGAUCCAAUUGGUUUGAUUUUUUUUUUUCAGAAAAAAUUUGGAAGAAUAGACAAAUAAUGAAGACACAACCUAAGGAGAGCCAAUAAACAGGGGAAAGUGAAUUGCGUACUGUCCUCGAGCUCUCAAUUAUCCAACAUUCUCAAAUUUCUAUGUACAUUUUCGUAAAUUCAUGUCAUAUACUAGAGCUAGUAUUUUGGGUUUUGUUGCAUUAGUUCUCUGGUGUUUAUCUUGUUUUAUUACCUUAUGAUGCAAGAUUCGUGGUAGCGAUACACCUCGAAUAAAACUAUUUUUGUUUUUUUGGCAUUUUUAUUAGCACAAAUCAUUAUUAAUUACUGAACCCAUCGAGAUAUUGGUUUCAUUUGUAACAACUUGCUAAUUGCUUAAUACAUUUUUGUAAUUCUCGUCAUGAAGUCACAAAGAACCUGCAAAUAAAAGAUGAUUCAUAUACAGGUACAUAUAGAAUAAAGAUAUUUAAACAUAAACAUUCAAUUUUAUGAUAAACCUAACUGUCAUUGAGUUAUUGCUAUUAAAGGAAGUGAACAGAAAUAGAUGUAGAAAGUCAGAAAUAUGAAUGAGUGCACUUGAUGAUUUCUCGAAUAGAAAAUUAAAGUAAUAUCAUUUUUAAUAAAUGUGAGAUGAUUUAUACUCUAGAAUUUAUUUUGAACACUUAUAUUUUUAUUAUGAAAAAUCUCAUAGUUCAAUUUAUUAGUAUGGACAAUUCAAUAUAAGUAAACAGAAUAAUAAUACUUUUGAAACUCAUCUAACCAUAGUGCGCACGCACCCAUAUAAACCUUAAACCAUAAUAAAACGUUCUUCCUCAACAUAAAGACUAAUUCAUUAUUUAAAAGCAUAUAUUAACAAAUUUGUACACACAGAUUCUAUGGUUCUAAUUUCUUUGACUUUAAUUUUUCACUUCUCCACCAAAGGAGGUUCUACACAAAUAAACAACAGCAGAAAAACAAAUAUAAAAUGUGAUUCGUGUGUAGAAGAUAUAUACUCAUCAUAACAAUAACUGAUAAAUUGUAUUAAGAAAUAAAAAUAUUAGUAGUGAUGACAUGAAAGAAGUCUGUUGUCUUCACUUUGACUAAAAAUAAUUUAAAAUAAUCGACCAAGCGAAAUUCCUUAAGAAAUGAACUAGGUUGGGAAGGCAGAGCAGCCUCUGUUCUUUUUACUAUAAUGCUAAGAAUUGACUUCAAUUGGGAAGUCAGGCCAAUUGAAGAAGCUCCCCUGUUUUUCACUGAAUCAUAAUCCGAACAAUUUAUAAUUAAAUAAAUCAUUCAAAAUCUCCUUUAAUCGAACCCCCACUUCUGUGGUUUAAUGAAAUAUUAACGUUCAGCUCCUGAAGUUGCCAUUUUAUGUAUUGAAAAAGAAGAAAAUACAAGAAACUGAAAAUUAAUUGAUGCUGCAUCAUGUUGGAUUGUUAGUUGUUAUUAUGAUGGGGAUAUAAUCUUUGCCUUUUAAUUAUCAUCUAGCUAACGCAAGCCCACUAGUUUCAUUUGUGUCCAUCACUAAAAAGUAGAGUUGUUUAAUUCAAUAGUGUCACGUUACAUCACAUAAAGUCACUCAAUUUUCAUUGCCAUAUGUAGCUCAAAAGUGCAUGAACAUUGAACUUUCAACUAACUUAUAUUGAUUAAUUAAUACGACCAUCAGUUCUUAGUACCCAACAACAUCCAUCAAUAAGAGCAAAAUCCCCAUUAAUUUCAUAAAUAAAAAUAAUAAUAAGUUACAAAGACAAUAUUUGACAAUCACAAAAACAACUAUAAUUCACUCCAAUAAACAACAUAACAGAUACAUUAUCAAUAUUGCAAGUCGUUUUAUGAUUUAAUUAAAAGAGAAAAUAUGAAGGACAUAUUUUUUAUAUAAUUGAAUGUUCUCCUUGAUAAUUAGACAAAAUAACACCAAUCUAACUACCUAAUUCAAUCAUCAUAAUGAUUCAAUUUUCAUUUUUUAAUUAUGUCCAAUCAUGCUAAUUUAAUAAAGAUUACUGAGCACUUAAAGUACCUAUAUCUUCAACAACUUUGGCUAAGUUAGAAAAGUGUUAGAGCUGCAUUUAUGCUUUGUGUUAUUAAGCAGGACAUGAUCAUAUUACGUUGCGUUUUUCCGAAAACUGAAAAUUAUUAAAAAAAAAAUCUGAAAAGAGAUGUUGAAUCGCGAGCUUAAACUGAGUUUUAGACAUGUUUGACUUGUCGGUUGAUAUCCCUGAUUGUGCAUGUGCUGUCGGUUUUUGGACGGAACACAAGAAUAUGACAGCUGUGUGUUGUCGUCUGGAUCACAUGUUCUUCACGUGAUUUCACUUACCCUAUGCGGCACAUUUGGCAGUCGUUUUGGUCACUCAUUGAAGCACGAAUUAAGAACGUCAUUCAAGGUUGUUCAUUGACCUUUACAAGGCGGGAAAAUUCUGGGUUUGUUUUAACAAACCCAGAAUGCAGCUUGUGAGUGGGGGGAACUUUCUAGAUUCUUCAUGAUCUGUGUAUAUAGUCUUAGAGGCUACAGUUGAGGCAUAUGAAAAGCUUGUAACUUCUUCUUAAUGAUUGUAGUUUGAUCUCGGUGAUGGAGAUAAGAUUGCUGCCCUGUUCUUCACUUGAUAUAGGCUAUCUCCAAGCGGAACCACUUAAAUUGUGCCUCUGUUUUGCUUGUUUCGAGGUGUGUGAUUUGCUUGUCAUUUCUAAAUCAUCAAUUAGAGAGUUUAGUGAGAUCUUGGUGGUUUUAGAAUGAGUUUAAUCGAUCAAGAAUCAACAAGAUGCUAUGAAAACAAAAUAAGAGACUAUUGCACGCACAUCAUAGCAAUGUUUCAUUCAUUUCGAAUCUAUAUAUACAAAACUUAUAUCUGGUGGUUUCUGUUUGUUUAAUCUAACGGCUAUAACAUGUAUAUUGUCAAAAGCUACAGCGGCCAACUUUGUUUGUCCUCUUAGCAUCCUUGAUCUUAUAUCAUCCUGGUGAUUCUUGAGAGCUCUUCUCAUUCUCUCGUGUUGAGUCCCUUGCUGAGAUGAUAAAUACUUGAGGGUCCUUCCUUGAUAUAUUUCAGCAAACACUUGAUUCAUUCUAUCAAACAUUUGCAUCACUAAUCAUUAAAUGGUGUAAGAUAGUUCUGUUUUGAAAAAUCAAUAUAAAAUCAAUCACCUUAGAUUUUCUUAGUCUCAGAGCACAAUGGCUGAUGAUUUGAUGAGAAAUAUUAAUAUGCAUGCAUCCCCUGCAUUCGUUAGAGCUGCUCUCAACCUCUGUUUAAUAAGCUAGUCCUCUGCUGUAUCCUAGAAGGUGGAACAUUAUGCUUCCCAGCUGGCUCAAGAGGGAACUAUGCUUCUGCUGCCAAAUUUUUGAAAGCGAACAUCGUGGGAAGAGGUUGAUCUGAAGCCAUUGCAUCUGAUUGGUUUUGUGAUUUUUUGCUUUCUUCUCUGUAACGCUUGACUAGUUCUGGAAAUAUCGACCAUCAUCGAUGGCAAAUCUGGACCAUGUAUUUGCCCACUACUAAGAAAUAAAGUUUCCACCACCGUACCAGUAUGUCGAUUUACGAAUACAUUCAUUCAAAUAUUAAACGUACAGAGAAGAGAGCAAACUGUGGCAGGAUAGCAAAAACUGCGAAUGGUCAUUCCCAACACGAACGCUUAUGGCUGUUUUCCUUUUAAUUUUCUUCUUUGAAUUCUCCUUUUAUUAAUCAUUAGAAAAACUCCCUUUUUUUAAAUCAUGUGUUAUAAACAUUUACAUGGUUAAUGUCAUCGAAAUCAAAUGGUUGUUAUCUACGAAAAGAGAAUUGUUAGAAAUUUUGUAAGUCCCAUUGCAACAAUAUAUUGUUAUAAAUUGCAUUGUUUCCCAUAUAACAAAUAUAAUAAAAUCUCAAUAAAUUAAUAGUUUUGGGGACCAUAAAAAAAUUUAUUAAAAUUUAACAAAUAUCAAUUAAUUGGCAAAUUAAUAAAUUAUUAAUUUAUGAAAAUAUUCAUUAUUUUAGAAAAACAUGAUCACGUUUUUAGUAUUGAUUUACCUUGAGUUAGUAUCUAUUAUGUUUUAUUUGUCUCUAUUAGUUUUCUCUUGGGAAGAUUUUUUAAGAGUUAGCUGCUUUAUAUUAACAGUAAUAAAAUUAUUGUAUGGUUUUGUUUUUCCAUGUUAAAGAUCGAUUAGUCCUCUGCUUCUCCUCAGAGUCAUCGAGCACCGCCUGAAUCAUCAACAACGUGCUCUUCCACUUCAUCAGAUCGUCUUCGAUCUUCUCUUGGCGUGUGUUAAGGAAGUUAAGGAAGCUCAUAUUUGCAGUCAAGCAGAGGAUCACAGCAGCUUCUAUAAUCAGUUGCAAGUUGAUGACAUGUACUGCCAGCUGGCACUAGGUGGUUAUGUAGCUGCUUGUACUUAUACACGUGAUAAGUUUGUUAAUUAGUUUGUAAUUAGUUAGUUAGUUUUGUAACCAUCAGCUGAGAAGCAACACUUGUAUAUAUAUGCUUGUAAUCGUUCAGUAGCAUUUAAAAAAAAAGCUUGAGAAAAUAAAAGAAGAAAGUUUUCUAAAUCUCAGUUUAUUUUCUUAUUAGCCAAACACUCAUUUUCUGUUUUAUAACUUGGUAUCAGAGCCAGUCAUGGCAUCUCUGAAUAUUGCCUCAUCAAAUCACACUUCGAAUAUUCAUACAAACUCAACAAACUUCUCAUUCACAUUCAAUACCCCUGUGAAACUGGAUCAGGCAAACUAUCUGAUCUGGAGGUCCCCAGUUCUAGCUUCCAUACGCGGCAAUAGGCUAGAAAAGUUUAUUGAUGAAAAUGUCACUCCUCCUCCAUCUCAUAUUGCUCAAAGGAUUGACGAUGAACUUAGAUCUGUUGAGAAUCCAGAUUCAUCAAGCUGGAAAGCACAAGGUCAAGUACUUCUUGGCUGGUUGUUGUCAUCGAUGAGUGAAGGUAUUAUAAGUCUGGUGUUUAAUUUGGAAACUUCUCUUGAGGUAUGGAAAGCUAUUGAAACUCAAUUUGGAUCACAGUCAAAAUCCAGACUCUUACAUUUGAGAUAUUUGAUGAAUUCAACUAGGAAAGAUGAUCUGAAAAUCAAUGAGUAUUUCAUUAAAAUGAAGAAUAUUGCUGAUAACAUGGCUGCGGCAGGAAGUGCCUUAAGCAGUGAUGAUUUAAUUUUGCAUGUACUCUCAGGACUAGGACCAGAUUAUAAUGCUGUUGCUACUUAUAUUACUGGUCAAAUAAGUGGUGAUAAAAUGAAUUUAAAUGAGGCUUAUGCUAUGUUGUUGACUCAAGAAGCUAGAAUUGAGCAACAAGCACAUAUGCUUUCUGGAAUGGAUGUUAAGCAUAAUUUUGAAGCUAAUUUUGCUCAGAACAGAGGUUUCAAGAAAGGAAAUUUCUCAGGUGGUAGAGGAUCUGGUAAUCAUGACUAUUUUACUGGAUUAGAUAAUGCUGGAAAUUUUGGAAAUAAUUACAGAAGUGGCUAUGGAAGAUCUGGUUUCUUUGGUAAUGGUUUUGGAAAUAAUCAUAAUAACCAAUUAAGAGGAUUUCAAAGUGAUAAUCAAAGGGGAUCAGGCUCAGGAAAUUGGAACAAUGGUGGGGGUGGUAACAAUAACUCUAUCAGGCCUCAAAUGAAUCCAAAACCUCAGUGGAAUGCUUCUAAACCAACUUGUCAAAUCUGCUUAAAAACUGGUCAUACUGCAAAUGUCUGCUGGAAGCUUGAAGAAUUCUUUACCUCUGGUGCUUGCAAACCUCCUCCAAACAGAAAUCCCAAAGCUGCAUAUCUAGCUGAUAUGGAUGGUGCAGUUGAUGCCAACUGGUAUCUGGAUAGUGGAGCUACACACCAUCUUACCAAUGACAUGAGGAAUAUGACUAUGGCAGAAUCCUUUGCAGGUAACUCUAAACUCAUCAUUGGAAAUAGUACUGGUUUACAUAUAACACAUGUUGGAAAUGCUGUGUUAAGAAUGCAUAACUCUUCUGCUCAUCAUAUACUCAAAUUAAACAACAUGCUUCUUGUUCCACAAAUAUCCAAGAAUCUUAUUGGCAUAUCUCAGCUAACCAAAGAUAACAACAUUGUUAUUGAAUUUACUGAUAAAUCCUGUGUUGUGAAGGACAAGGUGAGGAAUUUGAUCAUACUGCAGGGCAAAGCUGAAAAAGGUUUAUACAGAUUGCUAUUGUUUCCCUCUAAUAAAGUCUCUUCUCAAUCAUGUCAAAGGUCUCUUGAAGCCACUCAAUCCAAAAUUUCAAAUGUUCCUAUGUCUAUGUUUUCAGUUGUUCAGUCAGUUGUCAAUAAUCAAACAAGUCCCUGCUUGCAUACUGCAGCAGAACCUUGUAUCAGUCCAAAUUGUAUGCUGAGUGUUUCUGUUUUGCAUCAGAAACUUGGUCAUCCUAAUUCCAAAGUUUUAAGUCAUGUAAUAAACUCUUGUUCAGCUUUCAAGAAUUUAAAUGGAAGUAACUUUCUUGAUUCAUGUGAUGCAUGUAAAAUGGGAAAAAUGCAUAGAUUACACUUUCCAGUUUCUACUACCAAAACAAAGCAUGUAUUAGAAGUUUUGCACACUGAUUUAUGGGGACCUGCCCCUGUGCUUUCAGUUCAAGGUUACAGAUAUUAUGUGAGUUUUGUGGAUGAUUUUUCGAGGUUCACAUGGAUAUUCCCAUUAAAAACCAAGGAUGAAACACUAGCUGUGUUUAAAAUCUUUAAGAAGCAAAUUGAGAAACAGCUAGAUAGAUCCAUUAAAUGCAUUCAAUCAGAUUGGGGUGGGGAGUAUAGAUCAUUUGUUAAUUUUCUUCAUGAGGAAGGUAUUCAAUUCAGACACUCAUGUCCCUAUACUCACAAUCAGAAUGGCUUAGUUGAGAGAAAACAUAGACACAUAACCGAGCUAGGUCUCACCUUAGUUGCUCAAGCUUCUUUGCCUCUCAAAUUUUGGUGGGAUUCCUUCCAUACAGCCACCUAUAUUAUCGAUAGACUUCCCACACCCAUACUAUCUAUGCAGUCACCUUAUGAAUAUGUCUUCAAAACCAAACCUGAUUACAAAUUUCUCAAGGUCUUUGGUUGUUCAUGCUUUCCAUUCUUAAGGGAUUAUAAUACUCACAAAUUCCAUUUUCAUACCUCAAAAUGUGUAUUUCUUGGUUACAGCCCUUUACAUAAGGGUUACAAGUGUAUGCAUUCUUCUGGAAAGAUUUUUAUAGCCAGUCAUGUGUUAUUUGAUGAAACUUCUUUUCCUUACACAUCAAAUUCACAAUUCUUAACUUCAUCAUUCAAACCCUCUGAUUUCCAUUACAGUCUUCUUCAAUCUUGUACUGUUUCACUUCCCAAUAGCAAUCAAGAAACCUUUGAAGCUAGCUCUGCAGAAAAUGAAGCUCCAUCUCAUCAUUUCAGUGAUCAUUCCUCACCUGACAGUCAUAAUACAACCUUUGAUGUUUCACCUUCUCAAAUACAUCUUCAACCCUCUACCAUAGCUACUUCACAAACACAACAGCCAUCCUCAUCUACUAUUCAAUCCACACAACCAUCCUAACAUCCUCUGCCGAAUCAUCCCAUGAUUACCAGAGCAAAAGCUGGUAUAUUCAAGCCUAAAGCAUUCUUAACAUCACAUAACAGCCUGGAACCAUCUACUGUUGAUGAAGCUUUGUCUGAUUCUAAGUGGAAAGCUGUAAUGCAAUUAGAGUUUGAUGCUUUAACCAGAAAUAAUACCUGGAAUCUAGUACCUAUGACAUCUCAGCACAAGUUGGUUGGUUGUAAAUGGGUCUUUAGAACCAAGUACAAUACAGAUGGUACAGUUUCUAAACACAAAGCAAGAUUGGUAGCCAAGGGCUUUCACCAGGCAGCAUGAGUGGAUUAUAAGGAAACUUUUAGUCCUGUGGUAAAGUCUUCUACAGUAAGAACUAUACUAAGUUUGGCAGUGAUGAAAGGUUGGAAAGUCAGGCAAAUCGAUAUAAAUAAUGCCUUUCUUAAUGGAGAUAUUUCAGAGGAUAUAUACAUGACACAACUAGAGGGCUUCAUCACCAAAGAGGGCUAUGUCUGCAAACUUAGCAAGGCUCUUUAUGGCUUGAAGCAAGCUCCUAGAGCUUGGUAUGACAAACUCAAAGGGUGUCUUACAAGCUGGAAUUUCUUCAACUCCAAGGCUGAUACAUCCUUGUUCAUCAGACAUGACACGAGAGGUAUCAUUCUUGUUCUUAUCUAUGUGGAUGAUAUUCUUAUUACAGGACCAGAUUCUUCCCUGUUGGAAACAUUCAUCACUAAAUUUAGUAAGGUUUUUGCCUUAAAACAUUUGGGAUUGGUAUCCUAUUUUCUGGGUGUUGAGGUGUGUUAUACUGAUAGUGGGAUGCAUUUAUCACAAACAAAAUAUAUUAAAGACCUCUUAAGUAGAGCUUCAAUGCAGAACUGUAAAGGUUCUGAUACACCUCUCAGCACAGGUCAAAAGUUAGAAAAGGUAGCAAAGGUCUGUUUGGGGAAAGAAUUUGAAGAUCCAACUCUCUAUAGAAGUAUUGUUGGAGGGCUCCAAUACUUGAUACUCACCAGACCUGAUAUUGCAUACUCAGUUCAUAAGCUCAGUCAAUAUUUGAGUGCUCAUACACUUCAGCAUUGGCUUGCUUGUAAGAAAGUACUUAGAUAUCUUCAAGCAACUGUCACUCAUGGAAUAUAUAUUCAGAAGGAAGGAGAGCUUGAAGUUACAGGUUUGAAUGGAUACUCAGAUGCAGAUUGGGCUUGUAAUACAGAUGAUAGAAAGUCCAUUGGAGCAUAUUGCAUCUAUCUUGGCAACAAUUUAAUUUCAUGGUCCUCUAAGAAACAAGCCAUAGUGGCCAAAUCCAGCACUGAAAGUGAGUAUAGAGCACUGUCAUCAGCAAGUUCAGAAAUCUCUUGGCUUGAAUCUCUAUUUUCUGAGCUCAACAUUGUAAAGCUGCCAACACCAGUGCUUUGGUGUGAUAAUCAGAGUGCUGGGGAAUUAGCCAAAAAUCCUGUGUUUCACUCCAGGUCUAAGCAUAUCGAGUUGGACAUUCAUUACAUUCGAGAUAAGGUACUUCAAAACCAAUUAGAAGUGAGAUACAUUCCUACAGAUGAACAAGUUGCUGAUGUCCUCACCAAAGCUUUAUCACUUCCAAAAUUCAGCUACUUCAGGUCCAAGCUCAAUGUCGUUAGCAGACCCUUGAGCUUGAGGGGGGAUGUUAAGGAAGUUAAGGAAGCUCAUAUUUGCAGUCAAGCAGAGGAUCACAGAGCAAAGGAUCACAGCAGCUUCUAUAAUCAGUUGCAAGUUGAUGACAUGUACUGCCAGCUGGCACCAGGUGGUUAUGUAGCUGCUUGUACUCGUACACGUGAUAAGUUUGUUAAUCAAUUUGUAAUUAGUUAGUUAGUUUUGUAACCAUCAGCUGAGAAGCAACACUUGUAUAUAUAUGCUUGUAAUCGUUCAGUAGCAUUUAAGAAAAAAGCUUGAGAAAAUAAAAGAAGAAAGUUUUCUAAAUCUCAGUUUAUUUUCUUAUUAGCCAAACACUCAUUUUCUGUUUUAUAACUGCGUGCAAACCACCGAAUCCCCUCUGAAGCUAACUUUGGCGUGCAGCUCUUCGAUGAUUGGCUUUUUUUUUCUUUUUUUUUUGGUUGUGUUUUUUUUUGGCUCCUAGUUUGAUUUAACUUUGUUUCGGUUAUUGACAUUGCUGAAGAGGCAGUAAAAGCUUGUUGAAUGUCAUCAAAUGCACAAAUUGGCAAUAUCGGUUGGCUUCUUUAUAGGCGCAUCCAUCACAAAAUGAAAGUAACAACAACCACCAUCGAAAAUUAAUUUUAAGAAUCUUUUUUACCUGAAAUCUUUGAAAAGAAAAAUUAACCUGACAUUUAUUUAUUUAUUUAUUUUUUGGGGGCAAAGAAAGAAAGGAACAGAAUUAUGAGUUUUGGAAAGGAGAAUGAGAAAAUUGAACAGAUGAGAAAAUGGAUAAUUAACCAGAAUGAAUUUGCGAUUGGUCCAGCAAGCUUAGUAGAAAUCACGCGCUGAUACUUCAUUGACCAAUGACUAAUAAUUUGGCAAUUCACCCAUCACCAGCACUUGGUAAGCAAAACGAAAAUGCUUAGUAAGUGUCAAGGGUCAGGCAAGAUAUGACGUAAAAUGAGGCAAGUCUCCCCACUUGUUGUUCCUUGCAGCUAAGAAAAGAAAAAACAGAGCCCACCACCCAUUAAUAAUUUAGCAAUUCACCAAUCAAUCACCACCACUUGUUACGCAAUUCCAUUAGGUAUUCGUUUGUCAAGCAGUUAAUCCAGUGUCUAUUACCUAGAACCUUCACUUUACAAAUCUUCAUCUCAAAUGCCAAGUUAAAUCAAAACGUUUCUCUCUCACUCUUUCUUUUUAAACUCCGAAAACGUUUCUUUUUAGAAAUAUUUUACUUUAUUCAUGUAAAUAUGUUGUCUAACAAAUAGACACAAUUGAAAUCACUCUAAAGUGCAAAUAAAAAAAAAAAUCCAAUCACCAGUAAUUUAGCAAGCUUCACUUUAUUCCACCAAAGUGUAAAUAAAACCAGGCCUCACCGCCAUUAAUAGUUUUACAAGCUUCACACGCUUGUUGUUGUCUGCUUGACGAACUGGACAUGGGUUCAUCAAGAAUCAAUGAAAGAAUUAAAAAAAAAAAACUGAAAUUUUCGAUUCAGAGUAGAACAGUAAUUAAUGCUAAAAUUUACUCCGCUAACAUUUUCAAGAUAUUGUUCUGUAUAAUUCUACAGCAAAUAAGACUAAGUUUUGGACAUUUUCAAAUUCACUACUUUCACAAGCAAUAUUUUGAAACAUUUUACAGAAUUAGCGAUUAUAUAAAGAGAAAAAUGCAAAGUUGCGUAAUUCUAAUGUUUUUCAGGCUGAGCUGCCUUUGGAUUUAACCUGAAAUGAUCCGAAGGCCAGAAAUUGUAACGGCGGGCUUAAAUGUCAACACGCCAAGACAGUUAAUAGCAGCUAAAUUGGAAAAAAAAAAAAAGGCAAUAGAAGUAUAGAUGGAACAAUUUUUCGCUUAGGUCAUAGGUGCAAGAUGAAACUAAAAAAAGGUGGCAGGCAAUUUUAUCACAGACGCUCAUGAUCGUUUUUUAUUUGGGUCGUCAACUCGCCAUGACCCAUGAUUGAAUUAGAGUGUCUAGAAAGAAAAUUAAUAAAUAACGGUUUAUAUAUUUGGCCGUCGGAAUAUUGUAAGUGAGAAAGAUUAUCUUUUUUUUUAUUAUUAUUAAUUAGGUUAGUAUUUAUGAUUGAGUGACUCAGAGCUGUAUUUUAGAUUGAGAAUCAAUUGUUCUCUCAUACUGAGAGGCUAUAAGAUUGUCGUUAGCUAUUUCAUCGAUAAGAGAACACCCAAAUUUAUUAAAAGAAGAAAUGUAUAAGGUCUCCUUUAUGAGAAAAUGUAUCUGAUCAUUCUUUUUGACUUGAAAAUCUCAUAUAUAAAAACUUAUUAAUAAAUAACAUAAUAUAUAUAAAAAUGAUACUCAAUGAUCCUGUACUAAAACUAUAAUUUACCUGCACUAGUAGUUUCCAUAAUUUUCAAUUCAAAAGUAAGCAGUUGAACGUGCUCUCUCUUCUGGUUAUAGAUAUCAUAUAUAUAAAUUGAAGUAAUCGCGCGACAAGUAGCAAAACAGAUAAUGCACGGAAGAUAAUGAUCAAUGGCUGAAGUUUAAUUUAAUUGCAGAUAAAAUGUCAAUCAAGAUUAAGGUCUACUUACAAUUUUAUUUUAUUUUUUAUGAUUUUCAAUCUUUACCAAAAGAAACAUAUUUAGUGAUCCCUUUUAUCAACUUGCUUUUAUUGACUUUCUUCCAAUAAUAGAAGUGAAAAGAGAAACAAAGGCCACCACCACCAAGUGUUACCGGAUUCUAUAAAGACAAAAUCAGUGCCCAGCAAAACGAAUCCAACUUUUCGUUAUGUGUUGCUUCCUAUUUAGUACAUGCACAUAUAGAUAUAAGAUAUCCACAUGCACAUGCAGCGCGUCUAUCUAAAAUUUUAAAAACAGAAUUAGAAACCUUCUUGAAUAGGAAUAGAAAUACUCUCUAAUACUUCCUAAAAUAAUUAACCCUAAAUAAUUUGUCCUGCAUCACCAAACUCCGGAUUUUACAAAGCACGCAUAAAGGAUAAUAGACACGUUUGAGGUUUUUUUUUUAAAAGAAAAAAAGAUUAUGAAAAUAGACAAAUAAUGAAGACACAAGUUAAGCAGAGCAAAUAAAUAGAGGAGAAUGAAUUAAAUACUAUCCUUGAGAACUCAAUUCUUUAAUAAACUCAAUUUUUUAAAUGCAGGGGUAAACUCAUGUCAUAUACUGUAGUCUUUAAUUUGGGCUUUGUUGUAUCAAUUUUUUGGAGUUUAUCUUGUUUUGUUUUUUCGUUUUUAUAGUGCAAGAUUUUCGGUGGAGAUAAAUCAGGAAUAAGAGUGAAAUCCCAAUCUUAAAAUUUGGGAGAAAUGAAAUGCGAUAUGUUUUUUCAUGAAUAAAACAAUUCAAUUUUUUGUUAGCACUUGUAUAUGUUGCAAGUUAAUUACACCGUCAACACCUGCGGGAAAUUUAUAUAUUUUCUGUCAGCACUUGCAUACGUUGCAAUUUUCAAUGACUUCCAAAUCUUCAUAUCAUGAAUUAGCAGGAUUCAGGUCCGACCAACUCCCCGUGGCUAAAGCAAAGGAUUAAUUUUUGAGAAAUUAUAAAGAAAUUAAUACAAGUAAAGUGAGCCUAUUCAUUUGAUUUGAUAAUUGGCUGAGGGUGAUUUCGAUAACGUUUUCAAAGAAGAUAUAGAACAAAGAUCAAAAAGAAAAAACAAGUAAUUUCAGUCGAUGGAAGAAAUGAGCAAGCUUCGCACAUGCAUGCAUGCGUCUGACUAACAGGACAUGGCUUGGAGCAAGGAUCAAUGGACAAGUUUGAGGUUUAUGAAAUAUUGGGAAAACAGACAAAUUAUAAAGCCACUUGUUAGAGUGCAAUUUAUGCACUAGUUUUGCAUUGUUUACUUCCCUUAAUAUCGAUGUUUUGCAUUUAAUAAUAGUGAUUUACUUGUGUUUUACUUUUGUAGGUGCAAUUCUAUUGAUUGGUGAUAAAAUUGAGCUAUAAGAUGAUGUUUAAGGAUGAUUGUUCUCUUGGAGAAAUUAUGAGCGGCAGAAGAACUUUGUUGAUAAGGCGUGGGCGCGUGCUGUCAACUGCGGACCUGCAGUUUUUAGUUUAACGUGUUUUGUAUUUUUGGCUAUUUUUUAAUUACGAAUUUAAUAUUUCAAAUAUUAGUAUUUUAUUUUAAAUAGAACUCUAAAAGAGAAGAGAGAGAGAGUAUUUAAGGGAGGAAUCUAUUGUGAAAAAGGAGGGAAUUUUGAUUGGAGAAAAAGAAAAGAAACCCUAGAUCUAAUUUUUCUCUUCUCUCUAUGAAGAACUAAACUUAUUUUUCUGGUUGAAGAAUAAUGAAGCUUUGAUUCAUCACUACUGUGAGAUCUUUCUUGUGCUUUAAUUGUUUUAUUGCUUUUUGGGUAUUUGUUUAUUCUCUGAAUUAUUUUCAUGAUUAUGUUUGUUAAUUAGAUAAUUGGCCACUAUUUAAUUAUCAACUUAAUCUAUUGUCAAUUAAAGGAUUCAUCGUAUGAAGAAUUUAAUGUUUGUGACAAAUAACAUAGCAGAGAGUUGUGUUGUGAGAAUAAACAAUCUAAUUUAAAUAAAUCAUCAUAUGUGUUGAUUAGGAUUUGGGUCUCUCUGGUUUUUUAGGCUGUCAAUUGAUUAAAUCCUAUGAUCGUAUCUAGGGUUGUCUAUUGAUUAGGGAAAUAUCCAACGGUCGUACCUUGGUUAUCGACUAAUUAAGGAGAGAUUGGCUAUUAGAGGGUCUCAGUAGCUAUAACCAGUCUAUUCAUAAGUAAUAAUAAUUUAUAUUUGAAUCAAUGAUCAGUAGUCGAAUCAAGCUGAGUUAAUUCCUUCAACCAAAGCUUUCUCCAAUUUGAAUCACAACUUUAAUUUACAUUCUUGUUAUUUUAAUUUGAUUUUUAUUAUUGUCAACAAUUCCCCCAUUUUACAUUUUACGUUUCAAAAGGAUUUAAAUAAUUACCGAUCUCUGUGGACACGACCCUGCUCAAUCACUAUACACAAUUUAUUUAGAGUAGGAAUUUAUUUUUGUUGGCUUCGACAACCAUCAAAUUUUGGCGCCGUUGCCGGGGAUUGGUGUCAUUUAUUUAAUCCUUUUUACGUUUUACUUGGUGUAUGGUUCGUUCUUCUCGUACAGGUACACUUUCGUUUGAUCCUGAAAUUGAGAAGACAGCUCGCCAGCUGAGACAGCAGACGAAGCGAGCUAAGCAACGAUCCUCGUCGCCUUUGCUUUCUGAAACAGAUACGGUGCCUGAUUUAGUUCAAUCAUCUAGCGAUUCGGAAGAACAAGUGAUGAAUAGAGCUGCACCUGUAGAAAGAACUCUUAGAGAGUUAGCUGAACCAGACUUGAAUCAGCAACCACUCUGCAUUCAAUAUGUAGACUUGGAGGUAAAUUUUGAAUUAAAGUCUGGUUUUAUUCAUUUAUUACCCAAGUUUCAUGGUUUUGCAGGUGAAGAUCCUCAUAAACAUCUUAAGGAGUUUCAUGUUGUAUGUUCAAGUAUGAGACCACAAGGCGUGACUGAAGAGCAGAUUAAGCUGCGUGCUUUUCCGUUCUCUGUAGAUGGGCUAGCUAAAGAUUGGUUGUACUACUUGCCUCUUGGAUCGAUUACAACGUGGAAUGGUUUGAAGAAGCAGUUCCUCGAGAAGUACUUUCCUGCUUCAAGAGCUGCCAACAUCAGAAAAGAUAUUUGUGGGAUCAGACAACUUCCUGGGGAGACUUUGUAUGAGUAUUGGGAGCGAUUCAAACAAUUGUGUGCCAGUUGUCCUCAGCAUCAGAUUUCUGAUCAACUUCUUAUUCAAUAUUUUUACGAAGGACUGUCAUUGAUGGAUAGGAGUAUGAUAGAUGCUGCUAGUGGAGGCGUGUUAGUGAACAAGACCCCUACUCAAGCAAGGGAGUUGAUAUCAAAUAUGGCUGCCAACGCACAACAAUUUGGCAGCAGGCAAGAUCCUACUUCAAGGAAGGUGAAUGAGGUAAAUAUUUCUUCUGUUGAACAACGUUUAGAUAAACUUACUUCUCUUGUGGAAAAGUUUGUUGUAGGCAAUGUGCAACAGGUGAAGACUUGUGGCAUUUGUUAUAAUAUGGGUCAUUCAACUGAUAUGUGUCCUACACUUCAAGAAGAACCUGUUGAACAAGCCAAUGUAGUUGGAGGAUUUCCAGGCAUGCCUCAGAGGAGGUAUGAUCCUUAUGCACAAACAUACAAUCCGGGAUGGAAGGAUCAUCCCAACUUCAGCUAUGGAGUUAGGCCGUCAGGAUUCCCACAACAGUAUCCACCAAGACAACCAGCACCUCCACAGUCAACCUCCAAGUCAGGUAUAUCUCUUGAAGAAAUUGUUAAAUCGCUUGCGACUAAUACUCAACAAUUUCAGCAGGCAACUACAGCAAGCAUUCAGAACUUGGAGAACCAAAUGAGUCAAUUGGCGACUACAGUGAGCCGUCUGGAGUCUCAAGUAUUAGGGAGAUUGCCUUCACAAUCUGAGGUGAAUCCAAAGCAAAACGUUAGUGUUGUCAUCCUUAGAAGUGGGAAGGAGUUGCAAGAGCCUAGUAAGAAAGUGACAGAGCAUGUAGAAGAUGAGCUUAAGAAGAAUGAAUUGAUGCCUCAAUCUCAAGAUGCACAACCCACCAGAGUGAAACCCCUACCUAUUGUGAUACCUCCUCCUUUUCCAAGCCGGUUUGCAAAAUCCAAGAAGGAGGAACAAGAGAAAGACAUCCUUGAGACAUUUCGCAAGGUUGAGGUAAAUAUUCCUUUAUUAGAUGCUAUUAAACAAAUACCUCGAUAUGCUAAAGUCCUUAAGGAACUGUGCACCUCUAAGAGAAAAUUAAGAGGAGAUGAAAAAGUUCAUAUGGGGGAGAAUGUUUCAGCAGCUCUCCAAAAGAAAUUACCUCCCAAGUGCAAGGAUCCAAGUAUGUUUACUAUCCCUUGCAAAAUUGGUAGUGUUAGAGUCGAGAAGGCUAUGUUAGAUCUAGGAGCUUCUAUUAAUGUCAUGCCUCGUUCCAUUUAUUCAUCUUUGAAUGUUGGUCCAUUAAAAAAAACUGGCGUGAUAAUUCAACUAGCUGAUAGGUCUAAUGCAUAUCCUGAUGGGGUAUUAGAAGAUGUCUUAGUACAAGUUAAUGAGUUGGUUUUUCCUGCUGAUUUUUAUGUACUUGAUAUGGAAGAUGAUAACUCCUCUAAUUCUGUCUCAAUUUUGCUAGGAAGACCUUUUCUUAAGACUGCUAGAACUAAAAUGGAUGUACAUAAAGGGACUCUCACUAUGGAGUUUGAUGGAGAGGUUAUAGAAUUCAAUAUGAAUGAUGCCAUGAAAUAUCUUAGUGAGGAACAUUCGGUAUUUUCUGUGGAUGUUAUUAACCCUAUAGUGCAGGAAGUUUUUUACAAGAAAAAAACGAAGACAUUUCAUGAUAGAAUGAUUUUGAGAAAGGAGUUCUCUGUUGGUCAAAAAGUUCUUCUUUUUCAUUCUAAGCUUAAACUUUUUCCGGGUAAAUUACGUUCUUGCUGGGUUGGACCUUUUAUUAUUACUAAUAUUUUUCCUCAUGGUGCAGUUGAGAUUCGGAGUCCGACCUCUGACAAAGUUUUUAAGGUUAACGGUCAUCGCUUAAAACCUUUUUAUGAAGGUUUUUCGGUGAAUAUUGUGGAGGAUGUGGCUCUCGAGAGUCCCAAUUAUGGAGAUUGAUGCAUAAAUGUGUCUAGCCAAAGACAUAAAACAAAGGCGCUUUUUGGGAGGCAACCCAAAGGAUUUAUUUAUUUUGACUUUUGUUAUAUCUUUUAUUUUUAAUUUAGAUUUAGAUUUUUUUUUAUAAUGUUUUUGCUUAUUUUGGUCAGAAGAAAAUUUUUGAUAAGGCGUGCCCACGUCUUAACUAAUAAGUACUUUUGUGAUUUUUAAAGUAAAAUGGUUUUAAGGCGUGCCCACGUCCUUAUUAGAAAAGUACUUCUGAAAUUCUUUGUGUCUCAAAGUGAUUCAUCACUAAAAAAAAAUUAUUUAUUUAUUUGAAAAUUAAAAAAAAGGAAAAAAAAACUUUUUUUUCCUUUCUUUUCUUGCUUUUUUAUAUAUAUUUUUUUAUUUGAAAAAAAAACGAAAAAAAAUUUACUGUUCAUAAAAUCCCUAAUUCACAGAAUUGGUUUUCUUCUCCAGCUUUCACCGACCAGCCCACGCAGCAGCAGCAGCACGCAGAACCAGCGUCAGCCCAGCCCUCGCGUGCAAUCAACCCCAGCACGCAAAUCCAGCAGCCCACUAGCGCAGCAGGACCAGCCCCAGCAGCGCACAGCAGAAUCAGCCCCAGUGCACAGCAUCCCGCACGCAACCAGCGUCACCAGCGCGCAACCAGCAAUCCACCAUCGGGCCAAGCUCCAGCCGAGCAGUAAUCGUCCGCAACCAGCCUACGCCCUUAUUCCAGCCGGGUGAAUCGAAAUCCGUGAGUGAAAUUAUUGUAACAAUGCCGAAGAGGAAAGCAUCAACUUCCAAGUCAUCUAAAAAGACACCCGUCGCAAAGAUAUCCAAGAUUGCCGCUCUCAUUACAGUUUCAUGGAACACAGUUUCAGAUUCACGCCGAGUCGUGAGACAAAGAUCGAACCAUGGAAAAGGCAUGAGUGUUUUGCCACUUGCGGAAUCCAAUCUCGGAGGGUGCCUUGAAUUUACGACUCAACAAGAGAAAGAAAGUUUACUGAACCAGGACCCACUCAACCUCCAAAGAAGCUUUAUGCUAGAAGUGGUGCUACCUCUGAUGACGAGUUUGACGACGACACUGCUGCCCCGCCGACUAUUCCUUCUACAUCCACACCACCUUUGAGCAUUCAGUUAGAGAAAAUGGAGCCCAAGUUGAACAAGAUGGAGCAGAAUUUGGCCGCAUACUUCAAGAGUGUAGGAUUUAUCCCACCAUUUCCGCCAAGCCCAUAGACGUUAUGAGGAUCAAAGCUCACAAUUCAGGGAAGUUUUUGCCUUUAAUCUUUUAUCCUUAUGCUUUAAUUUUUAUGUGAGCUUUGAUUAUCUUACAUUGGGGACAAUGUAAGUUCUUGGUGUGGGGGAGGGAUUUUUGCAUUAUUGAUGUCUGGAAGUAUUAUUUUCACUCUACUAAUCUAUUUUCAUUCUACUCAUCCUUAAAUGAUUUUGGAGUUAGUAUGCUUCAUAUAUUAUUAUUUUUCUUUUCUUUUCUUUCUCACUACUCUUUUUCCAUCUAUCUCAAAUUAUUUACAUCUAUUUUUAUUCUAUCAUACUCUUUCAUCACUCACAUUUUAUCUUUCACUUUUCAUAUUACUACAUACAUCUUUCUCACUUCUUAUCAUUUUUACCUUUACUUCACUCAUACAUUCUUCUCAUUCUACACCACUAUUGAUGGUUGAUUCAUUUGAAGAGUGUACAUGAUUUGAUGGCAAAUUUACCAACUUUGUGAGGAUUUGAGCCAAUGAGCAACCACUUUGCUCUAAUUAUUUUUGUUAUGUGAAUAUCAAUCUUAGUUUGUUUAUUCUAGAACUUGCUUUGUUAUGCAUGUUGAAGCCACAUUACGGGAUUUUUUGCAUUAAAAUGAUAAGGGCAAACCAUUUGCCAUUUUUCUAUUCUCGCAUUUUCCUUUUUCUCUACCCGAAGACCUUUAUUUGCUACCUUUGUUUGAGCCUUAACCAUUACCCAUCUAAUUCUCUCCGUCUACUUAACCAUUUUUCUUCUUUUUGAGCCUCAAUUUAAAGAGAUUUUUGGACUCAUUGUGUGGAUAUAUUUUGUUGCUUUUUCUACCUUGUAUUAAAGUUUCUCAAUUAGAUCAACAAGCAUUAUGCUUGAAUUAAAUUGUGCAAGGUUCGUUUCUUUUGUUUGAUUAAAAAACAAAACAAAAAAAAAGAAAAAAAAGAACAAAAAAAAAAGAAAAAAAAGAAAAAAAAAAGAAGAAAAAGAAAAAUAAAAAAAAAGAAAAAAAAAGUUUACAUUCUUGGUGACUUGAGUAGAAAUAAGCAUUUUGAUAUCACAAGUUCAUUCAAUGAGUUCAUUCUUCUCAUUUUAAUCUCUUUUUCUUUCGUAAACCUUUCUUUUCCAUUCAACCUAUUUAACCUCAUUACAACCCUUAGAUUUUUGCAUUUUAUUCAUGUUUUGUGGAUUGAGAUGUGAUAUAUGAGCAAGCUUAUGGUAAUAGCAUUCUUUGAUUUGAUUUGAGUGCAUAAAUGAUACCCUAAACACUUUGAGUGCAUGGAGUGAAGUUAUUGAGAGGGCUAUUAAAUCUUGUUGCACUUGAAUUUUGAAUGGAUCCUCUUGGUGGUUGAAUGUUCUUAUUCUAUCUUAUGAAAUUCUAUGCUCUAAAAUCCUUGUCUCUCGAAUGUUGAUCGACUUAAUUUCUUGAGGUAUGCUUGCUUAAAAUUGUUUUUGGAUGAGUUGAGAUGAGAAUUGAGUGGAGAUUUGAGAUUAAUCUUGAGUUAUAUGCUUGAGGACAAGCAUCAUCUUGGUGUGGGGGAAUUUGUUAGAGUGCAAUUUAUGCACUAGUUUUGCAUUGUUUACUUCCCUUAAUAUCGAUGUUUUGCAUUUAAUAAUAGUGAUUUACUUGUGUUUUACUUUUGUAGGUGCAAUUCUAUUGAUUGGUGAUAAAAUUGAGCUAUAAGAUGAUGUUUAAGGAUGAUUGUUCUCUUGGAGAAAUUAUGAGCGGCAGAAGAACUUUGUUGAUAAGGCGUGGGCGCGUGCUGUCAACUGCGGACCUGCAGUUUUUAGUUUAACGUGUUUUGUAUUUUUGGCUAUUUUUUAAUUACGAAUUUAAUAUUUCAAAUAUUAGUAUUUUAUUUUAAAUAGAACUCUAAAAGAGAAGAGAGAGAGAGUAUUUAAGGGAGGAAUCUAUUGUGAAAAAGGAGGGAAUUUUGAUUGGAGAAAAAGAAAAGAAACCCUAGAUCUAAUUUUUCUCUUCUCUCUAUGAAGAACUAAACUUAUUUUUCUGGUUGAAGAAUAAUGAAGCUUUGAUUCAUCACUACUGUGAGAUCUUUCUUGUGCUUUAAUUGUUUUAUUGCUUUUUGGGUAUUUGUUUAUUCUCUGAAUUAUUUUCAUGAUUAUGUUUGUUAAUUAGAUAAUUGGCCACUAUUUAAUUAUCAACUUAAUCUAUUGUCAAUUAAAGGAUUCAUCGUAUGAAGAAUUUAAUGUUUGUGACAAAUAACAUAGCAGAGAGUUGUGUUGUGAGAAUAAACAAUCUAAUUUAAAUAAAUCAUCAUAUGUGUUGAUUAGGAUUUGGGUCUCUCUGGUUUUUUAGGCUGUCAAUUGAUUAAAUCCUAUGAUCGUAUCUAGGGUUGUCUAUUGAUUAGGGAAAUCGACUAAUUAAGGAGAGAUUGACUAUUAGAGGGUCUCAGUAGCUAUAACCGGUCUAUUCAUAAGUAAUAAUAAUUUAUAUAUGAAUCAAUGAUCAGUAGUCGAAUCAAGCUGAGUUAAUUCCUUCAACCAGAGCUUUCUCCAAUUUGAAUCACAACUUUAAUUUACAUUCUCGUUAUUUUAAUUUGAUUUUUAUUAUUGUCAACAAUUCCCCCAUUUUACAUUUUACGUUUCAAAAGGAUUUAAAUAAUUACCGAUCUCUGUGGACACGACCCUGCUCAAUCACUAUACACAAUUUAUUUAGAGUAGGAAUUUAUUUUUGUUGGCUUCGACAACCAUCAAAUAAACAGAGAAAAUAACCGAUCAAUUCUUUGUGCAGUGGCCACAGCAACAGCGAAAAUAUGUCUGCAUGACUACAUUAAUUAAUCCUACCAUCACCAUGCAACAUUAAAUCAACAUUUGAUCAUCUAUCAAUUUUCAUGAUAUGAGAUUAGAAACAUUGAGUUCAUAAUUUCGUGUAAUUUCAUGUACUAGAUGUAUAUAAUUGAUUUGAGUUAGUUUAACAUCUAAAGAAAGAGUAAUGGGGAAUGAUGUCGAUGUGGCAUUUGAUGAGUAAUGAUAGACAACAAAUACUGAUCAUGUAAGAAUGAAGUCUGUAUUUACUGAAAAAUAUUUGGCAAUAAAAUGAUGCUUUAAAAAAUUAAUAUUAGUUGCACGAAAAUAAAUUGGCAACUAAAAUUAAUAGAUAUAUAUCCAAUGCUUCGAGUUUAUUUUAUCACUUCGCUAACAAUUUUGUAACUACAUUUUAAUUAUAAUGUCGAAAAGAGAUUUGAUUUUUGUAUUAAAAAAAAUUAGAAAUGAAACAAGUCAAAAUCAAUCAUAAGAACAACAAUAAGAGCAUAUUUUAUAAAAACCACAAAUACAUAAUAUAAAUUUAGUUUCGAAUUAGGUGAUUAUUAAUUUACAUAGUAAGAGAGUCUUAUAGAAAAAUAGGAAUUUUUUUAAAAGAGAUUUGCUUAAGGAACAAAUUUAGUAAAUUAACAAUCACCAAAUAUGGUAGGGUGGCAGGCAGAGGAAGCGUGGUUCCUAAUCCUAAUCUUGAGUGAUAACUGGCUAUGUAACAUGUGGCAUUCUACAUUCUUGCAAUGCCAUUAAUUUCUUGUUAUGGCAGCAGCGUUCUUUCAUCAUGGCAUCACAAGCAAAUGUUUGAUUUGAAGACUUGCUUAGCUGAGAAAAAUAAGGAGAGCAAAGGUAAUGAAUUUUGGUGUGAUAAAUAUUUUUAUGGAUGUACUAAGAAAAAUAAAGAUAAUAGAAGUGAUGUUAUUGAGGAGCAUUUUGAUAUUUACCAAAGUGUUCAAAGAAAAAAGUUAUUUUUUGAAAUCUAUUUGCUGGUGCACAUAACAAAAGGGCAUUCUGAGUAAAUUUAAAACUACAAAUAGUUUCACUCUUUUAACAAUAUUCUUCAAUUAAUUCUGUUUAUUUCAAAAUAAAUAUUCUAUCUCUUUAUUACUUUCUAACUAGUCAUGCUAAUAUGCUAAUAAUUAUGAAGAACUAGUGUAAUUUAUAUGAUAUAAGAAGCCCUUUAGCACAUUAACCCGAAUUUAGCUAAUACAUGUGCCUAAUAUAGCGAAAUCAACAUUCAGCGCAUUAGAGUGCCAUUAUAUAUAUUGAGAGAGAAAUUAACACAAAAAACUGAAUAUUAAUUGACACUGGAUCAUAUUGGAUUGUCAGUUGUUAAUUAUGAUGGGAAUACAAUCUUCAUCUUUUGAUUAUCAGCUAGCUAAUGCAUGUGCACUUUCAUUUGUGUCUAUCACUGAAAAGUAAAGUUGCUUGAUUGAGUAGUAUCAUAUCACAGGAACUCCAAACUCAAUUUCAUUGCCGGAGCAUACCAUGCCAUAUGUAGCUUAAAAGUGCAGCUAUCUUAUACUAAUUAUUUAAUACGACUAUUAGCUCUUUAUGAUUAAUUAAAAGAGAAAAUGUUUGACAAUCACGAAAAUAAUAACAAUUCACUCCUAUAAACAACAUAACAAAUACAUGGUCUAUAUUGCAAAUCUUUUUAUGAUUAUAAUUAAAAGAGAAAAUACGAAGACAUAUUAUAUAUAAUAAUUGAAUGUUCUCCUUGAUAAUUAGACAAAAUAACACCAAUCUAGCUAAUUAAUCCAAUCAUCAUACUAAUUCAAUUUUCAUUAUUUAAUUAUGUCCAAUCAUGCUAAUUUAAUAAAGAGCACUGAACACUCGAGUACUUAUAUGUUCAGCAACUUUGGCCGAGUUUGAAAAAGAUUAGAGCUGCAUUUAUGCUUUGUGUUAUUACUUACGACAUGAUCAUAUUAUGUCGCAUUUGUCAGAGAACCGAAAACUGUGGGGGGAAAAAAAAUCCUAAAAGAGAUGUAACGAAAACAAAAUGAGAAAAUAAUGCACACACAUCAUAGCAAUGCUUCAUUCAUUUUGAUUCUAUCUAUACAAAAACUUGUAUCCGAUGGUUUACAUUUGUUUAAUCUAACGGCUAUAACAUGUAUACAGUCAAACGCUACUGCUGCCAUCUUUCUUUGUCCUCGUUGUAUCCUUGAUCUUAUAUUAUCCUGGUGAUUCUUGAAAGAUCUUCUCAUUCUCAUAUGCUGAGUCGCUUGCUGGGAUGAUUAAUACUCGAAGGUCCUUCAUUGAGACAUUUCAGCAAACACCUGAUUCAUUAUAUCAAACAUCUGCAUCACUAAUCGCUAAAAGAUAUAAAAUAGUUCUGUUUUGAAAAAUUGAUAUAAACCAGUCACCUUAGAUUUUCUUAGUCUCAGAGGACAACGGGUGAUGAUUCGAUGAGAAAUAUUAAUAUGCAUGCAUCCGCUGCAUUAGUUAGAGCUGCUUGUCAUUUUCUUCUUUCUUUUGGAUACUAUUUUAAAUUUUUAAUCAGUCUAAUUCAGCUGUAUGUUUGCUUUCAGUCCAAAUCGAACUCAGAUAUUAAGUACUUCUACAGGAAUGGACGCACCCAAAAAUCUAUGGGAUCCGUAGUUCUUGCAGAAGCGGCAGAAUGCUGCCAGCAAUUCAGGCAGAUAGAAGCUUGGUUGAGUGGUUGUUCUUCAAUGUGAAAUUCUACAUAAUGGGGAUCCUUUCAAUGGGGUUUAAAUUCUUUUUUUUUUUGAGUUGUUGAUUUAGAGCAGAUUAAGUAACAUGUGGCAUUCUAUAUUCUUGCAAUGCCAUUUCUUGUUAUGGUAUCAACAUUCUUGACCAUGGUUUGAUUUGCGUAAUUUUGCUUUCUGUUUUUGAUAUUUUCUUCGCAUUGUUGUUGUGGGAUUUGUAGAUAGUGUAUAUGUAUGAAGAUAACGUAAUAAAGUGCUUUUGAUAAAUUCCCCUGGUUUGUUUACUUCACUAAUUCAUUAAUGAGCAAGUCCUCUAUAGAGCUGUGUUGUGCGUACAAGUUUUGCUACAUGAAAUCGUUAGGUGAGGAGAAUUUUUAAAAGCAUACAUCAAAGUAAUGAUUAAAGGGACAAAAUCAACGUAAAUAUUGAUUAUCUUGAGUUAGAUUAUACAAAGAUGAAAUAAUGAUAAUCUAAUAAAUUUAUCAUAAUACACUACUCAAAAAUGCAUUUUAAUGACACAAAUUUUAUGACAUACAUCUUUAUGUCAUGAAAAUAUUUGCAUGAUGUAUAAUGCUUUCGUGAUUAUUUGAUGAUAAAUUCAUAAUUGCUGCUGAUAUGAAAUGAAGUGAUGAUAGGUAAAUAUUAUGCGAUUUUUUUUUUAUGGGUAAGAAUAUUUGAACCCACCAAAUUACUCUUUAAACUUAUUUUUUUAUUGAUAAUUUUAUUACAAAAUUACCGAUAAUUUGAAUUACUAUUACAGACAAACAAUAAUUAUAUAAAAUUAUUUUAUUUUUACUCAUUGUUUAAACCUACCGCAAAACUCAAUCAAAGUAUGCCUUUUUUUUUCUUCUGCAAGUUUUUAAUAAGUUCAUCCUUCAUCCACAGUUGAGAACUUUCUAAUUUUUUUUCUUGUUCUAGUAAUUUGGAUAUGCUGUGUUAGAUACUGAAUUUAUUAAAUUUCUUCUUCUCUUUUGAAUAAAAUCUCUUUAAAAUUCAAUUCAUAAAAAAAUAAAAAAUUAAUCUCCUUAUAAUUUAAUAUGUUUCAGCUGUCUUAGUGGAAUGAUGCAAUUUGUUUCCAUCAAAGUUUUGAAGCAUCCUGAAAUUUUGAGAUCGACAUGAUAACAAAUUAAUUUAAUUCAUGGUGUACUCUAAAUUUUCAGCCACAAAAAAAAUAGCCAAAUUGAAGUGUACCUGGGCAAGAAGAAACUGCGAUUAUACAAUUUCAGUGUUCGACUCUAUCAAUAAAAAAGAAAAUAAAAAAGAACUCUCAUUGUUCCAUUAUUUUUCCCAUAAAUAAUGAUAUACAGAGAAUUUAGUUUGAUAUGGGAUAUAAUAAGUAUUUAGGUGAGUUUAUAAAGUAAAUUUUAAAAUUUUAAAAUUUAGUAAUGGGUUUAUAAAUAAUUGAGUUCAUAUAAUAUUUUAAUAAAUUCAAAUAACCCACCCUUUUUUUUUUUAAAAAAAGAUCUAAUUACAAAAAUACCAUUCCAAUCGGCAGCAUUUUAUAUUUUAUUUUAUUAAAUAUUAUUUUAUUUUUAAAUUACUAGUGACGCAAGAAACGGCAUCAUUUAUUGAUAUUUUUAAAUUGUUUAAGAUUUGUUUAAUUAGAAAAUUGCCAUUGUUGAUAUUUAAUUAAUUUUAAAAAAUAAAAAUAAUAAAAUUGGUAAGCUCUACUCCAUAAGUGAUGAACGAAUUGACAAAUUUGCAGUAAGUGAUGAACGAAUUGAUAAGCUCUACUCCAUCGGCUCCUUAAUUGAGAAAAAACCCAAGCCCGUGCAGCGCAGCCUCACAAUUGAUAGAGACCCUAAGCCACCAAACUCGACAAUCAUCACUCAACGUCGUCGCAAGCUACCGGUCGCUCAACAAGCACCAGUUCCUUGCUCUACAGCCAUCGCUCAACCGCUGCCAUUACCUGUUAAUUAUUCGCUUGAAUUAGGGUUCUGAUAUUUUGGGAUUUUUUGUUAGUCGUGGAAUUAUGAAGCAAGGACGACGAUGACGAAGAUGUGGUGGUUGACGACGGCAAUGGCAACGUUGAAUAUUGAGGCACCGGAGGAAAAAGCAUUGGCUAUGUAUCUUGGUCGAUUUGCCUCGAAUUGAUCACUAAACAUGGGGAUAUCGUGGGCCGAGCUUCAACGCAGUGGCAAAUUUCAUUUGGGUAACUGAAUUUUUUUUUUGUUUAAUUUGUUUAGAGUUCAAUUGUUUAGAUCUAGGCUAAUUUUUAAUGAUAAUUUUUAUGAUUAAAUUAUAUGAGUAUGCUUAAAUUUUUUUUCCUUCAAAUUUAUUUUCUGAUGUUGCAUUUGGUUAGCAAAAAGAUAAAAAUAGUAGAAAAUGUCAGAAUUAUUGUUAUGAAAAUGUUGUUUUAGUCUGAUAUUGGGAAAAUAUCAUUAUACAUAUUGGCAUGAUAUUCAUGGGAGACAAAAUUGAGAAUGAUGACAGACUAUGCAUUGCUCACAACUAAUUUAAAACUCACUAUUUCUAUUGUUUGUGUUUCAGUAACUUUGGGGGAAUUCCAACUAUAGUUAAUAAGCUAUAAACUUGUUUAGGAUUGCUGAUCAAUUUGCUAGAAAGAGUUGCAAAGUAAUUAGCUUUCUCUUAUAACUUUUACAGAUCAUCUGUGGAGGAGAACUGCAAGGAGUUGAAGACUCUAGACCCUAAACUUCAUAUCUUGAUUUAUAAGUGCAAUGGGCAUAAGUCCGAAUUAUGGGCUGGAGAUGGUAUAUGUAAUCUUUCUACUCUUGGUGUUUUUUUUUCCUCUAGUUAUUUUUUGUUCUCUACUCCAUUGUAUAUUUGUAUUCAAAAGUAUUUUUUCUUUGUUUUAAGCUUUUAAAUUUAUGGAGAUGAUCUUAUUAGGUGUUAAAAAAAAUAGUUGUAGAGCUUUACUAAAACUAUGUAAACUCCUAUUGAGAUUUGGGUUUGAUUUUGUAAGAUUGCUAAAAAUUUCAUAUUUUAUACUUGUUUUAUACUUUUCUAGUUGAAUUUCUUGCUUGUGGAAGAUAAAAUAAAAGUCCAAUUCAUGUUGUAAAAUUUUUUUUCCUCCCUUCUUUCUUUCCUUAUAAUCUGGCUCUGGCUUUGGUGCUAUGCUUGGUGCAGUUUAUGGUUUCAAUGCAGGGAACCAAUUUCAUCAUAAUCAUCUUAAAGGAUCAAAAUGGCUUUCUUUUGUAACUGGGUAAGUCAAUGCUACUUCCUGAAUUCGAUUUGGAGUUCUUUCGGAAUAGAUUUCCUUCCCUUACAUCACUUGGCUUCUAGUUGCAUCUUCUUGGCUUUCUCCAGCGGACUUUUUUAUUGGCAAAAUUCCUUUGUUUCUAUUGUUUUCAAGUGCUAGUGCUGGAUUUAGAGGUAUGAAUGGUGCCUUCAUUUUUAUUUUUUUAUUUUUAUUUUGUACUGUAAUAUACUUCUUUGUAUAGCUAGUACAAAAUAGUUCUUCAACUUCUUACUUUUGGCUUUAAUGGGUUCGAUAUAUGAUAGCGGAGCCCUAUCAGCAUUUGAUGUCAGACAACAAAUAGGGGACAGAUGGGAUUAGAAAAAUAAGUAACAUGACCAAAAUAAAAAUCUAAUCUACUCAUAUAAGCAACUCAUCAAAUAAGUGUAUCACAUACUUAAGUGAAUAAGAUUCCGUGAUUUCUAGGAAUCCAAGUCAAAUUAUAACAUUCUUUAAAUAAGACUCACAAGCUUAUUAGGUGUUAUAUUGAAUCAUCUAAGUUGAAUAAUCUUUUGGGUUGAAUAUGUUAAUUUCUUAUUCCAUAUGUUUCAGCCUCUCAAUAGUUGAAUUAGCAAUGAAAAUUUGAAAAUGGAAAAACUCAGUGCAAUUAUUUUAGGUGCUUAUCAUAGAUAAGAAUUUCACUUUUUACACUUCAUUGUCUGUUGUCAAAUUUAUUAAGUAUGAACCCGGAUUAGGUUUGUGCUCUCAAGGAUUUAUAAAUAAGUGCUACUUGACUUAGAUGUAAGAAAAUUGAAAAGCAGAGUUGCUUGAUUGAAUAGCUUCAUAUUUUACAUCACAGAAACUCAAUUUUCAUUGCCAUAUGUAGCUCAAAAGAGCAUGAACAUUGAACAUUCAGCUAAUUUAUACUAAUUAAUUAACACAACUAUCAGUUCUUACUUCUUGGUACCCGGCAACAUCCAUCCAUAAGAGUGAAACCCCCAUUGAUUUCAUAUAUACAAAAUAAAUAACUUACAAAGACAAUACCUGACAAUCACAACAAAAACACUAAUUCACUCCAAUAAACAACAUAACGAAUACAUGGUCUAAAUUGCAAGUCUUGUUAUGAUUUUAAUUAAAAGAGAAAAUGUGAAGGACAUGUUAUAUAUAAUUGAAUGUUAUCCUUGAUAAUUAGACAAAAUAACACUAAUGUAGCUAACUAAUCCAAUCAUUGUAAUAAUUGGAUUUUCUUUUUUUAAUUAUGUCUAUUGAUGCUAAUUUAAUCAAGAACACUGAAUACUUGAGUGUUUUUAUGUUCAACAACUUUGGCUAAGUUUGAAAAGAUCAUAUUAAUUAUUAAUAUAAAUAAAUAAGCCAACAAGGUACAUAUUACAUAUAUGUGUAGUUGCAAUAAAUACAUAUGUAAUAAAGAUCAUAAAGCUCAGGGCCAUUAAUUCAACAUUACCAAAUCAAUAUCCCAAUAAUGGUUUGAUUACUAAUCUAAGCAUUAAAUGAUCAGCAAACUUUAUUUGGCCAAAACAAAUGCUUCCUUGUUGCCUCCUUGAUCUUUUCCUGGCUGGUGAUUCUUGAAUGUUCUUCUCAUUUUGAUAUGCUGAGUCGUUUGCUGAUUAUAAAUGCUAAUCACCUUAAAUUUUCUUAGUCUUCUUCUUCAUGUGAAAUUCUACCUAAUGGCUAUCCUUUUAUCUGGUUUGAAUUCUUCUUUUUUCUUUGAAUUGUUGAUUUCUAAUGUUCUUGUCAUUCGCACAUGUGGCGUUCUGCACUCUUGCAAUGCCAUUUCUUAUUAUGGCAGCAGCAUUCUUGGUCAUGGCAUCACAAGCAAAUGCUUUUGAAUUGCUUUGUUUGAUUUUUGUUUCUAAUAUUUUUUUUUUUUGGCAUUGUGGGAUACUGUUUCUCUUUUGAUUUUCUGUCUUUGUUGUUAUGGGAUUCUGGUAUAGUAUGCAUCAGUACACGUAUGAAGAUGAUGUGAUAAAGUGCUUUUGAUAAAUUGCCCCAGUCAGUUUACUUCACAAACCAACCAUUAAUGAGCAAAUCCUUCUAAUGACCCUUGUACACAUUAGAAUAAAUACAAUUCUAUAUAUACACAAAAAUAAAUAACUCUCAAGUAUAUUAUUUGAUAAUCGCAAAAGCAACAAUUCACUCCAAUAAAUCUUAUAACACACUCAUGGUCUAUGUUGCAAGUCUUUGUAGAGAAAAAAUGAAGGACACACAAUUGAAUUUUUUCUAUGAUAAAGAACUCUAAACAAAUUCAUCUACAUAUCGCAGUACCCCUUACAAAUUCAUUUGUUUCUUCUUUUCCUUUGAUCAAGUGCUAAUUACAGCCUUGAUAUUUCAUUUGGUUUUAGUUAAUUUUCUAUAGGGUUGUGUUGUGUGAAAUUAAUUACAAAACAAUCUUUAACGAAGUCUUAUGAAAAUACCAUAUUAUAACUACAAAGUUAGGCUUCCUAAUCAAGCUACUGUUCAUCAGAUUGUGUAUUGUGUUACUGGUGAGCUCUUAUGUCAAUUAUGACCAGACGGCGCCUUGGCUAACUGUGAGUUAUGUGCGAACAUAAGAGCUGCAAAUGAAUUAUGUACUAUUUUUAUGUGACAAGGUAUGUGCUCUGUUUUUAUGGUCUUUCUCUCUGUAGUUCCCUCUGUAGUUUUUUUUUUUUGGGAUACAUUGAUAAUAAAAUUAGAAGUCUACUAAUAUGUACAACCAGAAACCUAUUGGGGACUUUUUGUCUUUUGAUGCAGUUGUAGGGCACAGCUCAAAUAUUCUUUCCUCAUUUAAUAUUGGAGAAAUCCGACUCCCAAGCGAUUCUGUCUACGGUUGUUGGACAAACUGUAAUGUGAAUUUCUAUCUAAUGGGUGUAUCAUUCUUGCAGUCAGUUUGGGAUUGUUGAUAUAGAUAUGAUGUUUAGUCUCCAAAAUUCAGAUGAUGAUAAUCUUGUGAGUACUUUUUGUCAUAUUUUCUUUUGUGUUGGUGUUGGGAUCUUAAUUUUGUAUCCAAUGUUAGGACAAUAUGAACCCAUUUUAAGUGAUAUGAUGCAAGUUCAUGUUCAAGAAUCCAUUUAAUGAAACAUUCCAGUGUUUAAUAAUGAGUAAUUGGUUUAAGAUUAAUACCAAAUAUUUUAAGUAACAUGUGGCGUAUUCUAGUGAGAUCCUCCAACUCAGAUUUCUAACUCAAAUGGAAACGUUUCGAAUUUCUUCAGAACAUUCUGCAGAACGGUUCGUCUUGUCUUUACAGUUUCUUUUGUGAAUUUCUCCCAGUUUCUUUUGUGAAGACUUCUGAAUAAGCUUCCAGAUAUUGAGAUACAAUCCAAUCUAAGCCCAUACGUAUAUCCGCCUCACAUUUGUCCAUUUCCCCAGAAAAUCAAAAAGCACUUUAGUUCGAAACAAACACUCUAAAAAAAACCAUCUAGCUACCCAGAUGGCGAAAUCAAGAAUCUUGCAAUGGCAAUGCCAUUUCUUGUUAUGGCAGUAGCAUUGAUGAUCAUGGCAUCACAAGCAAAUGCUCUGAUGCCGUACACACGAUCACCUUUCUUUGACGUGAUGUUCCCAAUGACGGAAGAUCCUUUCAGGGUUCUUGAACAAACCCCGUUAACAACCCAAAAGGAGCUGAACAUCAUCAAACUCUAGCACUGGCGAGAGCAGACUGAAAGGAGACACCAACAUCACACGUGAUCACACUCGACAUUACAGGGAUGAAGAAAGACGAUGUGAAGAUUGAAGUUGAAGAGAACAGGGUACUGAGAGUGAGUGGGGAGAGGAAGAGCGAUGAUUAUUAUAAGGAGGAAGUUGAAGGAGAAAAAUGACACAGAGCUGAGAGAACAUUUGGCAAGUUUUGGAGGCAGUUUAGGAUGCCUAUGAGUGCUGACUUGGAUCAUGUUAAGGCUCAUUUGGAAAAUGGUUCUAAGGAUCACAGUGCCAAAACUUGCUGAGGGGAAGAAGAGGCAGCCUAAGGUUAUUAACAUUGAUGAAGAGCCUGGUAAUUCUUCCGGUGAAGAUAUUAAGGCCGCCAAGGCUCAAAUGUGAUUGAUUAAAGAAAGAAGUGCUUACUUUGCUUGAUGUGCUAUUUGUUUUGUAAUCUUUUCUUGGUUUUGUUGUGGGAUGUUUUUCUUUGGAUGUUCUGUUUAUUGUAUUUUGAUGGAUUUUUAAAGAUGGCUUGUAUGUAUUAACAACAAUAAAGUAUUUUUUAUAAAUCCGGGUCCUAAAUUUGUAAAAGAAAUUAAUAAUACGCUUGGUUUAUUGUUAAUAAAAAAAAAAAAGACGUCUCUUUUUCUUUAGCAUAUAUUAUGCAUUUUAAGGGAAAAAAAAUUAUCACAUUCUAAUUUAUAAAGCAUUCCUCUUCUGUCAUAUUAAUGUGUUAAUACGAAGGUCUAUUGGAAUUAUAAUAGUUUAGAUGAAUCCAAAAUAUUCAAUAAUUGAUAAAUAGUAUAUAUAAAUAUUAAUAGCAAUGGCACAUAAUCAAUUAAUUCAAGAACUUGCCCAUAGUGCAUUAAGUUAAAAGAGUAAAAAUAACAUUGCAAAACAGGCCAGACCUUACGUGUUUAAUUAGCAAUUGAAAACUACUUUACCGUACAACACCAUUAAGAGAUAUUUAUAACACUGUUGUUGAUGAGGCAGCUGUUAAUUCUUUUGGUGAAGAUGUUAAGGCCACUAAAGCUGGAACGUAAUCAGGGAAAUAUAAUGUAUUCACUUAGUUUGCUAUUUGUGUUUUUAUAUUUGUUUGGCUAAUUCUUUUAUCAGAUUGCUUUUUGUUUUUGAGAUUUUAUUGGCUUAGUCGUGGGAUAUUAUUUAAUCUUUUAAUUUUGUGUUUUUAUUGUUAUGGGAUUUGAUGAUGGCAUACAUAUAGGAAAAUUAUGUAAGAAAGUGCUUUUAAUAAAUUAUGGUCGGUUUACUAUUAAUUAACCAAAUUUAAUUUACUCAAAUUACUCCUAUACACGAUUAAAAUAAUUUCAAUUCCAUGAUAUAAAUACGCGCGUGCGGACACACAAAAUGUAAAUAACUUUCAAAUACAAAAUAUUUAAAAUAAUCAUCAUACUAACAAUUCACAAGUUAGAUUAUAUUAAGGCCACCAAGGCUUAAAUGUAAUUGAUUAAAGAAAGAAGUGCUUGCUUUGCCUGAUGUGCCAUUUGUCUAUGAUGUUUUCCUGGUUUUGUUGUGUGAUGCUUCUCUUUAGAUGUGUUGUUUAUUGUAUUUUGAUGGGUUUUUGAGGAUGGUUGUAUGUAUUAGCAACAACAAGGUGCUUUUUAUAAAAUCCGGGUUCUAAUUUUGUAAAAGAAAUUAAUACUCUCGGUUUAUUGUCAAUAAAAAAGAAAAAGGAAAAAGCCUUUUUCUGUGGCAUAUAUUAUGCAUUUUAAGGAAAAAAAAAUCACAUUCCAAUUCAUGAAAGACAUUCCUUCUGUCAUAUUGAUGUGUUAAUAGAAAGAUCUCAUAACAAUUUUGAUGAAUCUAAAUAUUUAAUAAUUGAUAAAUUGUAUUUAUAAAUAUUAAUGCCGGUGGCACAUAAGCACUUAAUUCAAGAACUCGCCUAUAGUGCAUUAAUUUAAAGAGUAAAAAUAUUUAAUAAAUCAUGCUUAGUUUACUAUUAAUUAAUCAAAUUUAAUUUACUCAAAUUACUCCUCUACAUGAUCAAAGUAAUUUCAAAUAUACAACACAGAAAAUGUAAAUGACUUUGAAAUAUAAAAUAUUUAAAAUAAUCACCCCACUAACAAUUCACCAGCAAGAUUAUAAAUAGUCGAAAUAAUGAUAAUCUAGGGGGUCCAGUCAUAAUAAUUUGAUUUUUAUUUAUAUUAAUUAUAUCAGAAAGAGUACUCGAGAUUAUAUAUAUCCAACAACUAAAAUUUCAAAACAAUAUUUGCCAAAGUCUGAUGAAGAGAAUACAUAUAUAUAUAACAUGCACUCGCACACAUUCUAUUGUUUAAUUAAAAAAUUCGAAAGCCCAUUAUAUACAUGAUAAAGACUCACCGACACCGAACCAUAUUCAUUUAAAGGAAUUGUUUUUAACUGAGAUUUGAAAUUAUAUACACAAACACACCUGUUUUUUUUUUUUAAAAAAUUACUAAUAAUAAAAUAUUUCGGCAAAACAAAUUUUGCCGAAAGCAAAAAGUCUGGUGAAAAGAAAUGUUAUGUGCAUAUAACCGUACAGGCGCAGCAGAAGGAUAAGUCAAAGAAAAACGAAGUUUCAAUAAGAAAUUAAUUACACAUUUACACUCAAUAAGAAAAUCAAUUCAUUACUUUCUAGCGCUUUUAUUUAAAAAGCGCAGUCUAUUUUUUAAUUAAAAAAAUUCGAAAACCGAUUACAUGAUAAAAACUCACCGACACCGAACCUUAUUAAUUUAAAAUAGUUUUCAACUAAGAUUUGAAAUUACAUUCACAAACACACCCAACUAAAAAAGAAAAAUUCUAAUAAUAAAACAUUUCAGUCAUCAAAAACCCAUUUAUAAUUUAUUUCAACACGCGGUAUAUGGGUUAACAAGUCCCAAUAUUGUCCUCCAUCCUUUCUGCACUUCUCUUCUAUCAACGGACAUCCCUCGAUGUAUAAACACAAAAGUGAGGAAGGCAGGCCCUUCUCCGGAAAGUAUUUGAGCUUGGGACAAUCCCAGAGAUGCAAUUGAGUGAGGUUUUGAAGAUCAACAAUUGAAGAAGAUAGGCGUUCCAGAUUUGGAAAUCUGAAAAUCCACAGAGAUGUUAGAGAGGCAGGAAGAGGAAGCGCGGUCCCCAAUCUUAUGUCCUCCGGUGGGAACGACACCGUGUCCUCAUCACAUCCUUCGAUUCUAAGUUCUCGCAGAGAGGAGAAUCUGUGAAAUCCUCUGCUCCGCUCAAUCAUUGACUUCCAAAUUUUCGUAUUACCAUCAAUCUCCAGUGAAUGAAGGUUGGUGGGAAGGCCAUCUUCUUCAAGGCUUGGAAGCUCACCUCCUGUUCCUAUUCUUAAUUCUUGAAGAGAGCUCAGAUUGUGCAAUCCCUUGGGUAAGGCCUCUAGUCUCUCACAAUCAGAUGUCUCCAGCGUCCUGAGUUUCGCACAAGGCAAUCCCCCUUCGGGAAAGGACACCAGAUUUCCACAAUUCCAUAUCUUAAUCUCUUGAAGCUGGCGGAGAUUAUGUAAACCACUCGGUAAAAUUUUCAGAUUUUCACAAUUAGAAAUGUCGAUUGUUUCAAGAGAUGUGUUGUUGUCCAACCUUUCUGCUAUUGACUCCAGCUUUGAACAACUCCGAACAUUAAGGCUCUUAAGAGACGGAGGUAGAUUGCCAACUUCAAGGGACUCAAGCGUGGCAGGUAACUCGUUUUUUGAAAAUAUACAUGUCAGUGAUGGACAAACUGCAAUUAAUAAGUGCUCAAGAAGAGAUGAGGUGUACCUUCUGCUGCUGCUGCUGCUGUGGAUGCCCUCUUCCACUGUCAAAGUCCUUAUGUUACUGCACCACUGGAUGUCCAACCUCUUAAGGCUUGAUGGUAGCUGGACUCCAGCAAUAUAUGUCAACGAACGGCAAUCCUCAAUAUACAAGAUCUCGAGAGACGAAUUGGUGUCGCACAUCCAUGCCUCCGGUAACGAUUUCAGUGCGUCACAUUCCCUAAUCUCAAUUUGCUUCAACUUGGAAGGCAGAGCAACCUCAGGAAAGGAAACAAGGGAACUGCACUUGUAGAUUUCUAUCUCUCUCAAGGAACUGAGGCUGAGAGAUGAUUGUGGCAGCUUCACAAGGCCUUCGCAAUAUCUCAAUCUUAGAUAUUCGAGUCUGCAUGACAACUGGCAGAGCUGCUGUUGUUGGUCUUUCUCUUCCUCCGCCACCAAGGAUUGAAGUUUGGGACACCGUCUAAUCGUCAAUCUUUUGAGAGAGCAAAUGUCUUGUAGUAAUCCGUCAUGACUCUUCCAUAUAUAUGUUUGCUCUUUUGUCGACAAAAUUAAUUCUUCCAAUUUCGAUAGUUGUGGCUUCAAGGGCCCCGCAAGAAACACUUGAUUUGAUGUAUCUCUACAAACCACUGAAUUCUGUGAUCCGAGAUGACCAGUUGCACUUUCCCACACAACCUUUUUGCAUCCACCAAUCUGUAAUUUGCAAAGAGCUGGAAGACUCGAAACUGAAACUACCAAUUCUUCACAUCCUUCAAUAACAAGCAUCUCCAAUGCAGGAAGGUGCUCUGGAAAUGUUCCUUUCAGUUUAGAACAUCUUAAAAUGUGAAGCUCUCUCAAUUUAGGAAACCGUUCAACUCCCUGACUGGAUCCAUGAGGAAUCCAGUCUUCCCAUUCUCGCAUGUUUUCAAAACGAAGAGUCUCCAAACAUGGAGGAUCAUUCCCACAGAACUCUGAACCCAACCUUUUUACUCUGCUCAUUCCACGCACUGUAAGAUGCUUUAGAGAGGGCAGUUGCCCGACAGACGGCAGGGCAGUACACAUGCCGCAAUCUUCAAAUUCAAGUGUUACUAAAUUUGAGAACAAGGAAUCUCCUAACCAUGUUGGAAAUUUCAUACCUCCAUAGCCUUUGAUACAAAAUUGCUCCAGAUUUGUAUGAGGUUUUAGCAUGUCAAGCACGCCCAUUUCAGUUUCUGCCUCCCUUGAAGAAGAACCAUCGGUACUGCAAGUCCAUUUAAGCGAUAAUUCUUUCAGAUUCUUCUUUCCAUCCAUUUGAGCCUCCAUGGCAUCACCAACGCAUUUUACAUUCUCCAAUUUUGAAAUGCUAAGUGUCCCAUGAAGGUGCGUCAACAACUUUAGCUCUCGUAAACCGGAACCACUGCCUUUUCCCACAACAAAAUUACACAACGUCUGAAGACUAGUCAACCUACCAAUUCCUACUGGCAUUUCCUCCAACGACUUCGUAUUUGAAUUCUUAAGAUGAUGCAAUUUGAUGAGGUUCCCCAUGUCUGCACACAACUUCUUCAGCCGAUCACAAUCUUCCAACAAAAGACUAUGCAAAUUGUAAAGCUUGUUGACUGAUUCAGGCAGAGUUCUAAUCUCAGUUCUAGACAGGUUAAGGUACCUUAAAUACCUCAAAUCACCAAUUGAAUCUGGCAGCUCAGGGAUGCGGUAUCCACGCAAAGAGAAGACCCUCAAGCGUUGAAGUUUGAGCAACUUAGGAAGAAUGCUAGGAGCCAAGUAGCCAGGCCAUCUAUUUGUCAACAUUACUGGUAAAAAAGUUCUCAAAUGUUGGAUAUCAUACAAGUCCCCAAACCUUUGAACGCCAUCAUAAUCUCCACAAAUGUAUGAUAGAUGACGAAGAUUUCUGGAAAAACAUUGUUGCUUGUUAACCUCCGAGGUAUACUCCAGUGUGAAGUAUGUCUCCCCUGCAGCCCAACGGGCAAGGUCGUUGAUAAGAUCGUGCAUAACAAAUAGUGAUGCAUCGGUGGCCGAUUGCUGGAAAAAAGAUCUUGAACAUAGCUCCUUAAAGAAAUCACGACCUAAAUCUUCACUAGGAUUCUCAUCUUCUUUGUGAUCCAAAAAACCGGAGGCACACCAUAAUAAAAUUAUCUCCUCCUCUUCAAAUUCAUAAUCCUUUGGUAACAAUGAGCAGUAUGCAAAGCAUUGUUUCAAAGUUGGAGGAAGAUAAUAAUAGCUCACUGCAAGGGCUGGUAUAAUGCGACACCUCUGUUCUGGUAAUUCCCAUAUCUUGCUACCGAGCACACCUUCCCAUACCCGUCUGUCAUGUCUUCCACGUAAUAGUCCUCCAAGUGUUUGUGCAGCUAAGGGCAAGCCAUCGCAUUUGGUCACUAUCUUCUUGCCAAUUUCCUCCAAUAACUCAUGCGGCCCCAGAGAAUGUUGAGCGAAUAUAGCUAGACAGUCAUUAUCUGACAAUUUUUUUAAUGGAUGAGGUGGAAGAGUCCCCAUGAUUGUUGCAACAUCCUGAUUGUGAGUAGUAACAAUAAUCUUACUUCCCUGUGCACCAGCUUCAAAUGGAAGGCUGAGCUGAAUCCAAUCAUCGUAACUAUCAUUCCAUACGUCGUCUAAAACAAGCAAAAAUUUCUUUCGAGACAACUGCUUCUUUAGCUCCUCUUGAAGAAAAUUUAAAUCAUUAUUAUCAACAGUCUGCUUAGUAAUGGAGCUUAGAAUUGUUCUUGUUAGCCUGAUAAGAUCAAAAUCAUCAGAGACACAAGUCCAUGCCUUGAGAUCAAAAUGAUCCUCCACUUGCUUGUAGACAAGCUGAGCAAGAGUGGUUUUACCCAGCCCGCCCAUACCUAUAAUGGGAAUAACUGCGAAUCCACCAUCCUUUCUUGAAUCAUCCUUCAACAACAAUUCAACAAUUUCCUUCUUUUCUGUUUCCCUGCCAUAUACUUUGGCUUCCUCCACCAAAGAGGUUGUCUCUUGCCUUUGCCUGGCUUUUUUGGACCCCCCAGCUAAACUUUUUAUCAAAUUCAGCGAGCGUAUUCCUUCUUCAAUAUCUUGAAAUCUGUCGUUGAUCUUUUUGAUUUUGGACAUCAAGGCGAAAUCGAACUGAAUCGAUUGUAGAGUAAAAGUGGUACAGCAAGUAGGAAUGAGCUUCCGAAACUUACUCUUCGUGCUUGUACGACUGCUGCUGGGUUGAUCAUGAGCAGCAGCUGGUUCUCCAUUUCCAAGCAGCAACUUCCUCCGGAAAGCCUCAGUUUGGAACUCAUCCAACAAGUCUUCAACGUCAUAAGCCAAGUUCUGAAGCUCGCCAAGCCACAACUUCACAUAAUCAUCAGUCGUCUUCUUCUCCUCAGCAUCAUCAAGCACCGCCUUGAUCGUCACCAACUUAUUCUUCCACUUCACUAGAUCGUCUUUGAUUCGACCUUGGCGUGCAAAACGCAGAAUCCCCUUUGAAGCUAACUUAUUGACCAGCAACUCAACGGACGCCGUCAGGAUUGCCUCUCCGAUGAUUGACAUUUUUUCUUUUUUCUUUUUUUUUGGGUUUUUUUGGACAAAGAAAAAAACUAAAUUAUGAGUUUGUGGAAAGCAAAAUGAGAAAAGUGAAUAAGCGGAAUGUGUUUGUGAUUGUGUCUAGCAAGCCUAGAAAUCAAGAAAAAUCCACCGUAAAAGUGAAAAGUAAAACGGAGCCCACCACAAAUAUAAAAUCAGAGGAGCACAGAAUAAAAAAAAAAACAAAAGAAAAGAAAAAGCCAAGCCAAGAAUCAUAUGCCAUUGCUUUACAUAUUAAAUUAAAACAAAAGCCAUGCCAGGAAUCCUGCCUUUGCUUGAUAUUUGACAAGAUUAAUUGGACAUUACACAUUAUUUCACAGAGAAUAAAACUUGUAAAGAACCAAACCCAUCAAACCCUUUCUUUAUCUUAAAUGUCAGAAAUAUAUAAUUAGCUUGGAAUAAAGCUAUACUCUUCUCCUUUUUCCAUUUCUACAGGUUCAUAUAGGCAUAUCAUAUGGAUUUUGUUUUAUGCUAGGUAAUUAUUAAUUUAUAUAAUAAUAUAUUUCCCUCAAAAUAUACUAUUUGAAUUUGAAAUAAUUUUUUAAAAUAAUUUAAUAUCACAAUAAUAGUCAUGAUUCAAUUCGGUUCAGUUUAAUUUUUUUAGAGAAAAAAUUUGAGAAAAUAGACAAAUAAUGAAGACGCAAUUGAAGCACAGCCAAUAAACAGGGUAAAGUGAAUUGCGUCCUGUCCUUGAGCACUCAAUUCUCUUCAAUCUCAAAUUUAUACGUACAUUUUUGUAAAUUCAUGUCAUAUACUAGAGUCUUUUGGGUUCUGUUACAUCAAUUGUUUCGUGUCUAUCUUGUUUUAUUAAUUUAUGGAGCAAGAUUGCUAGUAGCGAUAAACCUGGAAUAAAACGAUUUAUUUAUUUUAUAUAUAUAUUGCGUUGUUAUCAGCAAAAAAUAUGAUGGGUUUCGUUUGUAACAACUAGCUAAUUGCUUAAUACAUUUUUGUACUUCUCGUCAUGAAGUCACGAGGAACUUGUAAAUAAGAUCAUAGACGUGGUACGAUGUGACGUGAUAAAUUUAAAUCAAAUCUAAACUAAGAUGGUUCAUAUAUAGGUACAUACUGAAUAAAGAUAUUUAAAGCAUUCAAUUUUAUGACAUACCUAAUAGUCAUUGGCUUAUUGUUAUUAAAGGAAGUGAAUAGAAAUAGAUGUAGAAAGUGAAAAAGAUGAACUAGCGCACAUGAUGAUUUCUCAGAUAAAAAGUUAAAUUUAUAUUCUUUUUUUUAAUAAGUGUGAGAUGAUUUACACCCUAAAAUUUAUUUUGAACACUCAUAUUUUUAUUACAAAAAACCCCAUAGUUCAAUUUACUGGUAUGGACAAUUCAAUAAAAAUACAUAGAACAAUAAUACUUUUGACACCCAUCUGGCUAUAUUUAACAAGUUUGCACGCACAGACUCUAUGAUUCUAAUUUCUUUGACUUGGUUUUAGUUUUUGUUGAAUAUAUAUCUACCUAUAUAAAGUGUUAGUGAUUUUUCACUUCUCUACCAAGGAGAUUCUACACGAAUAAACAACCGCAGAAAAAAAAAUAUAAAAAACCUGAUACAGGUGAAGAAGAUAUUCAUCAUAACAGUUUUUUAAAGUUGAUGAGUCCAAAUAUCCAAUAACUGAUAAAUUGUGUUAAGAAAUAAAAAAUAUUAAUAGUGAUGACACAAAGGAAGUCCCGUGUUUUGAGUUUGACUAAAAUAAUCUGAAUAAUUUAAAAUAAUCGAUCAGGCCAAAUUGCUGAAGAGAUGAACGGCCUCUGUUUUUUACCAUAAUACUAGGAAUUGACUUCAAUUGGGAAGUCAGGCCAAUCGAAGGAGCUCCCCUGUUUCUGACUGAAACAUAAUCCUAACAAUUUACAAUUAAAUAAAUCAUUCAAAAUUUCUCCUUUAAUCGAACCCCCACUUCUAUGACUUAAUAAAAUAUUACAAAAGUUCUUAAUACAGUGAAAUUAACGUUCAGCUCAUGAAGUCGCCAUUAUAUAUAUUGAAAAAGAGAUUAGUACAAGACAUUGAAAAUUAAUUGACAUUGAAUCACGUUGGAUCCUUAGUUGUUAAUUAUGAUCUUGGUCUUUUAAUUAUCAUCUAGCCAACGCAGGUCCACUAGUUUCAUUUGUGUCAAUCACUGAAAAGUAGAGCUUUAUUGAACACCGCAUAUUACAGAAACUCACUCGAUUUUCAUUGCCAUACAUGUAGCUCAAAAGUACAUAUUAUAUCAGUGAACAUGGAACAUUCAGCUAACCUAUAACAAAUAUAAUAAAAUCUCAAUAAAUUAAUAGUUCUGGGACCAAUGAAAAAUUAGUUAAAAUUUCAUGAAUAUCAAUUAGUCGAUAAGUUAAUAAAUUAUUAAUUUAUGAAAAUAUUCAUUAUUUUGGAAAAAAAUGAUUACGUUUAUAGUAUUGAUUUACGUUGAGUUAGAAUCUAUUAUUUUUUAUUUGAAUAUUAAUUUUCUUUUAAGAAGAUUUUUUAAUAGUUAACUACUUUAUAAUAAGACUAUUGUAUGAUUUUUAUUUUUCCAUGUUAGAGAUGAUAGUUCUGCUAUGCAAGCUGUUUCGAUCAAAGGAUUAGAUGAUAUUGACAUUGAAUAAUUUUUUGUUGCAAAAUGACAACACCAAUUAGAAUUUCUUUUCGCAUUACAAAAGAAAAAAAUGAGAUCCAAUUCUAAAUUAAUUUAAAAAGAAAUAAACGAUGCUGAGAAUAAAUUUUACACAAGCCAUAUAGACAUAUCAUAUGGAUUUUGUUUUAUAUUAGGUAAUUAUUAAUCUAUGUAGUAAUAUAUUUCCUUCAAAAUGUACUAUUUGAUUUUGAAAUUAUUUUUGAAAAAUUUAAUAUCAUAAUAAUAGUCAUGAUUCCAUCGGUUUGAGGUUUUUUUUUUUUUUUUGGUUUAAGAAAAAAGAUGGGACAAUAGUCAAAUGAUGAAAACACAAGCUAAGCAGAGCCAAUAAACAGGGGAAAGUGAAUUACUGUCCUUGAACACGUUCUCUAAUAAUCUCAAUAUUCUACGUACAUUUUUGUAAAUUCAUGUCGCAUACAAAAGCCUUAUGGGUUUUGUUGCAUCAAUUCUUUGGGGAUUUAUCUUGUUUUAUUAUUUUGCGACGCAAGAGUCCUCGAAGCAAUACAUUUGGAAUAAAACGAUUCAAUUUAUUUUUCGUUGUUAUUAACAAAAACUAUAUAUUAUUAAUUAAUCAACUCAUCGAGAUAUUGGUUUCAUUUGUAACAAGUAGCUAAUUGCUCAGUACAUUGUUGUACUUACUCAUUAUCAUAUCAAGACGAACUUGUAAAUAAGAACAUAGACGUGGUACACUGUGAUGUGAUAUAUUUAAUUCAAAUCUAAAUUAAGAGAUGAUUCAUAUAUAUAGGUACAUACUGAAAAAAGAUAUUCAAACAUAAACACUCCAUUUUAUGAUAUACCUAACAAUAAUCGGUUUAUUGUCCAUAGGAAAUGGAGUGAAUAGAAACAGAUGUAGAAAGUCAAAAAGAUGAACGAGCGCACAUGACGAUUUAUAAAAUAAUAAAUUAAAUUUAUAUCGUUUUUAAUAAGUGUGAGAUUAUUUACAUUUUCAAAUUUAUUUUGAAUGCUCUUAUUUUUUACUACAAAACCUCAUAAUUCAAUUUACUAUUAAGAGCAAUUCAAUAUAAAUAAAUAGAACAAUAAUACCUUUGACACCCACCUAGAGCGCACACACCCAUGUAAAAUUAUUAAACCUUAAACCGAAGAACAUUCUUCCUCAACAUUAAAACUCGUGCAUUAUUUAAAACCAUAUUUAACAAAUUUUCACAAAGAGACGCCAUGAUUCUAAUUUCUUUGACUUACAUUUCAAUUUUUGUGGAAUAUAUAUCUAUUCCAUAUUAAGAGAUUCUGAAUCUUUCACUCGGCUGUCAAGGAGAUUGUACUGAAUAAACAACAGCAGAAAAACAAAUAAAAAACUUGAUACACGUGUAGAAUAUACUCAUUAAAUUUUAAUUUUCGGCACAAUUAUGAGCUGCAUAUUUAUACACACACACAAAUAACUGUUCUGCAAAUAUGUACAAAUCAAUUUCAGCCAUCCAACUUUUUUUCGAAUUUUAAUGAAUAUAAAUUUUAUAAGUUGGGCAACUAUGAAACAUAAAAUUAGCAAAAUGAUAUUAUUAACAAAUAAGGAGAGCAAAAGGUAAUUAUAUCUUGGUGUGCUAAAUAUUUUUAUGGGUGUAGUGAAAAAACUAAAGAUAAUGGAAGAAAUGUUAUUGAGGAGUAAGUGAAAAGUGAUUUCCUAAAAUCUAUUAACUAAUGCGCAAAAUAGAAGGGCAUUUUGAGAAAAUUUUAGAUUAAAAAUAGUCCCAUCCUUUUAAUAAUAUUCUUCAAUCAAUCUGUUUAUUUCAAAAUAAAAAUCCAUCUCAUUUUUACUUUCUAAUUAGUCAUAUUAAUGUGUUAAUAAUUACGAAGAACCAGUAUUAUUUGUAUGAUGUAGGAAGCCCUUUCGACACAAUAACCCAAAUUUCUAAGAGUAGCGGCUGGACUUGAUUGGGAACAACUUCGAUUCAGUUUAAAAGGUUAAUCUCAAAAUUUCGUGAUAUUGUGCCUAAAGAGCUUCCUGCAUCAGUAUAACAGUUUCUAAAUUAAUAUAAUUGUGUGUUCAUUUUUUAUGAUUUUCCUUUAAUUUUUUUUUUAGAAACUGUUGUUCUUCAAUAAUUAUUCUAACAAUGUUGCUUUAAAGUGAUGUUGAUACGGGAGUCGAUGAGUCUUUAUCUGAAACAAAAAUUUACAAAAAAAAAUAUUAAAUUAAAAAAAAAGUACAUCAAAUAUUGGGCUCCCCCAAGUUUUACAUUUGUCUUCCACAAUGAGACAAGCCCUUUUUUCAAGUGAAGACUUUUGAUGUACAAUUUGUAAAGGAAAUUUGCCCCAUAUAAUUUUCCUUUCUACAACUUGCAAGCUUAUGUAAAUCAUAUCAACUUAAAAGAUUCCAAGAUUUGGUAUUUUGGUGAUUUGAGUAUCCAAUGGUGAUGACACAUACGCAUGGAAGUCCCCUGAUUUGAGUUUGACUAAAAUAAUCUGAAUAAUUUAAAACAACACAUCAGGCCAAAGUCCUUAAGAGAUGAACUGGAUUUCAGUGCAUCACAUUCCGAAAUUGAUACUAACCUUAACUGGGAAGGCAGAACAGCCUCUCUUUCCUACUGUUGCACAAAAUGGCAAGUCAAGCCAAUUCAAGGAACUUCCCUGUUUUUUACUGAAAAAUACAUAAUCUGAACAAUUUAUAAUCAAAUAAAUCAUUCAAAAUAUCCUUUAAUCGAACCCCCGUUUCCAUGGUUUAAUAAAAUAUCACAAAGGUGCCUAAUACAGUGGAAUUAACACUCAGCUCAUGGGAUUGCCAUUAUAUAUAUUGAAACAGAAAUUAAUACAAGAAACUGAAAAUUAGUUGACACUGGAUCACGUUGGAUCGUUAGUUGUUAAUUAUGAUGGAAAUAUAAUCUUGGUCUCUUACUUAUCAUCUAGCUAAUGCAUGUGCACUAGUUUUAAUUGUGUCUAUCACUGUAAAUAGUAGAGUUGCUUGAUUGAAUAGUAUCAUAUUACAUCACAGAAACUCGCUCAAUUUUCAUUGCCAUAUGUAUCUCAAAAGUGCAUGAACAUUGAACAUUCAGCUAACUUAUACCCAACAACAUCCAUCAGUCAGAGUGAAACCCCAAUUGAUUUCAUAAAUACAAAAUAAAUAACUCGCAAAGGCAAUCUUUGACAAUCACAAAAGCAACAACAAUUCACUCCAACAAACAACAUAACAAUUAUAUGGUCUAAAUUGCAGGUCUUUUUAUGAUUUUAAUUGAAAGAGAAAGCACGAGGGACAUAUUAUAUAUAAUUGAAUGUUAUGAUUGAUAAUUGGGCAAAAUAAUACUAAUCUAGCUAACUAGUCCAAUCAUCAUAAUAAUCUGAUUUUCAUUAUUUAAUUAUGUUCAAUCAUGUUAUUUUAAUAAAGAACACUGAACGCUUGAGUAUUUAUAUGUUCAACAACUUCGGCUAAAUUUGAAAAAAAAAAAGUAUUAAUUAUGAAUAGUAAUAAAUUACCCUACAAGCCACAUAUUGCGUACAUAUGCAGUUGCAACAAAUAUAUGUGUAAUAAAAAGAUCAUAUGUGCUUAGAAAAUGAAGCAUCAUUGAAUAAAUGGAAAAAAAAGAAAGAAAAUUAAAAUCAGCGUCCAGCGGAAAGAAUCCAUCUUUACGUGUUGCCUCCAAUUUGGUACAUCUAUCUGACUUUAAAAAAAUUGCAGUAGAAAUUAGAGCUCAUUUUUUUAGAUAUGGCUCAUAUACAAUACAAGUGUCAAGAUGUAAUUAGAGUUUACAUAUAUACACGUGUCUAAUUCUAAUUGACAGACAAACUAAUCAUAAAUACUCAGGUGUUUCUAAAUGAUUGAAUAAUGAUAUUGUAGUGACUUGAUUGCUUUGUUCUCUGAUUAGAAAUAAAUCACUGUCCAAGAACCUUUGUCAAGAUCUGUUCAAGUUGCAAUUAAACCAACACCAAUCUGAGGCUUCAAUGCUGAUUCACACCAUAGCUCUAGGUUAAUGGAGGUUGAAAACAGAAGAUUAAAUUGAACUAGAAGCAGCACACACUCACACAAAGAACAGGAUUUAACGUGGUUCGAUUAUGCAUAAAUGCACAAUCUACAUCCUUGGGAGAAGCCACAGAGCUAAUACAGAGGAGAUUACAAGGAACAAGAAGACUCUUUCUCUCUUUCUAAGAUCUCUCUGGAAAGCUCUCAAAAUCCUAUGCAAUGUUUUUCAACAACCAGCCUCUUUACACCCCUGAUAUUGAAACCCAGAUUGCAUAGCUUUUGGACGCGUGUAUAACGGCUUCAUAACGAAUUUGAUUCCCUUCUCACAUGCGGUCUCACGUGCUUCACUUAAACUUGCUCAAAACGACUGAAAGUAGCGUCGUUUUUCCUUAAGAUUAGUGAAGAAGAUAGCAUGUGUGUUGCACGUGAGUCGUAAGUGGAUUCGCUUACUCAAAACACAGCCGCUUUAGGGCUUCGAGUUUUGGAUUCAUGGCACUCUAGUCCAGAGAUAUUAUUGGUAUUUAUAAAUUUCAAAGUGGUGAUAACAGAUUCACAACAUAUUGGAGUUUUGGAUUCAUGGCACUUAUGGUUUCUCAUCAAAUAAUGUUAUAAAAAAAAAUACAUAAGUUAGAAGAUUCACAACAUAUUGGAGUGUAAUUUCCACUUGAGUGACAAUGAAUGAAGUUAUGUUAAUUUAGAUUAAGUACAAGCCUUCCUAAAUAGGAUUAGAAAUACUCUAUUAACAUAUCGAAUACUACCUUAGUAAAAAUUUAGUUGACAAAAAUUAAAAAAAAAAAAGCCUUGAAGGCUUGAAACAAUUAACACCAACUAAAUAAUUGUCUUACAUCACCAAUUUUUUUUUUUUCAUUUUAAUAAGACAUCACCACACUCCUGACUUUAUAAAGUGACUUUAUAAAGUAAAGCAUAAAAUAUAAUAGAGAAGUUUGAGUUUAAAAAAAUAAAGUUGGGAGAAUGACUUGUCACGCUGUCUUUGAUCAUUGAGCACACAAUUAUCUGAGAAAAAAAAACUCUAUUGUAUUUGUGUUUGUUGUAGAUUCAUGUCAUUUACUAGUCCUUUGGGUUUUGUUGUAUCAAUUCUUUGGUAAAUGUUUAUCUCGUUUUCAUUCUUUUAUGAUGUGAGAUUCCUGGUUAUAUUAGGAAUCAGAGUGAAAUCCAAUCUUAAAAUUUGGAGAAAUAAAACGUAAUAUGAUUUUUAAAAUUUAGAGAAAUAAAAUGUAAUAUGAUUUUUUAAUGAAUAAAACGAUUUAAUUUAUUUCUUUUCUACUAGUAAAAAUUAUUAAUUUAUUAACCCAUCAAGCUAUUGGUUUCAUUUGUAAGCUGGUCAGUCAGUUUUUUAUUUUGAGUUGUUAUCUUUCAAAAGAUAUUAGAAAAAUCUUACUUUGAGUGUACUUGAUCACUUCACUAAUUAUAGGGUAUUUACAAGUUAGAAAAAUAAAUUAUUUCUGGCCGAAGACACUAGAAAUUAAAGUUCAUAUGACUUUGUAAUACUGUUUGGUAAGUGAGAAAAUUGCCGAGAAAAUACAGAGCAAAUAGAAUCUUUAAGAAGAUCUAAAUUUCUGUAUUUUAUUGAUCUAAAAAAAUGAUACAAGCUCUUAUAUACAAUUGUAAGAUUCUACACACUCACAAUGAAAUAUCACGCUACUAGUAAUUAACAACCCUUAUAACAAACUCAACUGAUUCAGGCUGACUCCAGAGAAUGUCGAAAAGCGUUUGGCUAAUUUUUGUAUACACACACAUAACACAAAAUUAAAUUAGUUGGCAGCGUUGACAGUGAGUCGUUUUUGGCCAUCCAUAAGUUCACAUGUGCAUGGACAUCUGUUGCCAGCCCUUUCAUUAUUUUAAAUCUCCAUAACAUUAUUAGAGUCCCACAUUUAUCACACAUCAUUAAGUAGAAUGCGCUAAUUAGGAAGAGCUAGUUUCUUUGUUCUGUUUUCUUGCAUAUGUUGCAAUUUUCGAGUAUCACUGAAAAUUUUAGACCGUCAAACCUGCAGGAAAAUUAUAUACAUAUUCUAUCAUUCAACCUCAACAAAUAAAUUCUUUUCACUGGAAUCCAACAAUCGUUAAGUGUUAACCUUGUAGUUCUCAAGAGCAGAAAUUGUUGUAUUAAUUUUUUCAAAGUGUCUCUCUUAAAAGAACACUAAAGAUAGGAGAGUGAAAUUUCAACUGAGAUCUUGCCACAUAAGACGAUCGAUUUAAUCCGACAAAAUGUGCGUUAGGUUAAUAAGAGCCAAUACUGCCCUGAUCCUUUCUGCAUCUUUCUUCUAUCAGCGGACAAUCCUUGAUAUACAGUUGCAAGAGCGAGGUAGGCACGCUCUUGUCCAAAAAGUAUUUUGGCUUCGGACGAAUAUAAAGCCAAAGAUACACCAACGACGUGAGAUUUUGACCAAUUGAAGGCAGGCAUUCCAUGCUUUGGAAAUCAUAAAUCCACAAAAGGGUUCCUAACUCCUGUGGCGAAAUGACACCACGUCAUGAAGUCCUCCGAUUGACAGUCGUUGUAGAGAUGAGAAUCUGUUCAAUCCCCCUUCCCCCCCACCCCAUCGAUGGCUUCCAAAUCUUCAUAUCAUGAAUAUAAAGUGACUGAAGGUUGCUGGGAAACCUACCAUCAUCUGCCUCAACUGGGAAGCAAUACCAUAUAUGCUUGCCAGACCUCCUCUGUUUCAUUCUUGAAGACUGUGCAUGUCCUUGGGUAAGGCCUCUAGCUUAUCACACCACGUUAUCCGGAGCUUAGACAGUUCCGCAGAAGGCAAUCCUCCUUCAGGAAAGGGUCAUUUCAAUAAAAGCACAGUACAAUUGCUUAACUAAUUUUUUGAAAACAGAGAUAUGAGAGAUUGACAAUUUACAAUUGCUUAACUGCUCAAGAAGAGAGCACGCUUGAAUUAUGAAAUACGAAAAAGAGAGCACAAAUGAAAAAUCUUAAGGAAUCAGCAGGAUUCACAUCCGACCAACUCCACGCUGCUAAAGCAAAGGAUUAAUUUUUGAGAAAUUGUAAAGAAAUUAAUACAAGUGAAAUGAGAGCCUGUUCAUUUGAUUAUUGGCCAAGGGUGAUUUCAAUAACGUUUUCAAAGAAGAUAUAGGACAAAGAUCAGAACGAAAAAUAAGUAAUUUCAGUCGUUGAAAAAAAAGAGCAAGCUUCACACAUGCAUGCAUGUGUCGGACCAACAGAACAUGGCUUGUGUCAAGGAUCAAUCAAAGACAUAUAAACUCAGUUUUAUAAAGUAAGCAUCAAAAUGUUUGACAAGUUUUAGAUUUGUAGAAUAUUGGGAAAGCAGACAAAUAAUCAAUGAAGACACUGCAAGUUAAGCAGAUCAAUUAAACAGAGGAAAUAGCUGAUCAAUUCUUUGUGCAAUGGCCACAGCAACUGUGAGGUUAUAAGUUGCUGAUGUGUUGGGCUUCAAUACAAGAUUCGAAGAGUUCUUGGGGCUGUGUGAAGACUGACUUCAGUUGGAGGGGUCUUAUUGUAAAUUUUAUGCUGAUGUGGCAGAGUUCGUUGAGAAUUCGUUAUGCCUUUUCCAGAAAUAUCAGAAUAAAAGGCGCUGGUGAUUAGCCCCUGAUCUGAGAUCAAUAUCUUCUUCAUUUCUUGUUCAUUUUGUUGGAAAUUUGGUUCUCUGUGAUCCUUGUAAUUGCCUCUUCAUAAUCAACCUGUAUCUAGAUUGUUAUGAUCAACAAAAGAGCAGUUGUUUCCUUCAUUGAUUUGUGUACUUGAAACAGUGCUCUGUGUUCUAUUCUUGGAAUUGCUUUCUUGUUUGGUUGAUCUGGUUUGAUUCUUUCAAGUCCGAUUCAUCAAGUUCUUCACGAAUUAACUUGUGUAGCCAUUAAAGUUUCAACAGCAACAGAUUAAAUAUAUCUACAAGACUACAUUAAUCCUAAUGGCAUGGUAGCAUCUCCAUGCAACAUUACAUUAACAUUUCAUCAUCAAUCAAUUUUGAUGAUAUGAUAUUAAAAACAUUGACUUCAUAAUUUAACAUAUAAAGAAAAAGUAAUACUUAUUUGAUGAGUAUGAUAGACAGCAAAUAUGGAUCAUGCAAUAAUGAAACAUGUAUUUAUAGAAAAAUGUUUGGGAGUAAAAUGAUGCUAUAAAGUUUAAUAUUAGUUGCAAGAAAAAAAAAUUGGCAAUUAAGAUUAACAGAUACAUAUGCAAUGCUUCGAGUUUAUUUUAUGACUUCCGUAACGAUUUUGUAACUACAUAUUGAUUAGAAGUUCGAUUAAUUUUGACCAAAAACUCUAGAGCAAGUCGAAAAGAGAUUUGAUUUUUUGUAUACAAAAAAAAUAAUCAAUAAAAGCAAGCUCUGGUGUUGUUAAGCUAAGGAUACAGGGGUUAAAAUUACUCACCACUCAAUGGAAUCCACCAAAGAGAUACAGAGUUUGAUAAUAACUCAAAGUUCAUCCAAUUUCCAAAAUUAAUCUCUGUCCUUUGGUUACAACUACAUAAGCUUAAAUAGCUUUCUUGGAACAAUCCUCCAAGCAUAGAUUUACUACAAAGAAACCCUUCAAAUAACUUGACUUUAAAGACCAACAUUAAAGCUAGACAUUAAUAAAACAUUGGUAUGCUUAAAACACAACAAAAAAAAUUAAAAAAAAAUCCAAGUCCCGAAAUAUUCUUCUUGACUCAAAACUGAACAGUCUGCACUUAACUGAUCAUAACUUACUGUAGAAAACUCCAAAUUUAGAUUAGUAAAAUUCAUUGGAAAACUAACAGAAAUAUCUUUCCAAUGAUGUAUGGCUCGAAAAUUAAUUCGAUCUCAUGCAGUACAGUUGAAUUCCCAAAGAUGCCCCUUCUGCACAGAAAUUCUGCUCACUUGAUUAAUGUAAGAACUUGAGCUGCACUUGGUAUAACUUGAUUACCAAAUAUUUCAAACGCCCGUGUUAUUUUCACUGGUGGCCGUAGGUCUCAUGACAGACUGAACCACGUUGUCUCUGUUUUCCCUGUGAUUUUGUCUCUGAUUCUUCUUGUUCUUUCUUCUUGAUUCUAUUUCUUGGAAGUUUAAGUCUGGUUUGUUGAAUAUUGAGUUGAUUCAGAUUCGGUUCGGUGCUUGUGCAUCUUGUGUUAGUCUCAUUCAAGAUCUUGGGCAGAGUCUUUGGUUUGACAAGUUAAUUAGAUCGUCCAAAGCUCUACGUUUUUUUUUUUUUUUUAAACAAAAAAGAAGCACAGUCUGCUAUUAAUACUGUAGCAUGUUAGCUACUAUAAAAGCUCGUGUCUAAUUACCAAAUAAAUUCCACUUUAACAAAGAAUAGAAGCUAAUUUUAUUUUUUCUUUUUGUUAUUGAAGUUACCUCGCAAACUUCUCGGAAGCUUAUUACAAAAUUUCCUUUUACUCUAGGAUCUCUUGAAUGGUCCUGCAAUUUGUAUUCUUUUAUGUGGGAUUGGUUUUUUCUUUAAACAAAAUUUCAAGGAUAAGAAACCUUUCCCAUUGAAUACCAACUUUGAAUUUUAUUAUCAUUUGAACUUAGAAAACUGCAGAAACAAAGCGCGUUCAUAGCACCAGCUAAGCUAGCUGUGUCUUGGUACCAUGCUGGUUCUAUUUUUACUUUAUUAAAUAUAUACAAAAUUAAAUCUCCUGAGCCUCUAGCUUCACUAGUUUCCAACUUGAAAUUAAAACGCGGAAUUAAUGGCAUUGGAGUUCGUUAUUUAAUUUUGCUUUGGUUCAUGGGGAAUCAGAUGGCCAUCCAAUUUUUUGUCUAUUUUAAGUACUAUUGGCCACUAAGUAGCUUGCUUAUAUAUGUGUAUUGGGAUGUCAUAGGCCUUAAAGCUGAAAAUCAAUCCCCAAUCUAAAGUGAAAAACAGUAGCUAGAACAUAAUCUAUGUUUUGAUGUCUUAGUUUAUAAGCUCAAACAAUUAGUAGUAUAUAGAAAAUGCCCGAUAGAACCCAAAACUUGUAGUGAUUUUUAGUUUCGAAAUUCAUUUCAGAAAAUCUGUUCCGUUCAACACAUUCAACUAAACUCUAGCCAUGUACUUGUAUGUAUACAGGUAGAGCACUAGGGCAACAAAGGAGUCCAUCCUUAAGGCCUUGUCUAAGACUGGUUGUCUUUUUCAUGAGCUUCUGGCUUUCCAGCUUGCUGAGCGACGUACACAUAAAGAGGUUAUCCUUUUCUUUUUUUCUUUGUUUUUAUAUGACAGAAUCCAUUUUUGAAUAUAUAUAUAUAUAUAUGUUUAGGUACACAAACACACACAUGAAUAUGCAUGUUUUUAUGAGUUCAUUUAAGUAUAUCCAAUGUUGAAUAACUCUUCCAUUUGAACUUGACAGUAAUCAGGUAGUUGAUAUUUAUGUUACAAAAAUUGGAAGUGUUAGAUAUGAGACUCAAAUCUGAACUUGAGAACACAUACGACAAGUCACGUGGAUCUUUGUAUUAAAUGUGACAUGUCAUGCGUAGGAGUUCACGGAGCUGUAUGACAUUCUUGCUCUGUCGGGAAAACGAGUAAGUAACACACGUGACGUAACACGUGCAUAACUUACUCAAAACGACAGGAGUUUGUGCCGCUUUGUGCUCAAGAGCUUGUGAAGGUGUAACACGUGGCUACCAGAGGUUCAAAAGGCCGUUAAAGGUUGUUAUGACGCGGGCAAAAACUGGGGUUCUUCACAAGCAGCCCAGGUGGCGUUAACAGCUGACUGGUGAAGGGUCUUUCUAGAUCCUUUUCUUACUAUAUAUAUGCCUUUAUGGUGAGAUCUCGCGUAGAGUGAUUCUGUAACACCUUCUUAAGAACUUUGUAUCUUUAAUAAGCUCAGAUAGUGGAAUUCUUCUUCUCCUUCACAGUAGAUGUAGGCUCACUCUAUGGCCGAACCACUAUAAAUCAUUUAGUGGAACUCUCCUUCUCCUUCACAGUGGAUGUAGGCUGACUCUGUGGCCGAACCACUAUAAAUCAUUGGUGUCAAGUGUGUGUGUAUUUUUGUCUCGGUUCUCUUUGAGUUUCUUGCUUUGGUUACAACUGAUUCAUCAGCCAUUAAAGCUAAGUAUAUUCUGAAAUCUUGAGUUCAUAAAGGUCGUUCUUGGGGGGUCUAAAUUGGUGCUUAAUCCGGUUUAGUUUCAACAAGAAGCAACAAAAGCAAUUCAGAAUCAUGCAAGGACUUGGAUUUUUUUGUUAAUUCACUGGGCAUAUGUUUAUCCAACCUCUGAUUUUUCUUAAUAUGUCUCAGUAGUUCAUUUCACGCCACUUUUAGCCGCUCCAUUGGCAUUUUCUGCCAUUUGCUUUUGUUCAUUGGAGCAAGUUAGCUUAUUAAAUUGCUUUUCGAUAAAUGUUCUUCAGAGGGAAUGUGAAAAGGCCAAAUGAACCGAGAUGAUCGGGUUUUCUAGAUCAGCCAUCUCUGUCCUCAACGGUGCUGAACCGUCAAUUACUGAGACACCAAACUCUGACCUGAUUCAUAUGGGAUGUAGACCAAAGCUUCUUGCCAUACCAUCUCUGGUCAAAGCUGCUAUCUUUGAAAGUUUUGCAGGACAAAACAUGUCGGAGUCAGAAAUUGACGUCACCCCUAGCAUAAAACGGUGUAUCAAGAGCAAUUUUGGUUUCCCAGUCGAUACAGAUACAGAAUUCAUAUAAGCAGGUUGCUCUCAAUCUCUGUUUAAUAAGCUUCCUCUGCUGUAUCCUAGAACGUUAUGCUUCCCAGCUGGCUAGAAUGGGAACUAUGUUUCUGCUGCAAAAUUUUUGAAAGCGAGCAUUGUGAAUAUCCCGACUGUGUAUGAAGUGGGCCUUAAGAAGACAGAGAGGACACUUGUGACAAUACUCGAGACUGUAAAGAAGCCGUGGGUAUACAUUUCUGGUCCAACAGUCAAUCCAACUGGCUUGCUUUAUAGCAACAAAGAGAUAGAGAAUAUAUUAACUGUUUGUGUAAAAUAUGGGCCAAGAGUUGUGAUUGAUGCUUCAUUCUCGGGAUUGCAAUUCAAAUACGAGGGUUGGGGUGGCUGCAAUCUGGAAGGCUGUUUAUCGAAGCUGUAUCGUCUCUCUCUGUGUCUCUGCUGGAGGGCUGUCUCCGAAGAUGCUUACUGGAGCCCUCACAUUUGGAUUUCCGGUUCCAAACCAACGUCAUUUAGUUGAUGCAUUUAGUAGCUUUCCGGGAUUAAGAAUAUAUUUUAUGCUAUGAAGAAUACAUUUUUGAUAAAUUAACCUCAAUUCUGAAUUUUAAUUUAGAGAAUGUCGAGAAGAGAUUUGAUUUUUCAUAUAGAAAAAAAUUAGACAUGAAAUAAGUCAAAAUCAAUUACAAGAACAACAAUAAGAAUGUAUUUUUUAAAAGCCACAAAUACAUAAAAUAUAAAUUUAGUUUAAGAUUAGGUAAUUAUUAAUUUGCAUAGUAAGAGGUUCUCGUUGGAGAAAUCCAUUAACCUUCGGCUAAUUUGAUGCAAGGUAUAAUUUUGCAAUGCCCAAUAAUAUAUAGCUGUAUGGUAUUUCUGUAUUAUAUAUACUCCUAAUGAAAAUGAAGCAAAUACGUAAUACUACUACUAUGACAUAACUUUCAUGAUUGCCAACUGCCAAAACCAGCCACCUCUCAUACGUGCCUUAUUGAGCAUGGAAACACCUUAUAUUAUAAUUUCCGUUCACCCAUAGAAGAAUUUCAGGGCCAUUAAUUCAACAAUUACCAAACCAAUAUCCCAAUGAUAGUUGGAUUACUAAUCUUAGCAUUAAAAGAUCUACAAUUUUUAUUUGGCCAAAAUAAAGGUUUUCUUACUGCCUUCUUGAUCUUUUCCUGCCUGGUGAUUCCUGAAUGUUCCUCCCAUUCUCAUAUGCUGAGUCGCUUGCUGAGAUGAUAAAUACUCGAGGGUCCUUCCAUAAGACAAUUCAGCAGACACCUGAUUCAUUCUAUCAAACAUCAGCAUCACUAAUAACUAAAUGGUGUAAGAUAGUCUGGUUUGAAAAUUCUAUAUAAAUCAAAUUUUUAUUUUUCAUCAUUAUGGUUAAUGGCUUAGCAAAUGCAGGAGUACGGAUCAGACAAAAUGAAGCACUUUCUCUCGUAUUAAGCUUUAUUAGUCGUUGAAGCUAACAAAUUUUAAAACAAGUCAAAACAGUUCCAACUCAGAAUCAGUAGGCCGUAAUUGGGUUGUUAUAAAUAUUUCAAAGUUUCAGUUUAAUUUAAUUGUGUAUGCACAAACUAACUUUAUCACUUCUUUCAUAUUAAUAUUCAUAAAUUUCAACCUUAUUUUAUGUUGAUGCACAAAAUGUUUUUUUGUUAUAUAUAUAUUCAAAUAGUCAAAUUUCUUCUUCUUUACUCCAGGAUCCAGCUCUGUACCCCACUUUUUUGUCGUCAUUCUACCCCGCUGUUAGAUUUUAAUUCCGUUGAUCUAAUGGUUGGGAUUUGUAAGUGAAUAACGAAGUGCUGUUUGGCUACCGUCUGAUAGCAAAUCUGAAGCAAAUGUAAUCACCACCAUGCCGGUAUAUUCAUUCAAAUAUUAAACGUACAGAGAAGAAAGCAAAUUGUGGCAGGAUAGCGAAAAUUGCAAACGGUCAUUCCCAACACGAACACCUGUGGCUGUUUUCCUUUAAUUUUCUUCUUUGAAUUUUCCUUUGAUUAAUCAUUAGAAAAACUGCUUUUUUUUUUUCAAAAUCAUGUGUUAUUAACAUUUACAUAGUUAAUUCAUCAAAAUCAAAUGGUUGUUAUCUACGAAAAGACAUUGAAAAUUUCCUUGUCACAAGUCUUUUCGUAUUACAAAAGCAUAUUUAACAAAAUUGCACUCACAGAUUCUAUGAUUCUAAUUUCUUUGACUUGAUUUUAGUUUUUGCUGAACAUAUAUGUAUCCCAUAUAAAGUGUUAGUGAAUUUUUCAUUUCUCUAGCAAGGAGGUUCUGCACGAAUAAACAACAGCAGAAAAUAUAUAUAUAUAAAACGUGAUACGAGUGUUUGUACUUUGCUAAUGGCGUUGCACUCUCCAAACAUGAAGAGUGCAUUAAGGUGCAUUAAGCAUUGGCUGAUUAGAAUCAUUCAUGUUAAGAAAUAAAAAUAUUAAUAGUGAUGACUCAAAGGAAGUCCCGUGUUUUGAGUUUGACUAAAAUAAUCUGAAUAAUUCAAAAUAAUCCAUCAGGCCAAAGGAAGUCUCGUGUUGAACUGCAUUGGGAAGGCAGAGCAGCCUCUGUUUUUUCACUAUAAUACUAAGGAUUGACUUCAAUUGAGAAGUCAGGCCAAUUGAAGAAGCUCCCCUGUUUUUGACUGAAACAUACUCCGAACAAUUUAUCAUUAAAUAAAUUAUUCAAAAUCUCCUUUAAUCGAACCCCCAUGUCUAUGGUUUAAUAAAAUAUUAAAAAGGUACCUAAAACAGUGAAAUUAACACUCAGCUCUUAAAGUUGCCACUUUAUGUAUUGAAAAAUGUACUUGAAAACGAAUGUUGAGAUUUUUUUCCCCAAUGAUUUCAUAAACACAAAAUAAAGAUCAUAUAUACUUUGAAAAUGAAGUUUCAGCAGCUGAGAAAGCUAGCCGUUACUAACAUAUUACACCCACCCACCCCACCAAGAAAUCCAUUAAUCUUGGGUUAAUCUGACACAAGGUAUAAUUUUGCAAUGGCCAAUUAUAUAUAGUUGUAUGGUAUUUCCGUAUUAUAUAUACUCCUAAUGAAAAUGAAGCAAGUACGUAAUACUACUACUAUGACAUAACUUUCAUGAUUGCCAACUGUCAAUACCAGCUACCUUUUAUACGUGCCUUAUUGAGCAUGGAAACAUCUUAUAUUAUAAUUUCCGUUCACCCAUAGAAGAAGUUCAGGGCCAUUAAUUCAACAAUUGCGAAACCAAUAUCCCAAUAAUAGUUUGAUUACUAAUCUUAGCAUUAAAAGAUCUGCAAUUUUUUUUUGGCCAAAAUACAUGCUUUCUUACUGCCUUGUUGAUCUUAUCCUGCCUGGUGAUUCCCGAAUGUUCUUCUCAUUCUCCUAUGCUGAGUCGCUUGCUGAGAUGAUGAAUGCUCGAGGGUCCUUCCUUGAGACAUUUCAGCGAACACCUAAUUCAUUCGGUCAAACAUCAGCAUCACUAAUCACUAAAUGAUGUAAGAUAGUUCUGGUUUGAAAAAUCAAUAUAAAUCAACCACCUUAGAUUUUCUUAGUCUCAGAGCACAAUGGGCGAUGAUUUGAUGAGAAAUACUAAUAACAUGCAUCCCCUGUAUUAGUUAGAGCUGCUUGUCAUUUUCUUUUUUCUUUUGGGUACUGUUUUAAAUUUUUAAUCAAUCGGAUUGAGCUGCAUGUUUGCUUUCAGUCCAAACUGAAAUCAGACAUUAAGUAUUUUUGCUAGAAUGAAUGCAACCAAGAUUCUAUGGGAUAUGUAUGAAGAUGAUGUAAUAAAGUGCUUUUGAUAUAUUCCCCUAGUCGGUUUACUUCACUAACCAUUAACGAGCAAAUCCUCCCAAUGACCCUCAAAACUCUUGUGCACAAUUAAAAUAAUUUCAAUUAUAUAUAUAUAUAUAUAUAUAUAUAUAUAUAUAAAUAAACUCUCAAAUAUGUUAUUUGAUAAUCACCAAAAAAAAAAACAAUUCACCCCAAUAAAUCACAUUACAGUCUAUGUUGCAAGUCUUUUUAGGACUAAUUCAAAGAGAAAAUGCGAAGGACAUGUAAUUGAAUUUGGGACACAGAAUAUAUUCCCAAUUACCCUUUAGUGUAAACAGUUCCACUUCAGAUAUAUAUAAUGAUGAUGAAAUUUUGUUUUCUCAUAGCAAUCAUUCUAGUGUUUUACAAUGAGUAAUUGGUUCAAUAUUAACACAACACUAUUUUAACAUGUGACAUAUUCUAUCGUAGUGUGCUUCAACUCAUACUUCUAACUCAAAUAGAAAAGUUUCCAUUUUAAUUUUAUUCAAUCUAAUGGUGCACGUUUUUAGUCAAAAAGCCACAAUAAGUCAUCGUUAUUCUUCUACUAUUGAAAUGAAUAUAUCAAAUGGAUGAAAAUUAAAUUAAAAGAUUGAAAUGACUAUGUGGAAGAAAAUUGAUGUAAAAUGUUGAAGUUAAGAAGCCCUCCGAAUUAUAGAAGAAACGAAAUAUAUUGACACACAACAGUUUAUUUAUUAAUUAAGAGAGACAAAAUAUAUAAAUACAAACAAAGAAAAUCUCUUGCAUAUAUCAAACUUACGCUCACGUAAUUGACAGGUAAUAACAAUACCCAUUUUUUUUAUUUCAUAAAACAUAGUAUGAAAGAGAACACUUCAUGCAUUUAACCACUAUAAUUAGGAUUUCUCUCAUAUUGAGAGACUAUUAAAAGAUCAAGAUUGUCAUCUUUUAUAUCCUCGUCACGACAAUACUAAACACACGAUGAUGCCUUCAACCCUCCAACCCAUCGAUCUUACCUGAAAAAAUUAUAAUUAAUAGGAAACUUAUUCACAAAUGCAUAUAUUUAGAAAAGAAUUACAAAUGAACGAACUCAGCCUAAAAAUUAACCUGCACAAGCAAAGAAAUUAUAUACCAUUUUUGACUUGCGAACAAAAGCGAAGCAAUAAUGCAUGGUAUAGACAUAAGCCAUUUUUAAAAGACUAUAUUCAUCAUGCGGAAGUUAGAAAACUUACCUCCUGCCAUAGUUAUCAGAUUUAAUUGUACACAACUUUUCUACUAGAAUGCAAACAAAACCAACGAAAACAAGCGAUGCUUUGUAAUCAGAAUUUUCUAGUCUAUCUAACACUUAAUUCCUGAGAGUAGAUGGUAUACACAAGCUCUGUUGUUAGACCAGGGACCCUCAAUAUUUUUUUUGAAAAAACUUGACCGUAAGUCAUCUCCCAUCAAGAUGACAUGUUUAAAUAAAAGAGGAAGUUAUGAGCCAUUAUCCCUUUGAUUUUAGGAAACCACCCGUAACGUGUAUGAGAGAUAUUAAGAAGAGUUGUUUUAUCUUUAUUCCAAUUUUAAACCAAAACCAACGUUUUGAAAUUAAACUAGAUAAAGAUAAUUAUCAAUUUAAAUUAGAAAACUAAUAAUUAAAAUAAAUUAGAUGGCCAUAUUAUACACGUUUUGAAAACGUGUCUAACAAUUUUUACUUUAUUGCAAAUGUGAUCAUAUGGCCUGAUGCGGUCCACAAAAUAUAUAGUUGUCAAAAAGAAGACGAACAAAGCAAUUGAUCAUAAGCCAUUUUUACUUUAUUGCAAUAAAGCAUGAUUAACGCUUAUUGCAAUCACUAAAGAAAGAGAGAUUCUAGAGUACAUAGAAUUAUUACGCUUGAUUAAUAUAUAUAUAUAUAUAUAUAUAUAUAUAUAUAUAUAUAUAUAUAUAUAUAUAUAUAUAUAUAUAUAUAUAUAUAUAUAUAUAUGUAAUUUCCCUAACGAAUAUGUCUAAUUCAGGAACUAAUUACUUUUUCAGGCCUAUGAAGUCAUUUCAAUAUUUUAAUUUUUUAAUCAUUUAUUUACUAUUUACAUAUUAAUAUUUUGAUUGUUAAUUUUUUACAUUUCCAAUUACUUAACAUAUAUCAAUUAUUUUUGUUGCCUUUACAAAGUCGUUACAAGAAUAUUAUGUUAGAGUGGAGAUACUUUCAUACUUUCAUGAGUUAACGGCGGUCAAUGGUUAAAGAUAACGAGUUUUGGGGUAGAUUGAUGUUUUCAAUAGUAAGAGGGGGAAAUUUGAAGAUUGUCAAUUCCCUAAGGGUAAUUAGAAAUUAACCCAUAUAUAUAAUAGGUACAUUUGAUAUGAAACGUAUAAUUUAAUUAAAUAUAUCUAUUAAUUACAUUUUAAUUUUUUAAAAUAAAUAUACACAUAAUAUAUAUGUAUUAAUUUAUAUAAAAAUAUAUAAAGAAAAUUAUUAUGUAGCACAAAUUCCCGCCCUAUUAAAGAUCUCAUGAUAUCCAAAAAAAUAAUUAUAUAUUUAUAGCAAAGUGUUGGUAUAUUUUGAAGGAACGAGUUCGGUACGGAAAUGUAAUAGUAUGUGUUUUUAAUGACGUUUAUAAAGUCAUUAAAUGUCAAAAGGAAUGAAUUUAGUGAUCAAUUAAUAAUUAGAUAGGUAAACAUGAAAUCUCUCGGUCUAUUAAUGUAGUAUAGUUUCUCCCUCAGUUAUUAUCAUUAAAUUAAUUUGUAAAUCUCGUUUCCCGCUACUCCUUCCAAAUAUACAUGAGUAGUGAUAUUUGGCCCUUUUAUUAUAACUCACAAUCUCCUAUUUUUUUGUUAACCCCAUUAAAUAUUUUUAAAUAAAUUUUUAUCUCUCAACAUAUCACACAUAAUUAUGGAUUUACAUUUAUUAUAAUUUCUAUCUUUUUUUCCAAGCACUCACUAUAUAAAAUUUAUAAAAUCUAUUUAAAAAAAAAACUCUCAUAAUCACUAUAAUCUCUUUUUUUAAAAAAAAAAAAUUUAUCCGUCGUUGUCAUAAUCAUUAAAAAGAAAAAGGCACCAUCCUUUAUUGAAAUCUCUCGGUCUAUUAAUGUAGUAUAUUUUCUCCCUCAGCUAUUAUCAUUAAAUUAAUUUGUAAAUCUCCUUUCCGGCUACUCCUUCCAAAUAUACAUGAGUAGUGAUAUUUGGCCCUUUUAUUAUAACUCACAAUCUCCUAUUUUUUUGUUAACCCCAUUAAAUAUUUUUAAAUAAAUCUUUAUCUCUCAACAUAUCACACAUAAUUAUGGAUUUACCUUUAUUAUAAUUUCUAUCUUUUUUCCAAGCACUCACUAUAUAAAAUUUAUAAAAUCUAUUUUAAAAAGAGAAAAAAACUUUCAUAAUCACUAUAAUAUCUCUUUUCAAAAAGAAAAUUUAUUCGUCGUUGUCAUAAUCAUUAAAAAGAACAAGGCACCAUCCUUUAUUGAAUAUUGAGUACUGUAAAUUAAUUUCUUUCACGAUUACAAAAAAAGAGUAUACAAUAUUUGAGAAAAAAAUAAUGAUUUAAAAAGUUAAAAAAAUUAGAGUUUAAGAAAUUAGAUUAGCUAAAUUCGAUAUUAAUAGAAAUUGUCAUAUGAGUGCACUUAAAAGUUAUUUACCCUUUUAAAUCAUUUCACAUAAUAAUAAAAUAUGUACUAACAUAAAAGUGAUUAGUAGAGACUGAUGAGAUAUAAUGAGUCAAAUAUCAAAUUCUACAUAUAUAUAAUAGCUAAUAUAAUUGUUUAAAUAGGAUUGUAAUUAAACUCAUUAAUUAACUACCUUUAAUUUUUCAGUAGGCGAUAUUUUUGAAACGUGAUGAUCAUGUGUGAAUAUUAUUCGAAAGUAAUGAUUUUACUAAAAUCUUCGUCUACAAUGAUGUUACAGUACUGAUGCUCAUUUAUUAGCUGUUGUCUUACCUCUUAAUUAAUUUUUUGCAUUUGCACUUGGAAUUAAUCAUUUGGCCGUGAUAGUAAUGCUACAGCCAGCGGAAUUUGAGCCUCCCUUCUUCAAUGCCUGGUACGAGAAUGAAGCUAACAAUCGGGAUGGACAGAACAUUCUGUUAUGGCAAACGUGUUUACUUCACUUUCAUUAACAAGACUUAAGCAACCCACAAAACCAGAGUUUGCAGAAACAAGAUUAAGAAACAAAACAAAAGAAGUAUCAAGCAAUCAAAGAUACUCAACACACCAAGAAUCUAACGUGGUUCAGCUCCACAAAGGAACCUACAUCCACGGCUGUAAAACCAGCAAGGGCAGAAGCUUUAUUGAACAACAAGAAGAUCGUUUACAACUGAGUCACCAAUUACAGAUUAAAGCCUAUCGAAUGUUUUCUCUCUGUAAAUCCUCUCUGUUUUUCUAUAUAUGUUUUACUAGCUUAGAGACAACUUAUAUAUGUAAGCUUCUCACGUGUGUUCCACUUGCAAUGAGUCAGUCUGUUAUUUAACUAACUAACCAACUCUUGACUUGAAUCCCACUUAUGCCAGCUCAUACGACACCUCAGCAUGUCCAUAACAGAUUAUAACUAAUCUCGGCUUCACAAAUCUCCACCUUAGUUCUAAUCUGAUUAUGCUUCUCCCUUCACUGCAACACAUCACCAGAAAGCUUGUUUCAUAAGCUAACACUUCCAAUCAGAUUCAGUAAGUCCCUGAACCUGACUGAUGGCAAAGGCUUGGUUAACAUGUCAGCUGGAUUUACUUCAGAUGGCACCUUAACUACAUUUACUACUCCUUUGCUGAUUUCAUCCCUUAUAAAGUGCAUUCUAACAUCAAUAUGUUUAGUUCUCUCAUGAUACUUAGGAUUUUUACUUAGCUGAAUAGCACUUAAGCUAUCACAGCCAACUACAACAACUUCUUGUUUAAACCCCAACUCAGAGACUAGUCCUCUCAGCCAUAUUGCCUCUUUGACAGCUUCUGUAAGUGCAAUAUAUUCAGCUUCUGUUGUUGAGAGGGCAACCACUGAUUGCAGGGAAGACUUCCAACUUAUAGCACCUCCACACAUGGUAAACACAAAACCUGUGAUGGAUCUUCUUCUAUCUUUGUCUGCUGCAUAGUCUGAGUCCACAAAUCCAGCUACUUCAGGUGAUGCUCCACUUAAUUUCCCAAACAUAAUGGCAGUGACAGCAGACCCUUUGAGAUACCUUAGUACCCAUUUCACUGCAUUCCAGUGACCCUUCCCUGGAUUCCCCAUAAACCUACUGAUGACUCCAACUCCAUGAGCCAAGUCAGGUCUGGUGCACACCAUGGCAUACAUGAUGCUGCCAACUGCACUGGAGUAAGGUAUCUCCUUCAUGUAGUUGAAAUCAUCAUCAGUGGUAGGUUCCAGUGACUUGGAUAACUGAAAGUGAGUUGACAGAGGUGUUGAAACAGGCUUUGAAUCUUCCAUAUUGAACCUGGUUAAUACCAUCUUCACAUAAUCCUCCUGAGAUAGAUACAAAACUUUGGACUCCUUAUCUCUCUUUAUCUGCAUUCCUAGAAUCUUUGUAGCUGCACCCAAAUCCUUCAUUUCAAAUUCAGUGCUGAGCUCCACCUUAAGCUUCUUUACUUCUUCCUUUUGUUUACAUGCAAUAAGCAUGUCAUCCACAUACAGAAGUAAGUAGAUGCCUCUACCAUUUGUCAGGAAUUUAAAAUACACACAAUUAUCAAAUCUGCUCCUACAGUAUCCAUGGCUUAGCAUGAAUUCAUCAAACUUUAAAUACCAUUGCCUUGGAGAUUGCUUGAGGCCAUACAAACUCUUCUUCAAUAAGCACACUUUAUCCUCUGAUCCUCUCUCAAUGAACCCUUCUGGUUGUGCCAUGAAAAUCUCUUCAUCAAGACUGCCAUGUAAAAAGGCAGUUUUAACAUCCAUCUGCUCCAGCUCCAGGUCAUGAUAUGCAGAGAGGGCCAGCAGCAACCUAAUUGAGCUAUAUUUGACUACAGGUGAGAACACUUCAUUGAAGUCAACUCCCUCUCUCUGUGUGAAUCCCUUUGCUACAAGUCUGGCUUUAUAUCUUGGUGGUUCAUUUUCUGAAGCUCCAGCCUUCAACUUGAAAAUCCACUUGCUGCCAACUAGUUUCUUGUUAGAUGGUCUGUCCACUAAGAUCCAAGUAUUAUUUUUCUUUAAAGAGACUAUUUCAUCCUGCAUUGCAGCAUACCAUUUCAGCUUAUCCUCACAUCUCAUAGCUUCUUUAUAGCUCAAAGGUUCUCCACCAGUUACUUCAUCACCUACUGUUAGUGCAUAGGAAAUGAGGUCAGCUAUGCCAUACUUCUUUGGCAUUUUGAUGGCUCUCCUCUCUCUGUCCCUAGCAAGCUGAUAUGUUUCCAGUUCUGGUGGUUGUUUUCUUUCCUUGGUCUGGUCUGAUGGUUGUUCAGGAGGCUUACAACUAUCAGAAUGCUUUACCAUCUGUCCAGCACUUUCUUCUUCCUCUGUUUCAGCAGCUUCAAUCUCAGUUUCUACCUUUGACUGGAGCAUUUGCUCUUCAUCAAAGGUGACAUCCCUGCUGAUUAAUAUCCUAGAUGGUUUCCCAUUAAGGGUCCAUAUCUUGUAUCCAUUAAUGCCCUCAGGAUAUCCCAAGAAAUACCCUUUAACAGCCCUUGGUUCAAGCUUACCUUGCUUUAAGUGUGCAUAAGCUGGACACCCAAAGAUCCUCAAAUUGCUCAAGUCUGGUGGCUUUCCAGACCAAAGCUCCUAAGGUGUCUUGAAACCUAAAGCUGAGGAUGAGCUUCUGUUUAUCAGGUAAGCAGCUGUGGUGACUGCUUCUGCCCAAAAACCUUUGGAUAUGUUUGCAUUCAGCAGCAUGCAUCUUACCCUCUCUAUUAUGGUUCUGUUCAUCCUUUCUGCCAGUCCAUUUUGUUGUGGAGUGUAGGUGACAGUUCUAUGCCUUGCAAUGCCCUUAUAUUUGCAGAAAUCUUCAAACUCUUUUCUGCAAUACUCUAGCCCAUUGUCUGUUCUGAGCCUUUUUAUUUUCUUACUAGUUUGGUUUUCAAUGAGAGUAACCCACUCUUUGAACUUCCCUAGUGCUCCACUUUUGUGUUUCAACACAUAGAUCCAAACCUUCCUAGAGUAGUCAUCUAUGAAGGACACAAAGUACCUAGCUCCACCUAAAGAUGGAACUUGUGAUGGCCCCCAAAGGUCUGAGUGGAUGUAAUCUAGUGUCUGUUUGGUUUCUUUUCUCCCUGAACUGAAUUUCAGUCUUGUGGCCUUCCCAAACACACAUUUCUCACAGAAUUCUAAGGAAGUAACUUUAUCAUUACCAAGCAAACCUUGAUUGCUUAGCUCCUUGAGGCCUCUUUCACUGAUAUGAGCUAGUCUCAUGUGCCAGAGUUUGGUUUUAUCUCUGGUCACACUUGCUGAGAUCCCUUGCACAGGUGAGGAUCCAACUAGUAUGUACAGCCCAUUUUUCCUAACCCCUUUCAUAACAAUUUUACCCUGAUCCAAGACCUGUAUCUCUCCAUUUUCAGCCUUAAUAGUACACCCUGAUUGGUCAACCAUUCCUAGAGAUAUCAGGUUUCUUUUCAGUUCAGGGACAAAUCUCACUUGGUGUAAAUCUCUAGUGACACCAUCAUGCAAUUUUAAGCUAAUGGUUCAUAUCCCAGCCACCUUGCAAGCUAGGUUAUUUCCCAACAACACCUUUCCACCAUUUACACUUUCAAAGGUCUUAAAGAAACUUUUAUUUGGACACAUGUGGAAUGAGCAACCAGAGUCCAGAAUCCACUCACCAGUUGGGUGCCUCUCUGCAGCCACCAAGACAUCUGCUUCAUCAUAGUCACAUUCAUCUUCAGAGGCAACAACAGCCUUUCCAUUUGAUUUCUUUUAUAGUUCUUCUAAUUUCUUUUUCUCGAAGCAAUCUUUAAUGUAGUGUCCCUCUUUCUGACAGAAGUAACACUUCCUCUUCUUCUUUUUCUUUUCAGCUUUAUCUUUCUUGUUGUUGUUCUUUGUUUGCUUAUUGUGUUUCUUUUCUGGCUUUCCUUUGACAACCAAACCUUCUACAUUAUUUUGAUCUUUCAUGUCUGAUCUUUUCUUCAAAUCCUUGGAUUCCAGAGCAUCUUUGACAUCUUUCAAAGAGAGGGUUUGUCUGCCAUAGAGGAGGGUAUCUACAAAAUGUUCAUAAGAUUCUGGAAGAGAACUUAAGAGGAUGAGUGCCCUGUCUUCAUCUUCAAGAAUUAUGUUGACAUUCUCGAGAUCAAGAAUGAGUUUGUUGAACUCAUCCACGUGAUCUUUCAUGGCUACUCCAUCUUUCAUUGAGAAUGUGUAUAACCUCCUCUUCAUAUACAGUCUCUUAGCCAAUGAUUUUUUCAGAAACAUUUCUUCUAACUUGCUCCACAAACCAGCUGCAGAUCUUUCUUUGGAUACUUCUCUCAAGACUUCAUCAGAGAGGUGCAAGAUAAUGGUGCUAUGGGCCUUAUUGUUUAUGAUCCUCUGAUCUGCACUAAAGCUUGAAGAGCCUUCUCCAUUCUCUUUCUUGGCCAUCGGAUCUUCUCCAUCAUCGAGGGCACUGUCAAGCCCUUGUUGAAUAAGUAUCGCUCUCAUCUUCAAACUCCAGAGAUAGAAAUCAUUGUCUCCAUUGAAUUUUUCAAGAUCCACUCUGGUGCUUGCCAUCUUUGAGUCUGAUCCCAACCGACACCAGGCUCUGAUACCAGUUUGUUAUGGCAAACGUGUUUACUUCACUUUCUUUAACAAGACUUAAGCAACCCACAAAACCAGAGUUUGCAGAAACAAGAUUAAGAAACAAAACAAAAGAAGUAUCAAGCAAUCAAAGAUACUCAACACACCAAGAAUCUAACGUGGUUCAGCUCCACAAAGGAACCUACAUCCACGGCUGUAAAACCAGCAAGGGCAGAAGCUUUAUUGAACAACAAGAAGAUCGUUUACAACUGAGUCACCAAUUACAGAUUAAAGCCUAUCGAAUGUUUUCUCUCUGUAAAUCCUCUCUGUUUUUCUAUAUAUGUUUUACUAGCUUAGAGACAACUUAUAUAUGUAAGCUUCUCACGUGUGUUCCACUUGCAAUGAGUCAGUCUGUUAUUUAACUAACUAACCAACUCUUGACUUGAAUCCCACUUAUGCCAGCUCAUACGACACCUCAGCAUGUCCAUAACAGAUUAUAACUAAUCUCGGCUUCACACAUUCUUUAGACAUAGAGGUCAAAUUAAGAUAAGGGGGGUCAAGAUUUUUUGUUAAAUUUUAUAAGAUAUGAUGAUGGUUGCUUGUAAUAUGUUGUAAUGGGCAAACUAUGGAAGCAUAACAUCUGCAAAGACUUGCUUUUGUCUUUAAUGGACAACUAGCAAGUAAAAACCUUGCUUGAUAUGCUGCUUUUAGAAACCAAUUUGCAAUCCAAUUCAAUAUUACUAUUCAUUUUUCAGGUACAUACAAGUUGGGAAUGCUGUAGCAAUUCCAGUUGGUAUUGUAUUGGGAUACGCUUUUGGUCAAGCUUGCCAAGGAUUAGCCGAUGAUGAUCAGCCAUUGACUAUACUCCCUUUCAAGUUUCCCAAUUGUCUUGCACAGUCAUCUUCAACACUUGCAGAAGAAGAUUCUGAUUGAAAUUGUAAGGAAAACAUAAAUAUGAUUCAUCAAAUUAUACUCUUGUUAGUUGCGAGUUAUUACCAAUUUGAUUUUUAAUUUGCUAUUGAUGUACGGACAAGCAUGUUCAAUGCAUUAUUUGUUAUUGAAGAUGUUUCGAGGUAGGAAUUAGAAUAUGUUGCAUCUUUUAAUUAGUGUUUUAGAUAUAUAUACUUUAUGCUUUUUCAGUCUGUAAUCACAUGUAUCAAAUAAAAGGUUUAGUUUUAGGGUUAAUUUUGGUAUCAAUCAUAAAUGUCUAUAUCAUUAUUGAAAGGGUGUUAAAUUAAAUGCUAAAAGGAUGAAUUUUUUUCCCUCAAGUGUGAGGGAUGUUUAUGAAAGUGACACCAUCAUAUGGCAUGGAGUCAUACUAUUAACAUAUUAUUUGAAUAUUAUUCACCAAAUAUCACAUAAUCAUGCCUUUUAUACAAGUGUAUAUAUGUAGAUGUAGUACAUACUCUUAUAUGUAGCCAUGAGAUCGAAUCAUGUCUUAGUAAAUGAAAAGUUGCUUCUUGUAAUCUUAUACUACGUUCUUUGAUAAAGACUUUCGCUUUUUGCUUUGAAAUGGUAACUAGGGGUGGGCAAAAAAAACCGUAGUCUUAAAAAAACCGAACCGAAUAGACGAUUUUUUCUAAUUCGGUUCGGUUUUUAUUUAAAAAAAAAACCGAAUAUACCGUUUGUAAAAAACAACCGACCCGAAAAACCGAAUUAUUGAUGAAGAUCGGAGAAUGUUGUUGGCGUUUGUUUGUAAUUUUAUUUUUUAUUUUUUGUUGUAAGUUGUAAUUGUUGUUAUUUUUAUUUCUCUUUAUAACAUUAUGAUUAUGUUUAUAUAGAUGGAGUAUUGGAGUUUGGUUAUGUAUUUUGAAAUUUUAAUAUUUCAUAUUUUGGGAGUAUCUUAUUAAUAGUUAGUAAAAUAUUAGUGAUAAAAUGUGUUUUGAAUACUUUGUAUUUAUUGUUAAUAAUUGUAAUAAAAUUAGGAUAAAUUAAUUGUUGAAAAAAAUUAUUACAUUCAUGAGGCCCAAUGGGCUAAAAAUUUAAAAAUUCAAAAUAGGCCCUAUGAGCCCAUAACCAAAAAAACCGAACCGAACCGAACCGAACCGAACCGAUUCGAAAAGAACCGUUUGAGUUCGGUUCUUAUUCGGUUCUACUUAAUUUCGAACCGAACCGAACCGAACCGUGCCCACCCCAAUGACAACUACAUAAUAAAGUAAAGACUUUCGCUUUCAUUCUUUAGUGGCAUUCUAUGAUGAAUUGACACAUUUUGUGACCCAUGCUUAAACCAUGUGGUGCUUUUUAUCAUCAUUAUUCCCAUUUCCAUUCUGCUUUUGGCUUUUAGGAAUUAAGGGUAUGCAACUUGCGAGCUUCUUUUGUCACCAACCCAAAAGGCCAAAACCAAUAAAAGAAAGCAACUCUCCUUCUUGUUCUAUCAUUCAUGUUUCAUUCUCUAGAUUGCCGUGCUCUUUGGUUUAUGAAAACGACAAAAUAUAGAACUUUAAUUAAUUUGAUAUGAUUUCAAAGCAUAAUGAGGAUGCAAUACGACAAAAUAUAAACAUUUAUUAAUUUGAUUAAAUUCCAAAGGAUAAUGAGAAUGAGGGAACAAUGCAUUGGAAAUUGCACUAGAAUUGGAUGUGGAUAAAAAUAAAAUGCGUUUUCUUUGGGGUUUUAAUUCAAAAGAGAGAAAUAUAAGUUGUAUUUUACUAAUUAAUCGAAAAAAAAAUUUAAAAAGUAUUUAUUCGUCAAUGGAAAAAAAAUUAUGAAAAGAUUUAAAACAAAUUUCACCAGUAUUUUCUCAAACCAAGAAUGGUUACUACGAACAUCAGGCAACAAACAGACAAUUUCCAAUUUAAUUAUUAGUUUUAUAUUUAUAUAUAUAUAUAAGUUCGUUUUGAUUUUUUAAUGAAUUAUAUAAGUGGGCCAUUUGUCUAAAGUCAGACAGUCAAUAACCACCGGCAUUGUUAUAUAAAACUUCUGUUUUAAAAUUUUUAACACCUAAUGUGAAAAUAUCCUCAAGGGGCCCUAGACUUUAUAAAAUAUAAUAUUAAAUCUAGUGCUAAAAAAUACUACAACUUAGAUCUACCUUAUAUUCUUGUUAUUACAAGGUGAUAAAAAUCUGUUUGCAAUUUUUGCCAUGUAGUUUGGAUUCAUAAUAAAAACACUAUUUUUUAGAUUUAUUUUGAUGUUCGAACUUGGUAAAAAUAUUUAUUUAAAUUAUUAGUACAUAGCUAGGUUAUUUGAUAAAUACAGGCAAAUUUUCUAACCAAAAUCGUCCAAAGAAGUUGAAAGUGUUUAUUGUUGUUAUUUCAUGACAUUCUAACAAACUGUAAGGGGUCACAGAAAGGUUGGUACCCCUACUUCUUGUUCUUUUUCUUUUCUCACUUUCUCAUAAGUUGACUUUAAAGGAAUACCCAUAAAAAGUGAUUGAAAAAGAUAUUCCACGUAGACUACACCAUCCACUCAGGAUGCACCACGUGUAAAACAUCAUGACCUUUUCUCUUUCUCGGCAUAAAAAUAUUUAAAAAAAUAAAUAUUAAAUAAAUAAAAUAAUAGAUGUAUGUAUAUAUAUGUGUGUACACACGCACGCGCUAAAAUACCGGGAACGAGAAAACAGACUUCCUACUUUCUUCUUUCAAUUUUCUAAGCUCACGCUAGCUUUCUCUCUCUAAAAGUAGGAACCGUAAAUUGAGUGAACGUGCGGAAUGACGGCAGCGACGCCGGCGGCGGAGGCGGUGGAGAAGUUCUUGAGGAAAUGCGAGGCGUCGGGUGACGAGGCGUACGGUGCGUUUCGGUCGGUGUUGGAGAAGCUGGAGGAUCCGAGUAGUCGGACGCAGGCUCGGGUCUUCCUUUCGGAUCUUCAGAAACGGGUCGAUGACUCGGACGAGUGUCUAAACAAGUACCAUUUCCGGAUCCAAGAUGUCGUCUUGGACCAAUACGAAGGUCCAUUUCUCUUGCUUCAUUUUUUCUUGUUUAAUUCGGUUGAUUUUUUUUUUUUUUUGAGCUAGUGGUUUGACUUUCUUUGAAUUAGGGACUAAAAAGUGAUUGUUUGUUUUUUAGUUUGGGGAGUGGUUUUAUGGAAGAUAGUUCGGAGGAAAAAGUGCUUUUGAUAUUAAGUGAUUUUUGGGAAAGUAAUUAAGUGCUUAUGUGACAUAAGAAGUGCAUUGUAGAAAAGCAAUUGUGCUUUUCGUAUGUUUUAAAGAAUUUUUGAGUAGUUCAGUUUGGUGCUUCUAAUUAAGUGUUUUUUCAGAAUGUGAUUUAUGUUCUUUUUUUUCUUCAAUUCAAGAAGUGCGUUUUAGAGAUGUAACUGUUAGAAAUUUUUCUGAAAGAAGCCCAAAAAAACGUAUGCUCUUUUUUUUUUUUUUUUUGUAGUUCAGCUGGAAACUUAAAGAAAAUGCAGAACUUACUUUUUUUUAAGAAAAAUCUGAUUUGAUUACUUGAAAACAUUUAUGAUUGUGAGUGCUAUUAAUUAUUUGCAUUUUUUUUAUGCAUUAACUUUCUUAACUUAGGGUGUUUAUUUUAUCAUGAUUAUUUUCAUUCAACAAUACAAUAGACUUUGGUUGGGUCCACCUUAGUUGGGUGUUUCUGAGCAACCAAUUAGGGUCUGGAGAAAACUUGGGUGGAGUGCCGAUCGUUUUCAGGAUUCAGUCCCAAGAAAAUACAAACGAAGUCGUAGUUGUAGUUUAAAUUAAUUUAUAUUUUUGUCUUUUUCUGUGAGCCCAGUGGGCUUUUGUUUUUACUUUGUUCUCUUUUGUUUCUUCCCCUUCUUUUCCUACUGUUUCUUGACAAUCAAAACAGACCAGGAUUUGUUUCAUUUAAACGUUUACUUUUGGUGUAAUUAUUCACUCUAACUCGAAUAAUGCAUAGGUUUAGUGCUAACAAAAUAGAAAGUGAAUUAAUAUCUAAAGCUGAUUUGGGAGUGGAAUGUAUGUUACUAAAAAUAUACUAUAUAGUAGAUAGAAUUUGCUUUUUAGGUAACACUGAAAUAAUAACUGCUGUUAACUUAUUUCAAUAAGCUUGUAAAUCAUUUCAUAAUAAGUCCUAGAUUUUAAUGGUUUUUUUUCCUGAAAUUUUUCGUCAGUGCAUGAGCAAAGUUCAAUGGAUGAACUUCUCUUUCAAUGUCACUGCUCCUCAUAUUAACUGUAUGAAACAGUAAUCUUGCUCUGUACUUUGGAGCAUUUUAAUAGUUGUUGCCAAUUCCUUAGCCAUUUUAUUCACCUCGUGCACAAAUUAUGCAAUCAAUAAGCCAACUCAACUUUCAUCUUUCUUCAGUGAAAAAUUUGCAAGGCCACUAGGAGGUUUUUGUACAUCUUAUGUAACUUGGCCGCCGUGGUUUUACCAUGUAAAUUUUCCCUAUUGGAAUUCAUGAUCCCUCAUAUGCCACUCGUGAAGCUGCUUCUGCCGCUUUAAAAGCACCAAAUUUCAGUUUUAUCCUUUCUAGCUUAUUAACUUGUCUGCAUACGCAUUAUUAUCUUUGUUAUUGUACGAAAGUUUCAUUUAUCAUCUUCCCAACAUAAACAUCCAUAGGUCAUUGUUCACUUUUUUCCUUUAGAGUCAUGCCCGAUUAUGGUUGCCGGAUUUUCUGCUCUGACAAUAUUGUUUCUAAGUAUAGGCUACCAAGGGAGAAAAAAAUUGACAAUGAUGGUCAUCCCCAGCAUUUUUAUCCCAGAAGACUGGUAGUUUACUUUCUAUGAAGGACUGAAUAGACAUCCUGACUCUAUUUUGAAGGACAAGACUGUUGCUGAGCUUGGUUGUGGAAAUGGAUGGAUAACCAUUGCCAUAGCUGAGAAGUGGUUGCCUUCGAAGGUUUGUUGGUUUGUCAUCUUUUGCCAUGUGGGAGCUUUUGUUUGCUUCCUUACCAGUGCCUUCAGGAGCUCCAUCGUGAUUUCUCUCCUCAUCGUUUUCUAUCUCCUUGUUUUGCAAGGCCACUUGUUAUUUAUAAGUAACAGUGUUGGCACCAGAUUAUGGUGUUUUAGUGCCCUCCUAUUCAGAAAAAUUACAUAUAAAUGAACAUGUGAAUUAUCAAGUCUGUCCUUGUCCAAAAGUCUUGAUUGGAGAAUGUUGAAAAUAUAACCUUGUAGCAGUUCUUUUAUGCUGUCUGAAUAUUCUUUUGCAGGUCUAUGGCCUUGAUAUUAAUCCCAGAGCAAUAAGGAUCUCUUGGAUAAAUUUGUACUUAAAUGCAUUAGAUGAAAAAGGUCAGCCCAUCUAUGAUGCGGAGAAGAAAACUUUACUGGACAGGGUGGAGUUUCAUGAAUCUGAUCUUCUCGCUUAUUGCAGAGAUCAUGACAUUCAACUUGAACGAAUAGUGGGAUGCAUACCUCAGGUAUUAUCACUAUCUGCAACUCAUGAUAUUUCUCGGGGCUUAAAUUUUGGUGAAGUUUGUUUUUCCAACACCAUGUUCGAAUUUUAGAGUGGCCACAUGGAUAACCUUUUAACUCCUAGUUUAACUUAUUCUGUUUUCUCCAUGCAGAUUCUUAACCCCAAUCCCGAUGCAAUGUCCAAAAUAAUCACUGAAAAUGCAAGCGAGGAAUUUCUGUAUUCAUUGAGUAACUAUUGUGCGCUGCAGGUUAGAAGAUAUUCUAAAUAAUUUAAUUGUGAUUGCAAAUUGCGGGGAAGUUAGCAAUUAAGUUGACAGGCUUCCUCUACUUUCACAUAUUUAGAAGUAUACAUGUUAUAAUUUUGGUUUGAAUCUUGCAUAACUUAGUUAAGGUUGAUGUCUUUAGUUGUUCAAUAUCAAUUGGGAAAUAAAGCAAACCAGUGAAGACCGUGGGAAAAGGAUAAUGUGAGUUUGACAGAUGCUGAGAGGAGAUAGGGAAACUUGAUCUAAAAGAUUUUUUUUCUUUUUCUUUUCCCUGAUUUUUGUUUUUUCUUAGUGUUUAGCCUCUUUACAAUAACAUUGAUUCCCAUAGUUCAUGUUUCUUGUUGAAAAUAAAGAUUCAAAGUUAGGAUUUAUUUGUAAUCUAGGCUAUUUUAGGAAUAAGUUAAAUUAUAAUGGGAAGAUUCAUUAGGAUUCUUUCCAGAUUUUGUUUCCUAUUAUUUAGGAAAGGAUAGAUGUAGUCUCCUAUUUUCUCUCCUAUUUUGCUGUAUAUAUUCCCUGUACAUACUGUUCUGGAAAGUAAGAAAAAGAGGAACCAAUUCACCGUUUUCUUCAUAGGUGCACUCAACAACUAUCUGUUAUGUCUUGUGGAUGACUGAGAAAGUUUAUUCAUUUUGACAAAUUGCUUUUUGAAUAGAGUACAAGUAGAUUGACUAAUAAUGAAUAUAUUGUAUCAAGUUGUUGCAUUUGAAAACUGUGCAUGACUGCGGUCUUUAUCACUUUUAUUCUCAAGGUUCAUGUUGACCUAAAUUUAAAAGCCUUGGACGUUUGGAAAAUCUAUAGCACUGAGUUUGCGAAACCUUUUAGUGCCCUGAAAGAUUGACUGCUUCAAUUGUGUUUUCAAUAUCUUGUUAUUAACAUAUUUGUAUAUAUGUUAAUAUCUUGUGGAUGACUGAGAAAGUUUAUUCAUUUUGACAGAUUGCUUUUUGAAUAGAGUACAAGUAGAUUGACUAAUAAUGAAUAUAUUGUAUCAAGUUGUUGCAUUUGAAAACUGUGCAUGACUGCGGUCUUUAUCACUUUUAUUCUCAAGGUUCAUGUUGACCUAAAUUUAAAAGCCUUGGACGUUUGGAAAAUCUAUAGCACUGAGUUUGCGAAACCUUUUAGUGCCCUGAAAGAUUGACUGCUUCAAUUGUGUUUUCAAUAUCUUGUUAUUAACAUAUUUGUAUAUAUUAUGAAGGCUAAGCUGUGUAAAUGAGAGAUAAAACAUAAAAGGUCAAUACACAGCUGUGUCACCUUUUACUUCUUCUUUAUUUAUUUAUUUAUUUUCUCUGUAUGCAGGGUUUUGUGGAGGAUCAGUUUGGCUUAGGUCUAAUUGCUAGAGCAGUUGAGGAAGGAAUUGGUGUCAUCAAACCUUCCGGGAUUAUGAUCUUCAAUAUGGGUGGUCGUCCAGGACAGGGCGUUUGCGUGUCGACAAGCUUUGGCAGACUAAAAUUCUUCAGGCAAGUGAACCUUUUUUUGUGGAAAUUCAUUAUCUAUCCCAAAUAUCCACCUCUUGAAUGUGUUUUUGCAGGCUUCUGACACAGAUAUUUCAGCUUUAGUUGAAAUUGAGAAGAAUAGUCCUCAUCGUUUUGAGUUCUUCAUGGGACUUUCUGGUGACUUACCUAUUUGUGCUCGAACAGCAUGGGCCUACGGAAAGGCUGGUGGACGUAUCUCUCAUGCUUUAUCAGUUUAUAGUUGUCAACUCCGUCAACCAAACCAGGUCUACAUUUCAUUUGGGUUUUAUUGAUAAAGUGGGUAAUUGCUCUGACCAGGGAAGUGAGCUAAAAUGAUAUCAACUUAUAUUUAUGGACAGGUUAAGAAAAUUUUUAAGUUUCUGAAAAAUGGCUUCCAUGAGAUCAGCAGUUCUUUGGAUUUAUCUUUUGAAGAUGAUUCAGUUGCUGAUGAGAAGAUUCCAUUCCUGGCUUAUCUUGCCAGUGUUCUGAAAGAGCGUUCUUUUUUCCCCUAUGAGCCACCAGCUGGAAGCAAAAGAUUCAGGAACCUGAUUGCUGACUUCAUGAAAAAGUACCACCAUAUUCCGCUCAAUGCUGAUGUGAGAAAACCUUAACUACUCAUCUAUUUUUGUACUUCUCUGGACAAGUAACUUUUGUGUUCUGUCCGUCCUAGGUUCUGUUUUCCCUGAUGCAUUUUUUCAAUUUCUUUGCAUGUGAACUCCUAGGUUCUGUUUCUCCUGAUGCAUUAUCUCAAUUUCUUUGCAUGUGAGCUUGGUGCAUUCAUAUUAGUUUAGGAGGGAAUCUAUUGGUCAUUUACUUGUUUGUGACGAAUAACGUAUGAAACAAUCUUGUUAUUUUUUGUUCUCAAUACGUAGAGCUCUAUGGACCAAUUGCUUAUCUUCUUUUAUCCUCAUUAGAAUUUCUUCAGACAACUUCUACUUCAUGCAAUUUGUGAUAAUUUGCAUUGUUUUUGUGGUCAUUCUUAUGUCUAUUGGACAAAUACUGUAAUGUGAAAUUCUGUCUAAUGGUAUCCCUUAUUCCUUUUGCAUCAUGUCCCCUCAAGUAGUUAAAUGCAUUUUUGGAUUUGUCAAUUUUUUUGGUUUGAUGAAAUCUUGAUUCUCAUGUUACCUAUCUGUUCAUUUAAUUUGACCGUGGAAUGUGUUGUUGCUGUGAGUUAUGCUGCACAUGCUUGUUAUUCGUCCAGUCUUUUUGUGUAAACAUAGAGUUUUGUACAUACUUAUAUAUGUACUGGACCUGAGAUAUUUGCACCUGACCUACUUAUUAAUGUACAUGACAAAUGAAGAACUUUUUGAGAUCUGGAAUGGAUCAAGACCUGCAACUUUCUACUUGUAGAUUUUCCACUGUCCAGUCCAAUUGUAAAAUACAGUUUGUGAUUGCUGCAUGCAUAAAUUAGCCAAACUUAAAGAUGUUGUAGUUGCCUUUUUCUCUUUUUUUGUAUGAGUAAAACAAUCCACAUUCUUAACUUUUCUUCUCCACUUGUUUCUCAAGAACGUUGUUGUUUUUCCUUCAAGAGAUGUGGCAAUUGAGAAUGCUCUUCGAUUAUUUUCACCUCGCCUUGCAAUUGUUGAUGAACGUCUAACCAGACACUUACCAAAGCAAUGGUUAACAAGUUUAACAAUUAAGGUAUGAUCUAUUUCUGAUUUAUUUUCUGUUAUUUUUGACAUAGUUGAAAAUUUCAUUUUUGGGCAGAUUUUCUUUGCUAUUCUUGGAACAAGUAAUAGUGCUCAUUCCCUUGCUUGAACACAUACUAGUUCAGUCGCACCGCGGAAUUUGUUAGAUGAUAAAAUAUCAGAUAUGAACUCAGCACAUUGUUAUACUGUUGCCUUUAUUCCUCAAGUGACAGUAAAAACUAGUAAUUGCAGUAGAUGAUAUAUUUAAUGAAAAUUACUGGGGCGACCAGACUUUUGUGUUGACAUUGAAGGGGGAGAUGGAGAAAGACCGCAGGAACAUAGCGAGCAGGGAUAGCUUUGUCUUAUGUUGUGAUGUUUGAUUUUCGCAGCCUUGACUAGUGGAGCUAAGAAGUUUAUUCCAAUCCCUAGUGCACUGAGAACAUUUCAUUUUUAUUUGUAGUUGCUGCAUUUAUGGUCCUGGCUACAAUCUUGUUCGAAGACCUUUCCUCAACCCACUUCCUUUGAAUUUCUUUGUUGUCAGUUGUCAUCUUGUGCUGCAUAACUACAAAAACAUCCUUCUUGCAGGGUACAGAUACUGAAAACUCUUCGGAGCAUGAACUAACAGUAAUUGAAGCACCACGCCAGUCAGAUUUGAUGGUGGAGCUGAUAAAGAAGCUGAAGCCUCAGGUGGUAAUUUCUGGGAUUGGUGAUUUUGAGGCUGUUACCAGUUCAGCCUUUGUACAUCUUCUAGAUGUUACAAGAGAAGUUGGAUCUCGUCUUUUCUUGGAUAUAUCUGAUCACUUUGAGCUCUCCAGCCUCCCAAGUUCCAAUGGGGUCCUUAAAUAUCUUGCUGGAAAUGUUCUUCCUUCACACGCGGCAGUUAUUUGUGGCCUUGUUAAAAAUCAGGUGAUUGUUUUUCAUUAUACUGGCCACUUGACUGUUAUGCUAUUACAAGAAGAGAUUUCUGUUUGUUCUGAUCAAGUCAUAAGAUGGGUUUCAAGAUUCGUUCUCAGUGGUUAUCUGUUAGCUUUUUGUUCUUAUUUAUGGAAGCCAAAUUCAUCUUUGCAGGUUUAUUCAGAUUUAGAAGUUGCUUUUGUAAUCUCAGAAGAAGAGGCCAUCUUUAAGGCCUUGUCUAAGACUGGAAGUACUAGAAGGGACUACUGCACUGAUUAGUCAAAACUACUAUGGUUGUCUUUUUCAUGAGCUUCUGGCUUUCCAGCUUGUGGAGCGACAUACGCAUAAAGAGGUUAUCCUUCUCUCUUUUUUUGCUGUUUUCAUAUCACAGAAUCCAUUUUUGAAUAUAUGUAUUUAGGUACAGAAGCACAUGAAUAUUCAUGUUUUUAUGAGUAUAUUUAAGUAUAUCCAAUGUUGAUUAACUCGUCCAUUUGAGCAUGAGAUAAUUAGAUAGUUGAUAUUUAUGUUACAAAAUUCAGAAGCAACAUUAGCACUGCAGUAUCAUGCAAGGACUGUAACAACCUGGAUUCUUUUUCCACCUGGAUUUUUUUGUUGAUUCACUUGGCAUAUGUUUAUCCAACCUCUGAUUUUUCUUAAUAUUUCUCUGUAGUUCAUUUCACGGCACGUUUAGUUGCUACAUUGGCAUUUUCUGCUAUUUGUUUUUAUUCAUUGAAGCAAGUUAGCUCAUGAAAUUGCUAUUUGAUAAAUGUUGUUCAGAGGGAUUGCGAAAAGGUCAAAUCAACUGAGAUGAUCGGGUUUUCUAGAUCAGCCAUCUCUGUCCUCAACAGUGCUGAACUGUCAAUUACUGACACACCAAACUCUGGCCUGAUUCAUAUGGAUGUAGACCAAAGCUUCUUGCCCAUACCAUCUCUGGUCAAAGCUGCUAUCUUUGAAAGUUUCGCAAGACAAAACAUGUCUGAGUCAGAAAUUGAUGUCACCCCCAGCAUCCAACAGUAUAUCAAGAGCAAUUUUGGUUUUCCAAUUGAUAUCAAUGCAGAAUUCAUAUAUGCAGAUUGCUCUCAAUCUCUGUUUAAUAAGCUAGUCCUCUGUUGUAUCCUAGAAGGUGGAACAUUAUGCUUCCCAGCUGGCUCAAAUGGGAACUAUGUUUCUGCUGCCAGAUUUUUGAAAGCGAACAUUGUGAAUAUUCCUACUGAGUCUGAAGUGGGCUUUAAGAUGACAGAGAAGACACUUGUGACGAUACUCGAGACCGUGAAGAAGCCGUGGGUGUACAUUUCUGGUCCAACAAUCAAUCCAACUGGCUUGCUUUAUAGCAACAAAGAGAUGGAGAAUAUAUUAACUGUUUGUGCAGAGUAUGGGGCAAGAGUUGUGAUUGAUACUACAUUCUCAGGAUUGGAAUUCAACUACGAGGGUUGGGGUGGCUGGGAUUUGGAAGGCUGUUUGUCAAAGCUGUAUUCUUCCGCCAAUUUGUCUUUCAAUGUGUCGCUGCUCGGAGGGCUGUCUCUGAAGAUGCUGACUGGAGCACUCAAAUUUGGGUUUCUGGUUCUAAAUCAUCCUCAGUUGGUUGAUGCAUUUAGUAGCUUUCCGGGAUUAAGAAAGCCUCAUAGCACAGUCAGAUACGCUAUAAAGAAGUUGCUUGGUCUGAGAGAGCGAAAAGCAAGAGACUUGAUGAAUGCUGUUGCAGAACAUAUAAGAAACUUGGAAAGUAGAUCAAAGCGCUUGAAAGAGGUACUUCUAUCUGUCCUCUUACAAGAAAUUUUGAAUUAACCAAUUACAUGUAGUACAUAAUCUUUGAAUUAUAUUACUCAAUUCUAAAUAUAUGUCCUACCAUUUUCUCCAUGGUGAUCUUUCUGCAACAGGCACUUGAGAAUUGUGGGUGGGAAGUGGUUCAAUCCUGCAGUGGUGUUUCAAUGGUGGCGAAGCCCUCUGCCUAUCUCAACAAAACUGUAAAGAUCAGCCGGCAUUCAGCUGGCAGUGGUGAGAAAACUGCUACAGAACAAAUCAAGCUUGAUGACUCAAAUAUCAGGGAAGCCAUAGUCAAGGCAACUGGUUUGUGCAUCAACAGUGGUUCGUGGACCGGAAUUCCUGGCUAUUGUCGCUUCACAAUUGCACUGGAAGAAAGCGAAUUUGAACGAGCUUUGGAUUGCAUAGCUAAAUUCAAAAGCAUCGUUCUUACACGUAGUUAACUAAAAAAUGGUAUUGUCAUUUGUCAUGAUUUAUUUCUAUUGCCUGAUGAUGGUACCCAUCACGCCUUAGUUGUCGUGAAUAAAUCGAAAAUCAAAUUGCACUGGUUUUUACCGGUUAUCAACAAUUGUGAUGUUUUGAGAUUAUAACAUACUUGACAACGUUGACUAGCGUUCUCUCCUAUGUGAAUUGGGACAAAAAUUAUUUUCCCAAUCACGCUUUCGUUUGAACAAUUCUACUUCAGAUAUAUAAAAUAAUGAUGAAAUUGUGUUUUAUAAUUAGUUACGAGUAAUUGGUUCAAUAUUAAUACAAAACUAUUUUAAGUAACACGUGGCAUAUUCUAAUUCCAGUGAGCUUCUAACUCAGAUUCCCAAAUCAAAAGAAACGUUUCAAUUUUCUCCAGAACAUUCUGCAAAACGUUUCUUCGAGUCUCUACGCUGUGCUAUAAUUUUCUCUCAGUUUCUUUUGCAAAGACUUCUAAAGAACUGUCCAGAUACCGAAAUAUAAGGGGUUUUUAAUUAAAUACCCUUUAAUAGUUUCAAAAUUAUUUAAAUAUCCCCUCCCUUUUUUGUUUUCAUGGAUACCCUAACAAAUGUGAGUAAAGUCGGAAAUACCCUUAAUGAAUACAUCAAAUUCACUCAAUGAAUUAUCUUCAUAUUUCUUUCCUCAUUUCUUUCACCCAACUCCAUUUUUGCUGCCGAUUCUUUCAAAAUCUCUUAGAAUCUCUCAAAAUCUCUCAUAACUUCUUACACAAAUACAAUUAUGUAUUCAUUUCUUUAACACCCACUCUUUCUUUAAAGGUGCAUUGCUUAUUAAACAACCCAAUAAGGUAUGUUAAUGUUGUUGGGUUUUAAAUUUUUUAAUUUUUAGGAAAAUUUAGAAAUUUUCCUCACAUUACAAUGUUUUAUUUUCACCAUUUUUUCUUAUACGUAGAAAUAUAUGCAAUGUAGGUUGUUUAAUUAUUUUUUUCAGCAAUAUAACUUAUUUAUGGCGAAAAUGUUUCGAGUCGUGCAUUCUUUUGAUACCGUGUACGUCAUAUAGUUAGUUAUGUAGGUCGUGUAAGUAAUAUAGUCGUGUAAGUCGUGUAGGUCAUGUAAGAAAUAUAGUCGUGUAGGUCAUGUAAGAAAUAUAGUCCUGUAAGUCGUGUAAGUAAUAUAGUCGUGUAGGUCAUGUAGGUCGUGUAGUUACUUGUAUAUGAAAUUUAAUAUUAUUGUUUUUAUUGUAUCAUCAGAUAUGGUUUUGGUACGUGUGCCUAUUCUCUUCAAUGGUGAAUGGAUUGAGCAAAAUGACGAGUAUAAGUUCAAAGGUUCAAAAGCUAAAGGGAUAAUGAUACCACGAUCGACAACAUAUGCCGAAUUGGUGGAGAAGAUAGCUGAAGUUAUUGAUAUAGAUACUUCGGAAUUCGAAAUCACAAUGAAGUUCAAACUUAAGACAUCUGAUCCUAUGCCACUAGUUACAAUUCAAACCAAAAAAUUCGUGUAAUUUUAAAGUCGCAAUUAAACAUAUUACAGCUAUUUAAAAAGUUUUUUUUUUUUUUAUCUUCAAAGUGCUUUCUUCCUCUGGCCAAGCAUACAAGCAUACAUGAGGAAUGUCUGCAUAUAAUUAAUCCAUGAAAUCAAUUAAGAAAAAAAAAUAUCAACCAUAGGAAAUUAAUGUAAUGUUAUACACAUAAGAACACCAUUCGCAGUGAUAAAAUAUUUCCACUCAUAACUAGACAUAUCAUGACUUACCAUGGCUUAUAAUUGGAAAUUAAGAAUCUCUCUAACUAAUGAUAUUUCACAAGGUAAAGGUAUAUGCACCAUUCCAAUUUAUUGUGAGCCUAAUUAAACUAAAUGUAAUGUGUAGAUUCUAUUGACAAGAAACAAAAUGUGGAAUUGAAGGUCGUGUAAUUGUGUAAUACAAGAAGAUCGUGUAAUUGUAUAAUACAUGAAGGUCGUAUAAACAUGCAAUACAUGAAGGUCGUGUAAACGUGCAAUACAUGAAGGUCGUGUAAACGUGCAAUACAUGAAGGUCGUGUAAUCGUGCAAUACAUGAAGGUCGUGUAAUACACAACCUUGAAUAUUACAUAACCUUACACGACCAAAUCUUAUGUUACAUAACAAAAUUAUAAUCAGCACAAUCCAUUAAUUUUUCACAAUUUGCAUGCAGCAAAACAACUAGAAAUUUGUUUUCGAACAUGUUAUGAGAGACCCACAACUAAUUAAUCUAUUUUUUCAAUAUAAAACCCUAACUUUUUAUUUUUUUUCCCUUGAAUAUUAACAAGAAAACUAAUUACACGGAAUUACUUGUCUCAACUAGUUACAUUCUGACAAUUUUGCAGUAAAUGAUCAACUCUCUCCGGCGAUUAUGUAGUGACGAACUAUGCUUCACUUUCUCAGUUGUGGCAGCUUCCCCUUCUCAGGCUUAGUUUGCUCGUGUUGAAGUUCGAUUUACCAUGUAUGGAGAAUGAAUGUUUGUUUCGGUAGAGGUGAUGCCGGUGAGGGAAUUGUAGAGGUGAUGUCGAUGAGGGAAUUGCAGUAUUUGUUUGUUUGAGUUUGAUAAUGGAGGGAAUUGCAGCAGAUGAGUGUUUGUUUGCUUCAGUAGAGAAGGGAGAGGUGCUGUCUAUUGAGUUGAAAUGUUUUAAAAUGAGGAUAGCUUAGUAAUUUCCUAUCAGUUUUUAAAGGGUAUCGAUGAAAAUUUUGGCAAAAACAGAUUUUAGGGUAUUGAGAUAAUUUUUGAAGUAUGGAGGUGUACCGGGCGCAAUUGGCUCGAAAUAUAAUCCAAUCUAAGUGUAUAUAUCUCUCUACGUAAAGAUAUUCUAAUUCUAAUUAUCACAUUCUAAUUCAUAAAGAUAUUCCUCUUCUGUCAUAUUAAUGUGCUAAUACGAAGGUCUAUUGGAAUUAUAAUAGUUCAGAUGAAUCCAAAAUAUUCAAUAAUUGAUAAAUAGUAUAUAUAAAUAUUAAUAGCAAUGGCACAUAAUCAAUUAAUUCAAGAACUUGCCCAUAGUGCAUUAAGUUAAAAGAGUAAAAAUAACAUUGCAAAACAUGCCAGACCUUACGUGUUUAAUUAGCAAUUGAAAACUAUUUUACCGUACAACACCAUAAAGAGAUAUUUAUAACACUGUUGCUGCAGCUGUUAAUUCUUUUGGUGAAGAUGUUAAGGCCACUAAAGCUGGAACGUAAUUAGGGAAAUAUAAUGCAUUCACUUAGUUUGCUAUUUGUGUUUUUAUAUUUGUUUGGCUAAUUCUUUGCUCAGAUUGCUUUUUGUUUGAGAUUUUAUUGGCUUAGUCGUGGGAUAUUAUUUAAUCUUUUAAUUUUGUGUUUUUAUUGUUAUGGGAUUUGAUGAUGGUAUACAUAUAGGAAAAUUAUGCAAGAAAGUGCUUUUAAUAAAUUAUGGUCGGUUUACUAUUAAUUAACCAAAUUUAAUUUACUCAAAUUACUCCUAUACACGAUCAAAAUAAUUUCAAUUCCAUGAUAUAAAUACGCGCGUGCGGACACACAAAAUGUAAAUAACUUUCAAAUAUAAAAUAUUUAAAAUAAUCAUCAUACUCACAAUUCACAAGUUAGAUUAUAUUAAGGCCACCAAGGCUUAAAUGUAAUUGAUUGAAGAAAGAAGUGCUUGCUUUGCUUGAUGUGCCAUUUGUCUAUGAUGUUUUAUAAAUGGCCGAAAUAAUGAUAAUCUAGUGAAUCUGGUCAUAUUAAUUUGAUUUUCAUUUAUAUUAAUUAUGUCGAAUCAUACUAUUUUAAUAAGAAAGAGCACUCGAGAAUAUAUAUAUCUAACAACUAAAAUUUCAAAACAAUAUUUGCCAAAGUCUGAUGAAGAGAAUACAUAUAUAUAUAUAACAUGCACUCGCACACAUUCUAUUGUUUAAUUAAAAAAUUCGAAAGCCCAUUAUAUACAUGAUAAAGACUCACCGACACCGAACCAUAUUCAUUUAAAGGAAUUGUUUUCAACUGAGAUUUGAAAUUAUAUACACAAACACACCCGAUUUUUUAUUUUUUUUAAAAAAAUUACUAAUAAUAAAAUAUUUCAGUCGUCCUCUGUUCAGCUGUCAAAAACGCAUUUAAAAUCUAUAGCAACAUGCGGUAUAUGGGUUAACAAGUCCCAAUAUUGUCCUCCAUCCUUUCUGCACUUCUCUGCCAUCAACGGACAUCGAUAGAUACUUAAUCGCAAAAGUGAGGAAGGCAGGCCCUUCUCCGGAAAGUAUUUGAGCUUGGGACAAUACUGGAGAUCCAAGUGAGUGAGGUUUUGAAGAUCAACAAUUGAAGAAGAUAGGCGUUCCAGAUUUGGAAAAUUAGAAAUCUCCAGAAAUGUUAGAGAGGCAGGAAGAGGAAGCGCGGUCCCCAAUCUUAUGUCCUCCGGUGGGAAUGACACCAUGUCGCCAUCGCAUCGGCUGAUUGUGAGUUGUCGCAGAGAGGAGAAUCUGUGGAAUCCCCGACCCCGCCCAAUCGUUGACUUCCAAAUCUUCGUAUUACCAUCAAUCUCCAGUGAAUGAAGGUUGGUGGGAAGGGCAUCUUCUUCAAGGCUUGGAAGCUCACCUCCUUUUCCUAUUUUUAAUUGUUGAAGAGAGGUCAGAUUGUGCAAUCCCUUGGGUAAGGCCUCUAGUCUCUCACAAUCAGAUAUCUCCAGCGUAGUCAGUUUCGCACAAGGCAAUCCCCCUUCGGGAAAGGACUCCAGAUUUCCACAUUUCUCUAUGCUAAUCUCUUGAAGCUGGCGGAGAUUAUGUAAACCACUCGGUAAAGUUUUCAGAUUUCCACAAUCAGAAAUCUUGAUUGUUUCAAGAGAUGUGUUGUUGUCCAACCUUUCUGCUAUAGACUCCAGCUUUGAACAUCCCCAAACACCAAGGAACUCAAGAGACGGAGGUAGAUUGCCAACUUCAAGGGACUCAAGCGUGGCAGGUAACUCGUUUUUUGAAAAUAUACAUGUCAGUGAUGGACAGCUGUUAAUACGCAACUGCUCAAGAAGAGAUGAGGUGUACCUUCUGCUGCUGCUACUCUGGAUGCCCUCUUCCACUGUCAAGGUCCUUAUAUUAUCGCAAUUGUAAAUCACCAACUGCUUAAGGCUCCGUGGUAGCUGGACUCCACCAAUAUAUAUCAACGAAUGGCAAACCCAAAUCUCCAAGAUCUCGAGAGAUGAAUUGGUGUCGCACAUCCAUGCCUCUGGUAACGAUUUCAGUGCAUCACAAGCCGAAAUGAAUAUUCUCCUCAACUUGGAAGGCAGAGCAACCUCAGGAAAGGAAACAAGGGAACUGCACUCGUAGAUUUCUAUCUCUCUCAAGGAACUGAGGAUGAGCGAUGAUUGUGGCAGCUUUACAAGGCAUUGGCAACGGCUCAAUCUUAGAUAUUCGAGUCUGCAUGACAACUCGCAGAGCUGCUGUUGUUGGUCUUUCUCUUCCUCCGCCACCAAGGAUUGAAGUUUGGGACAGCAGUAGAUCUCCAGUCUUUUGAGAGAGCAAAUGUCUUGUAGUAAUCCGUCAUGACUCUUCCAUAUAUAUGUUUGCUCUUUUGUCGACAAAAUUAAUUCUUCCAAUUUCUGUAGUUGUGGCUUCAAUGGCCCCGCAAGAAACACUUGAUUUGAUGUAUCUCUACAAACCACUGAAUUCUGUGAUCCGAGAUGACCAGUUGCACUUUCCCACACAACCUUUUUGCAUCCACCAAUUUCCAAUUUGCAAAGAGCUGGAAGACUCGAAACUGAAACUAACAAUUCUUCACAUCCUUCAAUAACAAGCAUCUCCAAUGCAGGAAGGUGCUCUGGAAAUGUUCCUUUCAGUUUAGAACAUCUUAAAAUGUGAAGCUCUCUCAAUUUAGGAAACCCUUCAACUCCUUGACUGGAUCCAUGAGGAAUCCAGUCUUCCCAUUCUCGCAUGUUUUCAAAACGAAGAGUCUCCAAGCAUGGAAAAGGAAUUGGAGCAUCAUUCCCAUAGAACUCUGAACCCAACCUCUUUACUCUGCUCAUUCCACAUACUGCAAGAUGCUUUAGAGAGGGUAGUUGCCCGACUGACGGCAGGGCAGUACACAUGUCACAAUUUUCAAAUUUUAGCGUCACCAAAUUUGACAAUGAGGAAUCUCCUAACCAAGCUGGAAAUUUUGUACCUCCAUAGCCACUGAUACAAAAUUGUUCCAAAAUUUCAUGAGGUUUUAGCAUGUCAAGCACAUCCUUUUCAGUUUCUGCCUCACUUGAAGAUGAGCCAUCGAUACUGAGUGUCCAUCGAAGCAAUAAUUCUCUAAGAUUCUUCUUUCCAUCCAAUUGAGCCUCCUUCGCAUCACCAACGUCUUUUACAUUCUCCAAUUUUGAAAUGUUAAGUGUCCCAUGAAGGUGCGUCAACAACUUUAGCUCUCGUAACCCGGAACCACUGUCUUUUCCCACAACAAAAUUACACAACGUCUGAAGGCAAGUCAGCCUGCCAAUUCCUAGUGCCAUUUCCUCCAACGAAUCUGUUUUUGAAUUAAUGAGAUGAUGCAAUUUGAUGAGAUUUCCCAUGUCUGCACAUAACUUCUUCAGCCGAUCACAAUCUUCCAACAAAAGACUAUGCAAAUUGUAAAGCUUGUUGACUGAUUCAGGCAGAGUUCUAAUCUUAGUUCCAGACAGGUUAAGGUACCUUAAAUACCUCAAAUCACCAAUUGAAUCCGGCAGCUCAGGGAUGCGGUAUCCACGCAAAGAGAAGACCCUCAAGCGUUGGAGUUUGAGCAACUUAGGAAGAAUGCUAGGAGCCAAGUAGCCAGGCAAACUAUUUGUCAACAUUACUGGUAAAAAAGUUCUCAAAUGUUGGAUAUCAUACAAGUCCCCAAACCUUUUACCGCCAUCACAAUAUUCAGGAAUGUAUGAUAGAUGACGAAGAUUUUCGGAAAAACUUUGCUGCUUGUUAACCUCUGAGGUAUACUCCAUUGUGAAGUAUAUCUCCCCCGCAGCCCAACGGGCAAGGUCAUUGAUAAGAUCGUGCAUCACAAAUCGUGAUGUAUUGUUGCUUGAUUGCUGCAAAAAAGAUCUUGAUCGUAGCUCUUGAAAGAACUUUCGACCUAGAUCUUCGUUAGGAUUCCCACUCUCUUUAUGAUCCAAGAAACCCGAAGCACUCCAUAAUAAAAUUAUCUCCUCCUCUUCAAAUUCAUAAUCCUUCGGAAACAACGAGCAAUACGCAAAGCAUUGUUUCAAAAUUGGAGGAAGAUAAUAAUAGCUCACUGCAAGAGCUGGUAUAAUGGGACAUUUAUCUUCUGGUAAUUCCCAUAUCUUGCUACUGAGCACACCUUUCCACUCACGUUUGUAAGGUUUUCCAUGUAAAAGUCCUCCCAGUGUUUUUGCUGCCAAGGGCAAGCCGUUGCAUUUGAUCACUAUCUCCUUGCCAAUUUCCUCCAAUGACUUAUGUGAACUGAAAUCUGCUGUCUCCAAAGAGUGCUGAGCGAGUACAGACAGACAGUCCUCAGUUGACAAGCUUUUGAGUUCAUAAGCUUGAUCCAGGCUCAUGAUUUUGGCAACCUCUUCAUUGCGAGUGGUGACAACAACCUUACUUCCCUGUGCGCCAGCUUGAAAUGGAAGGCUGAGGUGAACCCAAUCAGUGUAAUUCUCAUUCCAAACGUCAUCUAAAACAAGCAAAAAUUUCUUUCGAGACAACUGCUUCUUUAGCUCCUCUUGAAGAAAAUUUAAAUCAUUAUUAUCAACAGUCUGCUUAGUAAUGGAGCUUAGAAUUGUUCUUGUUAGCCUGAUAAGAUCAAAAUCAUCAGAGACACAAGUCCAUGCCUUGAGAUCAAAAUGAUCCUCCACUUGCUUAUCAUUGUAGACAAGCUGAGCAAGAGUGGUUUUACCCAGCCCGCCCAUACCUAUAAUAGGAAUAACUGCGAAUCCACCAUCCUUUCUUGAAUCAUCCUUCAACAACAAUUCAACAAUUUCCUUCUUUUCUGUUUCCCUGCCAUAAACUUUGGCUUCCUCCACCAAAGAAGUUGUAUCUCGCCUUUGCCUGGCUUUUUGGGACCCCCCAGCUGAACUUUUUAUCAAUUUCAGCGAGCCUAUUCCUUCUUCAAUAUCUCGAAAUCUGUCGUUGAUCUUUUUGAUUUUGGACAUCAUCGAGUAAUCGAACUGAAUCGAUUGCAGAGUAAAAGUGGGGCAGCAAGUAGGAAUGAGCUUCCGAAACUUACUCUUCGUGCUUGUACGACUGCUGCUGGGUUGAUCAUGAGCAGCAGCUGGUUCUCCAUUUCCAAGCAGCAACUUCCUCCGGAAAGCCUCAGUUUGGAACUCAUCCAACAAGUCUUCAACGUCAUAAGCCAAGUUCUGAAGCUCGCCAAGCCACAACUUCACAGAAUCAUCAGUCGUCUUCUUCUGCUCAGCAUCAUCAAGCACCGCCUUGAUCGUCACCAACUUCUUCUUCCACUUCACUAGAUCGUCUUUGAUUCGACCUUGGCGUUCAAAUAAACGAAGCCCCUCCGAAGAUAACUUAUUGAUCAGCAUCUCAACGGACGCCUUCAGGAUUGCCUCUCCGAUGAUCGACAUUUUUUCUUUUUUCUUUUUUUUGGGUUUUUUGGACAGAGAAAGAAACUGAAUUAUGAGUUUGUGGAAAGCAAAAUGAGAAAAGUGAAGAAGCGGAAUGAGUUUGUGAUUGUGUCUAGCAAAGCCUAUAAAUCAAGAAAAAUCCACCGUAAAAGUGAAAAGUCAAACGGAGCCCACCACAAAUAUAAAAUCAGAGGAGCACAGAAAUUAAAAAAAAAAAAAAUCAAACAUGUAAUGAUUUGUAAAGUUAUUAGCGAUUUGUAAAAAUCAAACAUGCGUCUUCUUCCUCUGAGUGUAUUUUUUUUUUCUUUUUCAAAAGAGAUGGUGGGGUUGUGUUGUUUGCAAAGUUAAUAGCGUGGGUCUAUUUGUUUUUGUUUUAACUUUAUUAAUUAAUUAGUGAAGCAAACAUGUAAUGAUUUGUAAAGAUCACCGGCAUCAGAUUAUUGAGAGGUAUUGCGCUUAGUAUUCACAAUUUCUUGUAAGAAGAAUUUGUAAGACUUAUUAAUUUCGAUGAAAAUGUAUCAUUAUUAUUUAAUUCAUUAAGUUAACUUGAGGUAUUAAUAUUCACUAAUUGUGGUGCUGGUGAAUUUACUUAACUUGUCAUUAUUUGUAAUUAAAGAAUGAGGUUCAAUCAAUUUAUUGGAGAAAAAUUGAUUUUAAUUCUUAGUAUUUGAUUUCACUCUCUUUUACUUUUUGACGUUGCUAAAGAGACAGUAAAAAACUUGCUAAAUGUCAUCAAAUACUUGUAUCUCAUCUCACAAAUUGGCAAUAUUUGUUUGGUAUUUCAUCUUAACGGGACGCCGUAAGGAUUGCCUCUCCAAUGAUUGAUAUUUUUUUUUUCUUUUUUUCCCGCACAGAAAGAAACAGAAUUUUGAGUUUUAAAGCAAAAUGAGAAAAUUGAGCAAAAUGCAUGUGGCAAGUCUCCUGCUUGAUUAUUCCAGUAAAGUGAAAAUAAAAGCAGAGCCCACCACCCAUUGAUAAUUGGAAAAUGAUAAACGAACGAAAAGCGCGACGAAGGGACGACAGAAAACGCGUUUCCUCAUCAAAUUUUGUUUUUGUGUACCGACAAUAAAUAAUAAAAUAUUUUUUGUGAGAGCGAUAACAAAUAGUAAAAUAAAGAAUUAAAAAAAAAGAUAGUGUAAACGAACGAAAGCGCGACGAAGGAACGACAGAAAACGCGUUCCCUCAUGAAAAUUUUUUUUUGUGGGAUCGAUAAUAAAUAAUAAAAUAUUUUUUUGUGGGACCGAUUAUAAAUAGUAAAAUAAAGAAUAAAAAAUAAAAAAAUGGAUGGUGAAAACGAACGAAAGCGCGACAAAGGGAUAACAGAAAACGCGUUCCUCAUCCAAUUUUUCUUUUGUCGGACCGAUAACAAAUAAUAAAAUAUUCUUUUGUGGGACCGACUAAAAAUAGUAAAAUAAAGAAUGAAAAAAAGGAUAGUGUGCAAUUUUUCUUUUAAUAGAAUUUAGCAAUUCACCAAUCACCAAUCACCACCACUUGUUACCAGAUUCAAUAAAUGUAAAAUCGCACCUGGACAUUUGUAGGGUCAAGCAACAUUAAUCCAGUGUCCGGGUAAAUGCUGAAUAAAGGGGAAAAUGGGAUGUAAAUUUACUAUUAAAACAAAUAAAAUUUAUUAAUAAAAAUAAGGGUUAUAUAUAUUUUUUAAAAUGUUAAGAAGUUUUAUAUCUUUUUUGGAUUAAAUUUUCUAUUUCCUAUUAAGCAAAACCCACGUCAAAAGUGAAAAAGAAAAAUAGAGCCCACAGAACAGAGCCCAUUACAAAUAUAAAAUCGGAGGAGCUCAUGAUCAUGCCUUUUGUUUUACAUACUAAAUUUAAUAAAAGCCAAACCAAAAUCUUGCCUUUACUUAACAUGAUUAAUUAGGCACUGCAUCAGAGAGAACACGAAAGCUAUGAACCAUUUUGUUAAUCUUAAAUGUCAGGAAUAUAAUUAGCUUGGAAUAAAGUUGCAUUCUUCUCCUCUGACCGCAAGAUAUGGACUGGGCCACUCCAAAGAGAUUGGUAAUGCUGUAUCAGUAUAAUUAGCUUGGAAUAAAGUUACAUACAUUCUCCUCCUCUUACUGUCUCUUUAGGUUCAUUUCAAAAGUUUGAAGAGAGUAUCAAUUCUUCUACACUUUAGAAUGUCAAUGUUUUUGCUUUCUUCAAAUGUUGAAUAAAGAGAAAAAAAAAAUGUUGAAUGUAGAAGGAAAAUGGAAUGCAUCCACCUUCGCUUUGGAAGUCUUCUACUUAUAAAAGCAAGCUAAAUUAAAAGAUUUAAAUCUCUCUUUUUAUUACUAUAAGUGCACUGCAUUUUUUUUUUUAAAUAAUCACCUAUACAAAUUUGUAACGUAAUGAAAUAUUCAUAUUCCUGUCGUGUCGAAAUGAGAUAAAAUGAAAUUUUAAAUAACACAAAUUCGACUCAUUUGUUAAAAGUAUAUACUUAAUAAGCUAAUAACAUAAUUAACAUAACGCUAUUAUUAUACUAAAUGAAAUAAAAGACGGUAGCCACCAAUAAUUACACUAGCAAGCUUCGCAUGCUCGUGUUUAAGGAAUUGGACAUUGGUGAAUUAAUCAAGGAUAAGAAACAAUUUCAAAAAACAAAAUGGAUACUAUACAUUUUCUUUUUUUAAUUGCACAGAAAAUGGGACUAAUUUUCAAAUAUUUUCAAAUUCACUUAUUAACAAAAGCUAUACAAAAUAAUUUCCUUUUUAUUUUGAAACAUUAUACGGAAUCAAAUAACAGUGAUUCAAAGAGUGUAAAGUGGUAAUUCUCUGAUUGUAUUUUCUCUCUUUUUUAAAAGGAGAUGGUGGGGUUUGGUUGUUUGCAAAAUUAUUGGUGUGAGGGUCUAUUUGUUUUUGUUUUCACUUUAUUAAUUAAUUACGAAGCAAACAUGUAAUCAUUUGUAAAGGGGUCACUAGCAUUGGGUUGUGUAAGAUGAAUUCGUAAGACUUAUUAAUUUCGAUGAAAAUGUAGCGUUAUUAAGUUGUCAAUUCAUUAACUUGAGGUACUAAUAUUUACUAAUUGUGGUGAUUAAUUUAUUUAACUUUGUCAUAAUUUUCAAUUGAGAAUGAAGUUCAAUCAAUGUAUGAAAAAAAUAAUUUUUUUAGAUUUUUAACUCCUAUGAUUUAAUUUCCAUCUGUUUCGAUUAUUGACGUGUUAAAAGCUUGUAGAAUAUCAUGAAAUGCUUGUAUCUCACCUCACAAAUUGACAAAAAUUGGUUGGUUUCUCCAAAGGCUGCCAUGACGAAUUGAAAGUAAAAACAACCACCAUUGAAAAUUAAUUUUAAAAAUCUUUUUUACUUGAAAAUUUUUAAAAGAAAAAUUAAGCAAAUUAGAUUGCAGAUAUCAAUCUUAAUAUUUUGUUGAUGAAAAUUAAUUAAUUAAUCCCAGUACUUUCUUAAUUUUGUGUUGUGCACCGCAUUGGCCACUUCUGAUUGUGUUGCAUAUUUGUUAAUUCAAAGAAAUAGAUCUUUUGUAUCGAUCAAACUUAUUUUAUUAGUAUUAUUCAUCAUAUGGUUAAUGGCUUAGCCAAUGAAGGAGAAGGGGUCAGCCAAAAUAAAUAAAGUACUUUCUCAUGCAUUAACCUUUAUUAAAAAGCUUUAUUAACUGUUGUAGUUAAAACAAUUUUAAAACAAGUUAAAACAGUUCCAACUCAAAAUCUGUAGGCUGCAAUUGGGUUGUUACACAUAUUUCUAAAUUUCAGUCUAAUUUAAUUGUGUAUGGACAAACUGACUUUAUCACUCCUUUCAUAUUAAUACUCAUAAAUUUCAACCUUUUUUUAUGAUGAUGCACAAUCUAACUUAACAAAAAUAAUGUUCAAAUUGUCAAAAAAUGUUCUUUUCUUAAAAAAGAAAAGAAAAUCAUAUAUAGUAGUUAAUUUUUCUUCCUCUUUACUCCAAGAUCCAACUUCGUACUCCACUUUUUUGUUGUUAUUGUACCCAGCCGUUAGAUUUUAAUUACAUUAAUUUAAUGGUUUGGAUUUGUAAAUGAAUAACGACGUAGUGUUUGGCUACCAUCUGAACCCACUGCAUCUAAUUGGUUUUGUGAUUUUUUGCUUUCUUCUCUGUAACACUUGACUAGUUCUGAAAAUAUCGACCGCCAUCAACAAUAAAUCUGAUCCAUGUAUUAUUUCUUAGUAGUGGGCAAAUUAAUAAAGUUUCCACCACCGUACCAGUAUGUCGAUUUGCGAAUACAUUCAUUCAAAUAUUAAACAUUCAGAGAAGAAAGCAAACCGUGGCAGGAUAGAAUGCUGCGUUCUGUGCUAACUAUAAAUUCUCACAGUGGCACGCAUAUCACAUGACACACAGAGCUCAGACAACACGCUCAACUGCCACAACACUCACCAAAUCUUCACCCAACUCAUGCAUCUCACCUCUCUGUGCUCUCUCUGUUGGCUCUCUCUCUCCCUCUCUCUCCCCCCGUCGCUCACGCAUCUCACCAUGCUCUCUUUUCACCGUCGACUUUCUCUCUCUCUCUCCCCAUGGGUCUUUCCACAGCUGGCGCGGGUCUCCAUCGAGAAUGCUUCGAACUCAUCAAGAGUGGUAGUAAAAGCAACAGUUUCAAUCGAGAACGGCGUCGUCUCGGCUCGGAAGAAGUAAUAACAGUGGUAUUUGGCGGGGGUUUUGGGUACUUUUUGUUCCUGUUUGUCCAUUAAUUAAUUAAUUUGGAAAAAGAACGGUGUAUUUGACAAAUAAAUAAUGGGGAUGGUUGGAUGUAAUUAAGGGGAUGAUGAACAUAAUAAUGGUUUAAGAAGACCAGGAUUUUGUUAACUUUUUUCUAGGUUUCUUGAAGAAUGUAACUUAAAAUAAAUGCAUCAAAUUAAGUAAACAUAAAAUCAUAAUAAUAAUAAUAAUAAUAAUUGGACUCAAUAAUUAUAUGUGAAAUUUACAUAUGUGUCAAGUAGGAGCAUGAUAUCAUCAUUUACACACACACACACCACACACACACACACACAUAUAUAUAUAUAAAUGACAAUUUAUUUAAAAGUCAAAUAAUUGUGACGUUUUAUCAAAUAAGUGACAAAUAUAUAAUAUAUUACAUAUUUAUUGAAUAAUUAUCAUUUACCUUUUCCUUUUAUUGACUUAAGAAAAAAAACAAAAAACUUGCUAUACCGCUUCUGUUUUCGUUCUUAGAACAUAUUAGUUUCUUUUGAGAAAAGUCAAACUCAUUCCCAUUACUUUCUUUUCAAUAAUCACCUCUCAGUUUUUCAUCAGUCACUCAAUUUCGAAUUUCAUCUCCAUUCUCUUUCAAAGAAGAACACACGAAGAAUUUUAGCUUGCUUUACCUGCUUCUCGAAUUUCAGGUAUUGUUUCCUUUAAUUUUGAUUUUUUUUUUUACCUCUCUGUUUCUAGUUUGAUAAUUUAGGGUUAUACUUGAAUUAAUUGUAUUUUUAAUCAUCCUAGGUUGAUUUAAUUGAUUCCAAGUCUCAAUUUCCUGUUCAACAAACAAGGAACGCACGAGUAAUUUUCAUUUUCAUUCUCAAUUUUGAAAGAAUCAAUUUAUUUUAUGUGUUCAAUUUUGUUUAUUUAACUUAGGAUAUCUUUUUCAUUCUCGUCUUCAAGCAGACUAUAGCGUUGCUCCUCUCAUUGAUUAUAUUGAGAACAAUGCUUUCUCCUUAAUUCCACCAAGAACAACGUUGAUGUCAGGUGAUAAUUGAAUGUGUAAUAUUUUCAAUUGAAAUUAAUUGAGUCUCGUAAUAAUAAUAGGGAUUUGAGAUUUACAUCCUGUUGAAAUGAUUUUAGAGUGUUCUGCUAUUUGAAUGGGCAUUAUUUUUUUAUUUUCAAUUAAUUGAGUCUCUUUAAAAGAUUAUUUUUGUUUUUAGCAAACAUCUUAAUGCACUUUGCAAAUUGAAUCCAACAAGGGAAAAUUACAGAACUGCAACAGUUUUCAAAUUGAUUGCAUAUUAGAAGUAAUGUUAAUUUAUGCUGCAACAGUUCAAUGGGCUGGGCACAAGUUUAGGACUUUAGUUGCUCAAUUAAUGAAUCCACCACUCAUCGGACUUGGAACUUAUAUCAACUGAAUCAAUAAAAAUAGUUGACGUAAUCAAUACUGAAAGCUUCAUUUGAUUAAUAAUGAACUACAGACAUUUAUUUAUAACAUCUGCUAGAUUCUGGACAAUCACAAAUAUAUAGUAGCAGAAACUAUGUUAGAGACACUGUAGUUGCUUAAUUAGUGAAAUUGUGAUCUCGUUGCCCCCUUUUUUUGGUUGAUUCUAUAAUUUUAUUAGUUGUUCUUGUGGUUGUAAACAAUAUCAAUUUCUAAUAUUAAUAAAACUGAAUGAAUAAAAUGCGAUACAUUUGCAGGAAAGUUAAUAGUUUAAAUAUGGAUAAAUCUUGGAUGUUGAUGGAUAGAAGGUCUAAAGAAUAUGAGAACACGGUAAAUGAGUUUCUCAAGUUUAAUGUGUUAAUAAUUAUGAAGAACCGGUGUAAUUUAUAUGAUGUAGGAAGCACUUUAGGCAAAAUCAUCUGAAUCUCAAAAUUUCGUGAUAUUGUGCCAAAUAUCCAAAACAGAGCUUCCUACAUUGCUAUAGCAGUUUUUAAAAGUUGAGGACUCCAAAUAUCCAAUAACUGAUCAAUUCUGUUAAGAAAUAUAAAUAUUAAUGGUGAUGACACAUACGCAUUGAAUUCCUUCGUUUUGAGUUUGACUAAAAUAACCUGAAUAGUUUCAAACAAUCCAUCAGCCCAAAGUCCUUGAGAGAUUGAACUCGAGAAUAUAUAUAUCCAACAGGUAAAAUUUCAAAACACCAUUUGCCAAAGUCUGAUGAAGAGAAUACAUAUACACACACGCGCGCUCAUAUGUAUAACCGCACAGCAGAAGGAUAGAUAAAAUAAAUUGAAGUUUCAACAGUUGAACAAUGCAAACUCAUUUUAAAAAAGCAUUCUAUUGUUUAAUUAAAAAUUCGAAAGCCCAUCAUAUACAUGAUAAAGACUCACCGACACCGAACCAUAUUAAUUUAAAAUUGUUUUCAACUGAGAUUUGAAUUUUGAAAUUACAUACACCAACACGCCCGAUUUAAAAAACAAACUAAUAAUAAAAUAUUUAAGUUGUCUAUGUUCAGUCAUCAAAAACCAAUUUACGAUUUAUUUCAACACAAACACACCCGAUCUAUAAAAAAAAUCAAAAUAAUAAUAAAAUAUUUCAGUCGUCCUCUGUUGAGUCGUCAUCAAAAACCCAUUUACGAUCUAUUUCAACAAGAGGUAUAUGGGUUAACAAGUCCCAAUAUUGUCCUCCAUCCUUUCUGUACUUCUCUGCUAUUAACGGACAUCUAUGGAUGUAUAAACGCAAAAGUGAGGAAGGCAGGCCGUUCUCUGGAAAGUAUUUAAGCCUGGGACAAUUAUAGAGUUCCAAUGAAGUGAGGUUUUGAAGAUCAACAAUUGAAGAAGAUAGCCGUUCCAGAUUUGGAAAAUCUUCAAUCUGCAGAGAUGUUAGAGAGAGGCAGGAAGAGGAAGCGUGGUCCCCCAUCUUAUGUCCUCUGGUGGAAAUGACACCAUGUUGUCAUCACAUCCUGUGAUUCUAAGUUCACGCAGAGAGGAGAAGCUGUGAAAUCCCCGGCCCCACUCAAUCAUUGACUUCCAAAUCUUCGUAUUACCAUUAAUCUCCAGUGAAUGAAGGUUGGGAGGAAGGCCAUGUUCUUUGACGCUUGGAUGCUCACCUCCUAUAAUUAAUUGUCGAAGAGAGUUCAGAUUGUGCAAUCCCUUAGGUAAUGCCUCUAGUCUCCCACACUCAUACAUCAUGAGCUCAGUCAGUUUCGUACAAGGCAAUCCCCCUUCGGGAAACGACACCAGAUUUCCACACCCCUAAAAUCUAAUCUCUCGAAGCUGGCGGAGAUUAUGUAAACCACUCGGUAAAUUUUUCAGAUUUUUACAACUAAUGAUAGUGAUUGUUUCAAGAGAUGUGUUGUUGUCCAACCUUUCUGCUAUUGACUCCAGCUUGGAACAUCCCCAAACAAAAAGUGACUUAAGAGACGGAGGUAGAUUGCCAACUUCAAGGGACUCAAGCGUGGCAGGUAACUCGUUUUUUGAAAAUAUACAUGUCAGAGACGGACAACUCUCAAUGUGUAAGUGCUCAAGAAGAGAUGAGGUGUACCUUCUGCUGCUGCUACUCUGGAUGCCCUCUUCCACUGUCAAAGUCCUUACAUUAUCGCAAUUCCGGAUGACCAAGUUCUUAAGGCUCGGUGGUAGCUGGACUUCAGCAAUAUAUGUCAACGAAUGACAACGCGAAAUCGUCAAGAUCUCGAGAGAUAAAUUGGCGUCGCACAUCCAUGCCUCCGGUAACGAUUUCAGUGCAUCACAACGGUGAAUUGAAAUGCUCCUCACCUUGGAAGGCAGAGCAACCUCAGGGAAGGAAACAAAGGAACUGCAGUUGUAGAUUUCUAUCUCUCUCAAGGAGCUGAGGCUGAGCAAUGAUUGUGGCAGCUUCACAAGGCCUUUGCAAUCAUUUAAUAGCAGAUAUUCAAGUCUGCAUGACAACUCGCAGAGCUGUUGCUGGUCUUUUUCUUCCUCCGCCACCAAGGAUUGAAGUGUGGGACACCAUCCAAUCGUCAGCCUUUUGAGAGAGCUAAUGUCUUGCAGAAAUCCGUUAUGACUCUUCCAUAUAUAUGUUUCAUUUUUAAUAUUGCUUAUCUCCAAUUCUUCCAAUUUUGGUAGUCGCGGCUUCAAUGGCCCUGCAAGCAACACUUGAUUUAAUGUAUCGCUACAAACCACUGAAUUCUGUGACUCGAGAUGAUCAGUUUCACUUCUCCACACAACCUUUUUACAUCCACCAAUCUCUAAUUUGCAAAGAGCUGGAAGACUCGUAAUUGAAACUAACAAUUCUUCACAUCCUCCAAUAACAAGCAUCUCCAAUGCAGGAAGGUGUUCUGGAAAUGUUCCUUUCAGUUUAGAACAUCCUAUAACUUCAAGCUCUCUCAAUUUAGGAAAUCCUUCAACUCCCUGAGUAGAUCCAUGAGGAAUCCAGUCUUCCCAUUCUAGCAGGUUUUCAAAACGAAGAGUCUCCAAGCAUGGAAAAGGAAUUGGAGUAUCAUUCCCAUAGAACUCCGAACCCAAUCUCCUUACUCUGCUCAUUCUACGUACUGCAAGAUGCUUUAGAGAGGGUAGUUGCCCGACCGACGGCAGUGUGGUACACAUGCCACAAUCUUCAAAUUUAAGUGUUACUAAAUUUGAGAAUGAGGAAUCUCCUAACCAUAUUGGAAAUUUUGUACCUCCAUAGCCACUGAUAAAAAAUUGCUCCAGAUUUUUAUGGGGUUUCAGCAUGUCAAGCACGCCCUUUUGAGUUUCUGCCUCCCUUAAAGAUGAACCAUCGGUACUGUUUGUCCACCGAAGCAUUAACACUUUAAGGUUCUUCUUUCCAUCCAAUUGAGCCUCCUUGGCAUCACCAACGUAUUUUACGUUCUCCAAUUUUGAAACGGUAAGUGUCCCACGAAGAUGCGUCAACAACUUUAGCUCUCGCAACCGGGAACCACUGUCUUUUCCUACAACAAAAUUACACAAUGUCUGAAGACAAGUCAACUUGCCAAUUCCUAGUGGCAUUUCCUCCAACGAAUCUGUAUUUGAAUUAUUGAGAUGAUGCAAUUUGAUGAGAUUUCCCAUGCCUGCACACAACUUCCUCAGUCCCCGACAACCCUCCAACGAAAGGGUGUGCAAAUUGUAAAGCUUGUUGACUGAUUCAGGCAGAGUUCUAAUCUGAGUUCCAGAUAGGUUGAGGUACCUUAAAUACCUCAAAUCACCAAUUGAAUCUGGCAGCUCGGAGAUCCAAUAUCCACACAAAGAGAAGACCCUCAGGCGUUGAAGUUUGAACAACUUAGGAAGAAUGCUAUGAGCCAAGAAUCCUUGCGAACUAUUUGACAGACAUACUGGUAGAAAAGUUCGCAAAUGCUGGAUAUUGUACAAGUCUUCAAACCUUUUAACGCCAUCAUAUUUUCCACAGAUGCAUGAUAGAUGACGAAGAUUUUUGGAAAAACUUUGUUGUUUGUUAACCUCUGAAGUAUAAUCCAUUGUGAAGUAAAUUUCCCCCGCAGCCCAAUGGGCAAGGUCAUUGAUAAGAUCGUGCAUCACAAAUAGUGAUUUAUUGUUGCUUGAUUGCUGGAAAAAGGAUCUUGCACGUAGCUCUUGAAAGAACUUUCGACCUAGAUCUUCACAUGGAUUCUCGCUCUUCCGAUGAUCCAAGAAACCCACAGCACUCCACAAUAAAAUUAUCUCCUCCUCUUCAAAUUCAUAAUCAUUUGGAAACAAUGAGCAGUAUGCAAAGCACUGUUUCAAAGGUGCCGAGAGAUAAUUGUAGCUCACUCUAAGCGCCGGUAUAAUGUCACAUCUCUCUUCUGGUAAAUCCCAUAUGUUGCAACUGAGCACACCUUCCCAAUCACUUCGGUCACAUUUACCACGUAAGAGUCCACCAAGGGUUUUCGCAGCUAAGGGCAGGCCGUCGCAUUUGAUCACUAUCUUCUUGCCAAUUUCCUCCAAUGGCUUAUUUGAACUGAAAUCUCUUGUCCCCAAAGAGUGGUGAGCGAACACGGACAAACAAUCAUCAAUUGACAACUUUUUUAAUUGAUAAGCUGAAGCAGUCCCCAUUAUGGCUGCAACCUCUUGAUUGCGAGUUGUGACAAUAAUCUUACUUCCCGGUGCGCCAGCUUCAAACGGACGGCUCAUGUCAACCCAAUCAUUGUAACUCUCAUUCCAAACGUCAUCUAAAACAAGCAAAAAUUUCUUUCGAGACAACUGCAUCUUUAGCUCCUCUUGAAGCAAAUUUAAAUCACUAUUAUCAACAGUCUGCUUAGUAAUGGAGCUUAGAAUUGUUCUUGUUAGCCUGAUAACAUCAAAAUCAUCAGAGACACAAGUCCAUGCCUUGAGAUCAAAAUGACCCUGCACUCGAUCUUCAUUAUAGACAAGCUGAGCAAGAGUGGUUUUGCCCAGCCCGCCCAUACCUAUAAUAGGAAUAACUGAGAAUUCGCCAUCAUUUCUUAAAUCAUCCCUCAACAACAAUUCAACGAUUUCCUUUUUUUCUGUUUCCCUACCAUAUACCUUUGCUCCGUUCACCAAAGAGGUUGUGGGUAGUCUUUGCCUGACUUUUUUGGAUCUCCCCGCUGAACUUUCUUUCAAACCCAACGAGUCUUUCUGUGUUGCAACAUCUUGAAAUCUGUCGUUGAUCUCUUUGAUUUUGGACAUCAUGGUGUAAUCGAACUGAAUCGAUUGUGGAGUAAAAGUGGUGCAGCAAGUAGGAAUGAGCUUCCGAAUUCUGGUAUGACUGCUACUAGGUUGAUCAUGAGCCGCAACUGGUUCUCCAUUUCCAAGCAGCAACCUCCUCCGGAACGCCUCAGUUUGAAACUCAUCCAACAAGUCUUCAACAUCAUAAGCCAAGUUCUGAAGCUCGCCAAGCCACAACUUCACAGACUGAUCAGUCUUCUUCUCCUCAGCAUCAUCAAGCACCGCCUUGAUCAUCACCAACAUAUUCUUCCACUUCUUUAGGUCGGCCUGGAUUUGCUCUUGGCGUCCGAACAACCGAAUCCCCUCUGAAGCUAACUUAUUGACCAGCAAAUCAACGGACGCCGUAAGGAUUGCCUCUCCGAUGAUUGACAUUUUUUUCUUUUUUAACGCACAGAAAGAAACAGAAUUUUGAGUUUCAAAGAGCAAAAUGAGAAAAUUGAGCAGUAAGUGUGAAGGGUCAAGCAAAUUGCACGCAACAAGUCUUCCACUUGUUGUUUACUCUAGUAAAGUGCAAAUAGAAACGGAGCCCACCACCCAUUAAAAAUUUAGCGAUUCACCAAUCACCAGUCACCACCACUUGUUACCAGAUUAAAUGAAUGUAAAAUCGCACCUCGACAUUUGUAGGGUCAAGCAACAUUAAUCCAAUUGUCCGGGUAAAUGCUGAAUAAAGUGGACAAUUGGAUGUAUCUACUACGAACCUUCCCUUUACAAAUCUUCAAACUCAUAAACCAUGUUAAAAUGAAAAACGUUUCUCUCUUUCUCUCUCCCUUUCUGCCGUAAAAUUACUUUAUGGAUUGAAUUAAUUUCCAUGCUAAAACGAAGACUUAAAAGUACGAUACAAUUUUUUAUAAUAAUCCCAAUGGAAUUUCUACCGUCACGUUACAUUACUGUAGUGUCAAAAUAAAUUAUAAUAAAAUUUUAGCUGAACAUAAAUUCGACUCAUUUAUUAAAUAUAUAUACUUAAUAAAAUAACAACGAUAUUUUAUUACCUGGCUUCUCCCCAAAAAGAUAAUUUUCAAAAUUGUUCAUGGAGAAGUCUAUGUUGCAGAUUCUGUAACAUACGCACCCAAUGCAUGCACCACACUUGUUCUGUGCAUGGAGAAAAAGCAUGCAAAUGCUUUUGUUAGGUAGCUGGCUUAAAGCAGAAUCAGUAAGUUACAGAGUCUGUAACUUAGCCUGCUCCAUGUGAAAACAAAAAAAGUCCUGCCACCAAUAAUUCAGAAAGCUUCACUUUAUUACACGAAGGUGAAAGCAAAAAGCCAAAAACAGCCCCCACCACCAUCAAUAAUUUAGCAAGCUUCACAUGCUAGCGCCUGUCUACCUGACGAACUGCACACAGCACAUGGGUGGACCAAGCAUCAUUGAAUAGUUGUAAAAAAUAAAAAAUAAAAAAUAAAAAUCAGUGUCCCGCAAAAAGAAUCCAUCUUUAUGUGUUGAUAUGCACAUCUACCGAACAUCCAAAAAAUGGAAGUAGAAAUUGAAACUUACUUUUUUAGUUAUGGCUCAUAUAUAAUACAAGUAUCAAGAUUUAAGUAGAGUUCACAUAUACACAUGCGUCUACAAAAUUUUUAGGAAGUGAUAACUAAUAUGUUGGGAUAUAUAUUUGUGGGAAAUGACAAAUAUAGAGAAUAGCAGUAAAAAUGUUGGAAGUUUAAUAUAAUGAAAAAAGGUAAAUUGCAAAAAAUUAAUAUGUAAUUUAAAGCACAUUACAAAUUGAGUAAUGUACAUGGGUUAAGCAAAUAUACCUCAAUGAUACAAUGAGACACUUAUUUGUUUGUUUGCUUUGUGCAUCGACAAAAAUAAAUUAGAAUACUCUUUAAUGUUGCAAAAACAAUAUAUUGGAUAUUUGAUGCAUAAAAAAGAAAGUUAUUUGAUGAAAUUCAUUCUAGGAAAUAGAGCUAAGAAAAGAGCGGUGUAGGAUUAUCUUAUUCAUAUUUAAAAUUCUAAAUAUAUUGAUUUACUUAUCAUAGUGAUAUAAUAGUAAUUGUAAAUUAAAAAUAAAUUUAAUAUUAAAACAAAUAGAAUUUACUAAUAAAAAUAAAGUUAUAUAUCUUUUUUCGAAAUAUUUAAGAAUUUUAUGUCCUUUUUUUUUUCAAAACGUUUGGAGUGAAUUUCCAUUUCCCAUUAAGCAAAACCCACCGCAAAAGUGAAAAGAAAAAACAGAGCCCACUACAAAUCUAAAUCAGAGGAGCUCAUGAUCGUGCCUUUGCUUCACACACUAAAUUAAAUAAAAGCCGAACCAAGAAUUGCCUUUGCUUAACAUGAUUAAUUAGGCACUACAUCAAAGAGAACACGAAACCAAUGGACCCUUUUGUUAAUCUUAAAUGUCAGGAAUAUGAUUAGCUUGGAAUAAAGUUACAUACUUUCUCCUCCUCUUACUGUCUCUUUAUGUUCAUUUCAAAAGUUUGAAGAGAGUAUCAAUUCUUCUACACUUUAGAAUGUCAAUGUUCUUGCUUUCUUCAAAUGUUGAAUAAAGAGAAAAAAAAAUGUUGAAUGUAGAAGGAAAAUGGAAUGCAUCCACCUUCGCUUUGGAAGUCUUCUACUUAUAAAAGCAAGCUAAAUUAAAAGAUUUAAAUCUCUCUUUUUAUUACUAUAAGUGCACUGCAUUUUUUUUUUUAAAUAAUCACCUAUACAAAUUUGUAAUGUAAUGAAAUAUUCAUAUUCCUGUCGUGUCGAAAUGAGAUAAAAUGAAAUUUCAAAUAACACAAAUUCGACUCAUUUGUUAAAGGUAUAUACUUAAUAAGCUAAUAACAUAAUUAACAUAACGCUAUUAUUACACUAAAUGAAAUAAAAGACGGUAGCCACUAAAUGAAAUUUUGUUGUUAUUGUACGUUGAUUUAAUGGUUUGAUUUUCCACUAAAUGAAAUAAAGCCGUUAGAUUUUAAUUACGUUGAUUUAAUGGUUUGGAUUUAUAAAUGAAUAACGACGUGGUGUUUGGCUACCAUCUGAACCCACUGCAUCUAAUUGGUUUUGUGAUUUUUUGCUUUCUUCUUUGUAACGCUUGACUAUUUCUGGAAAUAUCGACCGCCAUCGACAGCAAAUCUGAACCAUGCAUUAUUUCUUAGUACUAAGAAAUAAAGUUUCCACCACCGUACCAGUAUGUCGAUUUGCGAAUACAUUCAUUCAAAUAUUAAACGUUCAGAGAAGAAAGCAAACCGUGGCAGGAUAGCAAAAACUGCGAAUGGUCAUUCCCAACACAAACCCCUAUGGCUGUUUUCCUUUUAAUUUUCUUCUUUGAAUUCUCCUUUUAUUAAUCAUUAGAAAACUCCCUUUUUUUUUUUUAAAUCAUGUGUUAUUAACAUUUACAUGGUUAAUGUCAUCGAAAUCAAAUGGUUGUUAUCUACGAAAAGAGAAUUGCUAGAAAUUUUGUUAGUCCCAUUGCAACAAUAUAUUGUUAUAAAUUGCAUUGUGUCCCAUAUAACAAAUAUAAUAAAAUCUCAAUAAAUUAAUAGUUUUGGGAACCAUAAAAAAAUUUAUUAAAAUUUAACAAAUAUCAAUUAAUCAGUAAAUUGAUAAAUUAUUAAUUUAUGAAAAUAUUCAUUAUUUUGAAAAAACAUGAUCACGUUUUUAAUAUUGAUUUACCCUGAGUUAAUAUCUAUUAUGUUUUAUUUGUCUAUUAGUUUUAUCUUGGGAAGAUUUUUUAAGAGUUAGCUGCUUUAUAUUAAGUUAUUAACAGUAAUAAAAUUAUUAGUUGAUACAGGCGAAUUUUCUGACCAAAAUCGUACAAAGAAGUUGAAAGUGUUUAUUUUUGUUAUUUCAAGACAUUCUAACAAACUAUAAGGGGUCACAAAAAGGUUGAUACGACGUAAAAUGUGGCAAGUCUUCCCACUUGUUAACAGUAAUAAAACUACUUCUUGUUCUUUUUGUCCUCAAGGGUCAAGCAAAAUACGACGUAAAAUGUGGCAAGUCUUCCCACUUGUUGUUCUUUGCAGCUAAGAAAAGAAAAACAAAUCCCGCAAUGGAGUCCCCUUAAGUGGCUUGCCUGGGUUUGCUCCCCAGUUCGAGUCGCAAGGAAGUCGCCUUUGUUGGGAGAACCUGUGUCCUCCAGUUCGAGCGGGGACUUCUAGUCUGAGUUGUGGUACGGGCUUAAAGGCGUCUCCCACAGUUGGGCCCUCCCCAGGAUACCUCGUGGUUAAGAAAAAAAAAAAAACAAGAAAAAAAGAGCCCGCCACCCAUUAAUAAUUUAGCAAUUCACCAAUCACCACAAAAUUCCAUUAGAUAUUCGUCGAUCAAGUAGUUAAUCCAGUGUCUGUUACGUAGAGCCUUCACUUUACAAAUCUUCAACUCAUAAACCAAGUUAAAUCAAGACGUUUCUCUGUAUAUAUAUAUAUAUAUAUAUAUAUAUUUUUUUUUUUUAACUCCUAAAACGUUUCUUUUUAGAAAUAUUUUACUUUAUUCAUCUAAUAUGUUAUCUAACAAAUAGACACAGAUGAAAUCACUCUAAAGUGAAGAUGAAAGGGGAAAAAAAAACAUUCCAACCACCAAUAAUUUAGCAAGCUUCACUUUUAUUCCACCAAAGUGUAAACAAAGCCAGCCCCCACCACCAUCGAUAAUUUUGCAAGCUUCACACGCUUGUUGUCUUCUCCUUGACGAACUGGACGUGGGUGGACCAAGAAUCAGUGAAAGAAUUUUAAAAAUAAUAAUAAUAAAAGAAAAACCUAAACAUUUUCGACUUAGAGUAGAACCGUAAUUAAUGCUAAAAUUUACUCCGCUAACGUUUUCAAAAUAUUGUUCUUUAUCAUUGUACAGCAAAUAAGACUAAGUUUUGGACAUUUUCAUUAUUCACUUACUUUCAAAAGUAGUAUUUCAAAACAUUUUACAUAAUCAAGUUACAGUUAUAUAACGAGAAAAGUGCAAAGUUGUGUAAUUCUAAUGUUUUUUUUAUCACAGACACUCAGAUCAUUUUUUAUUUGGGUCGCCAACUCGCCAAUGAACCCAUGAUUGAAUGAGUGUUUAGAAAGAAAAUCAAUAAAAAACAGUUUAUUUUUUGUCGUCGAAAUAUAGUAAGUGAGAAAGAAUAUUCUUUUUUUUUUUUGUUAGUAUUUAUGAUUGAGUGACUCAGAACUAUAUUUUAGAUUGAGAAUCAAUGGUUCUCCCACACUGAGAGGCUGUAAGUUUAAGAUUGUCGUUUGCUAUUUCAUCGACAAGAGAACACUUGAAUUUUAUUAAAAGGAGAAGGCCAUAAAGGUUUUCCUUUAUGAGAAAUGUAUCUGAUCAUUCAUUUUUACUUGAAAAUUUCAUAUAUAAAAACUCAUUAAUAAAUGACAGAAUAUGUUGAAAAGUCAUGCAUGUGGCAUCCAAAUUCAAGAAAGCAUGCAAAUUUCAAAGUGCUACCAAACAAUUGAAGAAAAAAAUGAAAAGUUGGCAAAUUUUGCAAAUUUGCCAAAUGGACACCAUUGACAAUUUGCUUAAGUUAGGUGGAAUAGUAGAGGGGUUGGUGCACUUCUUCCAUUUUAAUCAUCUCAAAAUUGUUAAGCUUAUAAGUUUCUAAGCUUUUGAGAGAAGUGAGAGAAGUGUGUAUGGGGAAUUUAUCUUUCCUGCAGAGUGUGAGAGUAUUGGGUAUAUUUGGGUUUCUGGGAAGUGAGAUUCGUUACUCAAAUAUUGUACUCUAUUAAUUGUUAAAUAAACAAUUAUUCUUUCUUGCCUCCGUGGAUGUAGGUUUAAUUACCGAACCAUGUAAUUCUUGUGUCCUUUAUUUUUCUAUAAUUAUUUGGUGCGCUUGAUUUCGCAUUCCGCGCACAACAAAAUAUACAUAAAUUAUUAAUUCAUUUGAUAGUUGAUUAUCGAAGGACAUGUGACCCAUGGGAGCAUGCAGUCUAUAAAAUAAUUCUUUUUUUAUUAAACAAAAAAUUGGUGAUGUUGAAAAGCAAUAUUAUUAUUAUUCUAAUUGGGGUGAACAUUCAUAAAAAGAAUGCCGUAUGAAACUAAAUUAUUAAUUCGUUUGAUAGUUGGUUAUCGAAUGACAUGUGACCCACAAUAAAUAGUUAAAUUUGGCGGCAACAAUAAUUACAAGACGAACUUAAAGCAGCGCAUAGUUUUUUCUUAAAAAUACAUAAACAAUUCGAUAUUUGAAAUUCUAAUAUCUCAAUAAUAUUGAUCAUGAUUCAGUUACCAAUUAGAUCCACUUACAAUUUCUUUUUUUCUUUUUUCUGGUUUCCAAUCUUUACCAAAAGAAAAUAUUUAGUGAUCCCUUUUAUCAACUUGGUUUUAUUGACUUUCUUCCAAUCAUAGAAGUGUUACCAGAUUCUGUAAAGACAAGAUCAGUGCCCAGCAAAAGAAGCUAUGUUUUCGUUUAUAUGCUGCUUCCUAUUUAGUACAUGCAUAUAAAGAUAUACACGUGCACAUGCAGCACAUCUAUCUAAAAUUUAAAAAACGGAAUUAGAAAUACAGGAUUUAUGGUAGAAAUACAACAGGAAUAAGAGUGAAAUUCCAAUUUUAAAAUUUGGGAGAAAUGAAAUGCGAUAUUUUUUUUAUUAAUAAAAUAAUUUAAUUUUUUUUAAUUCUACCAGCAAAAACCAUUAACUUAUCAAGUUAUUGGUUUCAUUCACAGUUGACAGUCGGUUUCUUAGUUUCAUUCCUUAAUUCUACAAGAAAAAAACAGAAUACUUGACAUUUUUUAUUUGACAGUUUUUAAGAAAUGUCAAACAUAUAUGACAUUUUGUGAAAAACUGAGUAAUUGUGAAAUAUAAAUGACAAUUUAUUUAAACGUCAAAUAAUUGUGACGUUUUAUCAAAUAAAUGAUAAAUAUAUUACAUAUUUAUUGAAUAAUUAUCAUUUACCUUUUCCUUUUAUUGACUUGAGAAAAAAAACAAAAACAUUGACUAUACUGCUUUUGUUUUCGUUCUUAGAACAGAUUUUAGUUUCUUUUGAGAAAAUUCAAACUCAUUCCCAUUACUUUCUUUUCAAUAAUCACCUCUCAGUUUUUCAUCAAUCACUCAAUUCCGAAUUUCAUCUCCAUUCUCUUUCGAAGAAGAACGCACAAAGAAUUUUAGCUUGCUUUCGCUGCUUCUCGAAUAUUGGGUAUUGUUUCCUUUAAUUUAGAUAAUUUUUUUUUUUAUAUCUCCCUUUCUAGUUUGAUAAUUUAGGGUUAUACUUGAAUUAAUUGUAUUUUUAAUCAACCAAGGUUGAUUUAAUUGAUUCCAAGUCUCAAUUUCCUGUCCAACAAACAAGGAACGCACAAAUAAUUUUCAUUUUCAUACUCCAUUUUGAAAGAAUCAAUUUAUUUUAUCUUUGGUUAGUACACUUCUGUUCAAUUUUUGUUUAUUUAACUUAAGAUAUCUUUUUCUUUCUUUUCUUCAAGCAGAUUAUAGAUUAUAUUGAGAACAGAGCUUUCUCCUUAAUUCCGCCAAGAGCAACGUUGAUUUCAGGUGAUAAUUGAAUGUGUAAUAUUUUCAAUUGAAAUUAAUUGAGAUUUACAUCCUGUUGAAAUGAUUUUAGAGUGUUCUGCUAUUUGAAUGCGCAUUAAUUGUUCCUCUGUUUCAAAUCCAAAUCCACUGGUCUACUAUUCAUUAUGACAAUGCAUAUGCCGAUAUUGUCUUCCAUCCUUUUUGUACCUUUCAAUUAGUGAGGUUUAGACAGGGGUUCCAGAUUUGGUAAAUCAACAAUCACCAGAUAUGUAGAGCGGCCGGAAGAGGAAGCAUGGUUCCUAAUCCUAAUCUUGAUUUAGAGCAGAUUAGGUAACAUGUGGCAUUCUACAUUCUUGCAAUGCCAUUUCUUGUUAUGGCAGCAGCAUUCUUGGUCAUGGCAUCACAAGCAAAUGCUUUGAUUUGAAGACUUGCUUGGCUAUGAAAAAUAAGGAGAGCAAAGGUAAUCAAUCUUGGUCUGAUCAACAUUUUUAUGGGGGUACUAAGAAAAAUAAAGAUAAUAUAAAGAAUGUUGUUGAGGAGUAUUUUCAUAUUUACACAAGUGUUCAAAGUAAAAAUUGAUUUCUUAAAACCCAUUAGCUAGCGCACAUAAUAAUGGGGAGAAAAUUUUAGACUACGAAUGGUCCCACCCAUUUAAUAAUAUUCUUCAAUCAAUUAUGUUUACUUCAAAAAAACAAACCCAUCUCUUUAUUACUUUCUAACUAUUCAUAUUAAUGUGUUAAUAAUUAUGAAGAACCGGUGUAAUUUAUAUGAUGUAGGAAGCACUUUAGGCAAAAUCAUUUGAAUCUAAAAAUUUCAUGAUAUUGUACCAAAUAUCCAAAACAGAGCUUCCUACAUUUCAUUGCGCUAGCUAAUUUCUUGUACCAAAAUUAGGAAUCAUUGAAGAGUGGAGUUACGUGACUGAAUAGUAUCAUAUCACAGAAACUCAAAACUCAAAAGUGCAAUAACAUUGAACAUUCAGCUGGCUAGCUUAUAUUAAUUAAUUAAUACUACUACUAGUUCUUUAUGAUUAAUUAAAAGAUAAAAUAUUUGACAAUCACAAAACAUUAUUCCAUCACUCAAGAGUAGAGCUUCCUACAUUGUUACCCAGCUCUUUUAUAUCUCCCAAACAUUAUUAGAGUCCCACAUUUGUGGCACAUCAUUAAGUAAAAUGUGCCAAUUAGGAAGAGCUGGCUUCUUUGUUUUGUUUUCUUGGAUGUGCUGCAAUUUUCAAGUAUCAUUCAAAAUUUUACGCCAUCAACACGGGAAAAUUAUAUAUAUUCUGUCAGCACUUGCAUAUGUUGCAAGUGCUGACAGAACUUUUCAUUUGAUUUGAUAAUUGGCUAAGGGUGAUUUCGAUAACGUUUCCAAAGAAGAUAUAGAACAUAGAUCAAAAAGAAAAAUAAGUAAUUUGAUCAGUAGAUGCAAAAAAUGAGCGAGCUUCGUAGUCUGACUAACAGGACAUGGCUUGGAGCAGGGAUCAAUGGACAAGUUUGAGGUUUAUGAAAUAUUGGGAAAACAGACAAAUAAUAAAGCCACUACAAGUUAAGCAGAUCAAAUAAACAGAACAGAGGAAAUAAGUGAUCAAUUUAUUACUUUGUGCAAUGGCCACAGCAACAGCGAAAAUAUGUCUACAUGACUACAUUAUCCGACUGGCAUGGUACUAUAACCGUGCAGCAUUACACUAACAUUUCCUUAUCAAUCAAUUUUGAUGGUAUGAUAUUAAAAACAUCGAUUUCAUAAUUUUAUGUAAUUCAAAGAAAAGAUAUAAUUGAUUUUAGUUAGUUUAACAUAUAAGGAAAGAGUAAUGGGGAAUGAUGUCGAUGUGGCACGUGAUGAGUAAAGAUAGACAACAAAUAUUGAUCAUGUAAUAAUGAAAUAUGUAUUUAUUGAAAAUAAAUUGACAAUUAAAAUUAAUAGAUAUAUAUCCAAUGCACCGAGUUUAUUUUAUCACUUCGCUAACCAUUUUGUAACUACAUGUUAAUUAGAAGUUGAAUUAAUUUUGACCAAAGACUCUAGAGAAUGUUGAAAAGAGAUUUGAUUUUUGUCUUUAAAAAUAUUAGAAAUGAAAUAAGUCAAAAUCAAUCACAAGAACAACAAUAAGAGCAUAUUUUGUAAAACCACAAAUACAUAUUAUAAAUUUAGUUUCGAAUUAGAUCAUUAUUAAUUUGUAUUGUAAGAGAGUCUUAUAGAAAAAUAUGAAUUUUUUAAAAGGAGAUUUGCUUAAGGAACAACUUUAGUUUGGUUUAAUUUGUGAAGGCUCAAGUAAUUGAAAGCAACGCAAUGGAAGGAAAUACAAGUUUGAUUUUGACAAAGUAAUCACUAAAAUAUUUGACAAGUUUGAGAUGUUAAAAAACUGGAAAAAUAGACAAAUAAAGAAAACCCUACAAGUUGGCAAAGCAAAUAAACAGAGGAAAACAGAGCAAAUAUUUACCGUUAUGCAUAUAUAUUUUUUAAAUUUCCGAAAAAGAAUGUUGCGAUAUUUUUUCCCAAAAAGAAGCACAGUUUGGCAUAUGUUGUGCUUUAUUUUAUUUUAUUUUAUUUUAUUGAAGUUACUUUGUAAACUGCUCCAGCAAUUUGUAUUUCCUUUCGGUGAGGUUGGUUUUUUUCUUUAAAUAAAAUUUCAGGGAUGAGAAUGCAAGUUUAGAAAGUACUGCAGCAACAAAGUGCAUUCAUAGCCAUAGCCGGUUACACUAUGUCUAGCUACAAUGCAAGUUUCACUUUUACUUAAUUAAAUAUACAAAAUUAAAUCACUUGAGCCUCUCGUUUCAUUAUACUUCAACUCAAAAUUAAAACGCAGAAUUGAUGGUAUUGGAGUUUCAUAUUUAAUUGUGCUGUAGUCAUGGGGAAUCAUAUGGCCAUCCAUUUUGACGUCUGUUUUAUGGCCAUCCCCACUAAGUAGCUUGGUCAUAUACAAUAUGUGUGUGCGUGUAUGUAUGUGUAUAUUGGGAUGUCAAAGGCCCUAAAAGAUAAAGCUGAACAUCAAUCCCAAAUCUAAAGUGAAAAACAGUAGCUGGAACAGAAUCUUUGUUUUGAUGUCUAAGCUCAAACAAUUGAUAGUAUAGAAAAUGCAUGAUAGAAUAGAGAACCCAUAUUUUAGCAAUAAUCCUAAGCUCACUGGCCCUUAGUUCAGAGUGGCAGUUCUUAUUCGUCAAAGAAUCAAAUUUACUUUUAGUUGUAUACAAGUAGAGCACUAGAUCAACAAAUAAUUGAAGACUUGCUUGGCUGUGGAACCAUAGGAAGGCAAUUCGUGAACAGCCUUGAUAUUUCAUUUGGUUUUAUCUAAUUCUUUGUAAAGUUGUCUUGUGUAUAAAAUUUUUGUUACAUGAAAUCGGUAGGUGAAGAGAAUUUUUAAAAGCAAACGUCAAAGUCACGAUCAAAGGGACGAAAUCAGUAUAAAUAUUGAUUGUCUCAAGUUAGAUUAUACAAAGAUGAAAUAAUGCUAAUCUAAAAAUUCGAUGAUUAUAAUUUGAUUUCCAUUAUAUUAAUUAUAUUCAAUCAUACUAUUUAAAUGAAGAACACUCCAGCAUUUAUAUACACUCAGCUUAUGAAAUUAAUUACAAAAUGAUAUUUGACAAAGUAUGAUGAAAAAGGUACAAAGUUAGACUUCCCGAUCAUGCAACCACCCAUCGAAUUGUGUAUUGUGUCAUCGUUGAGCUCUUAGAAGGAUUCAGCUGCUGAGGAGAAGAUAUAAUCGGUUUUUGUGUGAGAAGCUAUGUACUAUGCUUUUAUGGUGUUUCUCUUGGUAGUUGUCGGACAAACUGUAAUGUGAAUUUCUAUCUAAUGGGUAUCCUUUUAGUUAGUUUGGGAUUGUUGAUUUAUAUAUGAUGUUUGGUAUCUAAAAUUCAGAUGAUGAUAAUCUUGGCAGUACUUUUGUCAAAUUUUCUUGUGUUGUUGUUGGUUUAAUAAAAUAUCACAAAGGUGCAAAAUACAGUAAAAUUAACAUUAGAUAUAUUGAAAAAGAAAUUGACACAAGAAACUGAAAAUUAGUUGUUAAUUAUGAUGGGAAUAUAAUCUUGGUAUUUCAAUUAUAUCAUUUGCACUAAUCUCAUUGUGUCUAUCACUGAAAAGCAGAGUGGCUUGAUUAAAUAGUGUCAUAUUACGUCACAGCAAUCACAGAAACUUACCCAAAAGUGCAUGAGCAUUGAACAUUCAGCUAAUUUAUACUAAUUAAUUAAUAAUACUAACAAGAGAAGUUGGAUCUCGUCUUCUCUUGGAUAUAUCCGAUGACUUUGAGCUCUCCAGCCUCGCAACCGGAAAUGUUCUUCCUUCACAUUCGGUGAUUGUUUUUCAUUAUUGCGGCUACUUGACUCAAAUAUGCUAUUGCAAGAGGAGAUUUCUAUUUUGUCUGAUUUAAGCCAUAAGACGGGUUUCAAGGUUCAUUCUGAUUGUUUAUCUGUUAGCUUUUUUUGUUUUAAGAACUUCUUAUUUACGGAAGCAAAAUUCUCCUUUCCAGGAUGAUCUAGAUUUAGAAGUUGCUUUUGUCAUAUCAGACGAAGAGGCCAUCUUUAAGGCCUUGUCUAAGAUUGUUGAAUUUAGUAGAAGGGACUACUGCUCUGAUUGGUCAAAACUACUAUGGCUGUCUUUUUCAUGAGCUUCUAAUAUCGAAUCAGUUUUAAUGGUAUGAUAUUAAAAACAUCGAUUUCAUAAUUUUAUGUAAUUUCAUAGAAAAGAUAUAAUUGAUUUGAGUUAGUUUAACGUAUAAAGAAAGAGAGAUGGGGAAUAAUGUCGAUUUGGCAUGUGAUGCGUAAUAAUAGACACCAAAUAUUAAUAAUGUAAUAUUGAAAUAUAUAUUUGCUGAAAAAUAUUUGGCAAUAGAAUAAUGCUUUAAAAAUUUAAUAUUUUUUGCAAGAAAGUAAUUCGACAAUUAAAGUAAAAGAUGUAAAUGUUAUGCUUUCUUUUAUUUUCUUUUAUUGAAGUUACAUUGUAAACUGCUCGAAGCUAAAUACAAUAUUUACUCUUACACUAGGAUCUUUGCAAUGGUCUAGCAAUUUGUAUUCCUUUCGGUGAGGUUGGUUUUUUUCUUUAAAUAAAAUUUCAGGGAUGAGAAAUCUUAUCCAUUGAACAUCAACUUUGAAUUUUGUUAAUAUUCAAACUUAGAAAGUACUGCAGGAACAAAGUGCAUUCAUAGCCGGUUAAACUAUGUCUAGCUACAAUGCAAGUUUCACUUUUACUUAAUUAAAUAUACAAAAUUAAAUCACAUGAGCCUGUCGUUUCAUUAUACGUCAACUUAAAAUUAAAACGCAGAAUUGACGGUAUUGGAGUUUCAUAUUUAAUUUUUCUGUACUCAUGGGGAAUCAGAUGGCCAUCCAUUUUUACGUCUAUUUUAUGGCCAUCCCCACUAAGUAGCUUGGUCAUAUACAAUAUGUGUGUGCGUGUGUGUAUGUGUGUACUGGGAUGUCACAGGCCCUAAAAGAUAAAGCUGAACAUCAAUCCGAAAUCUAAAGUGAAAAACAGUACCUAGAACAGAAUCUUUGUUUUGAUGUCUGGAAAAUGCAUGAUAGAACAGAGAACUCAUAUUUUAGCAAUAAUCCUAAGCUCACUGGCCCUUAGUUCAAACUGGCAGUUCUUAUUAGUCAAAGAAUCAAAUUGACUUUUAGUUGUAUACAAGUAGAGCACUAGAUCAACAAAUAAUUGAAGACUUGCUUGGCUAUUGAACCAUAGGAAGGCAAUUCGUGAACAGCCUUGAUAUUUCAUUUGCUUUUAUCUAAUUCUCUGUAAAGUUGUCUUGUGUGUAAAAUUUUUGUUGCAUGAAAUCGGUAGGUGAAGAGAAUUUUUAAAAGCAAACAUCAAAGUCACGAUCAAAGGGACGAAAUCAGUAUAAAUAUUGAUUGUCUCAAGUUAGAUUAUGCAAAGAUGAAAUAAUGCUAAUCUAGAAAAUUCGAUCAUUAUAAUUUGAUUUCCAUUAUAUUAAUUAUGUUCAAUCUUGCUAUUUUAAUGAAAACACUCGAGGAUUUAUAGACACUCAGCUUAUGAAAUUAAUUACAAAACGAUCUUUGACCAAAUCUGAUGAAAAGAUCAUAUUAUAAGUGCAAAGUUAGACUUCCCGAUCAUGCAACUAUCUAUCGAAUUGUGGAUUGUGUUAUCGUUGAGCUCUUAGGAAGAUUCAGCUGCUGGGUAGAAGAUAUAAUCUGUUUUUAUGUGACAAGCCAUGUACUCUGCUUUUAUGGUGUUUCUCUUGGUAGUUUUUGGACAAACUGUAAUGUAAAUUUCUAUCUUAAGGGAUUCCUAAUCCUUUUAGUUAGUUUGGGAUUGUUGAUUUAUCUAUGAUGUUUGGUAUCCAAAAUUCAGGUGAUGAUAAUCUUGGCAGUACUUUUGUCAAAUUUUCUUUUAUGUUGGUGUUGUUUUAAUUAAAUAUCACAAAGGUGCAAAAUACGGUAAAAUUAACAUUGAGCUCAUGAGAUUGCCAUUAGAUAUAUUGAAAAAGAAAUUGAUACAAGAAACUGAAAAUUAGUUGUUAAUUAUGAUGGGAAUAUAAUCUUUGAAUUAUAAUUAUAUCUAUCUAACGCAUGUGCACUAAUCUUAUUUAUCUCUAUCACUGAAAAAGCAGAGUGGCCUGAUUGAAUAGUAUGAUAUUAUGUCACAGCAAUCACAAAAACUCACUCAACAUUAUGCUAAUUUAUACUAAUUAAUUAAUACGACUAACAGGAAAAGUUGGAUCUCGCCUUGCUAAAAAUCAGGUGAUUGUUUUUCAUUUUUGCGGCUACUUGACUCAAUUAUGUUAUUGCAAGAGGAGAUUUCUAUUUUGUCCGGUUUAAGCCAUAAGAUGGGUUUCAAGAUUCAUUCUGAUUGGUUAUCUGUUAGCUUUUUGUUUUAAGAACUUCUUAUUUACGAAAGCCAAAUUCUUCUUUCUAGGUUUAUUCAUAUUCAGAAGUUGCUUUUGUCAUAUCAGAAGAAGAGGCUAAGACUGUUUAAGUACUAGAAGGGACUACUGCGCUGAUUGUCUUUUUCAUGAGCUUCUAAUAUCCAAUGUUGAUUAACUCUUCCAUUUGAACAGGAGAGUAAUCAGAUAGUUGAUAUUUAUGUUAAAAAAGUUGGAAGCCACUUAAGCAAUUCAGUAUCAUGCGAGGACUAUAAUAACCCCGAUUCUUUUGCCUCUUGGAUUUUUGUGUUAAUUCACUUGCUGUAUGCUUAUCCGACCUCUGAUUUUUUCUUAAUCUUUCUUUGUAGUUCACUUCACAGCACUUAUAGCCGAUGCAUUGGCAUUUUCUGCUAUUUGUUAUUGUUCAUUGAAGCAAGUUAGCUUACGAGAUUUCUUUUUGAUAAAUGUUCUUCAGAGGGUUGUGAGAGGCCAAAUCAAUUGAGAUGACCGGGUUUUCUAGAUCAGCCAUCUUUGUCGUCAACAGUGCUAAACUGUCAAUUACUGAGACACCAAACUCUAACCUGAUUCAUAUGGAUGUAGACUAAAGCUUCUUGCCGAUACCAUCCCCAGUCAAAGCUGCUAUCUUUGAAAGUUUCGCAAGACAAAACAAUGUUGGUUUCCCAGUCGAUACAAAUACAGAUUUCAUAUAUGCAGAUUGCUCUCAAUCUCUGUUUAAUUAGCUAGUCCUCUGCUGUAUCCUAGAAGGUGGAACAAUACAUUAUGCUUCCCAGCAGGCUCCAAUGGGAUCUAUAUAUGUUUCUGCAGCCAAAUUUUUUAAAGCGAUCAUUGUGAAUAUCCCUACCCAGUCUGAAGUGGGCUUUGAUACUUGUUACAAUACUCGAUCGAGGCUGUAAAGAAGCUGUGGGUGUACAUUUCUGGCCCAACAAUCAAUCUAACUGGCUUACUUUACAGCAAAAAAGAGAUAGAGAAUAUAUUAACUGCUUGUGCAGAAUAUGGAGCAAGAGCUUAUUUAGUGUCGGGUCAAAAUAAAUAUAGCAAAGUUUUAGCUGAAUAUAAAUUGUUAAUUACAGGCAGAGCAAGUUGAGUUUAAAAAAUGCGAAACACCCAGUCCCAAAACAGAGAAGCUUGACGUUGGCCGGCAGGAUUAAUAUUAUUUUUUUUUAACAACAAUCAAAGCCAGUUGGGAAUUUAUUAAGAGGUUAAUUCGUUGAAGUAUAAAAAAGGAAUUAGCAGGAUUCACGCCCGACCAAAUCCACAUGUCCAAAGCAAAGGAUUAAGUUUGAGAGAUUAUAAUGAAAUAUAAGUAAGCGUCGUACAUGCAUGCGUCUGACUGACAGAACAAAUGAAGGAAACAUAAACUUAUCAUUUUUAAGAUGUAAGCAUCAAAACAAUCGACAAGUUUGAGGUUCGUGAGAUAUUGGGAAAAUAUACAAAUAAUAAAGCCACUACAAGUUAAGCAGAGCAAAUAAACAGAGGAAAUAACUGAUCAAUUUAGUUCUUUGUGCAAUGGCCACAGCAACAGAGAAAAUAUGCCUACACGACUACAUUAAUCCUACUGGCGUGGUACUAUCACCAUGCAAAUUAACAUUAACAUUUCAUCAUCAAUCAGUUCUGAUGACAUGAUAUCAAAAACAUUGAUUUCAUAAUUUUAUGUAAUUCAUAUAAAAGAUAUAUAUAGUCGAUUUGAGUUAGUUUAACAUAUGAAGAAAGAGUAAUGGGGAAUGAUAUCACUGUAGCGUGUGAUGAGUAAUGAAAGACACCAAAUAUGGAUCAUGUAAUAAUGAAAUAUGUAUUUACUGAAAAAUAUUUGGCAAUAAAAUGGUGCUUUAAAAAUUUAAUAUUGUUUGCUAAAAAAUAAUUUGACAAUUAAAAGUAAAAGAUGUAUAUGCAAAACUUUGACCUUAUUUUAUCACUUCACUAACCAUUUUGUAAGUACAUCUUAAAUCGAAGUUCAAUUAAUGCUGACGAAAGACUCCAGAGAAUGUCGAGAAGAGAUUUGAUUUUUGUAUACCAAAAAAUUACAGAUGAGAUAAGUUAAAAUCAAUUACAAGAACAACAAAAAGAAUACAUUUUAUAAAAGCCACAAAUACAUAAAAUAUAUAAUCAGUUUCGAAUUAAGUAAUUAUUAACUUAUAUAGUGAGAGAGUGUUAUAGGAAAGUUUGGAAUUUUUUAAAAGAGAUUUGCGAAGGAAAAAGUUUAGUUUAGUUUAGUUUGUGAAGGCUCAAGUAAUUCAAAGCAAUGCAAUUGAAGGAAAUAUAAACUUCUAAUUUUUACAAAGUAAUCGCUAAAAUAUUUGACAAGUUUGAGAUUUUCAAAAAGCUGAAAAAAAUAGACAAAUAAUGGAGACCCUACAGAUUGGUAGCGCAAAUAAACGGAGGAAAAUAGGGCAAACAUUUAUAUUUUCCAAAAAGAAUAAAAGCACGUGUCAAUUACCAAAUAACUUCCACUUUAAAAAAGAAUAAAUGCUAAUAUCAUUGUUAGCACAUGUUGUGCAUUUUUCAUUUAUUUAUUUAUUUCUUUGCUUUUACUUAUUGAAGUUACUUUGCAAACUGCUCCAAGCAAACUACAAAAUUUCUUCUCACUCUAGGAUCUUUGCAAUGGUCCUGCAAUUUGUUUUCCUUUCUAUUAGGUUAGCUUUUUAUUCCAAAAAAAAAAAAAAAAAAAUUGGGCAGAUGGAAACCUCACCCACUAAAUACAGAUUUUGAAUUUUAUUAUUAUUCAAAAUUAGAUAACUAUGCAAAUAAUGUGCGGUUAUAACCAGUGAAACUGUGUCUAGCUACGAUGCAGGUUUAAUUUUCACUUGAUUAAAUAUAAACAAAACUAAAUCACCUGGGCCUCUGGUUUCACUAUUUUUCAACUUGAAAUUAAAACGUAAAAAUUGAUGGUAUUGGAGUUCGUUGUUUAGUUUUGCUGUAGGUCAUGGGAAAUCAAAUGGCCAUCCAUUUUUAUGUCUAUUUUAUGUACUAUUGGUCACUAAGUAGCUUGGUCAUAUAUGUGUAUUGGGAUGUCAUGGGACCUAAAAGAUAAAGCUGAAAAUCAAUCCCCAAUCUAAAGCGGAAAACAGUAGCUAGAACAGAAUCUAUGGUUUGAUGUCUUAGUUUAUAGGCUUAAACAAUUAAUAGUACAGAAAAUGCAUGAUAGAACUCAUCUUUUAGCAAUAAUCAUCCGCUCACUGGCCGUCAGUUCAGAAUGACAAUUCUUAUUAGUCAAAGAAUCAAGAUGAUUUUUAGUUGUAUAUGAAUAGAGCACUAGAUCAACAAAUAAUUGAAGACUUGCUUGGCUGUUGAACCAUGCCGAUGGCAAUUCAAAGACUACAGCUUAGCUCUGCCAUUCAAAGUAAGCAACUCAGCUGCCCAAAGACUGCCAAGCCAUCAAGACAAUACCAAGAUACAACAUCAAGAAUCACGUACAGGCCGUCACAUAUUACAUUUGUCCUCUGUUUUAAGAGAGAUUUACGAACCCAUGCAGUAGGAGUAAUUAAUUAAUUUAUACGUUCAGUACUCAUUCCUCUUUCUUCUGUUUCAAAUCCAAAUCUAGUGCUCCAUCAUUUAUUAUGACGCAAGGUAUAUGGGUUAGCAUGUGUCGAUAUUGUCCUCCAUUCUUUGUGUACCUUUCUUCGAACAAGGGACAACCCGAGAUCUCCAAUCGCAAAAGAGAGGCAGGCAGGCCCUUCUCUGGAAAGUACUUGAGCUUGGGACAAUUACAGAGUUUGAUCAAAUGAGGUUUUAAUGAUCAACAAUUGAAGAAGACAGGCGUUCCAAAUUUAGUAAAUUAACAAUCACCAAAUAUGGUAGGGUGGCAGGCAGAGGAAGCGUGGUUCCUAAUCCUAAUCUUGAGUGAUAACUGGCUAUGUAACAUGUGGCAUUCUACAUUCUUGCAAUGCCAUUAAUUUCUUGUUAUGGCAGCAGCGUUCUUUCAUCAUGGCAUCACAAGCAAAUGUUUGAUUUGAAGACUUGCUUAGCUGAGGAAAAUAAGGAGAGCAAAGGUAAUUAAUUUUGGGGUGAUGAAUAUUUUUAUGGGUGUACUAAGAAAAAUAAAGAUAAUAGAAGUAAUGUUAUUGAGAAGCAUUUUGAUAUUUACAAAAGUGUUCAAAGAAAAAAGUUAUUUUUUGAAAUCUAUUUGCUGGUGCACAUAACAAAAGGGCAUUCUGAGUAAAUUUAAAACUACAAAUAGUCUCACUCUUUUAAUAAUAUUCAAUUAAUUCUGUUUAUUUCAAAAUAAAUAUUCUAUCUCUUUAUUACUUUCUAACUAGUCAUGCUAAUGUGCUAAUAAUUAUGAAGAACUAGUGUAAUUUAUAUGAUAUAAGAAGCCCUUUAGCACAUUAACCCGAAUUUAGCUAAUACAUGUGCCUAAUAUAGCGAAAUCAACAUUCAGCGCAUUAGAGUGCUAUUAUAUAUAUUGAGAAAGAAAUUAACACAAAAAACUGAAUAUUAAUUGACACUGGAUCAUGUUGGAUUGUCAGUUGUUAAUUAUGAUGGGAAUACAAUCUUCAUCAUUGCGGCUACUUGACUCAAUUAUGCUAUUGCAAGAGGAGAUUUAUAUUUUGUCUGGUUUAAGCCAUAAGAUGGGUUUCAAGAUUCAUUCUGAUUGGUUAUCUGUUAGCUUUUUGUUUUAAGAACUUCUUAUUUACGGAAGCCAAAUUCUUCUUUCCAGGUUGAUUCAGAUUCAGAAGUUGCUUUUGUCGUAUCAGAAGAAGAGGCCAUCUUUAAGGCCUUGUCUAACACUGUGGAAGUACUAGAAGGGACUACUGCGCUGAUUGUCUUUUUCAUGAGCUUCUCUUCCAUUUGAACACGAGAGUAAUCAGAUAGUUGACAUUUAUGUUUCAAAAGUUGGAAGCAACUUAAGCAAUUCAGUAUCAUGUGAGGACUAUAAUAAUAAGCCGAUUCUUUUGCUUGGAUUUUUUUGUUAAUUCACUCGCUGCAUGCUUAUCCCUCCUCUGAUUUUUCUUAAUAUUUCUCUGUAGUUCACUUCACAGCACUUUAGCCGCUACAUUGGUGAAAAGAUAUUAUGCUCAAAAUAUUUUCUUUGUAUAUCGAAGAACGAGAGAGUUACAAGCUUAUAUACAACUAUUAAGGUCAGCCAAAUCUCUUAGAGUAACGGCUAGACAGGCUGUCCUAUUUAUGACUACAUACAUUAAGGAAUGAAAUCAUUUGUACAUAAGGAAUAUUAAUAUUAUCAAGUGAUACUUGCUCAAAAUAAAGAUUGUGUCUAGAAUAAGGGAUUGCCGAUGCCAAAUCUUGCUGCUAAUAAUAUUCGGUGAGCUAUAGCUACUGAUUGUAUGGUUUAUCAUCCCCCCUCAAGCUGGUGUGCGGAAGCGGAAAAAUCCCAAGCUUGCGACGAAGAUUAAGAAACUGAAAUUUUGAGAGAGCCUUCGUGAAGACAUCGGCGAUCUGCUUAAAUGAAGGGACAUAAUGUGUAGAAAGCUGACCAGCAGUUACUUUCUCCCGAACAAAAUGAUAGUCCAGUUCUAUAUGUUUUGAUCGAGCAUGAAAAACUGGAUUUUUUGACAUGUGUAAAGCACUUUGAUUAUCACAUAGUAUCCUUGGGGGUUGAAGAAGAAAUAGGCCAAUGUCCAUAAACAAAUAAGUAAGCCAAGUGAUUUCAGCUGCAGUUGACGCCAUGGCACGGUAUUCAGCUUCUGCACUAGAACGGGAAACAGUUGGUUGUUUCUUAGAUGCCCAAGAUACACAAUUAGCACCAAUAUACACACAGUAACCGGUAGUGCUUCUUCUAGUGUCCUUGCAUCCAGCCCAAUCUGCAUCACAAAAGGCAACAAUUUUUAAAGGACUUUGAGAUGUAUAUCGAAUGCCAAAUUGAAUGGUUCCCUUUAGAUAUCGAAGUAUUCUCUUGACAGCUCGCAUAUUAGCCUCGUUGGGGGCUUGAAAGUUUUGACAAACUUUGUUUACAGCAUGUACAAUAUCAGGCCUAGUAAAGGUCAAAUAUUGUAAUGCUCCCACAAUGCUACGAUAUGUUGUUGGAUCGACUGGUGUAAGAUCAUUUGGAUGUUCUUGAGGUUUUACUGCAAUUGGAGUGGAGAGAUGUGUGCUGUCCAGCAUUUUAGUCCUGCAAAGUAGAUCAUAAGUAUAAUUUGUUUGAGAGAUAAAUAUGCCAUCAGAAAGAUAAUUUAUUUCAAGUCCUAAAAAAUAAUGUAAGGGGCCUAAAUCUUUGAUGGCAAACUCUUUGCUGAGAAGAGAGAUAAGUUUCUCUAAAAGUAGCUCAUUAUUUCCUGCAAGGACAAUAUCGUCAACAUAAACAAGCAUAAGAGUUAUAGUGUUGUGUGUGUGUAGGACAAAUAACGAAGAAUCUGCCUUACUGCAUUUGAAGCCAUUCUGAAGUAAAAAUUGAGACAACCUUUCAAACCAAGCACGAGGUGCUUGCUUUAGUCCAUAAAGUGAUCGCUUUAAUUUACAUACAUGGUUGGGAAAUCUAGCAUCUGUAAAUCCUGGAGGUUGUUCCAUGUAUAUUGUUUCUUUUAAGAAACCAUGAAGAAAUGCAUUCUUCACAUCAAGUUGUCGCAUCACCCAUUUUUCAGUUACAGCUAAGGAUAAAAUGACUCGAAUGGUGGUGUGUUUAAUAACCGGACUAAAGGUUUCUCCAAAGUCCAGUCCCGGUAUUUGAGUAUAUCCCUGUGCCACCAAUUGUGCUUUAUGUCGAUCAAGAGUUCCAUUUUUCUUGAAUUUAUUUUUGAACACCCAUUUUGAUCCUACAACAUUCAAGUCCUCUGGGCGAGGAACUAGAACCCAAGUCUCAUUAUGUUCAAGAGCUCGAAUUUCUUCUUCCAUAGCAGAUUUCCAAUGUGGCUGCUUAAUUGCGGAUUUCCAUGAUUUUGGCUCAACUUGAACAUUAAGUGCCAUUUGAUCAGCAAGUUCAGGAUUAUUUUUCAAUCGACGCCUUGUGAUCAUAUGGUGAGGAGCUGUCAAGUUUUGAUUUGAUGAUGAUGACUGAGAAGAGUGCCCGCUUUCAUGUGGUAUUCUUAGGUCCACAUAGAUGUUGAUUCCUUCUGGACUGGUCUCUGAAGAAUUUGCUGUGACAUCUUGAGUGCUUUCUUUAGAGUUAUCUGAUCUUGUGGGCUCAAUAGCGUCUGACACCACCAAAGGAAUGUCAUCACUUGUUAUAGGAAUAUUAAUAUUAUCAAGUGAUACUUGCUCAAAAUAAAGAUUGUGUCUAGAAUAAGGGAUUGCCGAUGCCAAAUCUUGCUGCUAAUAAUAUUCGGUGAGCUAUAGCUACUGAUUGUAUGGUUUAUCAAUUGGCAUUUAAAUGCUAUUUGUUAUUGUUCCUUGAAGCAAGUUAACUUAUGGAAUUGCUUUUUGGUAAAUGUUCUUCACAGGACUGUGAAAGGCCAAAACAACUGAGAUGACCGGGUUUUCUAGAUCAGCCAUCUCUGUCCUCAACAGGGCUGAACUGUCAAUUACUGAGACACCAAACUCUAACCUGAUUCAUAUGGAUGUAGACUAAAGCUUCUUGCCGAAACCAUCCCCAAUCAAAGCUGCUAUCUUUCAAAGUUCUGCAAGAGAAAACAUGUCUGAGUCAGACAUUGACGUCCCCCCAAGAAUCAAACAGUAUAUCAAGAGCAAUGUUGGUUUCCCAGUCGAUACAAAUGCAGAAUUCAUAUAUGCAGAUUGCUCUCAAUCUCUGUUUAAUAAGCUAGUCCUCUGCUGUAUCCUACAAAGUGGAACAAUACAUUAUGCUUCCCAGCAGACUCCAAUGGGAAGCAUGUUUCUGCUGCCAAAUUUUUGAAAGCUAUCAUUGUGAAUAUCCCUCCCCAGUCUGAAGUGGGCUUUGAUACUUGUGACAAUACUCGAUCGAGACUGUAAAGAAGCCGUGGGUGUACAUUUCUGGUCCAACAAUCAAUCCAACUGGCUUGCUUUUACAGCAGGAAAGAGAUAGAGAAUAUAUUAACUGUUUGUGCAGAAUAUGGGGCAAGAGCUUGUUUAGUUAUUAUAGAUAUUUAAUAAAAUAAUAACACGAUUAAUAUGUUACUAAACAAAUAAACACAAUUGAAAUAGCCGUAAUGUGAAAACAAAACAACUCCAUUGUUUUUGUGUUUUUUUGUAAAUUCUUGUCAUUUAGAGUUUUUUGGGCUUUACUGCAUCAAUUAUUUGGUGUUUAUCUUGUUUUAUUCUUUUACGAUGUAAGAUUCUUGGUAGUGAUACAUCUGGAAUAAGAGUGAAAUCGCAAUCUUACAAUUUGGAGAAAUGAACUGCGAUAUGAUACUUCAUGAAAAAAAGAUUUAAUUUAUUAUUUCUACUACUAAAAACUAUUAAUUCAUCAAACCAUCAAGAUUUUUUUUCUUUUUUUUUUUUGAAUUCAACCCAUCAAUCUUUGUUUGUAACUGCCAGACCGUCAGUUUCUUUCUAUCACUAUGCAACAUUACAUUAACAUUUCCUCAUCAAUCAAUUUUGAUGGUCUGAUAUUGAAAACGUCGAUUUCAUAAUUUUGUGUAAUUGCAUAGAAAAUAUGUAAUUUCAUAAUGAAAGAGUAAUGGGGAAUGAUAUCACUGUGGCGUUUGAUGAGUAAUGAUAGACAACAAAUAUGGAUCAUGUAAUAAUGAAAUAUGUAUUUAUUGAAAAAAAUUUUGCAACAAAAUGAUGCUUUAAAAAUUUAAUAUUAUUUGCUAGAAAUAAUUUGACAAUUAAAAGUAAAAGAUAUAUUUGCAAUCCUUCGAGUUUAUUUUAUCACUUCACUGACCAUUUUGUAACUACAUGUUAAAUAGAAGUUCAAUUAAUAGAAGUUCAAUUAAUCGUCGUCUUCGACCUUUACACGGUCCUCCCCUUCCAGCCUCUCUGAAUUUCUACUGAUCAUCACUCCCCACCAGCCAACCAGCUUCUCUAUGCUACCUUCUAGAAUUCUAAAGACUUUAAUUAACUUCUAGACUUGUUUCUGGGUUUAAUCAAUUUGCUCCCCCCCAGUUUCCAUGUAAAAAUUCUGCUUAAUUUAAUUAAUUGUUAAUUAACAAAUAACAGAAACGCUAAUUUUCGCGCAAGUUUCAACAUUACUUACUUGGUUGCCU